CCAUCUUGGUUGGUAAAAGCACACACAAACCAAAUAGAAACACAUGAACACUUAAUUAAGCAGAGAAUAACAGCUUCUGCAAUCUGCGUAUCGCAGCUUGAUAGUCUGAUUAGUUCUUUCCUUGAGAAAUGAAAAUGAGAUCACUUUGAGACAUCCAAUGGCAUGCUUCACUUUGGCCAGGAGAAGUUUUCAAUAUCUUCAAGGCCACAUGAUCAGGGGACCAGCCUGAAGUAUCCAUAUGACAUACCACCGUGACUGUAUUAACUGGAACUUUGGUCCUAGGUUCAACAACAUCUACUGCAUAGACUUCAAUAUUGGACAGCAAAUGGCAGAAAUAUGUUGCAAAAGGAAGAAAUAAUUGAUGACAUGCCACAGUUUUUCCAUAUUUAAGCUUUUCCACGCGUCCAACCAUCAAUUCUUUUCUAGAACCCUCUGUGUUUUUCGAUGCCAAUGCCACCAAAUUCUUGUCACCUAUGGCAGUUUUUGAAAAUUCAAUCAUUUCCUCAAGGGAUUUUGCACAGCUCUGAGGCUCUUCCUUAAGAGCAGGAGUAUUGCAAUAAAUAAGGGUGUAUUGAAUGGCAUCUUUUGUUUGCGGGCUUUCAAAGGAUUGAGGAAAUAAUUUUCGUAGGUCAUUUUCCGUAACAGAGAUCUUUGAUGCCGUUUGAGAAGGAAGAAAUGACUGUUGGGGCAAUUGGUUUUCCAAGCUUGAGAGAUGCACCAUGUUUCCUUGUUUGAGAAGUGAGAGUCUGAAGAAAGAAAAAGGAUCAACAUGUAGGACAACAUUUGGGCUAAUUCUGCCAUAGCCGUAAUUAUUCUUGUCCAAGAAACUAUCAACACGUGCUUUGGAUAAACAAGCUAGGUUUGCAAGAGAGCAAAGAUUUGCAUCAAAUGGAAGAUUUUUCUCGGACGCUAAUGAAGUGAAAUGUUCAGCUUGUUCCUUGCUCAGUGGAGAUAGUUUGGACAGAAGAUUUCCAGGCAUGGUGCCUUGGACAUUUUCUGACCAAUAUUUGAGCUGAUUCAAUGCAGUGAAUGAAGAAGAUGAAAUGUGUGCAGCAAAAUGGGACGUAGGAAACGUGAGGGCAAUGACAAAGAGAACGAUAGCAAACGUUGAAGAGGCCAUUGGUUUCAUCGACACUAAUAUUGAGCUAAUUUUCUUCAGUGGAUGAAGUGCUGAUGACUUUGCUAGUGCAGCUUCUAAUUUAUACUAGUGCUCGAGCCUGGACACAGGGCCUCACCUGCCCAUUUCAGGAUAAAAUGGUUACUCUAAAUUUUUUUUACAUCUUGUUUUAGUUGGUAUAUAUCUUUACUUCAAUUUAUUUACAUCCCACUCCAACUUAUUUGUACCUUAGUCUAAACCGGUUGGAAAUGGAACUUGUGAGGCCUCAUCCCCCACUCUAGCCUUGUGUUUGCUCCAGCUAUAAUCUCUAAAGGGAAACCGUUCAAAAUGUUCCUUAUAUUUUGUCAUAUAAAUUUUUUCCUUCUUGUUGUCCCUAAAAAUUAUCAAUCCUCAAUCAUUAUUGUCCCUAAAUAAGUAGAAUCUAAUCCAUACCAUGUUCAUUUUUCUCCAUAAAAAAGUGGAAUAUGACCCAAUCCAUAUUUAUUUUUGCCACAAAAAAAUGGGAUCUACCCUUUUUGGACAUAAAAAAUAACUGUAUAUAGGUCACAUGGUGAUUUUAAACUAGUCAGAUAUUUAGGUUGGAACUAAAUUUUGCUAAUUUGAAUUUUUAAGUGAUUUAAUUUGAAGUUUAUAUUUUAAAAGUGAAGAACGAAAAAAUUUAUUUGAUAAAAUGUGUGGCAUGUUUUGAAUGAUUUUCUCAUCUUCACAUGUAUAUAUUGUACAAUUAAUCCAAAACAAAACUCCAAAUGUACCUGUGUUUACUAAUCCAGAAAAAAAGAGACAAAAUUGAAAAAUAAAUUUAUUUGAAUAGACAAUUUGCAACUUGUUCCACGUUCGCAUUUGAAUGGGUUAAAUACACUAAUCAUACAUCCACGUUAGACAAUUUGCGGUUGUCCCAUUUUAUGCUCUCAGCUUGCGGUCCAUAACCUGAGAUAUGUGGUAGUUAAAAAGACAAUAUUUGUAAUCUCGAAAGUGACGGACAAUACAGUCCCGCACAUUUAGUGCGUCUUGUAGGUAUAUAUGGACAACCGCAGCAAGGAAUUACAUCUCCAAAUACGAAAAUUUCAUGAAAUGAGAUGUAGGUGUGUGUAUAUGUAUAUAGGUAUAUAAAUAUGUAUGUAAGUUUGGUUUAUAAAAUAUUAGUCAAUACUAAUCGUUCAAAAUGACCAACAAAUUUCUUAAUAAAAAAACAUUGAUAUCCUUGGGGAUACUUUUUUAUCCAAUAAAGCAGCUGAAAAUUGUGUAAAAAAUGCAUGCUUCCUAUAAACAAGAUUGGAAAAGAAAACGAAAAUGAAUAAGUCACAUGCUAUGAAAGUCAGUUGAAAAGGAAAAGAUUGGCUCGUGUAGCCAAAAAUUCAUAAGCAUUGCAGUUACCAGCAACACGUAUUUCCGAUUUUCAGAUGUCCACGAUUUGUAUAAGGGUUCUAGUCUGUUGCAUUUGCAUCCCACAUACAUUGAUAACUCCAUUUGAUUUGAAGAGGAACACCUUGCGCAAAAGAAAGAUGUUGCAGAAAUUUGAGACAUGAAAAAAAAUUUAGAGACUAGCAUUGAAACUUUUCCAUUAAGGAAAUAGAAAGUUUAAGAGCUAUCAAUUGCUACAGCUAAAAUAAAAUAAGAAUGAGACAGAGAAAUAGGUUUUGAAACACACUGUGUGAAAAAUGGAUUUAAAAUGUGGUCAAUUGUUUGUACUAGUAGCAAAGGGUAAUUCCAACAGUCCCAAACGUAGGGGCAAGUGUAGGCAUUUAACAAAAGAAAAUUCUAUAUUAAGUGAUAUACAAUAAUACAAUAAUCACAAUUUAAAAGAUGGCGUACCUCAUGAUAUCUAAGAGUUCUCAUAUUUAAAUUUGAUAAAUGGGAACGUCAUGCAAGUUGUUCUUAUAGCAUGCAAGUGUUUUUGGAGUAAAUCGAUUUUAGAAAAGUUUAGAACAGUACUAAGAAAAGUUGCUUUCUAUAAUUGGUUAUCAGUUUUAACAGCAUUGAUUUGGUUUAGUUACUAUUACACUAUAAUGUCUUAGGGAAACAAUUAUCUGUUCACAAAAAGAUAUUAAAGUGCUACAAUUAACGAACUCUUUAAUAGGCUUUGUUGAUUAAUUCUAGAAUUAGAUGAUUGUAAAAAACAAUUAGACUAUUAACAUCGAACUUUUAUUUUUUUUCUUCUAAGAACAAUAGGAAGGAAUAGCCUUACAUUCUUUGACAAAAAGAAAGAAAGUAAAAAUCCCUAGCUACAUUAUUUGAGUUCUCAAGUACUACUGAUUAUGGAUGGAGAAAGAUUGCUCAAAAUUGCUGUCCUUUUGAAAUUCAUGAAAUUAUUAAUCAAUUGGCAACUUUGGUUGACUGGUCUUUUAUUGGGCAAUUUUUUGACAGAAGUUUGUCGGAGAAUAUCCUCUCCUUCAAUUUAAAAGAAGAAAAUUUUGAAGUAAUUCCUCCUACACUAGCCAAAAAUCUUUUCUAUGUUCUUCAGCUUGGGCUGGAUAGUGACCUGAUCGAGUUUAGGUAUUAAGAGCCAAUGAGUUCGAUCGAUUAGUUCGGGAUCUAGCUGAAUGAUGUCAUAAUGAUGCCAUAAAUAUAUUUUAAUUAUCUAUAAAGUAAAAAUUAUAUAUAAAUUACACAUUAGCUUGACAUAUUUGGUGAGUUUAUAACAAAUAUGAAGAACUCAUUCAAAUAGUUGUACAAAUUUAGGCUGGAAAUAUAAUUUGAUAAGUAUUUGUGGUUUAAUAUAUAAUUUUUUUGAAACAAUUCAGUGUCAAUUCUUGAACUUAAAGUCCAAAUACACAUUGAUGAGCCUAAAACUUUUUAAUAGGACAAUUCUUCAACAAAAUUGAGGUUUGUAUGUAAAAAUACAAAAGUUAGAGUUGCGUAGAGUAAUUAUAAAAGAAGUUUGGGAGUAUAUUUAUGAUUAUAAAAAAUGGAGGGUCAAAACAAAAUACUAGAAAAGUUUUAUAUUUAAUUGGCAAUUUCUUCUCCACCAUGCAUCUUCAUCAGCCAGGAAUCGGGAGGUUUCAACCUUCAUCUGCAUUCCCCUUUUUUUUGGUUUCUUUUUGUAAUGAUUUCAUUGUUUUUUUGUCCCUUUUCUUCAACUGGGUAAGAAUCUUCCCCUUAUUCUUUAUUUUCGUUCUCUCCUGUUUUCUUCUUUUUCUAUUUAGAUCUAUAAAUCUUUGAGAGAUGACAAUGAUAGAUUUAUAGAUCUAUUUUCUCUUUUCCUUUUUUCUUCUCUUGCAGUAAUUGAAACUUUUUAUUAUGAUUUGUCAAAUAUCUUACCACCUUUUUUUGGAGAGAUAAAAUUAGGCUUUAGAAAUGAAGAAAAUUUUUGGAAAAAAAUCACAAAUCAGCAAUGAAGAAAUUCAGGUAAAAUGAGGUUUUUCCCGAUUUUAUUGAUUCCCAGUUUAACACUCGAUUUUUUAAGGUGACUUGGACCGAAUGCUUGAUCGGUCUUGGUUUGCCCGGUCAGACUGAUUAGUCUAAUCCAAAUUUUAAAACAUAGGAUUUAAAAGGACAUAUUUGACUUGGGGAUCUAGCAGCAGAGCAUUUGAGACUGAAAAUAUAUAUGGAUGUUAAACAAGGGCGGCAAUGGAAAGAUAGUCUAAUGCUAUACCAAAGCAAGGAAACAAAAAGAAAAAGGAUUAAAAGUAAAAUUAGUUGUGACCAAAUAAAUGUAGCCAACUUGAACAUGGUAUAAAAGCAAUUGAGCAAAUGCCUUGUUCAAUUCAAGAUAAUUGAGGUACAAAAUCUAGAUUAACACAGCAAAUUAGGUUGCAGAAUGUUGGGUGUGGGCCAGCUCAUUUGUGAGCCAAACUAGAAAAUCAAAUAUUUUUAGGUUUAAGUCAAAAAUUUGACUUAAAUAAAAAAGGCGAGCAGCCGCAUGAAGUAUGAUUCUUCGGUCCUUGUGCGAGAAAAAAGAUUUCAGCCGCCGCUCUUGCUGGCUUGGUGAAGAAGGAAAAGAGAAAAAUAACUGGGAGAUCUUGAUUGGAAGGUGAUUCGAAUCCCGAUUGAAAUAAAAUUUUACAUACGCGAUCCUCUCAUCAAUCUCUACUCAUCUACUGGUCCAGAUUUUAGAUUUCCUCUUCGUUUGGUGACACCUUUCUAAACUCACUUCUUUGAUAGUUGUAGUUUUUGGGGGUGAUUUUGUAGUAAUUUCGUUUGAUUGGUAUUGGUGAUAUUAUUGUCAACCGAAUAUUUUGGGUAGACCUGUGUAUUCCUAUUGUUGUGAUAGUGAAGAUUUUUGACUGGACUAGAUCCCGUGGUUUUUCCCAAUUUGGAUUUUUCACGUAAAAAUCUUGGUGUCAUGUGCCUUUUAUUUUUCUUGCAUUUUAUUAUCACUACUGGUAUUAUUACUUGGUGAUUUGAUUUAUUCCUAUUUUUAACCGGUACAUAGAGAAAGAGAAAUUUGUCUUGGAUUAACUCUGAUAUUGUGUGUCUAUACCCAUACCUCUUUCCCAACAAAUGGUAUAUUAGACAAUCUUCACAUUUUGCACUUUCAUAAAGCAAUUACACCACAACUAUUCAGUUUUAGAUCGACAACUUUGUAUGCUACAGUUCCUUAGGCUGUCAACCACGUAAAAGAUGUCUUUCCGCAUCAUAUUGAAUGCGUUAGUUACUUUGUUUAGCAAAUUUAUAAUUAUUGAGAUGCAUGAAAUACUUUUUUUUCUGCAAGAAGAAUGGUUAAAUUCUCAAUUACAAUGAAAACAGAUAAUAUAGUAAUCCCACCAAUAUUGUUUCUUUAAACAUUUUGUUGUAAUACUCUCAACCUUUUGCUUUUCUGGUAAUAUACUUUCUUUUCAUUUCCUUUCCUUCAAUUCAAAAGGUCACUAAAUUUUUUUCCUCAAAUGGCGCCUAAAUUACUUUAAAAGCAAAGAUAACUAGUGAGAUGCCAAAAAUUUCCAAUCAAUUAUAUGCUUUACUUUGAAACUUACCGGUAGUUCCACUUGUUUUAAAUUUGUAUUAUUUAGGUAGGUUAAAAAUCGAACCAAACUAUUCGAUAUUUGAAAUAAGUUUGGUUCAGUAAAAACUUGUUCUAACUUGAUUUAUGAAUUAAUCAAACAAAGUUUGAACAUCAUUUUGUGUUCAAUUAACUUUUAAACUCUAUUUAAUCCUGGUACAAUUAGCAUAAAACUUGAUUUUAUAAGUAAAAAAUUCAAGCUAUUUGAGCUCAACUCAAAUCUGGCUUGAUUAAAGUCAACAUUAAAUAUAAUUUCAAAUUUGCUAAAAUAAUUAAACAAAAUUGAACGCUAACUUGUCCUCAAUCUUACUAUUGUCCUUAAAUGCAGCCAUGCUGCAAAAUACCUAUGCAUUAUUAGUUGGCCACUUACUUCGACAUCUUCUUAUCCUCAACUUCUUUUGCCUUUCUUUCCUUUUUUGUCUUCUUUUGUUUUUAUGUUACAGUACGGUACACCUACAAAAUUAUUUUGCUACCCACUUUACCCCGCUAUACAACACGGAUGAAGGUUACUAAAUACAAAUUAGGGACAUGAGACUUAUGAAAUAGAGGCCGUAGAAAACAAAUGGGAGAACAAGAAAUCUAUAUUCUUUCUGUCAACUUGCAAUACUCAAUCUCCUUCAACUUCAAUUUCCUUCAAAGUUUCUUUUAAUUUUUUCUUGGUGCUUUAAACAUGACACAUUUCCUACUACCUUUUCUUUAAAAAAAAAAAAAAAAAAAAAACAUUGGCACGUGAAGUUGGCAAUUGGCACUUAUCAUACAAGUGGCUCCGGAUGUGCGGUAUCGUUUGUUUCUUUUGUUUCCUGGGGAUGAGUUUUUGGACUUGGACCACUCAUAAAUAAAGUUGUUUCCUCCUGUGCGGUAUUUCUUGUCAUGGUUGCUCUUACAAUACAGCCAGCCAAUGAAAGUGAAUGUGACAGAGAGAUAUACGCACGGAGACAAAGACAAGGCUGCUCGUGUCUCAUCGUACGAUCCAAUAAUUUGGGAAUUCGAAAAAUCUAAAACCAAAGGAGAAAACAAAUGUAAAUGUGUAAAUUUACAAGUAACCAGUAUUGGUGUAAUCAAUGCAUAAAUGUGUACAUUACAACUGAUAACAUGCAUAAACAAGAUAAACUCACAUUUAACGAGACUUGACUCAACGGUUAUGAUUGUUGAAUCUCAACCUUGAUUUUCUAGACGAACAUCUCGCUGUACAAAUUAUUUAAAUUGCUAUUUUUAAAAUUUUUGUAAAAAAAUAUAUUAUAGUGAUUUGAUAUAUGUGAAAUAAAAGGGUGAUUGAAAAAUUUAUUUAUAAAAAAUCUAAAAAAUUAUCUAUAGAAAAUAGUAAUGGAAGCAAAGGUUUUUGAAUUAUUGGAGCACCCCUAAAUUAGGAAGGACGAAAAUUCAUUAUCACAUCAUAGGACCAGCUAGUCUAUUAUUCUACAAGGUGAGAUAAUUAUGAAAUUGACAUGAAGAAAUACUUCCCACACGAGUCAUGAAUCGAUCAGAUGUGGGACUGGUGGCGGCCGCCAUCUCAAAAAUUAUCAUACGACAAGACGUGUUUCAACACCAUAAGUUGCUUUCGAAGAAUAUUAAAAAUAAUGUUCUGCACAAUAUUUGGACAAGGUCACAAGAAUGGCUCAAAUCACUGAAUCAAAAAAUCCUUUAGCUGCUCAGCUUGAGUUUCACUAAAUAUUUUGAAUUGCAGAGACCUAGUCAAAAAUCGAGUUUGAUCAUGAAAAACAAGGAAAAAAUAGAAAAGUUUUUCAUUUUUUGGUGAACCAUUUUCUUUUUUCUAUUUUGUUAAAGUUUUCCAUAAAAUAUGUUUACCAUAGUUUGAUGGGUUAGAUGCAAAACUUAGCUCUUAAUUAUAACAAAUUUUGCACUUUACUCCUUAAAAUUAUCUUAUUUUGACUUUACUCCACUAUUAGUCAACUCAAACAUUAUAUACCCAUAACCUGAAAAAAACAUUCAUCCUGAGGGUUAAUGACAGUAAAUCCCCUCAAGGUAUUGCAUGUUUUAUACUUUACUCUAUAAAGUCAUCUUUUCUCAAUUUGUAGGUUUGUCCCAAGACCAUUAGUUAACUCCAAUAUUCUGUAACACCCAAGAAAAAACAAUAGCUAAGAGACAUUUAUAUCCUUGACAGGAUAGUGAACUGAAUAAUAUUUUAUGGAUAUGAGUCUAGUUAAAUUUCAUCUCGUAAUUACACUUUUUUAAGACAGGGGGAAAUUUCUCGAUCAUUUUAUGCCUUAAGGAGGAAAAAUAAACAAAAUAUUAUUUAAAAAUAAAAUAUGAAAACUGAAAAUAUUACUAAAUUUGUAAAACCCGCUUAAAAACUGUCAAUCUCUCUUUUCAAAUGUGCAUAUAGGUUUGCUUUUCAUUUAAUGGCUACAUUUUUGCUUUGCAUAAAAAAUAUACACUUUUCGUUGUUAGUAACACUACAAAGGGGCAAAAACAUGAUGGAUUUGGCAUUCCAAAGCUUUAUUGUCACUUGUGCUCAGAGCGCACCCGACGUGUGUACAAUCAAAAAAUAUAUAAUAUUAAUAGUCAUAUAUUUUAAAUAAAAUUUUUAUUACUAAAGCAAAUUUUAAUCUUUUAAAUAUUUUUCAUAAAAUAAUUUUAUAUUGGUAGUUAUGUUGAAUACAUAUACUUAAAAGUAAAAAUAGUCAUGGGUGGUUAUAGAUAGUUAAAGUAAAAGUAAUUUUUAUAAGGGCAAAAAAGAAAGUUCAUAAAGUGACGAUAAAAGUUAACCCUAAUUUUAACCCCAAAUCUCUUUGUCAAGCUUUACAUAUAACUAGUGCCAAAGGCACACCCACAUGUAUGCAAUUUAAGAAUAAAUUAAUUUUUAUGAAAUUUUCUUUAAUGAAUUGAUAGUUAGUAUUUUGGUAGUUAUGUCAAUUGGUAGUUAUCUUGGUAAUUAAACUUUUUUUCAUAAUAAAAAGUUUGGAUGUUUAAAUUUUAAACAUAUUGGUAGUUGCAACAAAAAUUAUGUUGGUUAUAUAUAAUUGGAUAGUUAGGAUAAAAUUUAAUUUUGUGAGGAUAAAAAUGGAAGUUUAAAAAGUGACAAAAGGUAUUUACCCCACCCUUUCAUUUCCUAGAGUAAGUAAGGGUAAAUUUGAAAACACACAAAACUAACACCAAGUUAACUACCUACACAUGUUUUAUUAUUUUAAAGAUAUAGAUUUUGUAAUGCUAAAAGGCACUUUUCUCAAACUUCAACGGUUUACUACAGAGGCAUUUUUUUUACAAGUGCUCAAUACACACCCAAUGUGUGUGCAAUCAAAAAAUACAUAAUUUUUAUGGUCAUAUAUUUUAAAUAAAGUUUUUAUUACUGAAGCAAACUUUAAUCUUCUAAAUGAUUUUCAUAAAAUAAUUUUAUAUUGGUAGUUAUAAUGUUUAGGGGUAGUUAUGUUGAAAACAUAUAUUUAAAUAGUUGAAAGUAAAAAUAAUCAUGAGUAGAUAUAGGUAGUUAAAGUUAAAGUAGUUUUUAUAAGGGUGAAAAAGGAAGUUCAUAAAGUGAUCAUAAAUGUUAAUCCCAAAGUUAACCACAAACCCUUUCCUUAGACUUUAUAUGUAGUAUAGAUAUUGGUGAAUUUAACUAAUGAGGGAACAAAGUGAUAAAAAGAUAAUAAAAUUUGGAAUUCUAUGGGGGAAUUCUUAUAAAUAACCCGAGUUUGAUACUAAAAAAAUUAAUGCCUUGUUUAGAAAGAGAUUUUUUAUCAAAAAAUCUAUACGUUUUUCAUAAACACAUUUUUUAAUCACCUUUUUACCUCACAUAUAUGAAAUCGCUACAGUUUAUUUUUUACAAAAAUUUCAAAAAAUUGCAAUCCAAACAUAACCUAAACUUUUAUAGUGCGCCCAUGGAUAAUUAGGAAACUGUGAUGAUCUAAUAAAAGUUUUCCAGGGUUAAAAGUAAUAAGCCCCCAAAACUUUUGGGAUGCUUUGCACUACAGUCUCUAACGUUGAUUUUGUGCCAUUUAGUACUUUUGUUUUUUUAAAUGAGAUGUCUUAAAUUCAAAACUUCAUACUUACAAUUCCUUCCACCUCACCACUUAACCAUACCCUCCACCCCAAACUCCAAUUUUAGUACUUGUGUUAGUCAACCUCAACAUUUGCCGUUAAAUGGUACUAAUUUCUAAAAUUACCCUGAUUUCUAUGACAAAAAUACCUGUUGUCCUAAAUACAAUAAAAAGAUCUCCACAAAACCCUGCAAUCCUUUUGUUUAAUAUAAAAAAGUUUAAAAAAAAAACCGCAAGCAUUUUGACAGUGCCAAUACAACAAAACCACAAUCUUCCUUUAAUUAACUUAAAUGCAGCGAAGUAUUUCUUCCAAUCUUCUACUCCAUAGUCUUUUUUUUUUUUUUUUUGGAUUAACCGUAGGAGAGCGAAGUACUUUUGUCCUUUUUCUCCUUUUUAUCAAUCUCACAGCUGACAAAACAAAAAUUUUCAAAUAUAUCUAAACUAGCAGUUCCGUCUCUCACUUAUCUUUUUGCUUUCAACAGGUUUUGUACCUAAACAUUAUGUUUUUUUUUUCCCGCAAAAUUAUGUGCUAAGUACAUUCAUUUCCAGAAUAGACAAUUAGAAACAGCAAUGCUAUUAUUCAUGUUCAACUCGUUUGAAUUUGGAAAAGGUUUAAUCACAGAAUAAACAAAUAAAACUCGAAAACAAGAUUGAUUUGGAACCAACACACAAAUUUGGGUGCAAGCGGAUUGAAUAUGUUAUUGAACCCCACAAAAAAUUAUAUUGUUGCCCCACUUUGCCCCCUUAUUCUCCUUACCAGUAUUGCAACUAGAGGUGUUAAAAUGGAUGAUUUGGACGGGUUUGGAUUGGCAAAAAUGGAUAAUAGGUAUAAGUAAGUCAACCCAUUUAUACCUAUUUAAUUAAAUGGGUAUAAAUAGGCAAGCCAAAAAUGAAUUGGAUAACCCAAUUACUCAUUUAUAACCCAUUUAUUUUAAUUUUUUAUAAACUCAUUUAAAUUCAUUUUGCAAACUAGGUUAUCAAUUUAUACCACCCUUUACACCCAUCAUUAGUUUUAAAUAUUUACUUAUAAUGCUCAAUAAGCCUAUUUACCAAAUUUUUUUCCAUCCGUACUCUAUGUCGUAAAAUUACAUGCUAUUUAAUAAUUGAACAAUCAGAAUAUAAAAAUUUGAACUAAGUACUAUAAAAGUUAAACAUAAAAAUUUAAUCCAAAAAUUUUAAACUCCUAGCAUUUUUUUCAUGUGUAAAUUUAAAAUUUCAUUUUGAAAAAGUAGGAAAAGAGGCUAAAACUUGUCAUAAAUUGGUAACACUAAAGAGUAAGUUAACAAACUAAGAGAAAAAAAAAUGAUAAGAUAAAACCAACCAAUGAUAAUAAUAAUGAAACAAAAAUAGUUAACAUCAUAACAAAAUGAAGAAUCUGAAAAAAAAAAUGGGUGGGAGAAGAGAGAAUGCUUGGGGGAAGAUAAUUCUAAAUGGAUUAAUUGGAUUUGAUGGGUUAUCAAUAAUACCCAUUUAUUUAAAUGGGUAUUAUUGGAUAAUCCAUUUAUACCCAUAUGCAAAAACUUAAGAUACCCAUAUCCAUAUAUUCAUGGGCGGGUAUGGGUAAAUUUAGUUAAAUGGAUUCAUUUGCCACCUAUAAUUGCAACCAAUGCAAGUAAAAAUUGCGAUACUUGUUUACUACAAAAUAAGGACGUGAAUUUAUCAAAUAGAAAGUGGAGAGAAAAAAAAGGGCAAAAUACACUUAACUCUCUUGUGAUUUAUUGAUUUUUUACAUAACCUCCCUAUAGUUUCAAAUACUAUAUAUAACCCCCUCAUAAUUUGCAUUAAAGUUUCAAAGUGACAAAAGUGAUUAUUUGCAAUGAAACCCAUGAAAAUAUCGAAAUUGCCUUUGUUUAAAACCUAAAAUGACUGAACUGAUCAAAAAAUAUAAAUAUAAUAUGCAUGACACUCUAACAUCGUAUAGUUUUAUAUUUUACUAUAUAGUCCCCUUAUAGUUUAGUGUUUUACCAUAUAAUCCCCUUAUAAUUUUUAAAAUAUAUACAUAAUCUUUUAUGGUUAUAAAUAAUUUUUAACUUUACAUAAGAGUAUUUUUAACAUUCUAGUUGACUCCAUUAUGGAAUACAAAUUCAGUUAUUUUAAGACUUUAAUUCAAAUCAUGAGAGGGGUAUGUGUAUCUUUUGAAACUAUAGGAGAAUUAUGUGAAAAAAUAUUAAACCAUAGGGGGUAAAGUGUAUUUUUCCAAAAAAAAAAAAGGAAAAACAAGGAGUGAGACCAUUUUCUCAUUUUAUAUGUGCACUUUAGUAAAAUAGUUAAUCAUUUUUCUUCUUUUAAAUUGUAAAACUCAACCUCUUUUAAUUUAAAAUUUCAUUCGAAUGUUAUUUUAAUUUUGAUCUUAGUUCUUCAAAAUUGGCAUAUUAAUUUCCUACAAUUUUUGUAAGGAAAAAAAAAGCAUAAAACAUGGCACUUGAAGUUGGUUGUCGGCACUUAUAGCUUGUAUCAUUUGUUUGCUGGGUACAAGUUAUUGGACUUAGACAACUCAUGGAUAAUUAAGUUGAUUUCACCAGUGGGGUUUAUGGUGGCUUAUCUCCUUCUUAUCAUGUUUGUUCCGACGAUGCAGCCGGCCAAAGAAAUAGGAUGAGAAAGAGAAAUGGGCGCAUGGAGACGAAGGGCCGGCGGCUCCUUUUGAUAUAUCAUCGGUCCCAAUUGUUUGGGAAAUCUAAAAGCGAAGGAGAAAACAAAUGCAUGCAAUUAUGCGAAUCGGAAGAGAUCUGAAUUUUUUUGGAUCAAUUCAAGAACUCUCUAUAUUAGAAAGGGCAAUAAUGCAAUGUCACAUCCACAGGACCAGCUGGUCGUUUGUCAAUUAUUUUACAGUGGGAAAUUAUGAAAUUCGCAUAGGGAAAUACUUUCCUGCUCAUGAGCCGAUGAAACAGUGGAGUGGCGGCAGCCGCCGCCCUUCGAAAAUUUAAGUUUGUUUUUGGAUUGUAAUUUUUUUUAAAAAAAAUUCCUACGUUUUUUGUGGAUAUAUUUUUCAAUCACUUUUUUAUUUUACAUAUAUUAAAUCGCUACAGUAUUUCUUUUACAAAAAAUCCAGAAAAAUGCAAUUCAAACAAAGCUUAAAAUUUUAUUUAUAUCAGAUUUUUUUUUGUAAAACAUUAUAAUUUUAUUAAAUUUUGUAUUAAUGGCAAAAGUUACAUCAUCUGAAAAGUGGAUACUAUAGAUAUGAAAAACAGAUAAAAAUUACACUGUAAAAUUCUAAAAAAUAGUUUAAAAAAUGAGAUAAAAUAAUUGUAACCUCACGAAUAUCUAUGCAUGCUUGUGAUCGUCAAAUCUAUUGAUUAAUUUUUUCAAUUCUGAAUAUUAUGGUGAGAUUUACCAAAUAAACUCAAGAAAUUCCAAAUUUGAUAAAUAAAAUCUAAAAAAAAAGAGUUAGAUCGAAUAAAAGAAAAUAAAAAAAACUACCUAAAGCAUUCAUUAGAAAUCUCUAGGAAAGAAGAAAACUCUCACUAGGUAACACUAAGAGAGGAAAAAAUUCUCACUAGAAAAUUGUAAGAAAUUUUAUUUGUACAAAUGAAAAAAAACUAUAGAUAAAGCUCCUCCUAUGGAGAAAGAUUGAAAAAAUGUGAUUUCUCACCCGAAAGAAUUGAAUGAAGUUUUGGUUAGAGAAUUUUCCUAAAGAGAAACUAAUUCUCUCUUUCUUCUCUCAAGAAUUGGUGGGAGGUUUUUUUUAUGUCUUAUACAGUUCUUUCUUAUUUAUAUCAGAAUUAAGAGAAUGGAAAGUGAUAAUUUGGAGAAAAAAAUUUGAUCAAAGCCUUGAUAAUUGUAAGGUCCAAUUAAUAUUCUAGAUCUUGGCCAUAUUAGCUCGAGCUAAUCUAGGUCAUCCAUCUCUUUUCUAAAGAAAAUUUAUAUUUUUUUUUUGUUGUAAAAGUUAAUGGCCAGAUUUGGACCACAUCAGCAAAACUUGAUUUGAACCAUUAAUUGUACGUAUGCCAGGCAAUCGUGCAUUCUCCUAAAAGUAGCCAAUUGCCAUGGAAGGUUGUAAAUGACCAUCUUAAUCCCUGAAUUAAGAAACAGUCAUCCCAUAAAUCCUCUUCCUCCUUCCACAUUCGAAGACCGCCACCGCAGCUUACUCCACCCUUCAUUCACAAACCCAGUCAACAAUUUUUGCCUACAUAUCAAUCUUGAUUACCUUGCUAUAUCCCCUUACUCUUCCCUUCACGCUAUCUUCUUCCCAUAUUGAAGAAGCAAAACCAUGAUGAAAUAUUGUUUUGGGACAGGAAUAUGUCCAAAAGGGUGAUUUUAGGGCUAUCAAUGGGUCCGGACCCAAAUCUGAUCCAAUAUGCUCGUUUGUUCGAACCUGACCAAAUCCAAAUUAUAUGCAUUCUAAAUGGAUCGGGUAUGGAAUGACAUGUUCCGAUUCAUUCGGAUCCGAUCCAAUUAAUUGGACAUAUAUAAGUAAUAAUUAUAAUAUUCAUUAUAAAUUGUUACUAACCCACAUGUUUUCUCUUUGAAAAAAAAAGGAGGUACUCUAAGAACCAAAUAAUCUUUGGAAUUUUUCUCAUUGUGUAGUUACUAUUUUAUUAACAAAAUUUGUGUAAAAAUAGAAUUCAAAAAUUAUCAAAAAUUUUGUUAUACUAAAUUGAUUUUAUGGAUUGGAUAUAUCCGAAAUAGAUUUGAAUCCAACAGAAACUGGAUCCAGAAAUACAUAUUAAGACUUCAUUAGGUAAAUGGAUUGGGAUCCAAAAUAAUUAUUACCUGUCGGAUUUGUGUUAGCAGUUAUCAAUUUUACCCAGAAUCAACCCGAUGAGUUCUUAUUUUGUUUCUUUUUGGGCAAAGCUCAUACUAAUGGAGAGGGAUGCCAGUCCCAAAUUUAUUACUAAUAGAGAAAGGAAGGGCCAGGCAUUAAUCUAAACUCUAAUACAAGAAAAAGAAGCUAAUGAAAUGGAAAAAGGAGUACUACUCCCGUGCCGAUCUUAAUCUAAUGUUUGGCAAACUAAUACUAUCAACAGAAAUAAUAGCUUUUACUGUGAAGCAUGGUUCAAAGUCUCGGCCGACUCGUCACCGUCUCAGACCCUUCGAUACGUCACUGUGAACGGUUGAAACGGUCGAGUUACACUGAAUCACUCCGAGUCAUCCUAAGUCAACUCGAUUUUUUAUUAUUUUUACUAAUUUUUUAAUUAAUUUUGUUUACCAUAUUUUUUAUAAAUUUUAGAAUAUUAAAUAUUUCAAAAAUUCGCGUCUCACCGAGACUGCAUGCCAAGAUCGAUGUAGAACGGUCUAGGCCGCGACCGCGACUUUGAACCAUGCAGUGAAGGCAAUUCCGACGUAGAAGUGUAAAUCUGCUGCCGAGAGAGAGUUAAAGAAACAAGAAAGUAAACUGAAAAACUUGCUCCACCAUAAAUGUGAUGAACAAAAACCCGAUAACACCUUGAAGCAAAUGACGAAUUUGAACUAGGGCACUACACAUUGGCCAAUUAGCUAAAGCAUUGGUUGAUAAAGGUGCACAGGUAGCUUAGCAUCCACCUGUACCAGUACAUCAUCAGUAGUGCAUUAUUUUCUACCAGCAAAAAAUUUGCCUUGUCAAAUUCUUCAUAAAAUACAAAGACAAUCCUAUCAAUAUUAUGAUGCUAAAUGAGAAAUUUUGGGUUCGAGUCCUUCCAUCUAAAUUAUUUUAAAAAAAGCAAAAAAAAAAAUCCAUGAUGGUCUUGUAGAAGACUCUCUCGAGAUGAAGUUAACCUUUUAGUACUGGUAAUGGUAUUGAGUUUAUAAUGCUUUUCCAUGGUGGAAACCAUCAGACAGCCAUUACCGAUGUCCUCAUGGAAGUUUCUAGCCUAAAAAACUUUGCAGUAUAAGUAUUCUAAUCACUUAUUACAUAAAAUCCUAUCACCAAGGAACGUGCUCCUAACACAGCAAGACAAUUAUCAACCUUCAAAAUAAUCUUAAAAGCGAGCGAAGAGAUUCUUUGAAAAUGUGUUUCGUUCUUUCCACACCAUGAAAACCACAAAGCUAAUAUAGGUAAAAUACAUCUAAUGUGAUCAAGAGGUGCUUUAUCUAGAGACAAAUUAACAAGAAGACAUCAGCAAAGAAGAGAUACAUGUAUGAGGCUAGAAGGGAAUUCUGAAAACUGGGAAGUAAUGCCCGGCAAACUUGAACUGGAAUCGAGCCUUCUGUUAAAGUAUGCGGCAAAGAUGUUGUAAAAACUUGAUAUUUCAAAAGAUUUUUCGUUUGUUUCGGACUAGAGCUUUAUCUGAUAAUAUUUCAUCAGAUAUGGUUGUUUCUAUUUUGAUGGAGAAGUUUUCAAAGAUAAGGUUUUGACUAAAAGGCAAGUUCAAGUGCUAGAUAGGAAGUUAAGCUUCGGAUGGCCUUUUUUCAAAUGACUUGACCUUUUCCAAACUUAUCACCACAGAGGAUAGACCUCUGACUACUUCAAAAGAUAAAGUCUGGCACGAAGCAAGCCUAUUCUCACGGAAAAUUAGCUUUCAAAAUUCUAUCUUCUUCCGUCCCGUGAAGCUUAUAAAUAGAACCAGUUGCCAGGCUCAUUUCGCACUGCAAAAACGAAGUCUACACUUUAAAACACUCUCUACCUCCUCCUUUGUCUAUCCUUCACAACAUUCUUGCUUUUCUGCUGGGUUAGAAACAAGAUUUUUUUUGCUGGUUCUAUGUCCCUCUCACAAAGUAGAGGAAAACUUGUUUAAUUCUGGGGAAACGUUUCAAUACCCUGAAAUAGUUUCUUAGGACAGUGCUUUCUAGCACGACUCAAGUAUCCACGUGUUGACAUUGUUCGGGCCGCUUUAUCCAACAAUCUAAGAAACUAUGGCAUCUAACAAUGUUAGCACCCCACAGCCUUCAUCAGCAACUGUUGCAGUGGCACUACCAUUCGCCAAGCUCUUUCCGGAUGUAUCCAAAAUUGAAAUUUUCGCCAAUGAAAAUUUUAAAAGAUGGCAAGAACGUGUGCACUCUCUACUUGACAUCCAUGGAGUAGCUUAUGCGCUCACUGAAUCUCAACCUUCUGCAACUGCGGAUGCCAAGAGUCAAGAAGCAUGGCAAUAUGCCAAUAAGGUAUGUCGACACACUAUCCUUCAAACACUCUCUAAUGAAUUAUUUGACGUCUACUAUAGCAGCAAAGAAGCCAAGGCAAUUUGGGAAGCCUUGGUAACAAAGUUUACUGCCGAAGAUGCAACCAAGCAAAAAUUCGUCGUAGGAAAAUACAACCAAUGGCAAAUGACUGAUGACAAGGAAAUGAAAAUUCAAAUCACCGAAUAUCAAAUGCUGCUAGAGGACUUGAAAAAUGAAGACAUCAAUCUUCCUGAGAAAUUCGCUGCAAGCAUGCUGAUUGAAAAACUACCAGAGUCAUGGGCCGACUAUAAAAACAACUUGAAACACAAGGAGAAAAAUUAUACCAUGGAUGAGCUCGUGAAGCACAUCCUCAUUGAAGAUUCAAACAAAAGGGAGUUAAGAGCUACCAAGGCAAAGGAGACGGCUUUCAAAGCCAAUCUGGUACAAGGUAAUAAUAAAAGGUACGCCAAUAAAUCCCAGAAUUACAAGCCCAAAAAUUUUAAUUUCAAGCCUAACAAUCCCAACUUUAAGAAAAGGAAAGGCAAUUGAUUUUAUUGUGGAAAACCAGGACAUCAUGCAUUACAAUGCAGACAUAAUAAAGGUGACAGAGCAAAUGGUAAUCUUCCUAAGGUGCACUUAACCGAAGGAGAUGAUAUAAUUGCUGCUGUCAUCUCUCAAGUGAACAUUGCAGCCAAUGUCAAAGAGUGGGUGGUAGACUCUGGGGCUACUCGGCACAUAUGUGCAAAUUGAGAAGCAUUUUCCUCCUAUACUCCUAUAGGGGAUGAUGAGGAAGUUGUCUACCUUGGUGACUCACGAACUGCUAAUGUUCUGGGUAAGGGCAAAAUAUUCUUGAAACUCACUUCAGGAAAAACUUUGGCUCUCAAUGAUGUACUGCAUGUGCCCAACAUUCGGGCAAAUCUGGUUUCCGUAGGAUUGCUAGGAAAAGUUGGAGUGAAAGUGUCAUUUGAAUUUGGAAAGAUCAUAAUGACCAAAAAUAAUGUAUUUGUGGGCAAGGGCUAUUGUAAUCAGGGACUCUUUGUACUUAACAUUGCCAAUGUGAUCAAUGAGAAUGCUUCUUCUUCUGCUUAUAUUAUUGAUUCAAUUUCUUUAUGGCAUGCAAGAUUAGGACAUGUUAAUAUGAGUUAUAUAAAGAAAAUGCAAUCUUGUGGCCUGAUUUCUGGUGUUAAUGAUAAAAUGGAUAAAUGUGAGAUAUGUGCAGAAACUAAAAUGACAAAGAAGACUUGUAUAACUGUUCAAAGAGAAACUGAACUAUUAAAUUUAAUCCACACAGAUUUAGGUGAUUUAAAACAAACUAUGACUAGAGGAGGAAAAAGAUAUUAUGUCACUUUUAUCGAUGACUACUCUAGAUAUACUAAACUUUACUUACUUAGAAAUAAAGAUGAUACUCAUAAUGCCUUUUUAUCUUAUAAGUCUGAGGUAGAAAAUCAACUUAAUAAGAAGAUAAAAAGAAUUAGGUCUGAUAGAGGAGGCAAAUAUUUAGCCCUAGAUAAAUUUUGUGAACAUGAAGGCAUAAUACACGAAACAACACCUCCUUAUUCGCCAGAAUCUAAUGGAGUAGCUGAAAGGAAAAAUAGAACAUUAAAAGAAAUGAUGAAUUCUAUGUUAGUUAGUUCUCAUGCUCCUGAUAAUUUAUGAGGAGAAUCUAUUUUAUCUGCAUGUCAUUUACAAAAUAGGAUACCUCAUAAGAAAACUGGCAAAACUCCUUAUGAGUUAUGGAAAAGUUAUAAACCAAAUUUGAAAUAUUUAAAAGUAUGGGGAUGUCUUGCUAAAGUAUUGUUGCCUGAACCUAAGAAAAGAAAAUUAGGUUCUAAAACUUCUGACUGUAUGUUUAUUGGAUAUGCUGAACAUAGUGCUGCAUACAGAUUUCUUGUUUUAAAAAGUGAUACGCUUGAUUGUAAUACAAUUAUUGAGACAAAGAAUGCUGAAUUCUUUGAACAUAUUUUUCCAUUGUCGAGUAAAAUUUCUCAUGCACCUGUUGAAAUAAAUAGAGAAAUAAUUCCGAAUGAGGAAUUAAGAAGGAGUAAAAGGCCAAGAAAAGAAUUUUCUUAUGGAAAUGAUGUUCAAACUUUUCUUGUUGAUAAUGAUUCUUUAACAUACUCCGAUGCUAUUUCUUCCCCUGAUUGUAAAGUUUGGAAAUAAGCAAUUAAAUCUGAAAUUGAUUCUAUCUUGUCAAAUAAAACUUGGAUUUUGGUGGACUUACCUCCUGGUGCAAAACCUAUUGGUUGCAAAUGAAUUUUUAAAAGAAAAUAUAACUCUGAUGGCUCUAUAGAAAAGUACAAAGCUCGUUUAGUAGCAAAAGGAUUUUCUCAAAAACAAAAUAUUGACUAUUUUGAUACAUUUGCACCAGUAACAAGAAUUGCGUCUAUUCGAGUUUUAUUUGCUUUAGCUUCUAUCCAUAAACUUGUUAUUCAUCAAAUGGAUGUCAAAACAGCAUUUCUAAAUGGUGAUUUAGAGGAAGAAAUUUAUAUGUUUCAACCUGAGGGGUGUAUUGUAUCUGGACAAGAAAAUAAGGUUUGUAAACUAAUUAAAUCUCUUUAUGGCCUAAAACAAGCUCCUAAACAAUGGCAUGAGAAAUUUGAUCAAGUAUUGAUAAAAGAUGAAUUCUUGUCUGUAGAAGUGGAUAAAUGUGUGUAUGUCAAAAUUAUAAAUGAUCAAUAUGUGAUAAUCAGCUUAUAUGUGGAUGACAUGCUUAUAUUUGGUACUAGUCUAGAUAUUGUAAAUAAUACUAAAUAUUUUUUGUCCUCUAAUUUUGAUAUGAAAGACUUGGGUGAAGCCAAAAUGAUAUUGGGUGUUAAAAUCAUAAGGAGAGGUGAUGGUAUAAUGUUGUCACAAGAACAUUAUACAGAGAGACUUCUUAGGAAGUUUGAAAAUUAUGAUGUGACACCUGUGAGUACUCCUUAUGACGCUAACAUUCAAUUGAGGAAAAAUAAUGGCGACCCAAUUGCUCAGUCUAAAUAUGCUCAGAUCAUUGGGAGUCUGAUGCAUCUGAUGAAUUUCACUAGACCGGAUAUAGCUUAUGCUGUAUGUAGACUGAGUAGAUAUACUCAUAAUCCCAAUCGUGAGCAUUGGUUUGCAUUAGUCAGACUAAUGAAAUAUUUGAGAGGUACCAUGAAUUUUGGUAUACUAUAUAGUGGAUUUCCCACUGUAUUAGAGGGUUACAGUGAUGCUAACUGGAUCUCUGAUCCAAAUGAUACAAAAUCCACUAGUGGUUAUGUGUUCACCCUUGGUGGUGGUGCGGUAGCAUGGAAAUCAGCCAGACAGACAAUUAUUGCUCGGUCAACUAGGGAAUCGGAGUUCAUAGCUCUGGAGUUAACUGGCUCUGAGGCAGAUUGGUUAAGAAAUUUCUUAGUCAAUAUUCCUCCUAUUAAGGAUCUGUUGUCUCCUGUGUCUAUACACUGUGACUGUCAAGCGGCUAUUGCUAUUGCAAAAAUAAAUCUUAUAAUUGUAAAAGUCGACACAUGAGAUUAAGACAUGAUGUCGUAAAGCAGCUGCUUAGAGAUGGAAUUAUUUCCAUUGAUUUUGUGAAGUCAGAGUUGAAUUUGGCCGAUCUUCUGACUAAACCUGUAGGAAGAAAAUUAAUUCUUCAAACUACAAGGGAGAUGGGACUUAGGCUAACGGUUGUCAAUAGAGAUGGUAACCCAACCUAUGUGAUUAGUGAUCCCAUGAAAUAGGUUCAUAUGGGUAAUAACAAGUCGAUAUUGACUGUAAAAGCACUUGAAAUUUAAGUCCCUUCAAAAUUAAGUGCUUUGACUGCCAAUAAUUGUGAGGCUGAGUUUAAUACUCUUAAUGAAUUUAUAUUCCUUCAGGAAGGUGUAUUUAGGGCAGUAUACACUUGAUAAAUUCACCUAUAUGUGAGUGGAGUGGGGCCGCUCCUAUAAGAUUUUUUGGCCGAAUCUUUAGAGCUCUCAUGAACAACCAGGCGGGCGCACGACCUAAAUGCGCGAAACUGCAUUGAACAGCAAAAUUAUGGGUUAUAAUGUGAUUGAUAAGAUCUCUGUCAUACAAUAAGAAUUAUUGGUUCAUAGAAAGAUAUGUUUUCACCAAUAAUUCUGUAAGACAUAUUUUAUCAAUUUAAGUUUGGUUCAUAGUCCAAAAGACACCAAACUCAUUACAUUGAGCUCAGACAAAUCCAGCAGAUGUUUAUACUCUUUUGUCCAAAAUCUUUUGAAAUAGGUGGGAGAUUGUUGUAAAAACUUGAUAUUUCAAAAGAUUUUUCGUUUGUUUCGGACUAGAGCUUUAUCUGAUAAUAUUUCAUCAGAUAUGGUUGUUUCUAUUUUGAUGGAGAAGUUUUCAAAGAUAAGGUUUUGACUAAAAGGCAAGUUCAAGUGCUAGAUAGGAAGUUAAGCUUCGGAUGGCCUUUUUUCAAAUGACUUGACCUUUUCCAAACUUAUCACCACAGAGGAUAGACCUCUGACUACUUCAAAAGAUAAAGUCUAGACGAAACAAUCCUAUUCUCACGGAAAAUUAGCUUUCAAAAUUCUAUCUUCUUCCGUCCCGUGAAGCUUAUAAAUAGAACCAGUUGCCAGGCUCAUUUCGCACUGCAAAAACGAAGUCUACACUUUAAAACACUCUUUACCUCCUCCUUUGUCUAUCCUUCACAACAUUCUUGCUUUUCUGCUAGGUUAGAAACAAGAUUUUUUUUGCUGGUUCUACGUCCCUCUCACAAAGUAGAGGAAGACUUGUUUAAUCCUGGGGAAACGUUUCAAUACCCUGAAAUAGUUUCUUAGGACAGUGCUUUCUAGCACGACUCAAGUAUCCACGUGUUGACAUUGUUCGGACCGCUUUAUCCAACAAAAGAUUCAAUCGAAUAGCUACUAGCCAAAUUAUCUGAACAAGAAGAGCAUUAUUUGGAAACCAAAAUAAUACCAUGGACAUGAAUAUCCUCAUCUCAACGGCUAGAGGGAAUUCCAUGUGAUCUUCAAAACAAUGGAAGAAUUCUUCUUCUUUCUCACCUCCCCCCUCCCAAGCCGAAGCUAGAGUAAAACAACCAAAGGUAAAUAGCUGCCACACCAACAUAUCUUCUUGAUUUGAUCAAACCCUUAACUUCAAAAUUGCAGCCACUAUACGAAGAGGAAGCCGGUCAUUCAGCCGAGCAACAUUCCAAUCGAAAUUCAUAAGAAAAACUCAGCUACUAGACAAUAUGGUGGAUAAUCCAUAUCACAAACAACAGCAGAGGGUUCAUCCAAGACCCAUCUAUCAAACCAAAAAUCUAUCAUUCUCUACUCUACGCACCAAUCGAUAUUCACUUCAGCAACUCCUUUAAUGUAAAACAAAUGUUUUCAAACAACUUAACCCACGCAAGAUUGAACUUGCGUUGGAUGAAGAGCAUGAAGAUAUUUCCGCUACGUAAACUUUGCUUAAACUGUUUUUUUUUUCUAAAAUUCUAUCGUAGCUUAAUACUGAAAGCAUGGAUCUAAUCCCUUGACUUUCUCUACUAGAAAACGUAAGUUUUCCCAAGAAGACCAGUGAAUAUGCCUCGAAUUAUCUUUAACAUCUGACAGAAAGCUAUUAUACGUACAUUCAAUAGUUCUAACCACCACUUUUGGAGGAGAUAGCACUUGCAACAAGUACAUAAGAAUUUAAGAAGGGACAUGUUUCAGUAUAAUUAUUUUCCCACUAGCUGAUAAGAAUUUAGAAUGCCAACCAGAAUUCUCCCUCUGAUUUUCGAUACAAUGCUUCAAACAUUACUCUCUUUGAUCUACUCUCAUAUAAAGAAACUACCAAAUAGGAAAAGGGGAGACAUUGAAGUUGAAAUCCCAAAUAGAACAUACCAUACACAUCUAGCAGUCAAGAUCUUAUCGGAACAAAUAAAUAAGCUAUUUGCAACCUUGAUCCACUGAUCAGAUUAGUAGUGAGAAAGAAAGUACUUUAUCGCCUUCAAACACCUCUUCAAGCAAUGUGUAAAAAUGAUUGUAUCAUUAGCAAAAGCAAGAUGCAAAACUUGACCUCCUGAUAAUGUAAAAAACAUCCUCCUCCCAUUUUCAAAUAAAUCAAUCAAUCCAUGACCAAGAUAUUCAGCAGCUAUCACAAAUAAAGUUGGUGAUAAUGGAUCUCCUUGACGACGAACACCACGAAAGGACUUUAAGAAUCCCACAACUCCACUAUUUAAACUAAAUGAAAACCAAUUGUUGGAGACAAUGCGAAACACAAGAUCAUUCUUGUAUUCGCUAAACCAGAAAUCUCAAUAUUUGCAUAAUGAGAGACCAAUUCGCCUAAUCAUAUGCUUUCUCUUAACACAUUCAGUUCCUGGAGUUUCUUAUCAAUCUCAGCCACAAGCUCUUGAGCUAACAACAUGAAAUCAUUAAUUCGUCUUCCCAGAAGAAAUCCCGUCUGCAAUGGGGACAGAAAGAUAAUUUAUGGGAGAAUUGUUGGGUUUGUGAGUCCAACCCAUUUGUUGGGCCAAGUCACAAUUAGAGCCCAAAGCCCAUGGUCAUUUGGUUUCCGAGUCAAUAUUUGACUUGAGAUUAUAGGAAGUGACUAGUCAAUUAACUAAAACUUGAAGUCGCACAAAAGGGAAUAAAUAUCAACCUAUGAGAUUAAUUGCAACGUUAUUAAACUCGAACGGGAUAGCGACUUGGCUAAACUAUUGAAUCAAGGGUCAACUAGUCGGAUCGGUUGGACCGCUUUUAAAAACCCGCUCAUGUCAACAUGUCGUCAUAGUUAUUUUAUUUUUUUUUAUAAAUUAUAGAAAUAUAGAAAUUAACUUCUUAGUUAUAUUCGAUCAAUCAUAGAAAAUGUUCCAAAAAUAUUAGACUUGCAAUCAAAUAUACACCUAAUAAUUAUAUAUAAAAAUGUAAAUUCAUGGCUAAAAUAUGUCCAUUCUCCAAAACUACUUGAAAAACUAAAUUAAAACAAAUUAAUGCAAGUUGGAAUCACUGAUGCUAAAAUGAUAAGAUCAUAUGGAUGAAAACAUUUUGAUUUAGAGAUCAUUCAGGAAAGGGAAUGAUUUUUGUAUUUACACUAAGUGGAUGGCGUUUUCUUAUUCCUAUUAAUAAAUAAGACUCAAAUUAUGUUUGGGAAAAAGAAGCAAGAAAAGUUUGAAAAUUAGGUCAAUCAGUUGAACCGGGUCACUGGUUUAGUCAAUUUUUGACGGUUUUGACCAAAGCGAUUUUGUACUACAAACUAGCUCGGAAAGAUGGUCGAUUCAUAGUCGGACAGGUUGUCAGGACAGAAGAAAUAAGCUAAAUUUAAGAAUACUUUGUAACGGUGACGUUUGGGGAAUAAUUGUAGUGCAGCGAUGACGUUUUGUGAAAUGUUAGUAAUAAAAAGGGAUAAGUGGAACGGUGUCGUAUGAAAGGCUGAGUUAGUUAGAACAGUCACGUGGGUUGUGACAGAAAUUGGGUAGCGGUAGUUAAUUCAUCCUAUUUGUACACGUUUGAUUGGCUAAAGAGGCAUCAGAGAAUAACAAUUGCAUUUUCCCUCUUUUCCUACUUUCUCUUUCUACUCCCCUUACUCUCUGCAACUUCUUUUCAAUCUUCUCUCUCACGAAGCUCUUCUGAGCUUCUCUCCUUUCUCCAAUUCAGGGAUAUGGUCGUAGGAGCCUGACAAGUGAUAUCAGAGCUUGUCGAAUCCUUGGAAUUGAACAGCAAUGGCGGAGAGUACCAGAUUCAAGACUCUGGAAGAACAGAUCAAGAAAUAAGAUUCCAAGCUCCAGGAGGUAAUAGAAAGUCUGUAGGCUUCGCACCACCAACAACAGCAGCUUCGCGAGGAGCUGCGAACAGAACUCGAGGAGAACAACCAGAAAAUGGAAGGUCUGGUAAUAAGAUUGAAACAAGAGUUCAGCGCCUUCAUGAAGAUGAUGCUGGAAAGAGAGAAACUGAAUUAUGAACCAGGAAGAACCCUGAGUGAUCAACCACCUCUGCUGCCAACACCACCGCCUAGUCAGAGGCUGCAAGUUGGACUCGAAGGUAUCAAGAUUGGGAGGAGAGAAACAAACAAGGCACUGAUUCCAAAUCCCCCAAAAAUUGACUUGCCUCUAUUCGCUGGGGAAAGUCCAAGGGAAUGGAUCAGGAAGUGCAACAAGUAUUGCAUAAACUACCAAAUUCCUAAGGAACAGAAGGUAAAGGUGAUCGAGAUGUACUUGGAAGGGAAGGCGGGCAGGUGGUUCCAGGGAGUUAAGGCGGAGAAACCUGAAAUCACGUGGCCAAUGUUUGAAGAAUUAUUGGGCAAAAGGUUCGAUAACAAGGCAGGUAAGGAUAUUGUGGAGGAAUUUAACAAAUUGCACCAGACAGGGAAGGUGGAGGAGUAUCAGGAAAGGUUUGAGGAGCUCAAGGUCCUCAUGACAAUGAAGAAUCCGCAUCUGAGUGAAGAAUAUUUUGUAUCCAGCUUUAUCAGUGGAUUGAAAGAUGAAAUCAAGACUAUGAUCAAAAUGUUGAGGCCUACCUCUCUGUCCGAGACUUUUGAAUUAGCAGUAUUGCAGGAGAAUGCACUGAACCUUGUGAGGGCCUCAAAAUUUAUUAUUUUAAUAAGAAUAUUAUUAUUACUAUUUCAUUUAUUUAUUUUAUUGUUUUAUUUAUUUUAUAUAUAUAUUUUUUGAAAAGUUAAAUAAUAAAUGUGAAUACAAUUAUAUUAUGUAUUUAUAUAAAAUUACAUGAUCUUUAUGUGCAUAGUUCGCAUUUUCAUAAUUAAAUUAUUUUCAUUCGAACAAAAUUCCAAUGUUUGACUGACUAGUGCUAAGUUCAGUUUUUAAGCCGUGUCGAGGAAUUUAACUUUGGUGAAAGAUUAGUCUAUGAGUAGCUUUAAAAGAAUUAUAAAUGAGAUAGAACUAAGAUAGAUAAGAAAAGUGUAGUGGACAAAUUUAAGUGGAACAUAAGCAUUGGUCAAAGUUGGACAAUUUCCGCUAAAACUAAGUUUUAAUCUUGCCAUUGUUUCUUCCAUUUAAUUUCCUCCAAUUCACUUCAAUUUCUUUUCCUUUCUUCCUUAUUAUAGUCGAGAAUCCCCCUCCCUCAUUAGCCAAGAUAAUCACUUUCAUUCCCACUAAAUUUACUCUUAAGACAUUAAUAUGUAAGAGGGGACAUGAUCCUUAAAAUAGGGCUUUAAGUCCUAUCCUUCUCUUCCCAAUAUAAUGCUCCCAAUUUUUCAAACAUUUCAUUCCUUUUCUUCUUCCCUUAUCAGCCGACCACCCUCACACACUCUCUCCCUCUUUCUAGCCAAAGCUCUAUCUUCUUCUUCCUCAACUCAAACUCCAUGACCAACCAACUUCUAGCUUCACUCCAUCUCCUAUUUUUUUUUCUUGUUGUUCUAGCCGAGAGAAUGAGAGGGAGAAACCGAGAGGAGCUCUUUGUGGUGGCUGGCCAGAUUCUUGGAGAAGGAAAGAGAUCUCUUCGUGGUGAAGAUUGGACAUCCUAGCCUUGGGAAAAUCAGCUAGAACCUGAGGUAGUUCUCUAACCCAAAAGCUAGAGCUUUCAUGUUAUCUCUUGAAGAGUGAAUCUUGAAACUUCAUUGGGUUGAAUUCUUGUUGGAUUUGGUUAAUGUACGGGUUCUUGGGAUUCCCACAAAUGUAUGAUCUUGGUUGCUAGCAUGAUUUUUGAUUGGUAUAUGUGUGAAUAUUUGGAGUUGUGGCUUGAACUUUGGAAGGGAAGAACCUUAACAGAAAUCGGGAGAAAGAGGGGGAGAGAGAGAGAGGGGGGACCAAAAUGGUUUCUGUUUUCUCUAUUUUUCUUGGCUGUGUUUUCACAAAUUUAAAGAUUGAUUUGGGAGCUAAAAAUUUAAGCUUUAAGCUGUCAUUUUCUCUUACAAAAAAAAAAAAAAAACCCCUUCAAAUGGCGUUGCAAAAUGGUUCCAAAAGAAGGUUUCAAACCUGGAAAUUUCAAAUGAGAGUACGGUCCGAAAUUUCUGUGAUUAUUCGAAAAUGUUUGGGGCUCAAUUAGCCUUAGCACAUAACAUGAAAGUUGUAGAGAAUUGAGUUUAAAUUAUGCCUGUAAAGUUUCAGCUCAAUCGGAGCUGGGUAUCCUGUGAAAUGACAAAAUUGCCCCUGCUACCCUGUUUCUAUCAGAAAUGAUAAUCAGCCUCUGUAAUUGGUUAGUUUGACCGGGAAUAUUACUGAAUUGGUUGUCAAUGUCUUCUUAAGAAUUGUAGCCUUGUAUCUUAGCUUUGAAAUGGCUUUGGAAUCACCUGAAUCGGAGUUGUGUGUGCUGAGUUAAGAUUAACUGAAUCAGGACUAUCAGUAAUUGUGUCAGUGAGAAUUGAACCAAGAAACUUGGGCUAUUUCGGUAAAUUUGAUCUAGUUAGGGUGAGAACUGGGUUGAGAUGUCUUCACAAGAAUGGUAGAUCUAUGUCUUAGCUUCGAAACGGUAUAUUUUUUGUUUCAAUCCGAUAAGUGUAGCUCGAGUUGUGCUUAAAUUCCUAAAAGGAUUUGGUAAAUGGAUUUACGAACUGUACUUUCUUAUUAGGUGAGUGUGUACGUUAUCACACUCGCCAAAGGACAUGUGACUUUUCACUAUUUGAGUGACCUAUUUACCAAUGUGUUUAUGUGGUCAAUGUGGUUACUGGACGCUUGGUUUGAGGUGAUUAUUGUGAUUAUUGUGGCUGAACCCCUUGAGCAUUUGUUCGGGGUGACUAGCUUGAGGAUUUUAAUUGCUUUCUUGUUUUUGGCUUGAUGAUAGGUAGAGGUCUGGAGGUAUAUUGAGCUUUAGAUGCAUAUAUGUGAUAAAUCUUGCUUUAUUACAUGUUUGGCUUGUUAAUUAUUGCCAGAUAUUCCUUUAUUUGGAUAGAUGAACUUGUGUGUGUUUAAGUAUAGCAAGAGGAAAAAUUUUUGUUUUGAAUCUUUCAUGUUGGCCGAAAUUUUUGGGACAAAAUUUCAGAUUUUUGGAGCUUUUAUUUGAGUUAAAGUUGUGCCAAAAUAAUGGAUUCUAAGUGUAUUUGGGUUGAUUAAACCGAUUGGCUCUUCAAAGGAAAAAAAAGGAGUGAACUUGCUAAAGUGAAAACUGGAAAUCUGCUUUCUGGAACAACAGACCAGUUUCGGAAAAAAAAGUUAUAUUUUCAUGUAUACCACUCCAAAUCGAGUCCCAUUUGUUUUUUUUUUUUGAAACUAGACACAUAAGGUUACAAAUCAUGUAAAUUUCAGGGGCUAACUCAUUUUCUGUGAUUUUUGGUGUUUUUUUAAAGUCCGUUGGAAAAACGGAAUUUUACCUGCCCUGCAUUUUACUGUAGCAGUCUAUUGACGGAAACACUGGGCAAAAUUCGUAUGGAAUGUCAUCAAGGUGUCUUCUACAAAGUUUUAGCCCUUUCAAUUAGGUUUCCAACGGUAUCAACUAUGCAAAUUUUGGACUCGUAAAUAUUAAGUUACGAUUUUCUAAAGAUUUCUACCAUAAACCUCCAGUUUCCUGAUUUUUACAAUAAACAUGAAAACGACUUGAUAUUUUUGCUUGGCCUUGAAUAUGCACGUGAAUGAUCGUGAUUAUACAUGUCUCAGGUGAAUACGAGAACUCCGAAGAACCCGUUUAGCCGCUUAACUUUUUCUCUCUCAUGACUUUUGGUGAGUGUCAAAUGCAUGUUAAGUGUUUAAAUGAAAUGUUUCUCGUACUUGCUAGUUCAUGAGGGUAGAGUGUACUUUACCGCCCUUGUCCUCUAUUUCAUGAAAUUGCUUGCUUGAUAAGUGAUAAGUGUUACAUGUGAAUGUAAAUGAAAGUGUUUUCCGUGAGCAUUGAGCAGCAGAAUGUAUCACACCCUUUUAGGGUUGGAGGUACCGCUCAUCCCGUCUCAAUGCUAUGACCAAAUCUUGUCGAUUGGAGAUUCGUCUCAUCGACCCAAAAGUGAAUGGGGGGGGGAUGCCCCAACCCAUUGGCUAGCCUUGUAACUCGAGCCGGCAAGGGCUUGGUCGAGAAACUUGGUGAACCUUAGGCAGUGUUAUAACUUGAUCCAAAUAAGAUGUCUUGCUAGGUAUCCUUGUUAAGUGAUACCACCUACAAGCUUGUUUGGUUACGGAUCCAAGAGGGUGUCAUGGUGGCUGGAGGUAGUAAGUGGAGUUCUACAUGGAUAACUGUAAAAGUUGACGGAGGGUCAACUACCUGAGCUUGGAUAGCGCGUGGAUUAGCUCCUGAGAGCUCUCGUAUCCUUUUAAUUGUGAUUAAAUUCCUUACUUGCUAAAUGUUUCGAAGUUACUUGUUACUCAAGUUAUUGCUUUAUAUUGUGUCUUUGCUCGCAUGCUUGCAUGUUUUUCCCUUGGCCUCAUUGAGCGUCAGCUCACCCCAAUUUGUUUUCCUUAACAGGUUUGGAAGUGGAAGUUCUGAGGCUUAAUUAGUGACAAUCCCUUUGGGUAGAACUAGUCGUUAUCUUUAAUUCUGGGACUCCAUAGUGUAAAACUUAUGAUUAUUUUGGGCUUUCGGUAUUGUAAAAGUACAUUGAAAAUCUUGGAUGUAAUAUAGAAGCAUGAAUUGUUCUUUUAUAUUUUAGAGUACAUGAAUGUUUUAGUGGAGUAUUUCAUGUGAUAUUGGAGUUUAAUUUGUAAUUUACUUGAAGAUUGUAGUGAGUCCCGGCGAGAGUUGGGCAGGCGGUCUGCCGAACCCUUUGGUUCGCCUUAGGGGGAGGUGGGGUCGUCAUAGUUGGUAUCAGAGCUCUAGGUUUCAGAUCUCUGUAGUGUAUCCUAAGUUCUAAAAGUUGAGGAUGCCACACAGUGGGAUUCGGGUUCGUUUGAAUGUUAAGUGAAAAAGUGAAGUAGUGAGCAAUUGUGGUUUCGAUGGUUAUUAAGAUUCAAUAAUUGAGGAUUAUUGUGCUAGACUAGCAAGAGAGAAGAAGAUUGUAAGAGAUUAAACACUAUUUAAAAGAUAGUAAGUAAAUUUCUUGAAUAAUGGCAUUUGCUAGGAGGCGUUCUUGAUUUAAGGACUUAUGGGGAAAUAAAUGAUUAAUUUGUUUGGGAUAACCUUUAGUGCUUGAUCGUUGCCACUAGAUAUAUUUUAGAGUUGAUAUACCUUGUUCUUGCCUUGGGAACAUGACUGCAAUUAUGUCUUGGAAUUUGGAAGGCCUACCUUUUGUAGUACCUAGUUAAGUAUGUGGUGACUCGUGCUUGUUAAAGGAUAGAUAUUAUGAUGGAAUGCGGAACUUUAAUUGAAAAGAUAGUUGAUGUAGCUCUAAUGUUCAAAAUGAGGUUGGCCUUACCUAAGGGAAUUAAGCCCCCUCGCUCAGUUGCAAGCUAGACUAUGGAGCACGACCUUUUAUACCUUUUGUUUAUGAUAGUUGGGGUGAUGCUUGUGCUUUGGCCUGUAUAUUUUGUUAAGCAUGAUAUUUGUUCCCUUUUGAAGUAUUUGAAUGCUAUAAAUUCUAUACCUGAUCAUGUUGACUUGUUAAUUUGUUUGGUAGUACACAUGCAAAGUUUUAUUUUCAUUAUCGACUCAUGCAAUGACAUGCUCUCAUUUUGGUUGAUUGUUCUCCCUCUUGUAUGACCUUGUUCAUAAAAAAAAAAUUUGAUUUGUAUGUCAUCUGAUCUAUUGACUGUUCCUGUGAAAAUAUGAAGUGUGCUUUGAUUGCUUUUCAAGUUUUAAAUUCCAUUUUUCCUUCAUUGGACAUAUUUAGAUUUAUAUAUUUAUAUAUUUAUUCAUUUACUAGAGUUAUCCAUCUAUUAGUUAUUUAUUUAUUUAUUAUUUUUGGUCCUCCGUAAGAAUUAGAAAUAAAGGGUAGAAAGGAUCGAGACUGUGGGCCAGAGGGGCCAGGCAAACCCCAAAGCGUGGAAGAUAAUUGGGAAAUAAAGUUGAGGGUUAGUGAAUGAUGACAAAGAGAUAACUAGUGGAGUAUAUAUUGAAUUAUUAUAAUUAAAGAAAAAAAAAAGAGUAACUGCAAGGAGGUAAACUAGUGGAUAAGAUAAGCUGUUAUUAAGAAGUUUCAUUUAGUGCGAGUGUGACAAAAUUUAUGGUAAACUUUGGAGAUCUAAGACUUGUUAUAAUUAGGGUUGGAGUUUUGGAUGAGAUAGGUGUUUGAACUCAUUAGAUUUACAAGUUUAUGGUUAAAUUCAAUGAUUCCCGGUUAAUUGAGCUUGGGUUAUGGAAGAUAUUCCUUGGACUUUGAUUACUAGGCUAGAUGCCUCGGGAAUUCUCUAUGCUUCAUAGUGUAAAAUUGUGGUGAAUCUUGGCGGAUAAGAUAAGAGAGCUUGAUAUAUGUUGAUUAUUGGAUAUUGUGGUUAAUUCAUGAGAUUGAUGAAUUAUAAUAGGAAAGUGAUGAUAGGAUCGGUGAAAAUUUUUGGUAGUAUCUCUGCUGGCCGAACAUGUUUAGUUACCUUUAGCCCUGUUUUCUUACAAAUCAUUGGCAAAAUUUUGCUUAAUAUUUUAAACGUUGAUUCUUGAAAAUGAAAUUUGAAGUUGAAAGGAAAUAAUUUUUAAACCUGGUUUUGCUAAAAAUUUUUCCAAAAAGGAACACCGUACAGUUUUAAAAUUUGUGAUGCAUUGGUGUAAUAUAUAUAUAUAUAUAUACACAUAUAUACAUAUACAUAUAUCAUAAAAAAAAUCCAAAAUUUAGUUUCGUUUAUUAGAUUUAAAAGUUGACAAUGGCUCUUUUCACCGUGUAAAAUUUUCAAAUUUUCUUAAAUUCUAUGAGCAUCGGAAAUUUUCCUACGAUAAAUGAAAUGUCAAAUCCAUUCUUGCUUUUCCUAUUUGUUAAAGCUGUAGUUUAAGGUCAAGAUCCAUUUAUUUACAAAUUUAAUCUUGAAAGGAUGCCUUUUGGGACAAAUGUAGAACUUUUGAAUGGUAUAGGACUGGUGAUUUUUGGAUUUAUGGAACUUAAAAAUACAGACAAUUUUAGUUUGAAAUAAAAGUGUCCUUUUAAACCUUACGACCUUAAAUAUGAAAAUAUUGAUCCGAUUUGAACUUGAAAAGAGACACGAGAAAAAGUUAAGAUUAACUCGUCAAAGGAUAUUAAUGGUUCGAAACCGUUAAAAGAGUUAUACAGAUAAUAGAAGGAGAGAUUGAUAGAUAGUUUUGUAUAAUCCAAUGGGAUCCUAGUACUUGAUCUAAGUCGAAACCGAACGAGGAGAUGAGAUCUAUUGGUAUUUUGAUGGAUUGACCUAGUUGAGUAACUAGUAAGGUUCUCCCUUGUGAACUUAAUGAUUACUUUACAUAUAUCUUGUGAUUGGCCCUAUAGGCAUGUUUUAAACUUGUACGAAUAUUUGAACUUCCAAGUUUUGUAUUCAUUAUUUGUGGUGUGACCUGGAUGGAAUGAAAGUCCUUUCAAUUUUUGCUUAACCAUUACUGUGUAUAUAUCCAAUUACUUGUUGUUCCUUUUUACAAAAAAAAAAAUAUUUAUACAAAUGUAUAUACUCUGAACUCGCAUAAAAAUUGAAAAUCAGGCAGAGUUUGGGUUUGGACCUUUUCUUAGAAAUAAGAAUGAAUAUUGGUCGUGAAUUGGAGAGUAAAUAGUUAAGUUUUAUGUGGCAUAAAAGCUAAUUCUCAGAUUAGGUGUGAAGAGUAGAGGCGUUGGACCGAAGUUUAAGUAAAUAUGAACCUGCAUGUCUGCUUAUUUUCUUAAAAGCAUUUUAUUCUCAAAAGUGAUUUGUGGGGUUAAAUGAUUUUUCUUGAUCAAACGUCCAAAUAACAAAUGUUAAACUUCUUACCAAAAGUCGAAUGCAUUUAGAAAUUUUGACUAUCAAGAUCAGAACCAAUUUCUUUUCUUCUUGUCUUCCAUUCGAAUAGCCAUUUUAUUUAUAUAUAUAUAGACCACAAUUUUUCCAAAUGUGUAUUUGAUAUCCUGUUAUUAGUUUGGUUACGAAAGGUACGUGAAAAAGCUUUCCUCGAACAAAUAAGAUUUUCAGUUGGCCGUUUUGGGACAAAAGAAACUGGAUCAUUUCUAAAAUUGUUAAUUUUGAAAAUCGAAUACUAGUAAAUAAUUUUGGACAAUUUGAGUACAACCAUUUGGUGAGUGAAACCUUUUAUAGAAAAUAUAUCUUUGUACUCGAGUUUUGAACUACAUGAUUGAGUCAUUUGAUUUAGUCGAGAAAAAACAAAGUAAAUUUCGAGGACGAAAUUAUUUUAAGGAGGGAAGGAUAUGAGGGCCUCAAAAUUUAUUAUUUUAAUAUUAUUAUUAUUAUUACUAUUUCAUUUAUUUAUUUUAUUGUUUUAUUUAUUUUAUAUAUAUAUUUUUUGAAAAGUUAAAUAAUAAAUGUGAAAAUAACUAUAUUAUGUAUUUAUAUAAAAUUACAUGAUCUUUAUGUGCAUAGUUCACAUUUUCAUAAUUAAAUGAUUUUCAUUCGAACAAAAUUCAAAUGUUUGACCGACUAGUGCUAAGUUUAGUUUUUGAGCCGUGUCGAGGAAUUUAACUUUGGUGAAAGAUUAGUCUAUGAGUAGCUUUUAAAGAAUUAUAAAUGAGAUAGAACUAAGAUAGAUAAGAAAAGUGUAGUGGACAAAUUUAAGUGGAACAUAAGCAUUGGUCAAAGUUGGACAAUUUCCGCUAAAACUAAGUUUUAAUCUUGCCAUUGUUUCUUCCAUUUAAUUUCCUCCAAUUCACUUCAAUUUCUUUUCCUUUCUUCCUUAUUAUAGUCGAGAAUCCCCCUCCCUCAUUAGCCAAGAUAAUCACUUUCAUCCCCACUAAAUUUACUCUUAAGACAUUAAUAUGUAAGAUGGGACAUGAUCCUUAAAAUAGGGCUUUAAGUCCUAUCCUUCUCUUCCCAAUAUAAUGCUAUCAAUUUUUCAAACCUUUAAUUCCUUUUCUUCUUCCCUUAUCAGCCGACCACCCUCACACACUCUCUCCCUCUUUCCAGCCAAAGCUCUAUCUUCUUCUUCCUCAACUCAAACUCCAUGACCAACCAACUUCUAGCUUCACUCCAUCUCCUUUUUUUUUUUUUGUUGUUCUAGCCGAGAGAAUGAGAGGGAGAAACCGAGAGGAGCUCUUUGUGGUGGCUGGCCAGAUUCUUGGAGAAGGAAAGAGAUCUCUUCGUGGUGAAGAUUGGACAUCCUAGCCUUGGGAAAAUCAGUUAGAACCUGAGGUAGUUCUCUAACCCAAAAGCUAGAGCUUUCAUGUUAUCUCUUGAAGAGUGAAUCUUGAAACUUCAUUGGGUUGAAUUCUUGUUGGAUUUGGUUAAUGUACGGGCUCUUGGGAUUCCCACAAAUGGAUGAUCUUUGUUGCUAGCAUGAUUUUUGAUUGGUAUAUGUGUGAAUAUUUGGAGUUGUGGCUUGAACUUUGGAAGGGAAGAACCUUAACAGAAAUCGGGAGAAAGAGGGGGAGAGAGAGAGAGGGGGGACCAAAAUGGUUUCUGUUUUCUCUAUUUUUCUUGGCUGUGUUUUCACAAAUUUAAAGAUUGAUUUGGGAGCUAAAAAUUUAAGCUUUAAGCUGUCAUUUUCUCUUACAAAAAAAAAAAAAAAACCCCUUCAAAUGGCGUUGCAAAAUGGUUCCAAAAGAAGGUUUCAAACCUGGAAAUUUCAAAUGAGAGUACGGUCCGAAAUUUCUGUGAUUAUUCGAAAAUGUUUGGGGCUCAAUUAGCCUUAGCACAUAACAUGAAAGUUGUAGAGAAUUGAGUUUAAAUUAUGCCUGUAAAGUUUCAGCUCAAUCGGAGCUGGGUAUCCUGUGAAAUGACAAAAUUGCCCCUGCUACCCUGUUUCUAUCAGAAAUGAUAAUCAGCCUCUGUAAUUGGUUAGUUUGACCGGGAAUAUUACUGAAUUGGUUGUCAAUGUCUUCUUAAGAAUUGUAGCCUUGUAUCUUAGCUUUGAAAUGGCUUUGGAAUCACCUGAAUCGGAGUUGUGUGUGCUGAGUUAAGAUUAACUGAAUCAGGACUAUCAGUAAUUGUGUCAGUGAGAAUUGAACCAAGAAACUUGGGCUAUUUCGGUAAAUUUGAUCUAGUUAGGGUGAGAACUGGGUUGAGAUGUCUUCACAAGAAUGGUAGAUCUAUGUCUUAGCUUCGAAACGGUAUAUUUUUUGUUUCAAUCCGAUAAGUGUAGCUCGAGUUGUGCUUAAAUUCCUAAAAGGAUUUGGUAAAUGGAUUUACGAACUGUACUUUCUUAUUAGGUGAGUGUGUACGUUAUCACACUCGCCAAAGGACAUGUGACUUUUCACUAUUUGAGUGACCUAUUUACGAAUGUGUUUAUGUGGUCAAUGUGGUUACUGGACGCUUGGUUUGAGGUGAUUAUUGUGAUUAUUGUGGCUGAACCCCUUGAGCAUUUGUUCGGGGUGACUAGCUUGAGGAUUUUAAUUGCUUUCUUGUUUUUGGCUUGAUGAUAGGUAGAGGUCUGGAGGUAUAUUGAGCUUUAGAUGCAUAUAUGUGAUAAAUCUUGCUUUAUUACAUGUUUGGCUUGUUAAUUAUUGCCAGAUAUUCCUUAAUUUGGAUAGAUGAACUUGUGUGUGUUUAAGUAUAGCAAGAGGAAAAAUUUUUGUUUUGAAUCUUUCAUGUUGGCCGAAAUUUUUGGGACAAAAUUUCAGAUUUUUGGAGCUUUUAUUUGAGUUAAAGUUGUGCCAAAAUAAUGGAUUUUAAGUGUAUUUGGGUUGAUUAAACCGAUUGGCUCUUCAAAGGAAAAAAAAGGAGUGAACUUGCUAAAGUGAAAACUGGAAAUCUGCUUUCUGGAAUAUCAGACCAGUUUCGGAAAAAAAAAAGUUAUAUUUUCAUGUAUACCACUCCAAAUCGAGUCCCAUCUGUUUUUUUUUUUAAACUAGACACAUAAGGUUACAAACCAUGUAAAUUUCAGGAGCUAACUCAUUUUCUGUGAUUUUUGGUGUUUUUUUAAAGUUCGUUGGAAAAAUGGAAUUUUACCUGCCCUGCAUUUUACUGUAGCAGUCUAUUGACGGAAACACUGGGCAAAAUCCGUAUGGAAUCUCAUCAAGGUGUCUUCUACAAAGUUUUAGUCCUUUCAAUUAGGUUUCCAACGGUAUCAACUAUGCAAAUUUUGGACUCGUAAAUAUUAAGUUACGAUUUUCUAAAGAUUUCUACCAUAAACCUCCAGUUUCCUGAUUUUUACAAUAAACAUGAAAACGACUUGAUAUUUUUGCUUGGCCUUGAAUAUGCACGUGAAUGAUCGUGAUUAUACAUGUCUCAGGUGAAUACGAGGACUCCGAAGAACCCGUUUAGCCGCUUAACUUUUUCUCUCUCAUGACUUUUGGUGAGUGUCAAGUGCAUGUUAAGUGUUUAAAUGAAAUGUUUCUCGUACUUGCUAGUUAAUGAGGGUAGGGUGUACUUUACCGCCCUUGUCCUCUCUUUCAUGAAAUUACUUGCUUGAUAAGUGAUAAGUUUUAUAUGUGAAUGUAAAUGAAAGUGUUUUCCGUGAGCAUUGAGCGGCAGAAUGUAUCACGCCCUUUUAGGGUGGGAGGUACCGCUCAUCCCAUCUCAAUGCUAUGACCAAAUCUUGUCGAUUGGAGCUUCGUCUCAUCGACCCAAAAGUGAAUGGGGGGGGGGACGCCCCAACCCAUUGGCUAGCCUUGUAACUCGAGCCGGCAAGGGUUUGGUCGAGAAACUUGGUGAACCUUGGGCAGUGUUAUAGCUUGAUCCAAAUAAGGGGUCUUGCUAGGUAUACUUGUUAAGUGAUACCACCUACAUGCUUGUUUGGUUACGGAUCCAAGAGGGUGUCAUGGUGGCUGGAGGUAGUAAGUGGAGUUCUACAUGGAUAACUGUGAAAGUUGACGGAGGGUCAACUACCUGAGCUUGGAUCGCGCGUGGAUUAGCUCCUGAGAGCUCCCGUAUCUUUUUAAUUGUGAUUAAAUUCCUUACUUGCUAAAUGUUUCGAAUUUACUUGUUACUCAAGUUAUUGCUUUAUAUUGUGUCUUUGCUCGCAUGCUUGCAUGUUUUUCCCUUGGCCUCCCUGAGCGUUUACUCACCCCAAUUUGUUUUCCUUAACAGGUUUGGAAGUGGAAGUUCUGAGGCUUAAUUAGUGACAAUCCCUUUGGGUAGAACUAGUCGUUAUCUUUAAUUCUGGGACUCCAUAGUAUAAAACUUAUGAUUAUUUUGGGCUUUCGGUAUUGUAAAAGUACAUUGAAAAUCUUGGAUGUAAUAUUUAAGCAUGAAUCGUUCUUUUAUAUUUUAGAGUACAUGAAUGUUUUAGUGGAGUAUUUCAUGUGAUAUUGGAGUUUAAUUUGUUAUUUACUUGAAGAUUGUAGUGAGUCCCGGCGAGAGUUGGGCAGGCGGUCUGUCGAACCCUUUGGUUCGCCUUAGGGGGAGGUGGGGUCGUCACAAACUUACAGUCCAGAAAUUCUAAGGAAAAUGUAAGGACUACCUCAGAGAACAGGUUUGGAAUCUCUAAAAGUUCAUCUCAGCAGUUGAACCACAUUUCACACUACAAAGUAUCCCCUAUUAGUUCAUUCAGAAAUACUCAUUUCAAAGGUAGACCUGUUUCAACUACUGAAGCAGAACCUAGAAGAAUUUCAGCACAAGAAAUACAAUAUAGAAGGAACCAUGGCCUAUGCUUCAAGUGUGGAGAGAAGUUUGGGCAGGGACAUCAAUGCAAACUGGGCCAUCUGAACUUCCUGAUCAAUGAUGAGGGAGAAGAAUCUGAAUUCGAAGAUGCACUGGGAGAGCAGGAUGAAACCACAGGGAAUCCAGGGCAGAUCAUGGAGAUGUCCUUACACACACUGUCCGAGGCACUUAAACGAAAAACAAUCACACUGGUAGGAAGACUAGAUGGGGAAGAGAUGCUGAUACUGGUAGACACAGGCAGUUCUGAUAGUUACAUAAGCAGUGAGAAGGUAAUUGCCUUUGAUAUUCCUUAUAAAUUAGUCAAUCCUUUUUCUGUGGUUUUUGGGAAUGGGGCUUGUGUAACCAGCAAGGCCAUAUGUCCUAAGGUGGUAUGGGGAAUUAAUCAGCAUAGGUUCUGUUAUGACCUCAAAGUGAUGGAUCUAAGUGGAUGGGACAUAGUGCUUGGGGUGGACUGGAUGACUCAGUUCAGCCCUAUCACUUUUGAUUUCCACAAGCUGACUAUCUUCUUGCAAGAUCAAGGGGAAGCAGUGCACUUGCAUGGCCAAGCUGAAGACUGUGACUUAGAUCUAAUCAGAGGAGGCGACCUGAGGACAUUCAUUGAAUACAAGAGACAGUUGUGCAUGUCCAUGAGAUUGGGACAGGGUGAUCUGAUGCAGGGAAAUGACAUUCCUGCAGGAGUCCAGGGCAUCAUUGAAGAAUUUACAGAUGUGUUUGUAGCACCCUCUGAGUUACCACCAGCAAGAAGUAUAGAUCAUGAGAUACCACUAAAACCUGAGGUUCAACCCUUCAAGAUGAAGCCGUACAGAUACCCUCACUCCCAAAAGAGGGAAAUUGAACAACAGGUUAAGGAUAUGUUGCAGCAUGGAAUCAUAGUGCACAGUAACAAUCCUUUUGCCUCCCCAGUUCUGCUUGUCAAGAAGAAGGAAGGGACCUGGCAUUUUUGUGUAGACUACAGGAGACUGAACGAGAUGACCAUCAAGGACAGGUACCCCAUACCUAAUGUAGACGAACUGAUCAAUGAGCUAGCAGGAUCCAAAUACAAAUCAAAGUUGGACCUCACUUCAGGCUACCACCAAAUCAGGGUCAAGCCUAAGGAUACAUACAAAACUGCAUUUCAAACACACUGUGGCCACUAUGAGUUCUUGGUAAUGCCUUUUGUGUUAAGAAACGCUCCAGCCACAUUUCAGUCCCUCAUGAAUCAGAUAUUCCAGCCUUACCUGAGAAAAUUUGUUCUAGUUUUUUUUGAUGAUAUCCUAAUCUAUAGUCCUACAUUAGAGCUACACCAGCAACAUCUGAGGAUAGUCUUGACAGUAUUGAGGGAACAUAAGUUGUUUGUAAAACGUUCCAAGUGCUCGUUUGCACAGUCAACAGUGGACUACCUUCGUCACACUAUCAGAGAGAGUGAUUCAAGAAUAACCACACAAUGAAACGUAAUUUACCACAAACUUCAGAUACCAAAAGUAAUCAUGAAAUGCUUCAUGAUCCAAUCAACGCGAGAAUAAGUAAUUUUGACAGAAUAAUUAUUGACUUUCUUCAUCUCUUUAGUAUUAUUUAUUUUUCCAAUUUAUUGUUUAGAACAAAAAAAAAUAAGUCAAUUCAAGAUAUGAACAUAUGAAAGGCUCAACAGCUGGAUAAUACUCAUUAACGACAGAGGCUAUUAAUCCAAAAGGACUAAAAUGGAGUAAACUUUAUAUUCCAAAAGGCAUUUAUGGUGGGGGAAAAAGAUAGAAUCUAAUAUGGCAUUAUACGUCCUUUCAAACCUUAAUAACGAUUACAAAUAAUUCAUAAAGACGCCAAGACUUUUGAAAGGAUUUAGAUUUCGUUGCAAUUUAGCCUUUACUCAUGAAAGGGAUGGUUGGAUAGGAAUUCUGUAGCAUGCCGGUAGCAGCCAUCCAAAAAGAACUAGUCCAUUUGUGCACAAAAUAAAGUGAAUAUAAUGUGUGUGUGUGUGUGUAUUAAAAAGUAAUCAAUUGGGUUAGAUUUGAUGAUUUGUGAUUACAGUGUAAUCUUUUAUAUAUAUUUUGUAACUCUAUUAAAUCUAAUAUUUUUCAAAUCAAAUAUAUCUGUGACAUAUUCAAUGUAUUUUUUGACAUUGGUGCAGAUUACUUUGUUAAACAAAUCGUGCUGGAUGAUGUAAUGGCUGCUUCAGCAAGAAAUGAAGAGGGAGUUAGCAGAAAGGGAAAGAUGGGAGAGAGACUUGAGAGGGAAGAUAGAAAAUGCGGAAAAUGAGAGAACUGAAUUUGUUGUAUCUGAUAGCAUGCCCCUCACGUCUUACCUUUAGGCUUAUUCAUACAGGAUUCAUCCUCUAGAUCCUUCCAUGCCUUAGCUAUAACAGAAUGCUUAACAGAACGAUCACGCAUGCAUGCAUGCAGUGCAGUAACUAACUAGCCAACUAACUCUCUGAUAUGCUAACUGACUUCCAGAAAUGGAAACCAUGGCCACUACAUUAUUAGCUAUAAAUAACUAGGGAAUAUCUAAAAUAUCUAGAGGAAAUAUCCAGAAUAUCUAGGAUCAUUACAAUACCUCCCCCUCAAGAAUCCUAGUCACUAGGAUUGAGUUGGAAAUCUGGAAAUUGUGAUUGUAUCACUGUGAUAUCCUCCCAAGUUGAGUCUUCAGUGCCUAGGUUCAACCAUUUGAUCAACACUUGAGUUACCUUGUGUCUUUUCCUCAUGAUUUCACGAGUAGCAAUAACACUUUCAAGGGCAAUUUUAACCUGUCCAUCCGUAGUAGUCAAAGGUAGUUCUUGAGUAACUACAUGAUUCUUGGCUGAGGGCUUGAGUAAGGAGACAUGGAAGGUAGGGUGAAUCAAGGAGCCAGCAGGUAAUUCCAACCUAUAGGCUGCAUUUCCCACCUUCUAAAGAACUUUGUAGGGUCCAUAAUAUUUUGAAGACAAUUUCAGAUUCUUUUUGACUGCCACAGACGAUUGUCUAUAAGGUUGCAGUUUCAAAUAGACCCAAUCUCCCACUUGGAAACUCCUUUCACUCCUGUCCUUGUCCGCAAACUGUUUCAUUCGAUUUUGUGCUUUGAUUAAAUUCCCCUUCAGCAGCUCGUUCCAUUUUCUUCUGUCCCCUAGCCAUUGCUCCACAGCCGCUACUGGAGUCCCCAAGGCAUUGAUGCCUAGUUGAGAUGGUGGAUAUCCAUACAGAGCCUCGAAGGGAGUCAUUUUUAAGGCUGUGUGAUGGUUGGUGUUGUACCACCAUUCAGCAGCAGCUAGCAAGGACUUCCAUUUAUGGGGUUGCUGGAAACACAGGCACCUCAAAUUUGUCUCCACACAUCUGUUCAACCUUUUUGUCUGUCCAUCUGUUUGGGGAUGGUAAGCAAUAGAGUAGUGCAGCUCCGUGCCUAACUUCCCAAACAACUCCUGCCAGAACAAGCUGGUAAAUAGCCUAUCCCUAUCAGAUACAAUGCUCAGGGGUAAUCCAUGUAGCUUAUAGAUGUUUUCAAAAUACAUGUUAGCCACCGACUGUGCAGUAUACUUCGAUGGUAAUGCUAGGAGGUGAAAGUACUUGGUGAACCUAUCAAUGACAACUAGCAUUCCCUCAUACCCCUGAGAUUUAGGUAACCCCUCAAUGAAAUCCAUUGAAAUAUGCUGCCAUGCUUGUUCAGGAAUAGGUAGAGAUUGUAGCAGUCCUGGUGUCUUGCAAUUUUCUACCUUGCUCCUCUUGCAAACAUCACACUGUUGUACCCAUUGUUCUACUUCUCUUUUCAUUCCUGGCCAGAAGAAUGGUCCCUUUAAUCUUUGGUAGGUCCCCAGGUUGCCUGAAUGACCCCCAAUGAGAGAGUCAUGAAAGCAGGCUAUCAGUUUCUGUCUCAAGUUCCCUGAGGAACCAACGUACAUCCUGCCUUUAUACCUGAGUAAAUUCCCAGCAAAAGAAUAAUUUGGGAGAGAAUCAGGUGAAGUAGUCAGGCCUUCAGUCAACUUAGUCAUAGAACCAUCCCCUUGGUAACUCUCUAGGACUUCAGACAGCCAUGCCGGUUUCAUGACUGAGAUGCUAUGUGUAAAGCUGUCCUCUUCAUAGCAUCUUCUAGACAGUGCAUCAGCCACCAGGUUUUCAUUUCCUUUCUUGUACUAUAUUUCAUAAUCUAGGCCCAAUAACUUAGUGAGCCAUUUCUAUUGUAGGGGAGUAGUUAUCUUCUGUUCCAAUAGGUACUUUAAGCUCUGGUGAUCUGUCUUGAUGAUGAAGUGGCUUCCCAACAGGUAAUGCCUCCACUUGGACACAGCUGUAAUAAGGGACAACAACUCUUUUUCGUAUAUGGACAGUCCCAAAUUCUUAGGUCCCAGAGCUUGACUGAGAUAGGCAAUAGGCCUCUCUUGUUGCAUUAGGACUGCACCAAUAGCCUUCUGACUAGCAUAUGUUUCUAGAGAAAAAGGUAAAGAAAAGUUAGGAAGUGUUAGGACUGGUGUGCUACUCAUCAGCUACUUCAGUUUUUGAAAGGCUAGCUCAGCUUGUUCAUUCCAGUGGAAGUUUUCUUUCUUCAAUAACUCAGUGAGUGGUUUGGCAAUGAGUCCAUAUCCCCUCACAAACCUCCUGUAGUACCCUGUGAGUCCCAAAAAUCCUCUCAAUGCCUUUAGUGAUGUAGGGGUAGGCCAUUCUACCAUGCUCUUGAUUUUUGAGGGAUCUGCCUGCAUUCCAUCUCCACUGAUAAUAUGCCCCAAAUAUUCUAGUUGAGACUGUCCAAAGAUGCAUUUGGAAAGCUUGGCAAAUAGGGAGUGAGCUUUGAGUGUUUCUAGGAAAGUUUUGAGGUGCAAAAGGUGAGUGUCUGGAUCUGAACUGUAUAUGAGGAUGUCAUCAAAGAAAACUAACACAAACUUCCUCAGGUAAGGUUCAAAAACAUGGUUCAUCAGGCUUUGAAAUGUUACAGGUGCAUUGGUAAGACCAAAUGGCAUAACAGUGAACUCAUACAAUCCUAGGUAAGUUUUGAAGGCAGAUUUUGGGAUGUUAGUCUGGAGCAUUCUGAUCUGAUGGUAUCCAGCCCUUAAAUCAAUCUUGGAGAAGAUCUUAGCUCCAAACAGUUCAUCGAGUAAAUCAUCAAUGAUAGGUAUUGAAAAUUUAUCUUUGAUAGUCAGGUCAUUUAGUUGUCUGUAAUCAACACAAAAUCUCCAAGUUCCAUCUUUUUUUAACUAAUAGAACUGGAGAGGCAAACGGGCUAUGGCUAAACUGAAUAAUGCCACUACUGAGCAUGUCCUUCACUUGCCUUUCUAUUUCAUUUUUUUGGUUGUGAGGGUACCUAUAAGAUGCUAGCUUGAAUGGUUUGGCAUUUGGCACUAAGGGAAUUUGAUGGUCAUAGUUUUUGGAAGGGGGAAGGGAUUGUGGUUCUCCAAAUACAUCUUUGUAGUCUUCAAGUAAAGCACUUAGGGACUGUUGAAAACCAAUGUCUAGAUGAGUUACAGUGUUUACCUGAGUUCCCUUCAUUUUCAGUCUGCACGCGUGUUUCCAGAUUCUGGUGCUCAACCCCUCCUUCUCAGUACUAUUACUAGGAAGUUUGAGAACAGUCUCCUUAGACUCUCCAUGUAACAAGAUCCUCUCCCCUUUCUCAUCAAAGGACAUGUUCGGCUGCCUAAAGUCAAAGGUGAUGGGGCUGUGUGCAGCCAUCCAGUCUACUCCUAUAAUCACAUCAUAUGGCUCCAAGUUAAUGACAAACAUAUCAUGAGUGAACUGUUUACCUUGCAUUUCCCUGCUCAUAUUCGGAAUCAUCUUGUGACAAGUCAAGUGCUCCCCAUUAGCCAUCCUGACCCUGAAAGGCUUGAUAGAUUGGACCAGUUCUGGAUAGAGUUGUGCCACUGCCCCUUUGAUAAAAUUGAGUGCUUCCCCCAUCCACCAGGAUUGAUAGUGGAGUUUCUUUGAUCCUCCCCUGUAGCUUGAUGGUGUUGUAAGUCAUCUUCCCAGUCAGCGCAUGUAUCUCCAUUUCUACCCCCUUGGCCGACUGUGCUCCUUGGUACUCGAUCAUCUCCCCUUCUACCAGAUCCUCAGGACUAUCUUCUACUGCUACAAUCAGGUGGAUUUCCUUUUGCUUGCAUUGGUGGCCUGGUCCGAACUUUUCCCCACACCUAUAGCAAAGAUGGUGCUCCCUCCUGUACUGCAGCUCUACUGGUGUGAUUUUCUUGAAGUUCUGAGGAGUCUGUUUCUUUACAACAUUGGCAAUAAUAGGUUUGGUAUGUGGAAUGGUGUACUGCGCAACAGACUGUGGAGUAUUCCCCAAAGAGAGGGAUUUCGGAUGAUGUUUGUGCUUCUUGUGGUAGGCUUCAAAGGCAUUCUCUUGCAACCUGGCCAACUCAAAUGCUUUGGAUAAUGUCUUGGGGUCAUGAGUCUUCACCAUUGAUCUCAAUUCAUCUAGUAGUCUACUCAAAAAACAUGAAAUGUAAUAGUUUUCUGGAAGGUGUGGGGCUCGAAUCAUUACCUCUGAUAGUAGUUCCUCAAAUUUUUCUUGGUAGGCUAGGACUGUGGAGGAGAGUUGUAACUUAUUGAAUUCCUCCAUUGGAUCCAUUUGUCCCAAUGUUCCAAACCGCUUGCACAACUCUCCAGAGAACUCCAUCCAAUCCAUCUUGUUACCCCUAGUAGACUUGAAUCCCUGAUACCACACUUCAGCUUUACCUUCUAAAUGGAAUUCUGUCAGCUCCAUCCAUUGCUCCAUAGGAAUAUGCAGAAGCUGGAAAUACUUCUGAAGUUUUCUGAUCUACUUCCUAGGAUUGUUUCCUCUGAACACUGGUAUUUCCAGCUUAGGUGCACUAGCGUAGAAUGAACUUCUGACAUUCCUCUCUCCUUGCUCUCGAGUCACCAUAUCUGAGCUCCUGGAGUGACUUCCCUCUGGCGAUCCCAAUAUUCCUUUCUCAGGAUUUCCUCGGUUCAAACUGGAGAGCUGUUGAGAAAUGGCUACCAUGAAUGCAUCUAACUUAUUGUUCAGCUCCAUGCUUACUGCAUCCAACCUUUCCUCCAUGAUCUGUUUGUUUGCGGCCAUGGAUUCCAAAAUUCCUUGGAGUCUGCUGUCUUGCUUGCGUAGCUGUUCCUCCAUGGUCUUCAUUCGAGUUUCAUCUGCCAUUGUUAUAUUGAUUUCAGCUUCUUAGUCCAAGGACCGGAAGCUCUGAUACCACUUGUAAUGGCUGCUUCAGCAAGAAAUGAAGAGGGAGUUAGCAGAAAGGGAAAGAGGGGAGAGAGACUUGAGAGGGAAGAUAGAAAAUGCAGAAAAUGAGAGAACUGAAUUUGUUGUAUCUGAUAGCAUGCCCCUCACGUCUUACCUUUAGGCUUAUUUAUACAGGAUUCAUCCUCUAGAUCCUUCCAUUCCUUAGAUAUAACAGAAUGCUUAACAGAACGAUCACGCAUUCAUGCAUGCAGUGCAGUAACUAACUAGCCAACUAACUCUCUGAUAUGCUAACUAAUUAACUUCCAGAAAUGGAAACCAUGCCCACUACAUUAUUAGCUGUAAAUAACUAGGGAAUAUCUAAAAUAUCUAGAGGAAAUAUCUAGAAUAUCUAGGAUCAUUACAGAUGAUUUCUAACUAGUUUAUUAAUAAUAUUGACUUCUUUUUUAUAAAAAAAAAAGUAAUCAAGGAAAAAUGGGGAAUCUAACAGUCUAAUGCUUGCUUGCUUCUUUUUAUUGUUUGAAGUGAUUUUGGUGUCUUGCUAGUUUGUAAUUGAUUCAAGGUGGAUAGAAAGAAAUUGUUCAGAAAUGUGAAAUAGGGUAAGUAUCCCAGUUUGGUUUUGGAUUUUGAAAGUUAUAAAAACGAAAAUGAUGUCAGUGAUCCUCUUCAAUUUUUUAUCACCAACCAAAGCAAUGAUUUUUAAGAAUAAAAAUAACAUUUGAAAUCAAAUCACAAUCUUUAAAGAGAGGAAAUAGAUGGUUGAGGGCGAAAUGGCCAUGGUGAUGAAUUGACAUCAUGGAAAUCAAACUGUGCUUAGUAACGCCAAAACGUCACCAUAACUCACAAAUGAGUGACUAAUGUGAUGCCACAUUAAGGCUUCAAUCUACUAUUACAAGUUUUACUAUGGACUAAAUUGUGUGGUAAAUUUAGUACUACUAAUAUUAAGUUUAUGUUUAAAACAAGUAAAUUUCAAUAAUUUAGGUAACUUACUCUUUAAAUAACAAAUUUUACUAAAAUUUUAACAAAAAUUGCCACUUUUUCUUCGAAACUUACCAUUUUCUAUAUAAAACUUGCUAAUUUUUCAAGUAAAACAUAUGAUUUUAUUAGCAAAUCAUACCACUUUUUUUAGUAAAAUUCACUAAAUGGUAAGUUUUCAAAAAAAAACUUACCAUUUUUAAUGCAAAUCUUACUACUUUUUUCAAGCAAAAUGUAUGAUUUUAUUAACAAAUGUUACCAUAAUUUUCGUAAAGUUUACUAAAUCAUUAACAAAUCUUACCAUCUUUCAAGCAAAACUUAUCAUUUUCUAUACAAAACUUACUACUUUUUGGAGGCAGAACUUAUGACUUGAUUAUUAAAUCUUACCUUUAUUUAGGAAUAAUUUUGGAAACCUCCCCUGAGCUUUAUGCUAAUAUCACAUAACACUUCUAAAUUUUAAAAAUAUCACUAGCCUUCCCUUGAGUCAUAUUUUUUUGUAAGAAUUUGACCCCUAUAUCAAAAAUAAAUACUCCUAACAUAAUUUUUUAAAGGAAAAUAGAUAUAUUUUUCUUCUAGUUUUACACUUUUGUGUUGUCUUAUUUUUUAAUUUUCUGCCAAAUUGAUUUUAAGAUAAGAUUUGAAUGAGAAAGACUUAAAAUGAUUUUUUUUAAGGGGAGAAGGUGUUAAGUGCUAAAGCAAUUGCCAGAAUAGCGAUUUUUUUAUUUUUGGUUUAUCCUAGAUUUUUUCCUAAAUAGUUAUUAGAAUAACAAAGAAAUUAAAUUUAAUAUAAGAUUGGUAUAGGAAGAUCAAAGAAGGCAGAGAAGACAGAUAUUUGAAUACAAAACUAAUGGUUUUAGUAGGCAUUUCUAUGAAUUCAGAUUUAUUAUCUUCUAAUUUUUGUGGCAUAAAUAAUUAUUUGAAUAACAAUUAAAAUUUGAGAUAAGGUUGCCAUAGGAAGCUUGGGAGGGGGAGAAGGGUAUUAAAGGCAAAAAAUGAUUAUUUUAGUAGACUUUUCUUAAUAAUUUCCUUUUGUUCAAAUUUUUUUGCACAAGUAAUUGUUAAAAUAGUAAAGUUAAAUUAAUAAAUGCUUGGCAUAAUACUACAAAAUAAAGGGGUGUUUAAGUGAAAAUAGUAAUUGAUAGAGCAAUGUUUGGGCAUCUUAUGCGCUGUUAUGUGGUCAUAAUUUUGGCUACUUAUUAUGCUAAGUAUUGAGGUUUUGUUCAUGUUUGAUAUUUGUGUAAAUUGUAGGCAGUUGGUGUCAAAAAGUGAUCUCUGAAGGUGAAUUUCCAGAAGACUUUUAUUUCAGGGCGUGCCCACGCCAAAAACUGUUCAAGAGACGCCUCAAAGUCGGACCAUGGGACUAACUAACUAACUAAACUCAUCCUUAUUCCUGCGGGAUGCGGUUGGAAGUGCGUCAAAACAAAAAGGCAGCAAUUUCCAGUGGAUUUGGUAACAACCAAUAAGGAGGAUGCGGGGAAUUGGGGAAAUAUUUGGAAAAGCUACUAUUUUCUCGUGGGCCAAGAAGGGUGUAACAGACAAGUAGUUUUAGUCUUGCAGAUAGCUUUUUAGUUUCUUACGUUUUCUUUGGAGGGCUAUCUUCUGGGAACUGGCAAAAAGCCAGAUUCAUGUGGGAUUAGGAAAUUAUCUUUAGUUUUGUUAUCCCUUGGUAGAGGAUUUGCUCUCUGUUUUGUUAUUACAAUUUUCUUUAGACCUUUGCUUUACUUUUUCCGAAUGGACACAAAACAAAAAAAGAAGCAAGACAUUUUCUUUUGUUUCUUCAUCACUUCAUCUUUCCCAACUCUCUUGUGAUUGUGUGGAUGGAAUCAAUCAAAUCCCGCGAGAUUGAUAUGAUGAGGAGCGGUUAGGUUUCUCUUCUACCCAAAGGUCGACGCGAAGGCACGGUCCAUAACAUCUGUGAGAUUUAAUCGAACUUUCACUAGUUCUUCCAGUCCGUUACUAUUCGUGUGUUUCCUGGAUUAACUGUUUAUGAUUAUUUUAUUAAUUGAGUAUCAACGGCAGGACAUUUAAUUUAAUCUAAUAGCCUACUGUCACGUUAACUAAAUUGAAUCCGUAAUUAUUCGUUUAGUUGAUAACUAGUGACAACCAUCAUAAUUGGCUUUAUGUUAGGGAAACGUAAGAUCUAGUUUAAAUAAACCCUCUUAGCGUGUUUAUUGGUUAGGGUUGGGUUUUUCUAGUUUUAAUGCAACCGGAUAAUUAAAUUUAUUGGUUAGGGUUGGGUUUUUCUAGUUUUAAUGCAACCGGAUAAUUAAAUUCCUACGAUCGUACCUAAAGCUGUUUUCUAGUUAGAGAAACAGUCAACGGUCGUACCUUGGCUGUCGAAAAAGUAAGGAAGAACUGGCUGUCAGAGCUUGUUGAUAGCUAUAACUAACCUAGUGACGAAUGAAUGAAAUAUCUUUGUAUCGAUGAUCAUUUAAUUGGACCGCGCCUAAAAAGUUGAUCCUUUGGGUAGAAUUUUACUAAUUGCUAUUUUUAGUGAAUUGUACUUGGUGAGUUAGCUUUUGAAUUUUGUUUAUUCUAUUUUCUUUUUCAGUCCAUUAAAUAUUCCCCAAUUUUGUUCUAUUGACUUGGAAAGAAACAAGUUCCUACCCGUUCCCUGUGAAAUCGACCGUACUUGCCAUUGUAUGCAAAUUUAAUAUUUUUGUAGACAAAUCUUGUAUAUCGAAUCAAGCAUACUCUUUGGGGAGACAGGGUGAAUAUAGUAACCCAUUGCACAUCUAGAGUCACUGCUCCAGUACUUAGAUUUGUUCUAUAAUUAAUUAUGGUAGUAAUUAGGACUUUUUAGUAAUUAUUAUUGCACAGGUUCGACACCUGUCAAUUUUUGGCGGCAUUGCUGGGAAGAAAGUGUCGACAAACUGGUGAACAUGGGAUUCUGGCUUACAAGGCAUGCCCACGCCUUGCAAGACGCCCUUUCAAAAAAAAAAAGAAAGACAAAAAGAGAGAGAAAAGAGUUUCGACACUUGCGCAGUAGGUAUAGCAAAUGGAAAUGCCUUGCUUGUGGAAUUUCUCCAGUAAAGCGUUGAGGUUAUGUAGUAGAUAUCGGACAUUCUCUUGACAUAGUGCACCCUCUCUUUACCUCCUUAUCCCGCCUUUCACCCAAGCCCUAUUACAACCCUAUUAAAGUCCCUUUGAUUUAUGUAUUGAGUUCACUUUUGAGUGGUGGAGAUGUGAUAAAUGUGCAAGCCUAUGGUAAUGUCAUUCCGUGGUGUUGAUUUGAGCGUUCCUGGUAUCUAUACAUUUUCUUGAAAGUGAUGAGUAUUACUACUCAUACUCUUUGGAUAACUACCUAUCCAGUGUGCUCUAACUUUGGCGACAUUGUCAGGAAUGCAGGAUGCUUGUGUUAGUGUAGAUCACCGCAUAGUAGUUCCUUUCGUGAUUGAACUUCUGAGCUUCAAAAUGCUUGAGGACAAGCAUUGCCUAGGUGUGGGGGGAUUUGAUAGAGCAAUGUUUGGGCAUCUUAUGUGCUGUUAUGUGGUCAUAAUUUUGGCUAUUUAUUAUGCUAAGUACUGAGGUUUUGCUCAUAUUUGAUAUUUGUGUAAAUUGUAGGUGGUUGGUGUCAAAAAGUGAUCUCUGAAGGCGAAUUUCCAGAAGACUUUUUAUUUCAGGGCGUGCCCACGCCAGAAACUAUUGAAGAGACGCCUCAAAGUCGGACCGCGGGACUAACUAACUAACUAAACUCAUCCUUAUUCCUGCGGGAUGCGGUUGGAAGUGCGUCAAAACAAAAAGACAGUAAUUUCCAGUGGAUUUGGUAACAACCAAUAAGGAGGAUGUGGGGAAUUGGGGAAAUCUUUGGAAAAGCAGCUAUUUUCUCGUGGGCCAACGAGGGUGUAAAAGACAAGUAGUUUUAGUCUUGCAGAUAGCCUUUUAGUUUCUUACGUUUUCUUUGGAGGGCUAUCUUCGAGGAACUGGCAAAAAAGCCAGAUUCACGUGGAAUUGGGAGAUUAGCUUUAGUUUUGUUAUCCCUUGGUAGAGGAUUUGCUCUCUGUUUUGUUUUUACGAUUUUCUUUAGACCUUUGCUUUAUUUUUUUUGAACGGACAUGAAACAAAAAAAGAAGCAAGACUUUUUUUUUGUUUCUUCGUCACUUCAUCUUUCCCAACUUUCUUGUGAUUGUGUGGAUGGAAUCAAUCAAAUCCCGCGAGAUUGAUAUGAUGAGGAGCGGCUACAUUUCUCCUCUACCCAAAGUCGACGCGAAGGCGCGGUUUAUAACAUCUGUGAGAUCUAAUCGAACUUUCACUAGUUCUUCCAAUCCGUUACUAUUCGUGCAUUUUCUGGAUUAACUGUUUAUGGUUAUUUUAUUAAUUGAGUAUCAACGGUUGGAUAUUUAGUUUAAUCUAAUAGCCUACUGUCACGUUAACUAAAUUGAAUCCGUAAUUGUUCGUUUAGUUGAUAACUAGUGACAACUAUCAUAAUUGGCUUUAUGUUGGGGAAACGUAAGAUCUAGUUUAAAUAAACACUCUUAGCCUGUUUAUUGGUUAGGGUUGAAUUUUUCUAGUUUUAAUGCAACCGGAUAAUUAAAUUCCUACGGUCAUCCCUGAGGUUGUUUUCUAGUUAGAGAAGUGGUCAACGGUCGUACCUUGGUUGUCGAAAAAGUAAAGAAAAACUGGCUGUCAGAGCUUGUUGAUAGCUAUAACUAACCUAGUGACGAAUGAAUGAAAUAUCUUUGCAUCGAUGAUUAUUUAAUUGGACCGUGUCUGAAAAGUUGAUCCUUUGGAUAGAAUUUUACUAAUUGCUAUUUUUAGUUAAUUGUACUUGGUGAGUUAGCUUUUGAAUUUUUGUUUAUUCUAUUUUCAUUUUCAUUCCAUAAAUAUCCCCCAAUUUUGUUCUAUUGACUUGGAAAGAAACAACUUCCUACCCAUUCCCUGUGGAAUCGACCUUACUUGCCGUUGUAUGCAAAUUUAACACUUUUGUAGACAAAUCUAGUAUAUCGGAUCAAGCACACUCUUUGGAGACAGGGUGAAUAUAGUAACCCAUUGCACAUCUAGAGUCACUACUCCAGUACUUAGAUUUGUUCUAUAAUCAAUUAUAGUGGCAAUUAGGACUUUUUAGUAAUUAUUAUUGUACAGGCUCGACACCUGUCAAUUUUUUGCGUCGUUGCCGGGGAACGGUGUUUUGGUUAAUUUUGUUUCUUUUCAAGUUAUUUUCUUUGGAUUUGUCUGGCACUUUUCUAGUUUAUGCCUCGUUUUUCUCGUACAUGUGAAUUGAUUUUCGACCUGGAAGUAAAGAAGAUUGCGCGCCGAACUAGGAAAGAAACUAAACAGCUCAGAGAGGAGCAAUCUAGCAUUGCAUCUCAGAUGCUGGAUCCAGAGGUUGAGUCAACAGAUUCGAGUGGUGAUAAUUCAAGUGACUCAGGCCAAGAGGACAUCCCUAUGGCGAAUCCAAGAACACUAAAGGAGUUGGCUGCUCCGGAAUUGACCCAGCAGCUUUUGUGCAUUACAUUUCCAACUCUAGCUGAGAAUACCUCCUUCGAACUGAAGUCAGAGUUAAUUCAUCUCUUACCCUCAUUCCAUGGCCUCUUGAGUGAGGAACCCCAUAAACACAUCCAGGAGUUCGAUGUGGUAUGUUCUAGUAUGAAACCUCCAGGGAUUACUGAAGAGCAGAUCAAACUUAGAGCAUUCCCUUUCUCCCUCAAGGAUGUAGCGAAGGAUUGGUUAUACUACCUACCUGCAGGUAGUAUCAUAACAUGGGCCCAACUGAAAAAGAAGUUUUUGAAAAAAUUCUUCCCGGCAUCCCGGGCUGCAAGUUUGAGAAAAGAGAUAUGCAGCAUUAAGCAGUAUCCCAGGGAAUCCCUAUAUGACUAUUGGAAAAGGUUCAAUAAGUUGUGUACUAGAUGCCCACAGCAACAAAUUAGUGAACAACUAUUGAUCCAAUACUUCUAUGAGAGACUUCAGUCAUCUGAUAGAAAUAUUAUUGAUGCUGCAAGUAGGGGAGCACUGGCAAAUAAGACACCGAGAGAAGCAUUGCUGCUUAUUGAAGCAAUGGCAGAAAAUUCUCAACAGUUUGUGUUAUUCUUGGUUUUGAUGAUCACAAAAGUUCGUUGAAAUGUUUAUACAGACCAAGAAAGUGAACACUUUGAUCAGGCCUGAUGGAACAAAGUAAGCAUAUGUUCGAUUAACUCCAGACUACGAUGCUUUGGAUGUGGCAAACAAGAUUGGAAUAAUAUAAACAAAUUUAGUCAUUGUUUUGUUCCGAUCAAAGAUACUGUCUUUUAAGUAUGACAAUUUUGUUAGUCUUGGUUCCUUGAAAUGUUUUAUCUAACUUUCUUCAAAUAUAAGUGUUGUUGCCUAUCAAAGAAUCAGGUACGAAUAUGUCGUGAGCAAAAACAGGACACUCAUGUCGGACGGCCGAAAGGAAUCUGUCGGACGUCCGAAGGGAUGAAGAACAUCAGGAAGGAGUUUCUGUCGGACGCACAUCGAUCGUGUCGGACGUCCUAAAAAUUCCACAAAGCUUUGAUGACUCUCUGCCAAGACACUGUCGGACGCUCGCAAGGAAGCAUCGGACGUCCUGAAGGAUCGGACGCAUGCUUCGGACGAACAUCAAUAUCAUUGGACGUCCUAAAAAUUCCUCGAAGAUUUGAUAACUCUCUGGACGACGUUCGAACACUGAAGCUCGGACGAUAAAAUUCCAUCGAACGUCCGAACUUCAAUUUGGCUGUUUUUCGGACGAUUGGUUCGGACGAUAAUUUGAUCGUCGGACGUCCGAAAGCCCCAACGGCUAGCUGACUCUUCAUCUGCCUUCUAUCCGUUGGAAGCUUUAAUGAAGCCCAUUUCUGUUCCCCUUUAAAAACAAACUGUUCUGAACGAAGUAAGAACUUUUGCACACUUGGUCUACAAGAUCUCAAGAGAUAUUUUAGCUAGAAAAUAGUCUCCAAAGUUAGAUUUGUUCUCUAAGUGGUGUGAACUUCUGGUGAGCUUUUCUCUUGUGGUUGAAAGUUUCAUUAGUGUAGCUUUGUUGAGGGUUAUCUGAGUGUUUGUAAAACUUCUUAGCUUGACUAAGUGAGGUUUAGGGCAAGGAGGAAGUGCUCCCUCCAUUGUACAUCUAGUUGAUCAUAUUUCAUCAAAGAGAAGUUGCUCAACCUUGUGAUUGGUCUUCAAGUUUAAGGAAAGCUUGGUAGACAAUCGGUUUGAUUUCCUAUUUUACUUUUUGUUUAAUAAAAUUCUCAUUGCUUAUAUAUACUUAUUUUUCUGAUCAAUAUUGCUAUUGUCUUCUAAUCUACUUGGUUGAUCUUUACUAGAAAAGAAGGUAAAUUUUUAUUAAAGAAAAAGUGCAUAAAUUUGGUUAAGGUUUUAAUCAACCCAAUUCACCCCCCCUCUUGGUUGUCUUUGGGACUUACAAUUGGUAUCAGAGCUUGGUCUCCUUGAGAUUAAGCUCUAACGGCUUGGAGUAAAGAUGACAACCAGUCAUGCUAUGUUUGUUGAGGGGCAAUCUGUUACUAGGCCUCCCAUGUUCAGUGGCUCCAACUAUGUUAGCUGGAAAGAACGGAUGAUUAUCUUUUUGUAAUCUAUUGAUAUUGAACUAUGGUUUAUUGUGAGUGAAGGACCGCAUGAAGCUAACUUUCUUGAUGCAGAUACAGGGUUGCUUCGGCCAAAAAUGAGAGCUGAAAUGAAUGCUCAAGAUAGGACUAACCUCACAUUGAAUGCCAAGGCCAUGAAUGUUCUUUAUAGUGCCCUAGAUUCAAAUGAAUCAAUUAGAGUAAAAGGCUGCAAAUCGGCCAAAGAAAUGUGGGAUAAACUAAGAGAAAUCCAUGAGGGUGGUGACAACGUGAAAGAACAGAAAAAGGCUAUCUUGGUCACAAAAUAUGAAUCAUUUAGAAUUGAACCUCUUGAGGAUAUUGACAAAAUGUAUUGCAGGUUCACUGACUUGAUCAAAGAUCUCGAGGUGUUGGGCAAAGAGUACACCUUGGGAGAGAAGAACAGGAAAAUUCUCAAUGCGUUGGGCAAAGAAUGGGAAAAUAAAGUGACUGCAAUAGAGGAGGCUAAGGAUUUAAGUUCUGUGGCUAUUGAAUCUAUCAUUAACUCACUAACCUCUUAUGAGUUGAAACUGAAAUCUAAAGUGCAGGAGGAAGAGGAAGCUAGAGCAAAGAGAAACAUUGCUCUAAAGACUACUCAAGGUGAAGAUGAUACAGCUCACUUGGAUGAUGAAGACUCGGAUGGUGAUGAUAAUGAUCUUGCUCUCAUCACCAGAGGUUUCAAGAGAAUCUUGAAUAAAAGAAAGUUUAGAAGGGGAGGACCUAGCAAUCAAUUCCAGAAUCAGCCAUCUAUCGCAAAGUACAAAGGAAAACAGGAUUUCAACAAGAAACAGUUGGACAAAUGCUUCGAAUGUGGACAGCUUGGACACUAUGCAAAUGAAUGCCCCAUGAAGAAGAUGAAAGAUGGAAAAGCUGAUCGGAAGCCAAGAUUCAACAACUUUCAGAUUACUUGGAAUGAAUGCAACUCCGAAGGGGAAGUAGAAGAAGAAGAAGAAUCAGCUCAAAUGGCCUUCAUGGCUAUUGGAAAUAAUGAGGUAACUUCCACACAUUCUCAAUCUGAAAGUGAUGAUGAUGAAGAUGAUGAUCUUGAAUCCUUUGUUGAAAAACUGCAUAAUGCCUUGAAGGAAUCUUAUGAUAAAAACAAGCAGUUAAAACAGAAAAUGGCUUUUCUCAUUCAAGAAAAUGCAAGUCUUUUUCAACAAAAUAAACAACUAAAGACUGACAAUGAAAGUCUUGUAAGAGCCGGAUGUAAUGUUCAAAAUGAGCUUGAUAGAAAGACAAAUAUUUGUGAAAUGCUGAAGGAAAGACAUGGUGAUUUGAAAAAAAGAAUGGACAACUUGGAUGAGACUUUGAAAGCAAGAAAGCAGGAGUUUAUCAAAAGGAACAUGUCAUCUACACAUCCUACUACUUUUCAAAGAACAUUUGCACACAACAAAAAUGCACAUGGUUUCACAACAUAUAGAAGAGGUGGAUUGAGAUAUGUCAAACCAGUACAUGUUAAGGACUCUUCCAUUAUGUGUGGUUUUUGUUGUCAAAGAGGGCAUUUGAAAGGUGAUUGCUAUGUGAAAAGAAAUCUGAACAAAGGGAUGAAAUGCAUGUGGUUAGUUAGAUACAAUGCUAACUAUUGCGGACCCAAAAAUUAAAAUGGGUACCAAACACUUUCUCUUUUCAGGAAAAAUGCUCAAACAAGUCCAAAUGGUUUAUUGAUAGCGGUUGCUCAAGGCAUAUGACCGGUGAUCCCUCUUUGUUCAUAAAGCUGAAAUCAAAGUCAAGUGGAAAAGUGACAUUUGGUGAUGAUGUGAAAGCUAAGACAAUUGGAAUAGGUGAUGUUGGUAAGGAUGGUGAUACUUUUGUCCAUAAUGUGCUCUUAGUUGAUAACUUAAGUUAUAACUUGCUUAGUGUUAGUCAAUUGUGUGAUAAAGACUUGAAUGUGUUGUUUAAAAAACAUGAAUGCAUUGUGCUUGAUUCCAAAUAUAAUAUUGUGUUCAAAGGUAAGAGAUUCAACGACAUAUAUAUUGUGGUUCUUGAUAAAAUUGAUUCUUCUAGCUUAAAAUGUCUUAAAGCUUCAAAUGAAGAUCCUUGGUUGUGGCAUAGAAGACUUUGUCAUUUUAACAUGAAUUUACUAAAGGAAAUUUCGAAAAAGGAGUUGGUUAGAGGCUUGCCAAAAAUCAGUUUUGAUAAGGACAAAAUAUGUGAUGCAUGUCAAUUUGGGAAGCAAACAAAAAAUUCCUUUAAACCUAAGAUGUGUGUAUCUACUUCUAAACCUUUGGAACUCUUGCAUCUUGAUUUAUUUGGUCCCACUCAAAUUACUAGCUUGGGAGGUAAAAGAUAUUGUUUUGUAAUUGUUGAUGAUUAUUCUAGAUACACUUGGGUGAUAUUUCUUGCUCAUAAAGAUGAUGCCUUCAAGAAUUUUACUUCAUUGUUUGCUAAAAUGCAAAAUCUGCUUGGGUUAAAAAUUGUUAGGAUUAGAAGUGAUAAUGGGACGGAAUUCAAGUAUUGUGGUUUUCCAGAAUUUUGUGAUCAUAAUGGUAUAACACAUGAGUUCUCUAUUGCAAGGACUCCACAGCAAAAUGGUGUUGUAGAAAGGAAAAACAGGACUCUUCAAGAGGCUGCUAGAACUAUGUUGAAUGAAUGUAGGUUGCCUAAAUAUCUUUGGGCUGAAGCGGUAAACACUGCAUGUUAUGUGAUGAAUAGAAUACUCUUGAGACCUAUUUUAAAGAAAACUCCUUAUGAGCUGAUUUUUGAUAAGAAACCUACGGUUGGUUAUUUCAAAGUAUUUGGUUGUAAAUGCUUUAUUUUGAAUCUAAAGGAACAUCUUGGUAAGUUUGAUAAAAAAUCUGAUGUAGGAAUAUUUUUGGGGUAUUGUGAGAAUAAAAGACGAUAUAGAGUUUUUAAUAGAAGGACUCUUGUGAUUGAAGAAGCUAUACAUAUAACAUUUGAUGAAACCAAUGAUGAUAAUUCCAAAAGUUCGUGUGAGGAUGAUGAUGUAGGUGUUCGAGAAGCAAUGAAAAACCUAUCAAUUGGAAAUGAAGGAAGCUCUAAACCAGCAGCAACUGAAAUGGAAAAUGAAGUUCAUAAUGAUCAAGAAGAGGAAGAUGAAGACAAAAAUGAUGAUCCACUCAAAGAUCUUCCCAAGGCUUGGAAAUUCAGCCAAAAUCAUCCAAAAGAGCUUAUAAUUGGUGAUCCAUCCGAGAAGGUAAACACUAGUUCCUCAUCUAGAAAAUUGAUUGACAAUUUUGCUUUAGUUUCUCUUUUUGAACCCAAAAAUAUCAAUGAUGCUUUAAAGGAUGAAAACUGGAUUUUGGCAAUGCAAGAGGAACUUAAUCAAUUUGAGAGAAAUGAAGUUUGGACACUUGUUAAUAGACCUCAAAAUCAACCUAUCAUUGGCACAAAGUGGAUUUUUAGAAAUAAGUUGGAUGAUAAAGGUGUUGUUGUAAGAAAUAAAGCCAGAUUAGUUGCUAAAGGAUAUGCACAAGAAGAAGGAAUUGAUUUUGAUGAAACAUUUGCUCCCGUAGCAAGAUUAGAAUCUAUUAGAAUGCUUCUUGCUUUUGCAUGCUUUAAAGGCUUCAAAUUGUUUCAAAUGGAUGUUAAAAGUGCUUUUUUAAAUGGUUUUAUUGAUCAAGAAGUAUAUGUGGAUCAACCCCCCGGUUUUGAAAAUACAAAAUUUCCAAGUCAUGUGUUUAAACUAUCUAAAGCUUUAUAUGGUCUAAAACAGGCUCCAAGAGCUUGGUAUGAAAGACUAAGUGGUUUUUUGAUUGAAAAUGGUUUCAAAAGGGGUGUUGUGGACACCACACUUUUUACUAAGCAAGUGUUGAAUGACCUUCUUAUUGUGCAAAUAUAUGUUGAUGAUAUUAUUUUUGGUGCUACUAAUGAGUAUCUAUGUAAGGAGUUUUCCACCACUAUGCAAAGUGAAUUUGAAAUGAGUAUGAUGGGAGAAUUAAAUUUCUUCCUUGGACUUCAAAUACAUCAAGCUCUUGAGGGAAUUUUUAUAAAUCAAGCAAAAUAUACCAAGGAAUUGUUGAAAAGGUUUGGCAUGGAGGACUCAAAGCAAGUUGGAACUCCAAUGUGCACUUCUACAAAGCUUGACAAAGAUGAAGAAGGUAAUCAUGUGGAUGAAAAGCAUUAUAGAGGUAUGAUCGGAAGCCUACUCUAUUUAACCGCAAGUAGACCUGAUAUUAUGUUUGCUGUUUGCUUGUGUGCUAGAUUUCAAUCUUGUCCAAAAGAAUCACAUUUGAAUGCUGUAAAAAGGAUUUUUAGGUAUUUGAAAGGUACAUUAGACUAUGGUCUUUGGUAUGCUAGAUCUAAUGAGUUUGCACUAUAUGCUUAUUCGGAUGCUGAUUUUGGAGGUUGUCGUGUGGAUAGAAAGAGUACUAGUGGAACUUGUCAUUUUCUUGGAAAUUGUUUAGUCUCUUGGUUUAGCAAGAAACAAUGUGCAAUCUCUUUGUCUACAACCGAAGCGGAAUAUAUUGCCGCUAGUGCAUGUUGUGCUCAACAUUUAUGGAUGAAGCACACCUUGAAUGAUUUUUGAUUGUUGUAUGACUGCAUGCCUGUAUUCUGUGAUAAUACUAGUACUAUAAAUUUGACCAAAAAUCCUAUUCAUCAUUCUACGACAAAGCACAUAGAUAUAAAGCAUCACUUUAUUCGUGAUCUUGUUCAAAAAGGUGAAAUAUGUGUAAAUUAUGUUUGUUCUAAAGAUCAAUUUACGGAUAUUUUUACAAAAGCUUUGCCAUUAGAUCAGUUCAUUCAUCUAAGAUCAAAAUUAGGAAUAAUCGAAAAAUCAUCUUAAUUUUUGGGUCUUCGGACGUCCGAAAGAAGAUGAACGGACGUCCGAUGAUGUUCUUCAGCCAUUUUCCAGAUUGCGCCUGUUCGGACGCAGCUGUCGGACGCACAACGUCGUUCGGCCGUCCGACAGUGCAACGGAUCAAUUUUUUAAAUAACUUUCUUUCUCAUUUGCUUCAGACUCUUCCUAUUCUAUUUCCUCUCGGACGAAAACUCUCUCUUCCCUCACUCUCAAAUUCGUACCAUUUUGAAGCUCUCAUUCUCAAAUUGACUCAAACAAAACUUUUUCUGACUGAUUGCGAUUCAUUUCUCCUGAUCAUUUUCCCGAAUCGCAUAACAUUUCACAAAUUCCCAAAUUUCCUUCAAAACCCUACUUUCUCAUAACCGCUCUGCCAAAUCUUGUUUAAGGCCUUUUUGUCCCAAAAUUUCUGUGCAAAUCACUUCCCUACCACUGUGUGCAUCAUUUGCAUUCUUCAUUCCACACAUUUCACACAAUGGUGAAUCUGAGAGGAGGAAAGGUUACUGCCGGACGCAAGCAUCCACUCAGGGAUGAGGAUGAGGAUCUUCCUACGGUCAAACGUUCAUCCAAACGCUUCAAGAGAGGAGCCAUAAAGGGUCAAAUGUCACGGCCUACUCCUCAACCCACCUCUCAGCCUGAAUCUGGACAGGGAACCUCUGCUCAACCGCCUCCAAAAUCAGCCCCUCCCCCUACAUUCUUUGAUGAUACAGCAAGAGACAAACACUCCUUGAUAUCCCAGAAAGGUGUCAUCCCUCAACGUACUGUAAACCCUUCUGAAUUUCGUCUCAUAGGUUUAGAAACCAUUCUGAAGUUAUUUGCUUUUCAGAAAUGGUCGCAUAUCAUUUCUAUGCCAAAUGUUUACUAUCCUGAAAUGCUGCAUCAAUUUUUUGCUAAUCUUAGAAAAGGGUCUGACCAAACUGAAAUCUUUUCCAGGGUUAAUGGGGUAGACUUAAUCUUUGACUCUGAAAUUGUGAAUUCCAUUUUAAAUACUACCAUUGAACGUGGGUGCAAGGAUAAAAUUACAAAUUUCUUUUCCUAUGAAGAGCACCCUAAUGCUGAUAAUCAUUUUGAUGGGGCUAAAAUGAUGACCUAUUUUAAAAGAAGUUUUUCCUCCCCUGCUGAUGCUAAACUGAAUGAUCUUGCCCCUGUGAAUUUAAUUGCUUUUUCUAUCAUUUCAAACCUGCUUGUGCCUACUGAUGGCCAUAGAACUGAUGCAAACAAAAUGGAGUUGUACCUCUUUUAUUAUUUUCGAGAAAAAAUUUGGAUUGAUUUUGGUUUUGUCAUGUGCAAGUUUUUACUUCGCUAUACCACUGACUCUCGCAGAAAACUAUCCUAUGGAAAGUUUCUUCAAAAGAUUUUUGAGUUUUUCAAAGUUCCAAUUUUAGGUGUUUGUCCCAAAGAAGCAUCUUCUUAUGCCUUUACCAAAGGAUACUUUGAAAGGAAAAAUCUUGUUUUUAAAGAUAAUAUGUGGUCUUAUAAAGAGGCAUCGUCCAGUGAACGUAGGUCUAAGGCUGCACAUGAUCCUUCAUCUAUUCCACUCACUCCCAUUCAUCCUAGGAAAUCUGCCACUAAGGCAUCUUCCUCCUCCAAUGAUGGAGUGAUUGAGCUUCUUCAUGAACUCAAACAGCAUGUUCUUCUUCUAGAACAUGGCCUAAUGCUCACCAUGUCCUCUGAGCAACAAACUGCCUUUCUAGACAAAAAGAACCAUCUCUUUCCCCCACCUGUGGUUGAGGAAGUGUCCCAUGACAAAGAGCCACACCCCACUGAUCCAAGCUCAUCAAUUCCAGACCCUGGUUCAUCAACUCCUGUGACUCCUCAUGGUCCUUCCACAGCAGAUAAAGGCAAGGAACCAGUUGAAGUGGAUGCUGAAGCUGAUGAAGAAACUGAAGAGGAGGACCUCUCCCAAUAUCAGCUCUCUCGAAGAACUCCUGGAUCCACACAGUUCACUACUUAGGACAUUUGCAUUCUGUUUGUCUAUUUUAUGUGUUUGUAAUGGUCAACAUUUGUAACCUUCUUUUAAUGUUUCUCUUGUUGGUACUGUAUGUUUAUGUUAAGUAUUUUGAAUGAUGACUGUGUUUAUGGAUGUUUAAGUAUUUUGGUGCAAUGAAUUUGGUUUUCAUUGAUGAAUGUGUUUGUGGAUGUGUUGAUGUGAUUGGUUGCCCUUUUGUGAUGACAAAAAGGGGGAGAGGACUGGAUUGAUGAUUGAUGAUUGGUGUUGAGGACUGGAUUGAUUGAUGAUUGAUGAUUGGUAUUGAUUGAUGAUUGAUGAUUGGUGAUGUUGGAUAUGUUGGAUUGAUUGUUUAAAUUUGGAUUGGCUGAUAUGCUUAAUUGUCAUAUUUUUAGAAAAUUGUUUAACUCGGAUGGGCAGCCAAGUGAGGGGGAGCUUUUUCAAAAUUUUCAAAAUUUUAUGAUUCACUAAAUAAGGGGGAGUUCGUGAGAAAGGGGGAGCUUAUAAUGCAAUCAUCAAAUUUCAUUUCAAACUUUUGUUUUGUCAUCAUCAAAAAGGGGGAGAAUGUUAUUCUUGAUUUUGAUGAUCACAAAAGUUCGUUGAAAUGUUUAUACAGACCAAGAAAGUGAACACUUUGAUCAGGCCUGAUGGAACAAAGUAAGCAUAUGUUCGAUUAACUCCAGACUACGAUGCUUUGGAUGUGGCAAACAAGAUUGGAAUAAUAUAAACAAAUUUAGUCAUUGUUUUGUUCCGAUCAAAGAUACUGUCUUUUAAGUAUGACAAUUUUGUUAGUCUUGGUUCCUUGAAAUGUUUUAUCUAACUUUCUUCAAAUAUAAGUGUUGUUGCCUAUCAAAGAAUCAGGUACGAAUAUGUCGUGAGAAAAAACAGGACACUCAUGUCGGACGGCCGAAAGGAAUCUGUCGGACGUCCGAAGGGAUGAAGAACAUCAGGAAGGAGUUUCUGUCGGACGCACAUCGAUCGUGUCGGACGUCCUAAAAAUUCCACAAAGCUUUGAUGACUCUCUGCCAAGACACUGUCGGACGCUCGCAAGGAAGCAUCGGACGUCCUGAAGGAUCGGACGCAUGCUUCGGACGAACAUCAAUAUCAUCGGACGUCCUAAAAAUUCCUCGAAGAUUUCAUAACUCUCUGGACGACGUUCGGACACUGAAGCUCGGACGAUAAAAUUCCAUCGGACGUCCGAACUUCAAUUUGGCUGUUUUUCGGACGAUUGGUUCGGACGAUAAUUUGAUCGUCGGACGUCCGAAAGCCCCAACGGCUAGCUGACUCUUCAUCUGCCUUCUAUCCGUUGGAAGCUUUAAUGAAGCCCAUUUCUGUUCCCCUUUAAAAACAAACUGUUCUGAACGAAGUAAGAACUUUUGCACACUUGGUCUACAAGAUCUCAAGAGAUAUUUUAGCUAGAAAAUAGUCUCCAAAGUUAGAUUUGUUCUCUAAGUGGUGUGAACUUCUGGUGAGCUUUUCUCUUGUGGUUGAAAGUUUCAUUAGUGUAGCUUUGUUGAGGGUUAUCUGAGUGUUUGUAAAACUUCUUAGCUUGACUAAGUGAGGCUUAGGGCAAGGAGGAAGUGCUCCCUCCAUUGUACAUCUAGUUGAUCAUAUUUCAUCAAAGAGAAGUUGCUCAACCUUGUGAUUGGUCUUCAAGUUUGAGGAAAGCUUGGUAGACAAUCGGUUUGAUUUCCUAUUUUACUUUUUGUUUAAUAAAAUUCUCAUUUCUUAUAUAUACUUGUUUUUCUGAUCAAUAUUGCUAUUGUCUUCUAAUCUACUUGGUUGAUCUUUACUAGAAAAGAAGGUAAAUUUUUAUUAAAGAAAAAGUGCAUAAAUUUGGUUAAGGUUUUAAUCAACCCAAUUCACCCCCCCUCUUGGUUGUCUUUGGGACUUACAGUUUGGCUCCCGCGAGAGUAACCCUACCCAUAGGGUUAACGAGGUAAAGACGUCGUCCAUUCAGCAGCAGCUAUCGGAGUUAACAUCUUUUGCUCAGCAGUUAGCUGUGGGGAAUAUGCAUCAAGCAAAGGUCUGUGGAAUUUGCACAAACAUGGGCCACCCCACUGACUUAUGCCCUAUUUUGCUAGAGGAUGGGGCUGAACUAGUAAACAUGGUUGGGGGCGUGCCCACGCCCCGUAGGUAGUACGAUCUAUACUCGAACACGUACAAUUCGAGUUGGAGAGACCACCCCAACUUCAACUAUGGGAACAGGCCACAGAAGUCAUUCUCAAAUCGUCCAGCAACCAUGGCAACCAAAGCUUCAACCUUCGUCCUCCAAUUCAGGAGGCUCUUUGGAGGAUAUUGUCAAGAGCCUGGCCACGAGUACUACUCAGCUCCAGCAAGAAACUAGAUCCUUGGUCACGAGUACUGCUCAAUUCCAUCAGGAAACUAGAUUAGGCAUGAAAAAUCUGGAGACUCAAAUAAGUCGUAUGGCAACUGCAAUUAAUCGGUUAGAGUCUCAAGUUUUUGAAAAAUUGCCAUCGCAACCCGAGGUAAAUUCCAAGAAUGUAAGUGCCUUGACAUUGAGGAAUGGCAAGGAAGUGGAGGGGCUUAAGGCCACGAACCUAAAGAGUAAAAGUGAAGAAGAGAUCGAAAAGGAGAUUGAAGAAGAAGGACGCAUUCGUGGAGACCCUAAGGUAACUCUUACUCCAUCAAUUCCCAUUGAAUCUAAUUUACCUCCUUUUCCAUACAGGUUGGAAAAGACAAAGAAGGCGGAGAUGGAAAAAGAAAUCCUAGACGUAUUCUGAAAAGUAGAGAUCAACAUUCCCUUGUUGGAUGCAGUUAAGCAGGUACCAAAGUACGCAAAUUUUUUUAAGAAUUUGUGCACCUAUAAGAGGAAGUUGAGACGGGACAAAAGAGCAGCAGUGGGAGAAAAUGUAUCAGCUAUACUCCAAAGAAAACUCCCACCCAAGUGUGGAGAUCCAGGUAUGUUCAUGAUCCCAUGCAAAAUAGGAAAUACACCGAUUAGAAAAAUAAUGUUGGAUUUAGGGGCAUCAAUCAACGUAAUGCCAAGCACCAUUUAUGUUUCUUUAAAUCUUGGGCCACUAAAAGAAACAGCCAUCAUAAUCCAACUAACUGACCGCACCAAUGCUUAUCCAGAGAGGCUAGUUGAGGAUGUCUUGGUUCAGGUAAAUGAGUUAGUUUUUCCAACAGAUUUUUAUAUCUUAGGUAUGGGAGAUGAAAAAUUGUUAAAUCCGUCACCUAUUUUGUUAGGUAGGCCAUUUCUUAGCACUGCUAGGACUACAAUAAAUGUGAAUGAGAGUACUUUAUCAAUGGAGUUUGAUGGCGAAAUUAUAAAUUUCAAUAUUUUUGAGGUGAUGAAGUAUCCGGAGGAAUCUAACUCAGUCUUUGCAUUGAGUGUUAUUGAACCUAUUGUAUAGGAAACUUUCGAAUUAGACUGUGAAGACGCAUUGGAAGUGGCCUUUAUCAAGCAUCUUGAAAUGGAUGUAACUCUUAAUGUGGACAUGAGGGAUGAGUUGCACCAUACAGUUGAAGCAUUACAUUCACUUCCAACCAUUCCUUCGAGGUAUGAGCUUACCUCUCUUUUUGUGCCAAAAACUCAGACAAAGUUGUUGCCUUCAGUUGCACAGGCACCGGAGUUAGAGCUUAAGACUCUCCCGAAACAUUUAAAGUACGCAUUCCUGAGAGACUAAGAGACGCUUCCGGUGAACAUUUCUGCACACUUAUCUCCAAGUCAAGAGAGCAAACUGGUGCGAACCCUUAGGGAUCAUAAGGAAGCGAUUGGGUGGAGUAUAGCAGAUAUCAAAGGAAUAACUCCGUUCUUAUGCAUGCACCAGAUACGGCUCGAAGAUGAUGCGAAACCGGUAAAACAGGCGCAGCGGAAAUUGAAUUCGCUAAUGAUGGAAGUAGUGAAAAAGGAGAUACUUAAAGUCCUGGAAAUAGGAAUUAUCUUUGCUAUCUUGGACAGUCCUUGGGUGAGUCCCGUUCAAAUAGUCCCAAAAAAAAUAGGAGUGACUGUAGAGGAAAACCAGGAGGGUGAGAUGGUUCCAGUCAGGAAAGCUACAGGUUGGCGCCAGUGCAUUGACUACCGGAGACUAAACGCUGUGAUGAAAAAGAACCAUUUUUGAUGUGAAACCCCGGUCUAGACAACCAAAACACCAUGGCUUAGGCAGCGGAAAUUUGACCCAACUAAUCCCUAGAAGUCACGAACAAUUUUGAUAUUAUCUCAACCCGUAACUACUCGAAUUAACGAACCAAAUUGGAGGUAGUAGAACGCCACAAUCAAGGAGAUACUCGAUUGAUAAGUUCGGGUGAAUAACUUGAGAAGAUUCUCAAGUAUUCAAAGGCAACUCUCUUGCCAAAGAGAAAGUGAAAACUCACUAAUUGUAUUUAAUAGCCAAAAACUCGUCCCAAAACAAAGAGGAAGUGAGGCAAUUUAUAGCCCUUACAAGCAUUAACCCUAAUCCAAAAGUUGACCAAACUACCCUACAUACUUAAGAAAGAUUUUGGGCCUUACUUACUAACAAAUGGGCCGCAAUUAAACUAUCUUAAUUACCUAGAUUUUUAAAACAAGAAAUAACCAAAAUCAACGAGAAAAAUCAAAUAAUCCUACUAAACUCAAGCAUUCGUGCAAUCAACUAGUCUUCACUUGAAUCUUCCAAUUCCCCGUGUGCUUGAAUGGGCCUUGGUCUUUAUAUUCUCAUCAUUCCCCUCCUCUUAAAAGCAAUUUGCCCACAAAUUGAAGCACGAAUGGUGACAAGACGAGUUACAUGCCUUCGACUCAAUCUUGUUAUGAUGGCUACAGAUGGCAUCCAAUGCAAAACCCAUGUGCUAAGUUGGAAAAUAACCCUCGUCGAACCUUGAAUCUCACAGACCAUCUUCAAUGUAUGCUCAACUUUAUUGUUUGUGGUCAUGAGAUAAGGGUCCUCAAAGUGGUAUGAAGUGUAUCCCGUGAAAUCGAACUCCGGCUCGAACACACUUGCAAGGUACCAAGGCGGAUUUGGUGAUGUUGGAGCUUCAUGUGGACUAAGAGCAAGACGAAAAGCAUAAUGGUCAUUGAGGUACUUGUUCUUUAAACGAACCCUUGGUACACAACCAUUCCUAAAAUAUGGAGUGUUCCCUUCAAGAUGAGCUCGAAUCAACUCCCCUUUGGUGUGGACUGAUUUAAGUUGACAUUGUUCCAUGAAUGGAUACCAAGGGGGUUUAACUCUUGGAGUACCAACUCCAUGGAGGCUUGCAACGUCUACAAUUGAUUUUGGAAUGGAACACACCAAGAUCAGCUCAACUUGCCUUUGCUUGAUCUGUAUAAAAGAAGAAACACUAAACAAAGCAAAGGUAAGUUUGUUAAGAAAAUAAUAGGCCUUCACCGGGUUGCUCAAGAUCAGCCCACUUUCUCUUCUUUCUUCCUUUUUACCACCAAUCUCAUUAGAUUUUUCCAUCUCUUUUCCUAGUUCAACAGCUGACCCUUUUAUCUCAUUACUUUCAACUUCCUCGGGUUUUACCUCUGCAGGCACAAUUCCCUCAUCUAGCUUUUUCUCCAUUCUAUAACGCUCAAACUCACUUUUCAUGCAUGCUAGAUCAAUACAAAGUUGGUCAUAAGUAAGUGAUACAAGUGCAAGACGACGACUAUUAAAUAAGAAGGAAUACUUAUUAGUAUGUCCAUCAAUUUUAACUUCUCGCCUCGACAUCCAUGCUUUGCCCAACAACACAUGUGUCACUUGAAUUGGGACUACAUCACACAACACCUCAUCCACAUAUUUGCUGAUUUGAAUAGGUACAAGUGUGUGCUUAGUAACCCAAACAUCCCUAUGAGUGCUCGUCAACUUGUAAGGUUGAAGAUGAUCAAUGGUUGGAAGAUUUAAUUUCUCAACCAUGAUAGCACUUGCAAGAUUGACUUCACAACUACCAUCAAUGGCCAAGCUACAAAUUUUAUCUUUGACACCGCAACGAGUAUAAAACCAACCAAGCAACUGAGAUUUGACGAGGUCCAAUUGCUCAUCUACACCACGUAAUGCCACUUCUUUGACUCCCUUAGGAUCAGGAAGACAAUGUUGUGGGCUAGCUUUUAUGUGUCUUAUACUCGCCAUGACGUAUGAGGGAACCUGCAAAAAGUUAGCAACGAAACCGAAGAUAUUGCCUUUCACGCUCCCUUACGUGUAUCCACUCGCACUCGUGUAUAUGGAUGUCACUCUAAUGGACUUACCAAAUACCUUUACCUGUUGGGUUAGGUAGUUGAGAAAUGCUGCUCAAGUCCAACAACCGUUACCAACCUUUCCACAAGUGUAAUCACAAGAAUGUAGGAGAAAAUGUAUGAAAGUGUUCCUAGAAUCUAGGAAGAGAAUAUAGGAGAGUUUCAUAAAGUGGAUGAGAGAAUAUAGGAAAGGUCCUAAAAAUGGAUGAGAGAAUUUUAGGAGAGUUUCCUAAAAAAUGGAUGAGAGAAUUUAGGAAAGUUUCCAAAAAAAUGGAUGAGAGAGUUUAGGAAAAUUUCCUAAAAAGGUAGGAGAGAGAGUGUCCAAGUGAGUACAAAGAGUUAUCCAAGUGCUUUACUUAGUUUCCUAAUUGAUUUUGGAAACAAGUUAGUUUUUGGAAACCUUUUGAAAAUCCUCUUCCUCUUGAACAACUUUUGGUAACCUUCUUGAAACAACUUUUGGUAACCUUCUUGAAACAACUUUUGGUAACUUCCAAAUUCUACUCCAAGAAAGAUUGCACAAAUCAGAUUUGGUUCUCUAUUCAAAACAAUUCGGUUGCCCCUUUCUUUCCUUGCCUUUUUUUUUUUCUCUUGCCAACCAAUUCCUCUUUUCUUUCUUCUUUUUUUUUGUCUUUUUUUGACUACAACUAUCAACCACGACACAAAACAAGGAAGUCCACAAAUAAUAACAACCAAGAACUCCAAGAUCUUUCAAGAACGUUCAAGGAAGUUGUCAGGAACUUCAGAAAUUUCAAGAUUGUGGUCAAGAAUUCAAGAAGCUCAAGAUUAUUGUAAGUUCUCUUCACGAUUCACAAAAUUCCAACAAUUUUUGCCAAAAUUCAGAUUUGAAAACCAAGUAAACAAGUUGGAUAACACAAACAACAAGGCUGGACAGAUUUGUAUUCGGAUGAACAGAACCCUAUGAACAGUAUCAGUGAACAGUGUCGGUGAACAGUAACGAUGAACAGUAAUAUUUUUUUUUUUUUUUUGGUUCUGAACAAACGAACAGAUUGGGAUAAACACAUAUGACUCGAAAUAAACGAAAACAAAAAAAAAGAUAUAACCUGGUGGUUGUCAACUAGCUCUGGUACCAACUGAUGUGAAACCCCGAUCUAGACAACCAAAACACCAUGGCUUAGGCAGCGAAAAUUUGACCCAACUAAUCCCUAGAAGUCACGAACAAUUUUGAUAUUAUCUCAACCCGUAACUACUCGAAUUAACGAACCAAAUUGGAGGUAGUAGAACGCCACAAUCAAGGAGAUACUCGAUUGAUAAGUUCGGGUGAAUAACUUGAGAAGAUUCUCAAGUAUUCAAAGGCAACUCUCUUGCCAAAGAGAAAGUGAAAACUCACUAAUUGUAUUUAAUAGCCAAAAACUCGUCCCAAAACAAAGAGGAAGUGAGGCUAUUUAUAGCCCUUACAAGCAUUAACCCUAAUCCAAAAGUUGACCAAACUACCCUACAUACUCAAGAAAGAUUUUGGGCCUUACUUACUAACAAAUGGGCCGCAAUUAAACUAUCUUAAUUACCUAGAUUUUUAAAACGAGAAAUAACCAAAAUCAACGAGGAAAAUCAAAUAAUCCUACUAAACUCAAGCAUUCGUGCAAUCAACUAGUCUUCACUUGAAUCUUUCAAUUCCCCGUGUGCUUGAAUGGGCAUUGGUCUUUAUAUUCUCAUCAAUUUUCCUCUCCCUUUUAUUGACCAGAUGAUAGAAAGAUUGGCUGGUCGUGUUUACUAUUAUUUUUUGGAUAAUUUUUCAGGGUACUUCAGAUCUCGAUAGCACCGGAGGACCAGGAAAAGACCACAUUCACCUGCCCAUUUGGUACUUUUGCGUACCGUAGGAUGCCUUUCGAUCUUUGCAAUGCUCCAACAACUUUUCAAAGGUACAUGGUAAGUAUUUUCUCCGAAUAUGUAAAAAGAUUAUUGAUGUGUUCAUGAAUGAUUUUAGUGUAUACGGGGAUAGCUUUGAUGAAUGUUUCGAUAAUUUAGCUGUAAUUUUGAAAAUGUGCAUAGAGACGAACUUAGUUCUUAAUUGGAAAAAAUGCGCUUUAUGGUAGAGUAUGGUAUUGUCUUAGGGCACGUUGUGUCGGCUAAGGGAAUAGAGGUAGAUAAAGCAAAAAUAGAUCUAAUUUCUACUUUGCCUUACCCUGUAUGUGUACGGGAAGUACGUUUCUUUUUGGGCCAUACAGGAUUUUAUAGGAGGUUCAUCAAGGAUUUCUCAAAGAUUGGAGCACCCCUAUUCGAGUUGCUGCAAAAGGACGUGACAUUCGAUUUCACCAAUGAAUAUAAGGUGGCUUUUGAUAAAUUAAAGGAGUCGUUGACAUCGCCGCCCGUCAUUCAACCCCCAGAUUGGAGCCUACCGUUUGAAAUAAUGUGCGAUGCGAGUGAUUAUGAGGUAGAAGCAGUGUUGGGCCAAAGGAUUGGCAAGGUGGCGCAUGCAAUUUACUAUGCGUCGAAAGCAUUGAGUGGAGCUCAACUUAACUACUCCACGACGGAGAAAGAAUUACUAGCCGUUGUUUUUGCACUAGAAAAAUUUAGGUCAUAUUUAUUAGGUGCAUGUAGACACCAAAAAUUUCAUCGAUUCAGUUUUAGCUUUAUUCAUUCAAUUUUGACUUCCUUUGAUUCAAUUUUUAGUUUUAUUAUUAUUAUUUAUUCUUGUCUCAUAUUUAUUAUUUUUAAUUGAUUGGAGGUUGCAAAUGGUAAUUGAUGUUCAUUCUUAUUUUAAAUGCAUUAAAAUUCAUCAUUUUCUUUUUAAAGCAAUUUUACACUAAAUUUUAGGAAAAUCCCGAAUAAAGAUCCAUUUUAUCUUUUUAAAAUUUGAUUUUUUCUUGCUAAGGCAUUUUGCAAGGUAAUUUUUAAAAAUUAAGCAUGUUAAACAAGUGUGUCAAUUGCAUGUUGAACAAGUGUGCAAAUAAGCAUUAGACAAGUGGUUGAGGAAUGGUAGGACAAGUGUAUAGGGGGUAGCUGUCAAGGACACUUGGGGGGUUUUUUGGGGGGCAUCGGAAAAAAAAGGAAGAAAAAACCCUCGAAGAGGCUUGAAAACAGGGGGAAGAGAAAAGAGCUAAAAACAGGGAGGGGGCUUCGGAGGAAAGGGGAGAGGAAAAACGAAAUCGAAAAAGGAGGGGAGAGUAGGGAAAAAUCUGGGGAGAGUCUGUGGGCUAAGAAAAACAGCGGAGAGAUAGCGGAAAAAAAGGAGAAAAAGAACGGCUGAGGGGAAGGCUAAAAAUCUGAAAAGAGAAGAAGGCUUCGGCUGGGAGAAGCUGGAGUGGAAAAAAUAGAAAAAGGGAGAACGGCUGCGGUUGAGGGCCGAGAGAGUGGAGAGCCGAGGAGGAAAAAUCAGAAAAGGAGGAGAAAAAUCAAGGGCGGCGGAUGAAGGGAAAAGCUGGGAAAAUUAGAAACAGAGAAAGAGAGGAUAGCAGCGGACAAAGAGCUUGCGACUGAGGAAGCAGAGCAGCUGGAACUGCCGUUCGCGGGAAGCUGUUGCCGCCCUCUUCCGUCACGCGCGACGCCAGCUUCAUCGCUUCUUCCAUCAUAGUUCAAGCUCCGCCCUCUGCCGGCACAAACAAGUGGCCAACCGCCCGCCCAAGCAACCAAAUCCGAGAUCAGCACCCGCAAAAUUUUACCAAGAAACAAACGGUAAGCCACCAUCAUCCUUCAAAUUUCAGUUUUCAUGUAAGUUUUCGAAGCGUGUUUUAUUUUUCACGUUGUGGCUUGUAGCCAUUUCUCUGUUGAAUUAUUCACUAAUUGGAAGUAUGUAUGCUUUGAAUGUCGAUUGGACUGGAGUUUUCUUGCAUUUGAUGAAAUUUUGGGUGCUGAUUCAUGUCAAUUGAGCGAGAAAUUGGUGAAGUUUUUUAAUGGCUGUUUGUUGUUCGACAGAAUGCUUCAAUGAAAGUUCGGCCUGAAGAAUGGAUUAAUUUCUGAUUUAUAUACGUUCGACUGUUUCAUGCUUGUCAAAAUAAUUGAUUCGAAUGGGUUUGUUUGGGCGUCCGUUUGUUUUGGCAAUCUGCUCCGCUUCUCGUUUGUUUGGUGUUCCUCUUGUAUGGAUUUAAAUUCAUGACAUAAAAUGGCGUGCGAGGGGAUUCAUGUGAGAGUCAUUUGUUUUGCUUUUGUUUUGUUUUGUUGAUUGGAGUCCGAAGUUGAAUUUUCUGGUUGCAAAGAGGAAUGAAAUAGCAGCGAACGUUGAGCCAAUUUGGGAAGAAGAGGAUUGCUUGAUUAAAUUCAUGAUUCCAGUCCCUCAAUUUCCCUUUCCAUUAUGAUUUAACCCCAGAAUUUUAGGACUUCAUAAUUUUUCCUCCAACACCUUCAUAAGUCCUUCAAUUAGGUCCCUGCUCUUGUUGCAUUUUAACCCCUCAGCUUCCCCUUGUUCUGAUAUGACCCGAAAAGUGGAAAAAGUGCGUUUGUUUCUCCCUUCUAGAUUUAAAUCAUCUUCUAAUAAGCAUGAAUAGUCCUUUUACUAGAUUAAUUCUUGUUUGUAGGUUCUAAUUGUGGUUCAAUAAUUUAUUUUGAUUUUAUCAUGUUGGGUUUAAUGAAACAAGUGCCUUGGGCUAAGAGGUUAUUUUUGUUUGGGUUUAAGAAAGUCGUUUUAGUUUAUUUUGUUUGGUUUUUUGGUUCGGGCUAGAGGGUCAAGGCCCAUCUAUUUGGUUGGCUAAUUUUUGGGCCAGGAUAUUAUACUAGCCCACUUGUUUUCCUUGGACUUUCGAUUGGGCCAAGUUAUCUUGGCCCAAGAAAGGUGAAGAUGGCCCAUUCCCUUUUUGUUUUGGAUUUUCGGUUGGGCUUGUAAGGCUUUGGCCCAAACAAAUAAAGGAAAUGGCCCAAUGGCUUGGUCCAUUAAGAAACCAGAAAACGAUUUUGCAAAUCAGUCCCUGAAUUUCUCCCUAAUUGUAUUGUGGCCCUGGACAUUUUCAACUUCUUUCAAUUCGGUCCUUGCUUUAAUUGCAAAUAGGUCCCUGAACUUUAUUUUUCUUUAAUUUUGACCUCCAAACUUUGUCAAUCUUUGCAAUCAGGUCCUUUCUUCUCUUGACUUCUUAAAUGUGAAUUGUCGACAUGAUUUAAUUGAUUCAAAUUCAUGCUUAUUUUUUAUCCUUUGUGAUUAUUUGCCAAAUAAAUUGGUACCUUGACCUUUUUAUUGUUUUGAAGCUAAUAUCUCAUUUACUCGAUUUCCGUUGCGAGGGAGGUAACUUCUAUAUUUUUGAGUUUAUUUUUUCCUACGUGCUCCUACGUGUUAUGUGAAUAUGCCUGUCUACUUUGCUUUCUUUGCCUUUCUUUAAUUCUUUUCAUUUUUUUUUACUUACUUUUGCUUUUUAUUUAAGUUAUUCAUUAUGGGGUAUGUGUACACCUCUUGGCUUGUAAUAGUUAGGGAUUUAAUUAUUUUAUUCUUUUCCCCCUUUUAGAUUGUAGUGGGGUCUCCCUAAUGUAAUAGAUAGGGUUUGGAGGAGCAUUCAAUGAAGACCUAUCGAAGACUUGUGCCUAGCUAGCAAAUGUAAUAGUUAGGGCUUUAAUUGUCUCAUGUGCCUUGCAUGCUUAGUUGCUACGUGUUAAUUUGCUUUGCUAGGGCCUUGCAUCUAGUCGAGCAUGCAAAAUGUUAUGUGCUAUGUGUUUAUAAGUGUUUGGCAUGUCUACUCGCUUUCCAUAGCCUGAAUAAAUGUGAUGGAUGAAUGUACGUCACCACACUAGUCCAAUGCUAGUUGUGGCUCAUUAUUUCAUUAGGAAUUCAUAGAAAGGGCUAGUCCAACGCUAGACCCAAUAGGAUUUUUCCUUUGUUUUUCAUUAAUGCAUUAUUUGCCUGUUCACUACAUAUCAUGCAUUUUUCCUUAGUUUUAUCAUCUGGCAUGCUCCUCGAUUCCCCUUUCCCCUCACUUUAGGAUUUUUGCAUUUCAUGCUAGUUAUAGGGUUCAUUUGCCUGAAGAGUCCCCUUCUGAUAAGGGAAACGAGCGAGUGUGGCUACUCGAUAGCCUUAGCACGCUAGUUUCGCCUUCUAAUCAAAGGGAAGAUUAAGUCACAAAGUUAGGACUCCCCGUUCCCGUCUUGAUGCAUUCCUAUAGGAUUCAUGCAUUCUAUUCAUUCACUAUCACAUACACUUACUUUAUAUUCUAACCCUUUUUCCACAUUCUCACUUCACACUACUUUUACACGUUUUCAUUUAACUACUCACACUCUAUGCCAUAUCACUCGCACACAUGCACUUUAUAUUAUUUUCACAUUAUCAUUCUUUACUCACCUUACCUUGUAAAUACAUUUGCACACCUCCACUUUUCUCACUUCACAUAAACUUACAUUUUCACAUGACAUGCACCCCAUUCAUUUUUACGUCAUUUAGGAUUACGUGUGACCUCUCCAAAGGAUCAUUAUUGGGCUUCACAAUUAAUGUGAUUGGCACCACUCAACCUUUGAAGAGAAAUUUCCCCCAAUACCCCUAGGUCUAGGGUUUUGCAUUCAUAUAGACAUAUCCAACACGCGAUACAUACCUUGGGUAGAAAAAUUAGGAAAAAUUGGUUUAAGUCACGCAACUAGCCUUGGCUAGGUCGAAGGGGUGCCUUGGAUUUUUUAUCCUUGCCUUCCCCUUCGUCAAAUGUGACCCCCGAUCCCUCUUUUUGGUUACGUAGACCCAAAAGUUCUUUAAAAGGGUUUAUUUACUUUUUUUAUUCAAAAACAAAAAACCAUUUUUUGGGUGACUUGGUACACCCUAACCCUAUACCAAGUGGCGACUCCAUUUUUGAUACAAAAAACCCUUUUUGAACUUUAUAUGGCCAAACCGUCGCAUUAUCAAGUCCCAUGGCCUUUUACUUUUCAUUUACACACGUUCACAUUCCAUUACACCACUCACAUCUCACACCACACACACACCACAACUCAUCAUCUUCGAAAAGUGGGGCGCGACAGUUGGCGACUCCACUGGGGAAGCUCCUAAGUGGGUCCGAGCAUUUGACUUAGCCAUUCGUUUCCUUUUUCUACCCUUUUUAUGCAUUGCACUUGGAUAUUAGGGUUGCAUUUUUUUUAUUUUAGGCCUUUUUGCCUCGUGCGCGUAUCCAACUAUUCCCUCACUCACGUACGUGUGAUUGGUUGAUUGGAUGUAUGUUUACUUGUUUAUCUCGCGCUUGCAUUGCAUUUGGGAGGGGGCGUGUCACCUUUAGAGCCUCACGUUGGUUCUCAACCCCUUCCCUCAAAAUAGGGGAGCACUUCAUACGUGCACGUUUACUUGCUUUUAUCCCAUUUUAUUUUGUUUUUCGUGGGCGUUUCCCACACCGCCUUGUAGGAUUAGGAUCGAUUGCCUUGGGUAGGCGGCUGGUGUGCUCUGCGCCCAUAACGCUACCUAAGGGAUCACUCGAGCCACCGAUCAAAGGCCUUGGGAGUGAUGACCCUUUGCCUUUAGGUCUGAAGGCUUGGGAGCCGAAGCUUUAUCGAGUCUAGGCAUUAAUGAACCAAACCUCAUGCAUCCAUGUUAGCAUUUGCCUAGGGUAGAGUCAGCCUCACCCUUUUUAAGCACAAUUAGGCACGAGGGAAGGGGUUCCACCCCUUUUUAUUGGCUUUUAUUGUAUUUCUUUUUCUUAAUUGCUCCCAAUAUGUUAUGUGUAUUACCAAUUGCACUAACCAUUCUUUUGUUUUCUUGGCUUGCAUUCAUAUGCCCUAGCAAUAAGAGGCCCUUUUGGCACUCUUUUAGUGACCUAUCCACUAGAUAACUCACAUGUUUAAAUUUCAGUCAUUAUACUUAAUAAAUACAUUUCAUUUUAGACCUUUUUUCCCCCGAUGCAUUAUUUAUGUCCCUUAGGUCAUAUUUGUCACAUAUUUACAUCGCUUUAAUAAAUGACAUCAUGCAUAAACCCUAGAAAGGGAAUGCCAUUUAGGGGAUCCCGUGUCAGGAAUAAGCCACCUUGUGUCUCGGAUACUUAAUCCAGUGAGACUUGCACGUUUACAUUUUGUACCAUCCAAAGGGGGUAGUGCACAAGGUAAGGUAGGAUCCGAUCAUUUUCAUAGAGUGAUCUUUGGGAUAUGAGCAUCUAAUAAUCACUUUUUGGCCAUUUUAUCAAAAAUUGGUAAAAAUUCCUUGCGUGAAGGACAGUAAUUUGAAGAAAUUCACAAAUGAUUCCUUCUAUUGAGACGAUAAAUAAAUUGAGGCCAAAAUUUGAUUUUUAGAAGCUCAUAGACUAAUGCAUCUCAAUCAUUUUGAAAUCACCAAUGGCCGGACAAUUCAACCAAUCCAUUUUACCCAUUCAUUCAAUAAAUCAUCAAUUCAUUUGAUCAAUUUACCCUUUUUAGGGUCAUCCGGUCGAUUUUGAAUAAAUCGUCAAUUCAUUUGACCAAUUUACCCUUUUUAGGGUCACCUGGUCGAUUUUCAAUAAAUCAUCAAUUCAUUUGAUCAAUUUACCCUUUUUAGGGUCACCUGGUCGAUUUUGAAUAAAUCGUCAAUUCAUUUGACCAAUUUACCCUUUUUAGGGUCAUCCGGUCGAUUUUGAAUAAAUCAUCAAUUCAUUUGACCGAUUUACCCUUUUUAGGAUCGUUCGGCCGAUUUUUGAACAAGUCACUAAUUCAAUUUCAUUCAUUUGGCCAAUUUACCUUUUUUUAGGGCAACCGAGCCGUUUUUUGACCUGUUUCCCUUCUAGGGUAAUCCGGUCGAUUUUCAAUAAAUUGUCAAUUUCAUUUGACCAAUUAGGAUUUCAAUGUCGAAUUCCAAAUUGGGAAAUCUAGUCAAUUUUGAAGAAAACCGUCCAUUGCAUCCAAUCACUUGAUCAAUUAGGGUUUUUGACCCGUAAUUCACUGAGAAAUUUUAUCAACGAAUUCCAAUCUCUUCGAUAGGAGUUCGUCAAGGUCAAACCCAUGCGUUUUGCAAAUCAAAGGUGAUCAAUCUAUUCGGACGUUGUCCUCAUUUUGACAAAUCUCUUGCCACUCCAAUGGCCAAAUUUUUCAAAUUAUUUUUCACUCAAUGAGUUGAUCAGAUCCGUCAGGUAUGGUAUAGUGCUUCCCUAGAGGAUUGCAUUUUCAUGCUAGGCCUACCCUUGGCAUAAAAAGGGUUCCCCCAUAGGACAUGCAUACCGAUUUUUUUUUAUUCUUACUUACUGACUCUGGGUAUUUUUCUUUUUGUUUUCCCCUCCCCCUGCAUUUAUAAAAAUGUUUCAAUAAGGCGAGAAUAUUCUUCUAUAUCUGAUAAUUUUGAUCCAAUAAAGCUUGAAGAUUACAAGUAUUACUUGAUUUUUAGGUAGACAUUGCCGCGAAAGCAUAAAGGGGAAAUUCUAUUUAUUUGAUUUGUUAAUACAUUUUGUUCCAAAAGAAAAGGAGACAAAAAGUGUAUGUGUUGAGCUCUUUACGAGUUUCUCUCUUCUCAUUUGUAUCAUAAUUGAUUGAGCAAUUUUGUUUCAAACUUUUUCAACAAUAAAAUUUUUUGGAUAAUUUUUGUUUUGUGUAUAUUUAUGUACAUUUCAUUCUUUAUUCUUACUCAUUGGAGAUUUCAUGAUGAUUUUUGAGAAAUAAGACCCAAUUUGAGAUUUUUCAACCUAUAGCCUGAAUUUCACAAGUGUGUGCUUCCUAAAAUCCUUACACUCGAUUGGUGUUCCAACCUGUACAAUAAGAGUGCUCAGAAAGAAAGAGAGUGAACGGUCACUCAAAAGGCCCUAUGAGAUACCUUUCUCCUUCACUUAAUUCCAAAAUAAAAUCAGUCACAUUGAUUGAUAAAUUGUAAAUUGGGGUAACUUUUGCUUGAAAAUGUUCAAGGCGUCUAAUCUGGUUCAAUCACAUCUAAGUGAAAGCAAAAAUGUGCAUUAUUCUUAUUUGUUUGGAAAAUUUGGAAUGAUACUUCAAGCAUUCGUUUCAUUACCUGUACAGAUUUUUAUCAUUUGCUCUCCCAUUUGAGCUUCUAAAAGAAUAAUUUCGUUUCAAAUAAGGGUCUUAAUGAUCACUACCCGUCAUUGAAAAAUUUUCAAAUAUCAAAAGAAGAAUGGGUUUUCAAUGACCAUUUCGCUACUUCGGUUGUCAUGAGGUAUAAGAAUGAUACUUUGGCCGUCAGUUCUACAAUCUAAACACUGAUCAUCCCUUGCAUCCUCGUUUGAGCUAAAUUGGUGGUUCUUUUCGAGUGCACAUAUGAUCGCACCCCACAUUGGGGAAGGAGAUUGGGAAAUUUUGAAAAAAGGGAAAAGAAAAGGGGAAAAGCAAAAAAUGCUAGAAUAAGGAGGGAACCGCAAAUUUGGGGAAUUUGAUUCCACUUGGGUUCCAAUUUUGAAAAAAAAAAAGAAAAGAAAAAGAAGAAAACAAGUUCUAUCCGGUGGAUCACUUAUGUUUCAUAGACAUGAAUGAGCAAGGGUCUUCCUCAGUCAGUUAAUUCAGAUACAUGCCAAAAAUUUCCCAUUAAUGAAAAUUUCUUUUCAGAGUUAAUGUAAGGAACGGAAUACAAGUCAGGCCAUCUUCUUUUCCGAUCAAGCAUCUAUCCCUAGUUAUCCCUUUUGAGCAUUCAGAAUGAAAUACUUCGUUUGGCAACCCCUGAGAAUCGCAAACCCCACACUGGGGCAAGUUGGUUUGAAAAAGGAAAAUUUCAAGAAGCGGAAAAGUGAAAAGCCACAAAAUCAAAAGGCAAAGGAAGAAAAGAGAACCUCAGUUCAAAAAUAAACUGGGGCAAAUUUUGUGAAAGUUCGAAAAAAUGGCCGAAGGCCGAAAAAUCAAAAGAAAGAAAAUAAAAGUGAAAAAGCCUCAAUUGAGCAAAAACUGGGGCAAAUUCUGAUUUUACCCUAAAAUAGGGUUGACGCAACAAUGCGAUUUCAGAUUCUUCAAACCACUUUUGAAAUCCGCUUUCAAGCCUUAACUUUUCUAAGCACCCCACCUGACCCCAUUACAAAAGCCAAAAGUCCUGACUUCUGUUCUUUGCAAUGGCCCUGUCAAGAAAAUUUCUGAUGCCGGAAAAUUUUAGCUGUAUUGCUGAAUUGCUUGAGUAUGAGGUUGGCGCUACUCAUGUGAAAACCCAUCAGCUCGAGGGAAAAGAAAAGAGGCAAAAAGCAAAGCAAGAAAAGUAAAUGCAAGGAAAAUGCAAAAAGACUUGACGCUGAAGUCCCUGGGGAAUGAUGAGAAAAUCCAAACAAAGUCUGAAAUCUUUUGAGUUCAAAUAGGGGCAAUUUUGGAAAAAUGUGAUCUUCGGUGCAAUGUCCUUGAAAGUUUUAUUCUUUAGCUAUCGUUUUUCAAGCCAAAUUACAAGCUAAGAAAGUCCAUCGUUGACUUAUUCCUUCAUGACAAUCCAAAGUGAGGAUCAUACUCAUAAGAAAUUCAUCAAAUCAUUUGUGAUCAUAAGGGUAUAACCCGUUUCCACAUGUUUAGCUAUCACUUCUGUCCAUACGUUACAAGCCUAGAAAGCUGGUAUGUUGACUAAGUUUUCUUGAAAAAUAAGGGUGACAAACUCUUUGCUUUCACUAAGAUGUGACAUUGAAUGGAUUACAUACAAUUGGGGCACAAAAAUGAGACAGAUUCUGACCUCUCAUUUUCCUUCAGCCACUUCCAAAUCAAAAAUAAAGUCACUUGAUUGGUCCUGAAAAAUGAGCCAACCAGAAGUGGUGACCCGUUACCCUAAACACCAAUGCUAAAAGUGAGGAAGAAAUCUUCUUGAAUUUGGUGUUACUUCGAGGAAUUCAUCAUGAAAUUUCUGCAUGAGUUUCAAACUUGACGUUUAAAGUUUCUUCACAUUGUUGUAUAUGUGCACUCUUUUCUAAAUUUUAGAAAGUGCGGUUUUUCUUUGUUCAAAUCAAUGGGAAAUCAUCUGAACAAAUUUUUGCAAUUAAGGGAGCCCACACUGGGGCAAAAAUUUUAUUUGUGAGAUUUCAUGAAAUAAGCCCAUACUGGGGCAAAUUUUUUGUAAUACAUUUGAGAUUUGUGUCCAAAAAUCAAAUAAUAACAUUUUUCGAAACAAUCCCGCUGCUCUUUUCCUGGAAUUUAAGUGCAUGUCAUACUUUGAUGAACCCCUUGUACAGGUAUUCAUGAUUCAAAAUGACGAAAGGCAUCCAGUAAGGCGGAAGGCCGAUACUGCAAAGAGAAGCAAGAAGAAGGAGGAAAAAUGGACACUACACUUGGGGCAAAUUAUUUUUUUAAAAUUUUUGAAAAAAGGGAAAAAAGAAGGAAAAAAGAAAAAAAGAGAAAAAACCAAAAAUCAAAUCAAAAAGUCAAAAAUCAAGUUCAAAUUCUUGUUUCUUGAAAAAUCAAAUUUGAUUUCUUGUGGGCGAAGCUCCAAUGCACGCCGCGCAUCAUUCUGUUCCCCCCUUCUCUUGACAUUCCAAAUCAAGUUGGGCCUGGAUUUCGUGCCACCAACAUCAUUUUAUCACGUUGGGCCUGGACUUGGUGCCGCCAACAUCACUUUAUCACGUUGGGCCUGGACUUGGUGCCGCCAACAUCACUUUAUCACGUUGGGCCUGGACUUGGUGCCGCCAACAUCACUUUAUCACGUUGGGCCUGGACUUGGUGCCGCCAACUUCACUUUAUCACGUUGGGCCUGGACUUGGUGCCGCCAACAUCACUUUAUCACGUUGGGCUUGGUUUUCGUGCCACCAACUUCGCUUUGUCACGUUGGGCUUGGAUUUAGUGCCACCAACAUUACAAAAGUCACAUUGGACCGGGUUUUAUCCCGCCAAUCUCGGCAGGACCGGGUCUAAUCCCGCUGACCGCUUACAGGACCGGGUCUAAUCCCGCUGACAGGCAGGACCGGGUCUAAUCCCGCUGACCGCUUACUUCGGCAGGACCGGGUCUAAUCCCGCUGACCGCUCACCUCGGCAGGACCGGGUCUAAUCCCGCUGACCGCUCACCUCGGCAGGACCGGGUCUAAUCCCGCUGACCGCUCACCUCGGCAGGACCGGGUUUUAUCCCGCUGACCGUCCACACCCCGUCGGCCUCAGAUGUUAUCCCACCGACCAAUUCAUCACACUGGGGCAAAUUUUUUAGAUAAUUUUUCAAACAAGUCCUAUACAGUUCUCUAUUUAAUUUUCUGUUCGGGUCUAUCCCAUGGGUCUGUCCCAUCUACAUUUUUAUCCGAGUCUAUCGCAUUUACAUUCCUGUCCGGGUCUAUCCCGUUUACAAUUCUGUUCAGGCCAGUCCCAUGUUUGAAAUUCCUUGUUUAGGUCAGCCCUCCGAAUAGGGGCAACCGAAUGGUACAGGUAAGCAUUUGGUGUCUACUUCUUUGUCUCAAGUUUUUUCAAAACUCAGACAAAGAGGGGCAAACUGUAGACACCAAAAAUUUCAUCGAUUCAGUUUUAGCUUUAUUCAUUCAAUUUUGACUUCCUUUGAUUCAAUUUUUAGUUUUAUUAUUAUUAUUUAUUCUUGUCUCAUAUUUAUUAUUUUUAAUUGAUUGGAGGUUGCAAAUGGUAAUUGAUGUUCAUUCUUAUUUUAAAUGCAUUAAAAUUCAUCAUUUUCUUUUUAAAGCAAUUUUACACUAAAUUUUAGGAAAAUCCCGAAUAAAGAUCCAUUUUAUCUUUUUAAAAUUUGAUUUUUUCUUGCUAAGGCAUUUUGCAAGGUAAUUUUUAAAAAUUAAGCAUGUUAAACAAGUGUGUCAAUUGCAUGUUGAACAAGUGUGCAAAUAAGCAUUAGACAAGUGGUUGAGGAAUGGUAGGACAAGUGUAUAGGGGGUAGCUGUCAAGGACACUUGGGGGGUUUUUUGGGGGGCAUCGGAAAAAAAAGGAAGAAAAAACCCUCGAAGAGGCUUGAAAACAGGGGGAAGAGAAAAGAGCUAAAAACAGGGAGGGGGCUUCGGAGGAAAGGGGAGAGGAAAAACGAAAUCGAAAAAGGAGGGGAGAGUAGGGAAAAAUCUGGGGAGAGUCUGUGGGCUAAGAAAAACAGCGGAGAGAUAGCGGAAAAAAAGGAGAAAAAGAACGGCUGAGGGGAAGGCUAAAAAUCUGAAAAGAGAAGAAGGCUUCGGCUGGGAGAAGCUGGAGUGGAAAAAAUAGAAAAAGGGAGAACGGCUGCGGUUGAGGGCCGAGAGAGUGGAGAGCCGAGGAGGAAAAAUCAGAAAAGGAGGAGAAAAAUCAAGGGCGGCGGAUGAAGGGAAAAGCUGGGAAAAUUAGAAACAGAGAAAGAGAGGAUAGCAGCGGACAAAGAGCUUGCGACUGAGGAAGCAGAGCAGCUGGAACUGCCGUUCGCGGGAAGCUGUUGCCGCCCUCUUCCGUCACGCGCGACGCCAGCUUCAUCGCUUCUUCCAUCAUAGUUCAAGCUCCGCCCUCUGCCGGCACAAACAAGUGGCCAACCGCCCGCCCAAGCAACCAAAUCCGAGAUCAGCACCCGCAAAAUUUUACCAAGAAACAAACGGUAAGCCACCAUCAUCCUUCAAAUUUCAGUUUUCAUGUAAGUUUUCGAAGCGUGUUUUAUUUUUCACGUUGUGGCUUGUAGCCAUUUCUCUGUUGAAUUAUUCACUAAUUGGAAGUAUGUAUGCUUUGAAUGUCGAUUGGACUGGAGUUUUCUUGCAUUUGAUGAAAUUUUGGGUGCUGAUUCAUGUCAAUUGGGCGAGAAAUUGGUGAAGUUUUUUAAUGGCUGUUUGUUGUUCGACAGAAUGCUUCAAUGAAAGUUCGGCCUGAAGAAUGGAUUAAUUUCUGAUUUAUAUACGUUCGACUGUUUCAUGCUUGUCAAAAUAAUUGAUUCGAAUGGGUUUGUUUGGGCGUCCGUUUGUUUUGGCAAUCUGCUCCGCUUCUCGUUUGUUUGGUGUUCCUCUUGUAUGGAUUUAAAUUCAUGACAUAAAAUGGCGUGCGAGGGGAUUCAUGUGAGAGUCAUUUGUUUUGCUUUUGUUUUGUUUUGUUGAUUGGAGUCCGAAGUUGAAUUUUCUGGUUGCAAAGAGGAAUGAAAUAGCAGCGAACGUUGAGCCAAUUUGGGAAGAAGAGGAUUGCUUGAUUAAAUUCAUGAUUCCAGUCCCUCAAUUUCCCUUUCCAUUAUGAUUUAACCCCAGAAUUUUAGGACUUCAUAAUUUUUCCUCCAACACCUUCAUAAGUCCUUCAAUUAGGUCCCUGCUCUUGUUGCAUUUUAACCCCUCAGCUUCCCCUUGUUCUGAUAUGACCCGAAAAGUGGAAAAAGUGCGUUUGUUUCUCCCUUCUAGAUUUAAAUCAUCUUCUAAUAAGCAUGAAUAGUCCUUUUACUAGAUUAAUUCUUGUUUGUAGGUUCUAAUUGUGGUUCAAUAAUUUAUUUUGAUUUUAUCAUGUUGGGUUUAAUGAAACAAGUGCCUUGGGCUAAGAGGUUAUUUUUGUUUGGGUUUAAGAAAGUCGUUUUAGUUUAUUUUGUUUGGUUUUUUGGUUCGGGCUAGAGGGUCAAGGCCCAUCUAUUUGGUUGGCUAAUUUUUGGGCCAGGAUAUUAUACUAGCCCACUUGUUUUCCUUGGACUUUCGAUUGGGCCAAGUUAUCUUGGCCCAAGAAAGGUGAAGAUGGCCCAUUCCCUUUUUGUUUUGGAUUUUCGGUUGGGCUUGUAAGGCUUUGGCCCAAACAAAUAAAGGAAAUGGCCCAAUGGCUUGGUCCAUUAAGAAACCAGAAAACGAUUUUGCAAAUCAGUCCCUGAAUUUCUCCCUAAUUGUAUUGUGGCCCUGGACAUUUUCAACUUCUUUCAAUUCGGUCCUUGCUUUAAUUGCAAAUAGGUCCCUGAACUUUAUUUUUCUUUAAUUUUGACCUCCAAACUUUGUCAAUCUUUGCAAUCAGGUCCUUUCUUCUCUUGACUUCUUAAAUGUGAAUUGUCGACAUGAUUUAAUUGAUUCAAAUUCAUGCUUAUUUUUUAUCCUUUGUGAUUAUUUGCCAAAUAAAUUGGUACCUUGACCUUUUUAUUGUUUUGAAGCUAAUAUCUCAUUUACUCGAUUUCCGUUGCGAGGGAGGUAACUUCUAUAUUUUUGAGUUUAUUUUUUCCUACGUGCUCCUACGUGUUAUGUGAAUAUGCCUGUCUACUUUGCUUUCUUUGCCUUUCUUUAAUUCUUUUCAUUUUUUUUUACUUACUUUUGCUUUUUAUUUAAGUUAUUCAUUAUGGGGUAUGUGUACACCUCUUGGCUUGUAAUAGUUAGGGAUUUAAUUAUUUUAUUCUUUUCCCCCUUUUAGAUUGUAGUGGGGUCUCCCUAAUGUAAUAGAUAGGGUUUGGAGGAGCAUUCAAUGAAGACCUAUCGAAGACUUGUGCCUAGCUAGCAAAUGUAAUAGUUAGGGCUUUAAUUGUCUCAUGUGCCUUGCAUGCUUAGUUGCUACGUGUUAAUUUGCUUUGCUAGGGCCUUGCAUCUAGUCGAGCAUGCAAAAUGUUAUGUGCUAUGUGUUUAUAAGUGUUUGGCAUGUCUACUCGCUUUCCAUAGCCUGAAUAAAUGUGAUGGAUGAAUGUACGUCACCACACUAGUCCAAUGCUAGUUGUGGCUCAUUAUUUCAUUAGGAAUUCAUAGAAAGGGCUAGUCCAACGCUAGACCCAAUAGGAUUUUUCCUUUGUUUUUCAUUAAUGCAUUAUUUGCCUGUUCACUACAUAUCAUGCAUUUUUCCUUAGUUUUAUCAUCUGGCAUGCUCCUCGAUUCCCCUUUCCCCUCACUUUAGGAUUUUUGCAUUUCAUGCUAGUUAUAGGGUUCAUUUGCCUGAAGAGUCCCCUUCUGAUAAGGGAAACGAGCGAGUGUGGCUACUCGAUAGCCUUAGCACGCUAGUUUCGCCUUCUAAUCAAAGGGAAGAUUAAGUCACAAAGUUAGGACUCCCCGUUCCCGUCUUGAUGCAUUCCUAUAGGAUUCAUGCAUUCUAUUCAUUCACUAUCACAUACACUUACUUUAUAUUCUAACCCUUUUUCCACAUUCUCACUUCACACUACUUUUACACGUUUUCAUUUAACUACUCACACUCUAUGCCAUAUCACUCGCACACAUGCACUUUAUAUUAUUUUCACAUUAUCAUUCUUUACUCACCUUACCUUGUAAAUACAUUUGCACACCUCCACUUUUCUCACUUCACAUAAACUUACAUUUUCACAUGACAUGCACCCCAUUCAUUUUUACGUCAUUUAGGAUUACGUGUGACCUCUCCAAAGGAUCAUUAUUGGGCUUCACAAUUAAUGUGAUUGGCACCACUCAACCUUUGAAGAGAAAUUUCCCCCAAUACCCCUAGGUCUAGGGUUUUGCAUUCAUAUAGACAUAUCCAACACGCGAUACAUACCUUGGGUAGAAAAAUUAGGAAAAAUUGGUUUAAGUCACGCAACUAGCCUUGGCUAGGUCGAAGGGGUGCCUUGGAUUUUUUAUCCUUGCCUUCCCCUUCGUCAAAUGUGACCCCCGAUCCCUCUUUUUGGUUACGUAGACCCAAAAGUUCUUUAAAAGGGUUUAUUUACUUUUUUUAUUCAAAAACAAAAAACCAUUUUUUGGGUGACUUGGUACACCCUAACCCUAUACCAAGUGGCGACUCCAUUUUUGAUACAAAAAACCCUUUUUGAACUUUAUAUGGCCAAACCGUCGCAUUAUCAAGUCCCAUGGCCUUUUACUUUUCAUUUACACACGUUCACAUUCCAUUACACCACUCACAUCUCACACCACACACACACCACAACUCAUCAUCUUCGAAAAGUGGGGCGCGACAGUUGGCGACUCCACUGGGGAAGCUCCUAAGUGGGUCCGAGCAUUUGACUUAGCCAUUCGUUUCCUUUUUCUACCCUUUUUAUGCAUUGCACUUGGAUAUUAGGGUUGCAUUUUUUUUAUUUUAGGCCUUUUUGCCUCGUGCGCGUAUCCAACUAUUCCCUCACUCACGUACGUGUGAUUGGUUGAUUGGAUGUAUGUUUACUUGUUUAUCUCGCGCUUGCAUUGCAUUUGGGAGGGGGCGUGUCACCUUUAGAGCCUCACGUUGGUUCUCAACCCCUUCCCUCAAAAUAGGGGAGCACUUCAUACGUGCACGUUUACUUGCUUUUAUCCCAUUUUAUUUUGUUUUUCGUGGGCGUUUCCCACACCGCCUUGUAGGAUUAGGAUCGAUUGCCUUGGGUAGGCGGCUGGUGUGCUCUGCGCCCAUAACGCUACCUAAGGGAUCACUCGAGCCACCGAUCAAAGGCCUUGGGAGUGAUGACCCUUUGCCUUUAGGUCUGAAGGCUUGGGAGCCGAAGCUUUAUCGAGUCUAGGCAUUAAUGAACCAAACCUCAUGCAUCCAUGUUAGCAUUUGCCUAGGGUAGAGUCAGCCUCACCCUUUUUAAGCACAAUUAGGCACGAGGGAAGGGGUUCCACCCCUUUUUAUUGGCUUUUAUUGUAUUUCUUUUUCUUAAUUGCUCCCAAUAUGUUAUGUGUAUUACCAAUUGCACUAACCAUUCUUUUGUUUUCUUGGCUUGCAUUCAUAUGCCCUAGCAAUAAGAGGCCCUUUUGGCACUCUUUUAGUGACCUAUCCACUAGAUAACUCACAUGUUUAAAUUUCAGUCAUUAUACUUAAUAAAUACAUUUCAUUUUAGACCUUUUUUCCCCCGAUGCAUUAUUUAUGUCCCUUAGGUCAUAUUUGUCACAUAUUUACAUCGCUUUAAUAAAUGACAUCAUGCAUAAACCCUAGAAAGGGAAUGCCAUUUAGGGGAUCCCGUGUCAGGAAUAAGCCACCUUGUGUCUCGGAUACUUAAUCCAGUGAGACUUGCACGUUUACAUUUUGUACCAUCCAAAGGGGGUAGUGCACAAAGUAAGGUAGGAUCCGAUCAUUUUCAUAGAGUGAUCUUUGGGAUAUGAGCAUCUAAUAAUCACUUUUUGGCCAUUUUAUCAAAAAUUGGUAAAAAUUCCUUGCGUGAAGGACAGUAAUUUGAAGAAAUUCACAAAUGAUUCCUUCUAUUGAGACGAUAAAUAAAUUGAGGCCAAAAUUUGAUUUUUAGAAGCUCAUAGACUAAUGCAUCUCAAUCAUUUUGAAAUCACCAAUGGCCGGACAAUUCAACCAAUCCAUUUUACCCAUUCAUUCAAUAAAUCAUCAAUUCAUUUGAUCAAUUUACCCUUUUUAGGGUCAUCCGGUCGAUUUUGAAUAAAUCGUCAAUUCAUUUGACCAAUUUACCCUUUUUAGGGUCACCUGGUCGAUUUUCAAUAAAUCAUCAAUUCAUUUGAUCAAUUUACCCUUUUUAGGGUCACCUGGUCGAUUUUGAAUAAAUCGUCAAUUCAUUUGACCAAUUUACCCUUUUUAGGGUCAUCCGGUCGAUUUUGAAUAAAUCAUCAAUUCAUUUGACCGAUUUACCCUUUUUAGGAUCGUUCGGCCGAUUUUUGAACAAGUCACUAAUUCAAUUUCAUUCAUUUGGCCAAUUUACCUUUUUUUAGGGCAACCGAGCCGUUUUUUGACCUGUUUCCCUUCUAGGGUAAUCCGGUCGAUUUUCAAUAAAUUGUCAAUUUCAUUUGACCAAUUAGGAUUUCAAUGUCGAAUUCCAAAUUGGGAAAUCUAGUCAAUUUUGAAGAAAACCGUCCAUUGCAUCCAAUCACUUGAUCAAUUAGGGUUUUUGACCCGUAAUUCACUGAGAAAUUUUAUCAACGAAUUCCAAUCUCUUCGAUAGGAGUUCGUCAAGGUCAAACCCAUGCGUUUUGCAAAUCAAAGGUGAUCAAUCUAUUCGGACGUUGUCCUCAUUUUGACAAAUCUCUUGCCACUCCAAUGGCCAAAUUUUUCAAAUUAUUUUUCACUCAAUGAGUUGAUCAGAUCCGUCAGGUAUGGUAUAGUGCUUCCCUAGAGGAUUGCAUUUUCAUGCUAGGCCUACCCUUGGCAUAAAAAGGGUUCCCCCAUAGGACAUGCAUACCGAUUUUUUUUUAUUCUUACUUACUGACUCUGGGUAUUUUUCUUUUUGUUUUCCCCUCCCCCUGCAUUUAUAAAAAUGUUUCAAUAAGGCGAGAAUAUUCUUCUAUAUCUGAUAAUUUUGAUCCAAUAAAGCUUGAAGAUUACAAGUAUUACUUGAUUUUUAGGUAGACAUUGCCGCGAAAGCAUAAAGGGGAAAUUCUAUUUAUUUGAUUUGUUAAUACAUUUUGUUCCAAAAGAAAAGGAGACAAAAAGUGUAUGUGUUGAGCUCUUUACGAGUUUCUCUCUUCUCAUUUGUAUCAUAAUUGAUUGAGCAAUUUUGUUUCAAACUUUUUCAACAAUAAAAUUUUUUGGAUAAUUUUUGUUUUGUGUAUAUUUAUGUACAUUUCAUUCUUUAUUCUUACUCAUUGGAGAUUUCAUGAUGAUUUUUGAGAAAUAAGACCCAAUUUGAGAUUUUUCAACCUAUAGCCUGAAUUUCACAAGUGUGUGCUUCCUAAAAUCCUUACACUCGAUUGGUGUUCCAACCUGUACAAUAAGAGUGCUCAGAAAGAAAGAGAGUGAACGGUCACUCAAAAGGCCCUAUGAGAUACCUUUCUCCUUCACUUAAUUCCAAAAUAAAAUCAGUCACAUUGAUUGAUAAAUUGUAAAUUGGGGUAACUUUUGCUUGAAAAUGUUCAAGGCGUCUAAUCUGGUUCAAUCACAUCUAAGUGAAAGCAAAAAUGUGCAUUAUUCUUAUUUGUUUGGAAAAUUUGGAAUGAUACUUCAAGCAUUCGUUUCAUUACCUGUACAGAUUUUUAUCAUUUGCUCUCCCAUUUGAGCUUCUAAAAGAAUAAUUUCGUUUCAAAUAAGGGUCUUAAUGAUCACUACCCGUCAUUGAAAAAUUUUCAAAUAUCAAAAGAAGAAUGGGUUUUCAAUGACCAUUUCGCUACUUCGGUUGUCAUGAGGUAUAAGAAUGAUACUUUGGCCGUCAGUUCUACAAUCUAAACACUGAUCAUCCCUUGCAUCCUCGUUUGAGCUAAAUUGGUGGUUCUUUUCGAGUGCACAUAUGAUCGCACCCCACAUUGGGGAAGGAGAUUGGGAAAUUUUGAAAAAAGGGAAAAGAAAAGGGGAAAAGCAAAAAAUGCUAGAAUAAGGAGGGAACCGCAAAUUUGGGGAAUUUGAUUCCACUUGGGUUCCAAUUUUGAAAAAAAAAAAGAAAAGAAAAAGAAGAAAACAAGUUCUAUCCGGUGGAUCACUUAUGUUUCAUAGACAUGAAUGAGCAAGGGUCUUCCUCAGUCAGUUAAUUCAGAUACAUGCCAAAAAUUUCCCAUUAAUGAAAAUUUCUUUUCAGAGUUAAUGUAAGGAACGGAAUACAAGUCAGGCCAUCUUCUUUUCCGAUCAAGCAUCUAUCCCUAGUUAUCCCUUUUGAGCAUUCAGAAUGAAAUACUUCGUUUGGCAACCCCUGAGAAUCGCAAACCCCACACUGGGGCAAGUUGGUUUGAAAAAGGAAAAUUUCAAGAAGCGGAAAAGUGAAAAGCCACAAAAUCAAAAGGCAAAGGAAGAAAAGAGAACCUCAGUUCAAAAAUAAACUGGGGCAAAUUUUGUGAAAGUUCGAAAAAAUGGCCGAAGGCCGAAAAAUCAAAAGAAAGAAAAUAAAAGUGAAAAAGCCUCAAUUGAGCAAAAACUGGGGCAAAUUCUGAUUUUACCCUAAAAUAGGGUUGACGCAACAAUGCGAUUUCAGAUUCUUCAAACCACUUUUGAAAUCCGCUUUCAAGCCUUAACUUUUCUAAGCACCCCACCUGACCCCAUUACAAAAGCCAAAAGUCCUGACUUCUGUUCUUUGCAAUGGCCCUGUCAAGAAAAUUUCUGAUGCCGGAAAAUUUUAGCUGUAUUGCUGAAUUGCUUGAGUAUGAGGUUGGCGCUACUCAUGUGAAAACCCAUCAGCUCGAGGGAAAAGAAAAGAGGCAAAAAGCAAAGCAAGAAAAGUAAAUGCAAGGAAAAUGCAAAAAGACUUGACGCUGAAGUCCCUGGGGAAUGAUGAGAAAAUCCAAACAAAGUCUGAAAUCUUUUGAGUUCAAAUAGGGGCAAUUUUGGAAAAAUGUGAUCUUCGGUGCAAUGUCCUUGAAAGUUUUAUUCUUUAGCUAUCGUUUUUCAAGCCAAAUUACAAGCUAAGAAAGUCCAUCGUUGACUUAUUCCUUCAUGACAAUCCAAAGUGAGGAUCAUACUCAUAAGAAAUUCAUCAAAUCAUUUGUGAUCAUAAGGGUAUAACCCGUUUCCACAUGUUUAGCUAUCACUUCUGUCCAUACGUUACAAGCCUAGAAAGCUGGUAUGUUGACUAAGUUUUCUUGAAAAAUAAGGGUGACAAACUCUUUGCUUUCACUAAGAUGUGACAUUGAAUGGAUUACAUACAAUUGGGGCACAAAAAUGAGACAGAUUCUGACCUCUCAUUUUCCUUCAGCCACUUCCAAAUCAAAAAUAAAGUCACUUGAUUGGUCCUGAAAAAUGAGCCAACCAGAAGUGGUGACCCGUUACCCUAAACACCAAUGCUAAAAGUGAGGAAGAAAUCUUCUUGAAUUUGGUGUUACUUCGAGGAAUUCAUCAUGAAAUUUCUGCAUGAGUUUCAAACUUGACGUUUAAAGUUUCUUCACAUUGUUGUAUAUGUGCACUCUUUUCUAAAUUUUAGAAAGUGCGGUUUUUCUUUGUUCAAAUCAAUGGGAAAUCAUCUGAACAAAUUUUUGCAAUUAAGGGAGCCCACACUGGGGCAAAAAUUUUAUUUGUGAGAUUUCAUGAAAUAAGCCCAUACUGGGGCAAAUUUUUUGUAAUACAUUUGAGAUUUGUGUCCAAAAAUCAAAUAAUAACAUUUUUCGAAACAAUCCCGCUGCUCUUUUCCUGGAAUUUAAGUGCAUGUCAUACUUUGAUGAACCCCUUGUACAGGUAUUCAUGAUUCAAAAUGACGAAAGGCAUCCAGUAAGGCGGAAGGCCGAUACUGCAAAGAGAAGCAAGAAGAAGGAGGAAAAAUGGACACUACACUUGGGGCAAAUUAUUUUUUUAAAAUUUUUGAAAAAAGGGAAAAAAGAAGGAAAAAAGAAAAAAAGAGAAAAAACCAAAAAUCAAAUCAAAAAGUCAAAAAUCAAGUUCAAAUUCUUGUUUCUUGAAAAAUCAAAUUUGAUUUCUUGUGGGCGAAGCUCCAAUGCACGCCGCGCAUCAUUCUGUUCCCCCCUUCUCUUGACAUUCCAAAUCAAGUUGGGCCUGGAUUUCGUGCCACCAACAUCAUUUUAUCACGUUGGGCCUGGACUUGGUGCCGCCAACAUCACUUUAUCACGUUGGGCCUGGACUUGGUGCCGCCAACAUCACUUUAUCACGUUGGGCCUGGACUUGGUGCCGCCAACUUCACUUUAUCACGUUGGGCCUGGAUUUGGUGCCGCCAACAUCACUUUAUCACGUUGGGCCUGGACUUGGUGCCGCCAACUUCACUUUAUCACGUUGGGCCUGGACUUGGUGCCGCCAACAUCACUUUAUCACGUUGGGCUUGGUUUUCGUGCCACCAACUUCGCUUUGUCACGUUGGGCUUGGAUUUAGUGCCACCAACAUUACAAAAGUCACAUUGGGACCGGGUUUUAUCCCGCCAAUCUCGGCAGGACCGGGUCUAAUCCCGCUGACCGCUUACUUCGGCAGGACCGGGUCUAAUCCCGCUGACCGCUUACUUCGGCAGGACCGGGUCUAAUCCCGCUGACCGCUCACCUCGGCAGGACCGGGUCUAAUCCCGCUGACCGCUUACUUCGGCAGGACCGGGUCUAAUCCCGCUGACCGCUCACCUCGGCAGGACCGGGUUUUAUCCCGCUGACCGUCCACACCCCGUCGGCCUCAGAUGUUAUCCCACCGACCAAUUCAUCACACUGGGGCAAAUUUUUUAGAUAAUUUUUCAAACAAGUCCUAUACAGUUCUCUAUUUAAUUUUCUGUUCGGGUCUAUCCCAUGGGUCUGUCCCAUCUACAUUUUUAUCCGAGUCUAUCGCAUUUACAUUCCUGUCCGGGUCUAUCCCGUUUACAAUUCUGUUCAGGCCAGUCCCAUGUUUGAAAUUCCUUGUUUAGGUCAGCCCUCCGAAUAGGGGCAACCGAAUGGUACAGGUAAGCAUUUGGUGUCUACUUCUUUGUCUCAAGUUUUUUCAAAACUCAGACAAAGAGGGGCAAACUGUAGACACCAAAAAUUUCAUCGAUUCAGUUUUAGCUUUAUUCAUUCAAUUUUGACUUCCUUUGAUUCAAUUUUUAGUUUUAUUAUUAUUAUUUAUUCUUGUCUCAUAUUUAUUAUUUUUAAUUGAUUGGAGGUUGCAAAUGGUAAUUGAUGUUCAUUCUUAUUUUAAAUGCAUUAAAAUUCAUCAUUUUCUUUUUAAAGCAAUUUUACACUAAAUUUUAGGAAAAUCCCGAAUAAAGAUCCAUUUUAUCUUUUUAAAAUUUGAUUUUUUCUUGCUAAGGCAUUUUGCAAGGUAAUUUUUAAAAAUUAAGCAUGUUAAACAAGUGUGUCAAUUGCAUGUUGAACAAGUGUGCAAAUAAGCAUUAGACAAGUGGUUGAGGAAUGGUAGGACAAGUGUAUAGGGGGUAGCUGUCAAGGACACUUGGGGGGUUUUUUGGGGGGCAUCGGAAAAAAAAGGAAGAAAAAACCCUCGAAGAGGCUUGAAAACAGGGGGAAGAGAAAAGAGCUAAAAACAGGGAGGGGGCUUCGGAGGAAAGGGGAGAGGAAAAACGAAAUCGAAAAAGGAGGGGAGAGUAGGGAAAAAUCUGGGGAGAGUCUGUGGGCUAAGAAAAACAGCGGAGAGAUAGCGGAAAAAAAGGAGAAAAAGAACGGCUGAGGGGAAGGCUAAAAAUCUGAAAAGAGAAGAAGGCUUCGGCUGGGAGAAGCUGGAGUGGAAAAAAUAGAAAAAGGGAGAACGGCUGCGGUUGAGGGCCGAGAGAGUGGAGAGCCGAGGAGGAAAAAUCAGAAAAGGAGGAGAAAAAUCAAGGGCGGCGGAUGAAGGGAAAAGCUGGGAAAAUUAGAAACAGAGAAAGAGAGGAUAGCAGCGGACAAAGAGCUUGCGACUGAGGAAGCAGAGCAGCUGGAACUGCCGUUCGCGGGAAGCUGUUGCCGCCCUCUUCCGUCACGCGCGACGCCAGCUUCAUCGCUUCUUCCAUCAUAGUUCAAGCUCCGCCCUCUGCCGGCACAAACAAGUGGCCAACCGCCCGCCCAAGCAACCAAAUCCGAGAUCAGCACCCGCAAAAUUUUACCAAGAAACAAACGGUAAGCCACCAUCAUCCUUCAAAUUUCAGUUUUCAUGUAAGUUUUCGAAGCGUGUUUUAUUUUUCACGUUGUGGCUUGUAGCCAUUUCUCUGUUGAAUUAUUCACUAAUUGGAAGUAUGUAUGCUUUGAAUGUCGAUUGGACUGGAGUUUUCUUGCAUUUGAUGAAAUUUUGGGUGCUGAUUCAUGUCAAUUGAGCGAGAAAUUGGUGAAGUUUUUUAAUGGCUGUUUGUUGUUCGACAGAAUGCUUCAAUGAAAGUUCGGCCUGAAGAAUGGAUUAAUUUCUGAUUUAUAUACGUUCGACUGUUUCAUGCUUGUCAAAAUAAUUGAUUCGAAUGGGUUUGUUUGGGCGUCCGUUUGUUUUGGCAAUCUGCUCCGCUUCUCGUUUGUUUGGUGUUCCUCUUGUAUGGAUUUAAAUUCAUGACAUAAAAUGGCGUGCGAGGGGAUUCAUGUGAGAGUCAUUUGUUUUGCUUUUGUUUUGUUUUGUUGAUUGGAGUCCGAAGUUGAAUUUUCUGGUUGCAAAGAGGAAUGAAAUAGCAGCGAACGUUGAGCCAAUUUGGGAAGAAGAGGAUUGCUUGAUUAAAUUCAUGAUUCCAGUCCCUCAAUUUCCCUUUCCAUUAUGAUUUAACCCCAGAAUUUUAGGACUUCAUAAUUUUUCCUCCAACACCUUCAUAAGUCCUUCAAUUAGGUCCCUGCUCUUGUUGCAUUUUAACCCCUCAGCUUCCCCUUGUUCUGAUAUGACCCGAAAAGUGGAAAAAGUGCGUUUGUUUCUCCCUUCUAGAUUUAAAUCAUCUUCUAAUAAGCAUGAAUAGUCCUUUUACUAGAUUAAUUCUUGUUUGUAGGUUCUAAUUGUGGUUCAAUAAUUUAUUUUGAUUUUAUCAUGUUGGGUUUAAUGAAACAAGUGCCUUGGGCUAAGAGGUUAUUUUUGUUUGGGUUUAAGAAAGUCGUUUUAGUUUAUUUUGUUUGGUUUUUUGGUUCGGGCUAGAGGGUCAAGGCCCAUCUAUUUGGUUGGCUAAUUUUUGGGCCAGGAUAUUAUACUAGCCCACUUGUUUUCCUUGGACUUUCGAUUGGGCCAAGUUAUCUUGGCCCAAGAAAGGUGAAGAUGGCCCAUUCCCUUUUUGUUUUGGAUUUUCGGUUGGGCUUGUAAGGCUUUGGCCCAAACAAAUAAAGGAAAUGGCCCAAUGGCUUGGUCCAUUAAGAAACCAGAAAACGAUUUUGCAAAUCAGUCCCUGAAUUUCUCCCUAAUUGUAUUGUGGCCCUGGACAUUUUCAACUUCUUUCAAUUCGGUCCUUGCUUUAAUUGCAAAUAGGUCCCUGAACUUUAUUUUUCUUUAAUUUUGACCUCCAAACUUUGUCAAUCUUUGCAAUCAGGUCCUUUCUUCUCUUGACUUCUUAAAUGUGAAUUGUCGACAUGAUUUAAUUGAUUCAAAUUCAUGCUUAUUUUUUAUCCUUUGUGAUUAUUUGCCAAAUAAAUUGGUACCUUGACCUUUUUAUUGUUUUGAAGCUAAUAUCUCAUUUACUCGAUUUCCGUUGCGAGGGAGGUAACUUCUAUAUUUUUGAGUUUAUUUUUUCCUACGUGCUCCUACGUGUUAUGUGAAUAUGCCUGUCUACUUUGCUUUCUUUGCCUUUCUUUAAUUCUUUUCAUUUUUUUUUACUUACUUUUGCUUUUUAUUUAAGUUAUUCAUUAUGGGGUAUGUGUACACCUCUUGGCUUGUAAUAGUUAGGGAUUUAAUUAUUUUAUUCUUUUCCCCCUUUUAGAUUGUAGUGGGGUCUCCCUAAUGUAAUAGAUAGGGUUUGGAGGAGCAUUCAAUGAAGACCUAUCGAAGACUUGUGCCUAGCUAGCAAAUGUAAUAGUUAGGGCUUUAAUUGUCUCAUGUGCCUUGCAUGCUUAGUUGCUACGUGUUAAUUUGCUUUGCUAGGGCCUUGCAUCUAGUCGAGCAUGCAAAAUGUUAUGUGCUAUGUGUUUAUAAGUGUUUGGCAUGUCUACUCGCUUUCCAUAGCCUGAAUAAAUGUGAUGGAUGAAUGUACGUCACCACACUAGUCCAAUGCUAGUUGUGGCUCAUUAUUUCAUUAGGAAUUCAUAGAAAGGGCUAGUCCAACGCUAGACCCAAUAGGAUUUUUCCUUUGUUUUUCAUUAAUGCAUUAUUUGCCUGUUCACUACAUAUCAUGCAUUUUUCCUUAGUUUUAUCAUCUGGCAUGCUCCUCGAUUCCCCUUUCCCCUCACUUUAGGAUUUUUGCAUUUCAUGCUAGUUAUAGGGUUCAUUUGCCUGAAGAGUCCCCUUCUGAUAAGGGAAACGAGCGAGUGUGGCUACUCGAUAGCCUUAGCACGCUAGUUUCGCCUUCUAAUCAAAGGGAAGAUUAAGUCACAAAGUUAGGACUCCCCGUUCCCGUCUUGAUGCAUUCCUAUAGGAUUCAUGCAUUCUAUUCAUUCACUAUCACAUACACUUACUUUAUAUUCUAACCCUUUUUCCACAUUCUCACUUCACACUACUUUUACACGUUUUCAUUUAACUACUCACACUCUAUGCCAUAUCACUCGCACACAUGCACUUUAUAUUAUUUUCACAUUAUCAUUCUUUACUCACCUUACCUUGUAAAUACAUUUGCACACCUCCACUUUUCUCACUUCACAUAAACUUACAUUUUCACAUGACAUGCACCCCAUUCAUUUUUACGUCAUUUAGGAUUACGUGUGACCUCUCCAAAGGAUCAUUAUUGGGCUUCACAAUUAAUGUGAUUGGCACCACUCAACCUUUGAAGAGAAAUUUCCCCCAAUACCCCUAGGUCUAGGGUUUUGCAUUCAUAUAGACAUAUCCAACACGCGAUACAUACCUUGGGUAGAAAAAUUAGGAAAAAUUGGUUUAAGUCACGCAACUAGCCUUGGCUAGGUCGAAGGGGUGCCUUGGAUUUUUUAUCCUUGCCUUCCCCUUCGUCAAAUGUGACCCCCGAUCCCUCUUUUUGGUUACGUAGACCCAAAAGUUCUUUAAAAGGGUUUAUUUACUUUUUUUAUUCAAAAACAAAAAACCAUUUUUUGGGUGACUUGGUACACCCUAACCCUAUACCAAGUGGCGACUCCAUUUUUGAUACAAAAAACCCUUUUUGAACUUUAUAUGGCCAAACCGUCGCAUUAUCAAGUCCCAUGGCCUUUUACUUUUCAUUUACACACGUUCACAUUCCAUUACACCACUCACAUCUCACACCACACACACACCACAACUCAUCAUCUUCGAAAAGUGGGGCGCGACAGUGCAAAAAUAAUUAUUUUCUCUGAUCAUGCAGCCUUGAGGUACUUGUUAGUGAAGAAGGAUGCAAAACCAAGGCUCAUAAGGUGGGUUUUACUUCUGUAAGAGUUCAAUUUAGAGAUUAAGGAUAAGAGUGGGGCCGAGAACUUGAUGGCUGAUUAUUUGAGGCGUUUUCUUACGAAUAAGGAAGAUCUGUCAUUGAGAGAAUUGUUUUUCGAGGAGCAGUUACUAGCCAUUAAUUCGUCAGUACCUUGGUAUACUGAUGUUGUCAAUUUUUUGGUAACAAAUCAAUUACCUGCAGAUUGACCAAAGGCUAAGAGAGAUAAAUUGAGAAGUGAUGCCAAAUACUAUAUUUGGGAUGGCCCUUACCUGUGGAGGCAAUGCUCGGAUCAAGUGAUAAGAAGGUGUGUAAGUGCAGGUGAGUUCCAUUCUAUUUUAACUUUUUGUCAUUCAUUUGUACGUGGAGGGCACUUUAGACCAAAGCGAACAGCUCGUAAGGUGUUGGAGAGUGGUUUUUAUUGGCUUACUCUGUUUAAGGAUGCAUAUUUAUUUUGUAAAUCUUGUGAUAGGUGUCAAAGGGUGGGGAAUAUUUUUCGUAGAGACCAAAUGAUUCAAACUCGCAUGUUGUUUGUUGAAAUUUUUUAUGUCUGUGGUAUAGAUUUCAUGGGUCCCUUUCCCUCGUCUUUUGGUUUCUUAUACAUUUUACUUUGCUGUCGAUUAUAUUUCUAAAUGGAUGGAGGCAAAGGUCACCCGGACUAAUGAUUCGAGAGUGGUUGCAGAAUUUAUAAAGUCUAACAUUUUUUGUCCGCUUUGGAAUGCCUAGAGCUGUAGUUAGUGACAGGAGCACUCAUUUUUGCAAUAAAACGAUCGUUGCCUUGUUCCGUAAAUAUGGCGUACUCCACCAAAUAUCCACACCCUAUCAUCCGCAGACGAAUGGUUAGGCCGAAGUGUCGAAUAGGGAGAUUAAGUCAAUUUUGGAGAAGAUGGGGUGGCCUGAUAGAAAGGAUUGGAACUUGAAGUUGGAAGAUGCUCUAUGGGCUUACCGCACCGUGUAUAAAAUACCAAUUGGAACGUCCCCAUACAGAUUAGUCUUCGGGAAGCCGUGCCACCUCCCAAUAGAAUUUGAACACAAGAAAUUUUGGGCAAUUGAGCGGUGCAACAUGGACCUUGUGGAUGCCGGGGGACAUAGAAAGCUCCAAUUACAAGAGUUGGAAGAAUUAAGGAAUGAAGUCUAUGAGAACGCAACAAUUUAUAAAGAGAAGAGCAAAGUCUUUCACGACUAACAAGUCUCAAGGAAGUCAUUUGUAGUAAGGCAAAACGUCCCCCUAUAUCACUCGAGAUUUAAGUUUUUUUCCGGUAAGUUGCGUUCGCGUUGGAUUGGUUCAUUUGUCAUUUCUAAUAUUUUUCAUUAUGGUGCAGUGGAAAUCCAAAGUUUGAAAAUUGAGAAGAAGUUUGUGGUAUAUGGUCAACAUUUUAAACCCUAUUAUGAGAGGUUUAAUAGUGAGCAAGUGGAUGUCAUAUAUGUUGAUGAUCCAAAUUGUGUGGCUUAACUAGCUAUUACUGUGUCUAGCCAAAAACAUUAAAGAAAGACGCUACUUGGAAGGCAAUCCAAGGAUUUCAAUUGUGUUUUAUUUCAUAUUUGUGUAUUCAAGAUCAGUGGAUUUAGGUUCCUAUUGACAAACAAUCUGUAUUGUACGUCAUGGGUGUUUCUGUGCAGUUUUAUUCUAGGUUGGGGGCACAAAUUUGUGGGCAAGAGACUUCAUGUUACAAGGCGUGCUCGCGCCUUGUAUUCACCGCACAUGGACAUUUGUAAAAUUUGGUGAACAGAGGACUUACACCCCCAAGGCAUGCCCACGCCGCACAGCAGAUCGUGUCGAACAUAUUACAAUGGGAUGGGCAGACAGAGUCAAACGUGACCAGGACCUUCUCUAACCCCACUUUUCUACUUUUCUCUUUUCUUGUCUUGACUGGUCUUUUCAUUUUUUUUUGUCUUAGCCUCCCCUAGUUUUCUCCCAUCUUUGCUGAAAUCUCAGAGGCCACCGCCACUGCACACCUGCUCCGUUGAUGCCGCUGUCUCCACUAUCUGCGGUCAAGCUCCGGCCGCCAUCAUGCACGCUGUCCGGGCGCACAUCGGCAUCGCCAUAUGCGCCUCGCCGACGCUGCUCAUGCACGUCUCAUGCCGCACGCCAACGCCUCCGUACUUCCCUUCCUCGCCGUAGCGCGCCACCACCGUAGGCGCCAUCAGCUCUACCUAGGGCGCCACACCAAUCAUCGACCGCUCGCGCCCCGCGAUAUCUCACUGUUCCCCGCCGUCGCGACUGCUGCCCUCCGCCAUCGUCGUCAUUGAGGCUCCACUUCUUCCUCUCUGUGCACCACCAACGCUUGCUCCUUCCACGCCACCGCGCCGACCGCCGACUCACCCCUGACGCCCUUGCAGUCGUACCGACCGUCGCUUCCACCGGGGUCCCCUCCAGCAUGACAAAGUGGUACCCCUAAUUCAUUUCUUGCCAUUACUGCUUAAAAUCUGAAAUUGUUUCUAUGCGAUAUUACUCUAUUGUUUGAGCUGAGCUUGCUGAACCUCUGAGACUUUCAUAUGUGUUCUUUGCUUCGCGGUUGAAUUGCUGUGAUUGGUUGUUGGUGUUGGUGUAGAAUUGUUGUGGGGUGCUGAGGUUGUUGUUGUUUAUUUUGCUUUCGAAUUGGUUGUCGAGGGUUUGAUAGGUGAAGCACGUGGCGCAGUAUCAAUUCUGGUUUAAUGUUGAGUGCAUUGUUGACCAGUUAUUUUAGGAAUCUGUUUGUCUUUUUGCCUUGUUGUUGUGGUGGUGGGGUAAUUAUAUUUUUCUUUGCUAUUGGACUGUUGACUGUUGAGUGACACCUAUUGACUGUGGUCCCCUGUCCCCAUUUGGUGGUUGCUUCACUGUUUCUGUGCUUAUUCGUAUUUGUCCUGUGGCCUCCAAAUGCCUUCGAAAAAGCGCGUGUUCAGACACCCACUUCAUCUGGUCCAUCUAAGUCCCAACCUCGUAAGAGGCGAGCCCAAUUCAACCCCCCACUCGAUCCCGUUUAGGUCUCUCUAAAAGUACUAUAUCUCCUGGGACAUGGGGGGAACCUACCACUAACCUUACACAGGAACAAAAGGACCGAUUGACUAGCUUGAUGCCACGUCCUUUUGCUCCGUGUAAAUGUUUCCAUGCCCCAACCCUGGAUCAUUUGCAAAUUGCACGAGAAGUUGAACAGUUGUUCUCAGCAAUUGGUUGGCAGUGGUAUCUGGUCAUCGACUAUCCUACAUUUGAGGAGCUAUGUUAUGAAUUCUACUCCACUUUUGAGUUCAAUAAAAAUGAAUUCAUCACUUUGGAUGAGCGGGGGUGAUUACAUUUAGAUUAAGGGGUACCCCACAAGAUUUGUCCAUUAAUGACUUUAAUCUGAUUUUGGGGUUUUUCAGUGAAGAGACCCUUUCCUCCGGGACGUAUAUCAACAGUGCGUGUGAUUAUACCAGACCCUUUGCUAGUGAAUAUAUUGACAUAUGGAGGGAGUAGUUCACGGACCCUCAACUCUAUGAUCCGAGUCAGUCCAAGGCCUCUCAUCUUAAGAAUCCGAUCUUGAAGGUUAUCCACAGGUUCUUGGCCUACAAUUUCUCGGGUCAGAAGAACUCUUCCGGCACCCUUGCCAAGGUUGAAUUCUAUUUUCUUUGGUGUAUGCGCAACAAAGUACAUGUCGACUUUGGGUGUUGGGUGACCACUCAAAUGCAAUCCGUCAUUCAAAAGCGACAUAAGUAGGUGAUUAUGGAUUCGCUCAUUACUCACUUGGCCGUUCGGUUGGGAUUGCUUGACCUCGACAAAGAACACAAGUUCGCUCUAACUUGCGAGAUUGAGCCAUUGGAUUUGCGUAGCUUAGAAAGGAUGGGGGUUAUUUUCAAAGUAGGAGAUGUAUAUCAGAUGACGCUUCCUGGCGAUGGCAGGCUACAACCCCGGGUUCCUCCUACUAUUCCCCCUACUGGUUCACCAACCCGCACAGAUCAAGUGGGUCCGUCCUCCUACCAUGCUCCCCCUGCUUGGGAUUUCCAAUACCGUGCCCUCCAAGAUUCUAUUCGUGAACUAGGCGAGCUAGUUGUGGGACUGGAUGGCCGUCUUGCAGCGUUGCAAGUUUUUUCCCGUAUUCAGACAAAGAAUCAGGCAGCUUUCUUUGCUUAGAUUGGAUUCUAGCUGCCUCAUCCUCCUCCCCCUUAGUGUUUCGCUGCGUCGUCUCGGCUGUCAGGGAAGUUUCACCCCUUUACACUUACACACUAUUUAUUUUUGCUACAUUGAAGACAAUGUCGAUUUUAGGUGUGGGAGGGAUGGUUUCUAUUAUUUCUUUUUUGCUUGAAAAGAGAAAAAAAAGAAAUAAAAAAAAGAAAAAGAAAGAGAGGAAAAAAUGAAACAAAAAAAAAAGUAUAGUUAGUUGACUUCUUUAGUUCUAUAUUUGUUAAUUGCUAGAGCAUGUUGCUAUGAUGGAUUGCACAAUCAAGGUGCACGUGUAUGUAUCAUUUAUGCUAACUAUGUACUCUACUUUUCCUAGCCAAUGUAGCUGAGUGAUGAAUAUGCUGGACUUGACCCAUUCUUGAAACUUUUGGGAGUUUUUGAGCAGUGCACGAGCACAUUACUCUCGUUUGCUUCGUUUGUGUUGUUGAGUGGGUAUCACACAUGGUAUUAACAUUCUAGAACUUGCUAUUUUAUACAUGUCAAAGCCACAUCUUGUUGAACUGGAUGCAUUUGAAAUGAUAAAGGCAUUUAGGAUUUAACUUUCUUUAAUUUUCUACAAACCAUACCUUCAUCUUGUCUCCCAAUAGUGAAUCAAUUUGAGCUUUUAUUCUUCUCCUUUGUUUGUUAGCCGUGUUUGAUAACCCAGGACUUUUUUUUUUGACUUUCUUGUCCAACCUUGUGUCGUUAAGAGAUGUCUGAAUUUCAUUGUUUGUGCAAGGCAAAUAAAUUUAGGGUCGCAAGUGUUGUUAGAAUAGAAGUUGUAUGGUGUUGGUUCUGUGCAUCUGAGAUCGAAAAGAAAAAGAAAAAAAAGACGAGAAAAAGAGAAAAAAGAAGGAAAAAAAUGUCUACAAACUGGUGAGCAUGGGAUUCUGCUUACAGGGCGUGCCAUGCCUUGCAAGACGCCCUUUCAAAAAAAAACAGAAAGAGAGAGAAAAGAGUUUCGACACUUGCGCAGUUGGUAUAGCAAAUGGAAAUGCCUUGCUUGUGGAAGUUCUCCAGUAAAGCGUUGAGGUUAUGUAGUGGAUAUCGGACAUUAUCUUGACACAGUGCACCCUAUCUUUACCUUCUUAUCCCGCUUUGUUGGCCUAAUCAGCAACAUCCCUCAGAUUCCGGCUCGAAGGGACUAACCGCCCAACUCGUGGCACCCAGGGGUGCAGCCCCUCAUGCUGGCCAAGCGUGGUACGAUGCUUUUCGCUGCUAUUGUGGUUAAGGAAAUAAAGUUACAUCUUCACUAACAGCUAUAGCUUUUGGUGCAAUGGUAAGCGCUUGAUCCUGACAAGUGGUAUCGGAGCGAGGUCGCAGGUUCGAGUCUCCCUGGUUAUUGUUGGGGGAGGAAAUGUUGGCCUAAUCAGCAACAUUCCUCAGAUCCCGGCUCGAAGGGACAGCCCGUGGCACCCAGGGAUACAGUCCCUCAUGCUGGCCGAGCGUGGUACGGUGCUUUGCGCUGCCAUUGUGGUUAAGGAAAUAAAGUUGCGCUUUCACUAAUAGCUAUAACUUUUGGUGCAAUGGUAAGCGCUUGAUCCUGACACGCUUUUCAUCCAAGCCCCAUUACAACCCUAUUAAAGUCCCUUUGAUUUAUGUAUUGAGUUCAUUUUUGAAUGGUAGAGAUGUGAUAAAUGUGCAAGCCUAUGGUAAUGUCAUUCCGUGGUGUUGAUUUGAGCGUUCCUGGUAUCUAUACAUUUUCUUGAAAGUGAUGAGUAUUACUGCUCAUACUCUUUGGAUAACUACCUGUCCGGUGUGCUCUAACUUUGGCGACAUUGUCAGGAAUGCAGGAUGCUUGUGUUAGUGUAGAUCACCGCAUAGUAGUUGCUAUUGUGAUUGAACUUCUGAUCUUCGAAAUGCUUGAGAACAAGCAUUGCCUAGGUGUGGAGGGAUUUGAUAGAGCAAUGUUUGGGCAUCUUAUGUGCUGUUAUGUGGUCAUAAUUUUGGCUACUUAUUAUGCUAAAUAUUGAAAUUUUGCUCAUAUUUGAUAUUUGUGUAAAUUAUAGGCGGUUGGUGUCAAAAAGUGUCUCUGAAGGUGAAUUUCCACAAGACUUUUUAUUUCAGGGUGUGCCCACGCCAGAAACUGUAGAAGAGACGCCUCAAAGUCAGACCGCGGGACUAACUAACUAACUAAACUCAUCCUUAUUCCUGCGGGAUGCGGUUGGAAGUGCGUCAAAACAAAAAGACGGCAAUUUCCAGCGAAUUUGUGAUAGGGUAUUAAUUGUUAGUAAUUUUAUUGUUAAUUUUUUCCUUUGUCCUUACCAAAUAUUGUUUUAAAUUGUUAAUAUAUACUUGUAUUUGGUAUUUGGACCUAUCUACAGGAAGUGGAACUAAAAAGUGCUAAAAAGGGGGGACCUUUUGGAGAGAAUUGCUCCACACGUGGGAGACUUCAAAAAGCUUCACGAACCUGGCCCACAGGAUACUAAGCAACGGACUUCCUUUUCUUUUUGCUGAUAAAGAGUUGCUGACUAGGAGUCUUCCUAUCAAAAGGAAACGAAAAAAGUGGAAUUCGGAGAGCUUUCUUUUUGUACCUUUUCUUUCAAUUCGGCAGGGACAACGUAGGGAGCAUUAGUCAUUGUUUAAGAGACAGUUUAGUUUUCUUUCUUUUCUUUUUCAUGCGUAAGUCUUGUUCGAUAAAAGUCUCGACUGGAGAAAUAUCGUUUAUUUCUUGAUUAUCUAGUGAAAAACGUGAUGCCUUUGCAAUUAAUUAAUUUGCGUGGAGAUUUACUGAUGCGGCGUGGUUAAGUUUUUCAUCUAGUCAAGGAUCAAUGCGACAAUGCAAUCCCUAAUAUCCGUGAGAUCGAAUUAAUUUUCAUGCAUUCCUUAAUUUGUUAAUAUUUGCACGUUGUCUGCUUGAAUUUUCAUGGGAUUAUUUUGUUAAUUGAAUGUCAAGGGCCCGAUGUUCAAUGCGACUUAUUAAUCUCCUGUCAAAUUAGUUAAUUAAAUCUGUAAUUAUUUAAAUUGAUUGAUAUCAGUGGCAACUAACGUUUUUAUACACUAGGGGAGCGUUCAAUCUGUUUCAAAUAACUCUCGUAGCAUGUUAUUGAUUAGGGUUAGACUUUUCUAGUUUUUAAUGCAAUUAGAGAAUUAAAUCCUAUGAUCAUACCUAGGAGUGUUUCCGGGUUAGGGGUAAUCAACGGUCGUACCUUGGUUGUCAAUAAAUUAAGGAAAAGCUGGUCGUCAGAACUUAUUGGCGACUAUAACUAACCUGUUAAUAAAAUUAAGUAAGCCUCCCUUGCAUCAAUAAUCGGAUGAAUGGACUGUGUCGGUGAAGUUGUAUCCUUGGCUCGAACUUGUCUAUUAUUUAUUUAAUUCCUAUCUACAUUCGUGUUAGUUAAUCGUUUACUUUUGGUUGAAUUGCUUAAUUAUUUUUAGUUUCAUUCCGAUAAAAUCCCCCAUUGUUAACUUGAACUUUAGUAAGAAACGAAUUACUCCCAAUCUCUGAGAAUACGACCCUACUUGCCCUGUUUUCAAAGCAAUAAUUAUUUGUGAAUAAGCAAUCCCAUUCUGGUAUAUCGGGUCAAGCAAACUUUUUGGAAACAGGGUGAAUCAAGUAACCUAUUGCACACCUAGAGUCCCUACUCCAGUACUUAGAAUUGGAUUUUGAUUACUCCGAUUGGCAACUAGGUUUAUUUUUAUUAUUGCGCAGGUUCGGCCCUUGUCAAUUUUUGGCGCCGUUGCCGGGGACUGGCAUUAAUUAUUUGUUUCUUUUUAAGUUCAAUUUUGUUCUAAUUUUCUGAUAUUUUUCUAGUUUAUGCCUCGUUCUUCUUGGACAGACGAAUUAAUUUUUGACCCUGAAGUAGAGAAGACCGCGCGUAAAAAGAGCAAAGAGACAAGACAGCUUAGAGAGGAGUUGUCCAGUGUUGCACCUGAGGGACUUGAUCCAAAGGUUGAGUCAACAAAUUCGCAUGGUGAUAAUUCGAGUGAUUCAGACCAAGAGGAAGUCACCAUGGCGAAUGCACGAACAUUAAGGGGGUUAGCUGCCCCAAAUUUAAAUCAACAACCCUUAUGCAUUACUUUUCCGCAUUUAAAUGAUAACACAUCUUUCGAGUUAAAAUCUGGCCUGAUUCAUCUUUUACCAUCUUUUCAUGACUUACCAGGUGAGGAGCCCUACAAGCACUUGCAAGAGUUCAAUGUCGUUUGCAACAGUAUGAAGCCCUCGGAAAUUACAGAAGAGUAGAUAAAAAUGAGGGUCUUUCCCUUCUCUUUGAAGGACUCCGAGAAAAAUUGAAUGUACUACCUACAACCAGGUAGUAUCACCACGUGGGACCAGCUGAAAAAAAAAUUCUUGGACAAAUACUUUUCGGCGUCUCGAGCUGCAAGUCUAAGGAAGGAGAUAUGCGGUAUCAAACAACACCCAGGCGAGUCUCUCUAUGAGUACUGUGAGAGGUUUAAGAAGCUGUGCAUCAAAUGCCCUGAGCAUUAGAUAAGUGAGCAACUGCUCAUCCAAUAUUUCUAUGAGGGGCUACUCUUCAGGGACAGAAGUAUAAUCGAUAUUGCAAGUGGAGGGGCAUUGGUGAACAAGAUUCCUCGAGAAGCAUGGGAGUUGAUUAAAGGGAUGGCUGAGAAUUCACAGCAGUUUGGUUCAAGAGAGGACAUCCCGACGCGUAGGGUGAAUGAGGUAGAAACAUCCUCUAUCCAACAAUAGCUCUUCGAAUUGACAUCUUUUGUACUACAACUAGCUGUGAAAAAUGCUCCACAAGCCAAAGUAUGUGGAGUAUGCACUGCUUUGGGUCAUUUUAUGGAGAUGUGUCCACUAGUUCAAGAAGAAAGUGCAGAGCAAGUGAACAUGACUGGUCACGCGCCCGCGCCAAGAAGGCCAUAUAACCCGUGUUCGAAUACGUACAAUCCGGGUUGGAGAGAUCACCCUAACUUUAGUUAUAGAGGAAAUAGGCAGUCCAAUUUUGCACCAAAUAGAGAGCAAGGGCAUCAACAGCAGUACCAGUCUCGCCCACCACCACCCCCUUCGAACUCAAGUCCGUCCAUGAAAGAGAUGAUGAAGCAAUAAAUUGCUAAUCAACAAAAGACGGAUUCAGAGUUGUAAAGUAUGAGAAAUCAAUUGGGACAGAUGCAAUCAUUGCAAAAUCAAAUAAAUCAAAUGGCCAUAACGAUCAACCGCCUGAAAUCCCAAGUUCAAGGGAAGUUGCCAUUUCAACCUGAGUUGAAUCCGAAAAAUGUAAGUGCACUGACCUUGAGGAGUGGCAAGGAAGUCCAAGGAUCCGAACCGGUGAUUCUUAGGACAAGGACAAGGAACGAAUUGAGAAAGAGUUGGAAGAAGAGGGCAGAGACAACAAAGAUCCAAAGGUAACCUCGGACCAAUCAUUACAGUUAGAACUAAUCCACCUUCCUUUCCUAGCAGGUUGGAGAAACCAAAGAAGCAAUACAAAGAAAAAGAGGUCCUGAAGAUAUUUCGCAAGGUGGAGAUCAACAUUUCCCUACUGGACGCGAUUAAACAAGUACCCAGUUACGCAAAGUUUUUGAAGGACUUGUGUGUCAACCGAAGGCGGUUAAAAGGAGAUGAACGAGUUAUAGUGGGGGAGAACGUGUCAGCAAUUCUACAAAGGAAACUUCCCAUCGAAAUAUGGGGACCCAAGUAUGUUACUAUUCCCUGUAGGAUCGGUAAUACCUUGAUUGGAAAGGCCAUGUUAGACCUAGGAGUUUCGAUAAACGUCAUGCCAAAGUCCAUAUAUGCUUCUUUGAAUUUAGGUCCUUUAAAAGAAACGGGGAUAAUAAUUCAAUUAGCUGACCGAACUGCCCUGAUGGGUUGAUUGAAGAUUUUUUUAGUAAAAAUUAAUGAAUUGAUUUUUCAACUGAUUUUUAUGUGCUUGAUAUGGAUGAUAAAUACUCCCACGACCCCUUACCUUUAUUGUUAGGUAGACCCUUUUUUAGCACAGCCGAACCAAAAUUGAUGUUAACAAGGGUAUCUUGUCUAUGAAAUUUGAUGGUGAUAUUGUUCACUUUAACAUUUUUGAGACCAUGAAAUAUCCUUCAGAUUCAAAUGUCAGCUCUGUUUUCUCUGUAAAUGUUAUUGACCCUGCGGUACAGGAGGUUAUUGAAAUUGAAGGCAGGGAUGAGCUGGAAGUCGCCUUGACCAGGCACUUCGAGUCAGAGACGACCUCUGAGAUAGAGUUGAGUGAAGAGCUCAAAUGUGUGAUUGGAGCGUUGCAAUCAUUGUCAAUCACGAAAACAAGGUAUGGGCUUGCACCCAUUUUCACACCUGAACCUCACCAACGGUUACUUUCAUCUGUGGUGUAGGCACCUAUCUUGGAACUGAAACCCCUGCCGAAACAUCUAAAGUAUGCAUACUUGGGUGAAGGGGAGACUCUCCCAGUGAUCAUCUCUGCUAGUUUAUCGGAGGUCCAAGAAGACAAACUAAUUCGAGUUUUGAGGGAACAUAAGCAGGCGAUAGGAUGGACCAUCGCCGAUAUCAAGGGAAUUAGCCCCGCGGUAUGUAUGCAUCGCAUUCGACUCAAUGAGGGUUCUAAACCCGUGCGGCAGGCUCAGAGGAGACUAAAUUUCCUCAUGAUGAAGGUAGUGAAGAAAGAGAUCCUGAAACUGCUGGAUGUGGGGAUAAUAUUCGCAAUAUCAGACAGCCCUUAGGUAAGUCCAGUAUAGGUGGUUCCGAAAAAGGCAGGGGUGACGGUGGAAUCAAAUUAAGAGGGUGAGCUCAUGCCAGUUCGGAAGCCCACCGGAUGGCAACAGUGUAUCGACUAUCGGAAGUUAAACGUCGUCACAAAAAAGGAUCAUUUUUCCCUUCCUUUUAUUGAUCAGAUGGUAGAGCGAUUAGCAUGUCGAGCUUAAUAUUAUUUUUUGGAUGAAUUUUCAAGUUAUUUUCAGAUUGCUAUCGCACCCGAGGAGCAGGAGAAGACCACUUUCAUGUGCUCGUUUGGAACAUUUGCAUACAGGUGAAUGCCAUUUGGAUUGUGCAAUGCACCUACUACCUUCCAACGUUGCAUGGUAAGCAUUUUUUCGGAGUAUAUUGAGAAGAUUAUUGAGAUUUUCAUGGACAAUUUUAGUGUGUAUGGUGAGAGUUUUGAUAACUGUCUAGAUAACCUGAAACUAAUCUUAGUAAGGUGUAUAGAAACUAAUUUCGUGCUUAAUUGGAAAAAAUACCACUUUAUGAUCGAACACGGGAUAGUUUUGGGUCAUGUAGUGUCGUCUAGGGGUAUUGAGGUUGAUAAAGUGAAAAUAGACAUUAUAUCUACUUUACCUUACCCCAUGAGUGUGCGGAAAGUGCGUUUUUUUUGUCACGCAAGUUUCUAUAGAAGGUUCAUCACAGACUUCUCGAAAAUUAGAGCACCCUUGUUCCAACUUUUGCAAAAAGAGGUGCCCUUCGAAUUUGAUGAAGCGUGUAAGAGGGCAUUUGAUAGGUUGAAGGAGCUAUUGACCUCGUCAUCUAUUAUACAACCUCCUGAUUGGAACCUACCAUUCGAGAUCAUGUGCGACACCAGCGAUUAUGCAGUGGGCGCGGUGCUGGGUCAGAGAGUAGGAAAGACAGCCCAUGCUAUCUACUACGAGUAUCAAGCCUUGAACGGAGCUCAAUUGAACUGUUCAAUCACCGAAAAGGAGCUUUUGGCGGUUGUUUUUGCUUUAGAGAAAUUCUGGUCUUAUUUACUAGAUACCAAAGUUAUUGUCUUUUCAGACCAUGCAGCGUUGCGGUAUCUGUUGACCAAGAAAGAGGCAAAACAGUGACUGAUAAGGUGGAUAUUAUUGUUACAAGAGUUUGACCCAAAGAUCAGAGACAAGAAAGGGGCAAAAAAUCUGGUAGCAGAUGUAGACACCAAAUUUUUAGCCUUUCUUUUUCUUUUUAUUUUAUUUAUUUAAUUAGUUGAUUUUGUUUUAAUUUUUGCUAAGAAAAUUGUUUUACUAUUAUUAAUUAAUUCAUUGAAAAAAAGAAAAAGAAAAAGCUAUUCCAUGUGCAUGUGCUUGGCACGUGCGCCAUUUUCUUUUCUUUCAUGCAAAAAAUGCAAGCGGAAGGCGAAAAUAGGGACAGAAAUUUGCAGCUGCAUUUUUUUAAUCCCAGCCUCAUCUCAAAAAUGCCAUCCAAUGGCUCAAGUUUUCAGUAGAAACCCACCCUUCAUCCUCACCUUUGAGGUGAGGGUUUUAGGGACCUGGGGUUUCCUAUAAAAGAAAAAAGAGCAGCGGGGACAAAGGGUAAGAGGAGUCGGCAGCUGGGGCUGAGUAGAAACAACGGAGGAAAAAAGCAAAAAGGGGGGGUUCUUGGGGAGAGUAGUUGACGGCUGAAGGAAAGAGUGAAUGGAGAGUCUGAGGGCUAGAGAGAGUUUUGGAGAGGGUGACGGCCGAAAGAAAGAAACCAAGCGAGAGGAAACCAAGGAAAGGAGAAGCGACUUCAUCAAUGUAAAGGGCAUUUCGUGGGUCUUCGUUUCCAGAAACAACGUGUUUGUCCUGAGACUGGUAGAGAAACGAAUCAAGAGUCUGAGGAAGACACAAGGGAGGAUCGGGGAAUAAGCAAAGGAAAUCUGCAAAAUCUUGAAGAAGGCUUCGAAGCUGAGAGCGAGGGAAAGAGGACUGCUCGACGAGGUGGCAACUUCUGCAGCAAAAGUUCCCGAUCGCGUUCCUGGGAACCCGUAUGCGUUUCCGGGCAGAUCCCAAGGCCGCUCAACCAUGCUAGCAUUCUCAGGUAAAAAUGCCUCUUAUUUGGUGGAUUUUAACAUGUUUUUAUGAAAGAUAAAGCCAUCGGAUGUGAAUCUUUUUGUUUGCUAUUGGGUCAAGCUCUCGCUGGUUCUAUGAUUCUGCCAUUUUGCUCGUUUGCUAAGAUCUGAUUCAGUAGGAACCUAUGAGAUGAGUCUGAUUAAGAACAUGGGGUUUAGGGUUUUCUGUAGUGGUCACCUGAUGAAUCCAUGAGUUCUUUGCUCGAUGUUUAUGGUCAGUCUUUGUGUGCAUGAAUAAGCAAACCCAGAAAAGUGGCGUAAAGCUUCGGACAAGUCUGUUUUGAUGUUUCCUUGAUUGCUGCUUCUCCAUUUCUUGUUGUUUGUGUAAUAUUUGAUAUCGGGUUUCAGUGUUAAAUGGAGCAAAUGGUGAGUUUUGGUUGUUGGCUUGGAGAUUGAUCCAUCGGAUCCGAACAUUUGAUAAUAAAAAUGGUAGAAGGUUUUUUGAAUGCACCUGGUUCGAUGUUAGUUUUGUACUUGGGUUAUGUUAAUAAGGGUGAUUUGGAGAUUUAUGAGAGUUCUAGUUCACAAACAAAAUAAGUUUCAUUGAUUUCUUUUCAUAUAAUAUCAGCGUGGGUUGAGCUGCAAUUUUGCAGUAGAAAGUUGCGGCAGAAGAAGAAUGUUUUUUUCAUAUCAGGUUGCAUGAUCCUUUUGUAUGAGUGUCGGGUGCUUAAAUAUAAUGGUUUUAUGUUAGAAAACAGAGGGGGGAAUGUUUAAUAAUCCUGUUGCCUGGCUUCAGUUUGCAUUGCGCUUAUAGUUUGCGCAUAAGAAUGCUUGUUGCAGCGGUAUGGACGAAGUUCUGUUUUUUCCUUUUCCUGUUUCAAGUUCAAGUUUUGACUGUGGAAUAUGUGUGUUUUGUUGCUCAAUUUAAGUUGAAGUCUAGGUGAAAUGUUUUGGAUCAAGUCUGGAAUCCUUAUUUGAAAUGAAAGGGCAACAGCGUGCGUUUGUUCUUGAUUGCAGAAGCUUUAAGCUUCGGGAUUGUGCAUGGACUUGCAUGAAUAGCUUUCAAAAUUUGCACUUUGCUCCCCUUAGCUUCUAUCUAUGCUACAGAGGCCCAAUUAUGUUCUAAUUUCUUGCAAUUAGGUCCUAAAGUAAUUGCCAUUUGAACCAUUGCUUGACCUUUCCAUUACUUAUGGGCCUUUGAAGUUCCCAAAUAUUUUAAUUGGGCUUGAAUGAUUGGUUAAGGCUUGCUCUUGGGUCCUUAGUAGUUUUUUUCUAUUUUAGGAACUUGAUUGACAAUUUACCUUCCUUGCAAUUAUGCAUUAUUUGAUUACAUUCAAUUUGCAAUUGGGAAGGAUUAGGUGAUUUGUUGGUUUAACUUAUUUUGUGCUUUUGUUUAUAUGGUUAUUCGUGAUGCCUUGACUUUUUCUUUUAUUUUGGAGGGUAAAUAAGUAAUCUCACUCCAUUAGGGCCCCAAUUCAAGGAAGGUACACCCUAUCUCUUAUUUCUUACUUUAUUUGACUUUACGUGCCCUAUGUGACUUUACGUGUUUGAUUGCAUACCUCUUGAAUGUUUUUUUUAUUAUUUUAUUAUUUAUUUAUUUGUUUGCUUUAUUGACUUUAGUUUUGUAUAUCUAUUUUAGUUCAAUUUUGAUCAUUUGAAAGGCAAUUUAAUGUCAAAGUUGUAAUAACUAGGUUAUGAUUUUAUUUAUUUAUUUCUUUCCCCCUUAAAUUGUAGUAGGCGUUCCCUUUUGUAAUAGAUAGGGCUUGGGUGUGCCUACAUGCCUAUGUGUUUAAUUGCUUUCCCUAGGCUUCUGCAUCUAUAUAAGCAUGCUUAUGUGCUACGUGCUAUGUGAAACUAUGUGCUUUGCAUGUCUAUUUGCUUUAGUAUUAUAUCUGAUUAUGUGGAUGGAAUGCACGUUACCGUGACUAGUCCAAUGCUAGUCAUGAUCUUCCCCUCGAUCACUCACAAGUCCAAUGCUAGAUCCAAUAGGACUGUCCCUCACUAGUACAUACUUGCAUGCCUUCACUACAUCUUCAUUCAUUUUUUUCCCUUUUAGUUUUACAUUUUUGCAUGAUCCUUCACUCCCUUUCCCGCAUUUGAAACAUGAUUUUUAGGAUUUUGUAUUUCAUUCUAGUUAUUAGGGUCAUUUGCUUGAUUAGGUUAGGGAGUCACCCUUCUGGUAAGGGGAAUGGACGAGUGUGGCUACACAUAGCCUUAGCACGCUCAUUCUUUUUCUAAUCAAAAGGCAAAUCGUAAGUCACGAUUUAGGGUCUCCCCGUACACGUUUUGCUUGCAUUCCUCUAGGUCUCAUGCAUUUCAUUUUGCACACACACACACACUUUACACUCUCUCUCAUUUGCACACGUACACUUUACACUCUCUCUCAUUUGCACACGUACACUUUACACUCUCUCUCAUUUGCACACGUACACGUUACAUAUUCAUUUGCAUCCUUACACUUUAUACACUCCCUCAUUUGCACACAUGCACUUCUCACUAUCACUUUACACUCUUCCUCAUUUGCACACAUACACUUCACAUUAUCACUUUGCACACUACCACCUUACACUUUCUCACUACACACCCGUUCAUAUUGAUCACAUUUGCAUCCAUUCAUCUCACUCGAGCAUUCAUUUGCAUUUAUUCGUGGCCUCUUUGAGGGUUCACCAUUUGGCUAUCACAAUUCAUGUGAUUAGGACCAAUCGAGCCUCAAAAGAGACAUUUUGUUCCUUUCGAACCAAUAAUUAGAUUUAGGUUUGCAUUCACAUUAGACACAUCCAAAAUGCGAUACAUCUUUUGGGUAGAAAUUAGGAAACUUGUCACUAAAUCACGCAACUAGCUUAGGUUAGGGUAAAAGGGUGCCUUAGACUUCGUUUUUGCCUUCCCUUUUAUCAACCGUGACCCCCGAACUCAUCUCUUUGAUUUUCGUAGAUUAGGAGUCAUCUAAAAAGGUUUUUCACCUCAUUUUUCAAAAACUAUUUUUUGGGUGACUUGGUACACCCCAACUCAAUAACAAGUGGCGACUCCUAUUUUUCAUGUUAAAAACCCUUUUAGAUUAUCGUUUUGGCCAAACCGUCGCAUUUAAAAGUCCCAUGGCCUUUUCCUUUAAUUCUCAUAUUCACACACUUCACACACAAUACACAUUAUGACUUCAAAACAAACUUUCACUUUUUUCUUUAUAUUUUCUCAAAAAAUGGGGCGGGACAGCUUGGCGACUCCACUGGGGACUUCCUAAGUGGGUCCGAGCACUUGAUUUAGUUAUUCUUUUCCUUUUUUACCCUUUUCAUGUAUCGCAUUUGCGUGUUUAAGGUUGCAUUUUUUUUCUUUUUUAGGAGUUUUGCAUUCCGCGCGUAUCAACUCACUCCCUUACUCAUUUGCGUACAUUUGAUUUGAUGGAUGGAUGAUUUAUUUAUGUUAUCCCGCGCUUUGCAUUGCAUUUGGAUGGGGGGAUAUUACCCUAGAGCCUCGCGUUGGUUCUCGAUCCCUCCCCUCCAAAUGGAGCACUAGCAUACGUGCAUACGCUUUAUUUUUUAUCCCUCAUUUAUUUUUCUUUUUAGUGGCUUGUCACGCCACUCCACCCUACUAGGAUUAGACGACCCAUUUGGACGUGUGAUCGCGACACGAUGUGUGCGUAGCAUGAUCCAAGGGGUCACUCAAUCUUCCAUUUUAAACUUUGGAUUGAUAACCUUUAGUUUUUAGUCAAAGGUUGAGGAUUUUUGAUAGAUUCACUCAGAUAUGUAGCCGUGACACGAUGUGUGCGUAGCAGUGUCUGGAGAAUCGCUCGAGCCACCGACAAAGAACCUUGGGAUUGAUGACCUUUGGUUUCCAAGUCUGAAGGCUCGGGGACCUAAAACCUAUCGAGUCUAGAUGCAUUAGUGAGCCAAUACCGCAUGCAUCCAUGAUAGUUUACUUAGGGUAGAGCCUGCCUUACCCUAUUAGGAACACUAUUCACGAGGGGAGGGAUCCAACCCCUCUUUUCCUUUUAUUGCUUUAUCUCUUUGUAUUGCUUUGCUUCAAUGUGUUAUGUGUAUUUAUCUGAUUGAACUAACUUUUCUUGGUUUUUGUCUCUAUUGCAUUCAUAAAUCCUAGAAAAUAAGAGUUCUGGCAUGGUACUCUCUAGGAACUUACCCUAUUUGAUGUGACACGUUUAAAUUCAAUGCUUCGCAUUUGUAACAUGAAUACAUUUCAUUUUAGGCGUACCCCGGCAUACAAAAGGGGGUUCCUUUAGGUCACGUUUCAUUUGUAUACUGCAUAUUUAGUUGCUUUGAUAAAUUGACAUCAUGCAUGAACCAUAGAGGGAAUGCCAUUUAGGGGAUCCCACGUUAGGAAUAAACCGCCAUGUGUCUCGGAUAUACAAUCCAAUGAGACUUGCACGUCUAUAUUUCUUGUACCUUCCAAAGGAGUAGUGCACAAGGUAAGGUAGAAUCCGAUCUUUUUCCAUGAUUAUAGAACAAAUUUUGCACAUUAGAAUAUGAACAUCUAACAAUCAUUUUUUGGUCAUUUAUCUGGUAAAAAUCCCUUGCGUAAAAGGCAUUAAUUUGAAGAAAUUUACAAACGAUCCCUCAUUGUUCAGACGAUAAAUAUAUCGAGGCCAAAUCUUGAUUUUAGAAGACUCAUAGACUAAUGUAUCGCAAUGAUUUUUUUUUGAAACUACCAAUAGGUAGACAAUUCAAUAAAUCAUCAUUUUCAUUCAAUUCGUUUGAUCAAAUUAUCCAUCAAAUUCUUCCAAUCUAUUUGGUCAAUUCAUUCAUUUUAGGACAAUUCGGUCAAUUUUGAAUAAAUCAUCAUUUUCAUUCAUUCGACCAAUUUACCCUUUUUAGGGUGAUCUGACCAAUUUUGAAUAAAUCAUCAAUUCCAUUCAAUUCAUUGGAUCAGUUUAUCUAUUUUUAGGGUGAUCUAGUCAAUUUUGAAUAAAUCAUCAAUUUCAUCCUAUUCAUUUGACCCGCUUAUUCCGUUUAGGGUUUAACUCUAAGGUUCACUAAAUAAAUUAGUCGACACAUUGCAAUCCUUUCAAGAGUAGACUCUUUUACACAUCAUUUUAUGUGUUGAUCAAAACAAGCAAUCCAUUCGGACUUUGUCCUCAUUUUUAGGACAAAUGUCUCUUCUCACUCCAAUUGACCAAAUUUGUUAAAAUUAUUUUUUCACUCAAUAAGUUGAUCGGAUUCAUCAGGUAUUGUAUAGUGCCUACCCCAGAGAAUUGCAUUUUCAUGCUAUGCCUACCCUUGGCAUAAAAAGGGCACCCCCAUAGGACAUGCAUACCGAUUUUAUAGUCUUGCUUACUAACUCGGGGUAUUUUUCUUUUAUUUUCUCCCCUCCCCUGCAUUCAUAAAAAAUGUUUCAAUAAGGUGAAAAUAUUUUUUCUAUAUCUGAUAACGAUUUUAUCUAAUAAAUCUUGAAAAUUACAAUUAAUAUUUGAUUCUUGGAUAGACCCUACUAUUUGAAGAAUCUAUCUGGAGGCACAAGGCUAAAACACCUAAGAGACUUCAUAAUUGUUUGUCAAAGAAAAAAUUUUGUUUAUUUGAUUUGUUAAUACAUUUUGUUCCAAAAGAAAAGGAGACAAAAGUGUGUAUAUGUGGAGUUCUUUAGAAGUUUUUCUCUUCUCAUUUGCAUUAUGAUUGAACAAGAAAUUUUGUUUCAAACUUUUCCAAUAAUAAAGUUUUUUAUUUAGACAAUUAUUGUCUUGUAUAUAUAUUCAUCUAUAUUUCAUUCUUUAUUUUGCUCAUUGGAGAUUUCAUGAUGAAUUUUAAGAAAUGAGACUACAUUGAGAUUUUUUCAACCUCUAGCCUGAAAAUUCACAAGUGUAUGUUUUCUAAAAUCUUUGCAUACACUAGAUUGGUGAUCUGAACUAUACAAUAAGAGUGUUCAGAAUUAAAAAGAGGUCACUCAAAAGACCCAAUGGGAUACAUUUUUCUCCUUCACUGUACAAUUCAUAUUUUUGCCCAUUUCUAUUAGCCCCCCAAAAUCAGUCACAUUGAUUGAUAAAUUACAAAUUGGGGCAAUCUUUGCUUGAAAAUGCCCACUGUGUCUAAUUAGAUUCAAUCCACAUCUAAGUGAAAACAAAAAUGUACAUUAUUCUUAUUUGUUUUGAAAGUUUGGAAUGAUACUUCAAGCAUUCGUUUCUCUAUCUAUACAGAUUUUAUCAUUUGCUCUCUCAUUUGAGCCUUUAAAAGAAUAAUUUCGUUUCAAAUGAGAGCCCUAAUGAUCACUACCCCAUAUUGGAAGAUUUUUCAAAUAUCAAAAGGGAGUGGAUUCUCAAUGAGCAUUUCGUUACUUUGGUUGUCAUAAAACUUAAGAAUGAUGCUUUGGCCAUCGUUUCUACAAUCUAAACAUUAUUUAUCCCUUGCAUCCUCCUUUGAGCUAAAAUGGGUGGUUCUUUUUAAAAGCAUUUAUGAUCGUACCCCACACCGGGGAAGGAGAUUGGAGGAUUUUUCAAAAGAAGAAAAAAAGGAAGAAAAAGGAGGCAAAAAAUGCUAAAAUUCAAGAAGAAGAGAGGGAAUUGCAAAUUGGGAAAAUUUGAUUCUAUCUGGGAUUUAAUUUUGGAAAAGAAAGAGGAAGAGUUUUGUCCGGCGGAUCACUUAUGUUUCACAGAUAUGGAUGAACAGGAGUCUUUCUCAAUCAAUGAUGCGAGACGCGGAAGCAAAGACUGGAUUUCAGAGGUACACGUCGCGAUUGACGGAAUGGAACCCGACUUGGACCACUCAAGGACGGAUUCAACGGUAGAGGACGCCACAAUCAAGUGUGUGAGCUUGAUUGAUAAGUCAAUAAAACAGCCUAGGAACCACGCUCGGACAUUCAACUUAGCCUUCACAAGCUAAAGGAAUUUGCCACAACCAAUGGACGAAAUUCUGGAAUUUUAUUGAAUAAUAUCGGAAAACUGAAUGUAAAACAUGAUUUAAGGCUAUUUAUAGCCUUGACUAAACCCUAAUAAAGCUUGGAAAAUACAAAAGAAAAUUCGGCCAACCCAUUUCCUUCACUUGGCCGAAUAUUAACCCAACAACCUAUGGCCCGUAACUCAGCGUAGGUACUUAACUGCGGCCCAAUCAGCCGUUUGAAGCUUGACCACUUGCAUCCUCAACUGUAAGCAACACUUUAGUAGUCUCGCCCGGAUCUUCCAACUCAAUCCCUUCAAUGGGCGGUUUCUCUUGGGUUUGGACUGUGACGGCCCCACAUCUCCUUAAGGCGAACCAAAGGGUAUCCGCGGGACGCCUGCCCAACUCUCGCCAGGACUCAAGCAAUUCCAUUCCUCUUAAAACCAAACCGAACAUUUCGAAGAGAGUAACAUGAGUACAAAUAAUGCGGAAGCGUUCAACUUAACAAGUCACUUAACAUGUAACCAGUACAUCGGGUAAACAUAAUACGACUUAAAUUCUAAUUACACGUCAGGGCCCAAAUUUUACAUUUCAAUUCCAAAAGUACAGUCCAAACCAGGGCCUAGCCAAAAUAUAGAAGAAAUCCUAAACAAAAGUACAACGAAGGGUUUCUCCAUACUUCUCCGAGAUUCGGUCCUGUUAAGGAAAACAAAACUAUGGGGUGAGCUAAAUGCUCGUGAGGCCAAGAACACAUAUUCAAGCACAUUGUUCAAAUAGCAAUCCUAAAUUUAUUAAAUAAAACCGUGAUAUUUCAAUAAUCAACCAUUCGAGCAGGAAAAGUAAUCAGAAACAAUUCAAGGAUAUAGUAGCUCUCAGGAGUUAAGUUCCACUCGCUCUGCCGAUGUCAUUCGUAUACCUUCCCGCGAUGACCCUCCGUCAACCGGGUCGGUAUUUCCAUUUCCGUAGAUCACCACUUACUUCCCUCCGUCCACCGUACACCUCCAGGGCCCACAAGUCAUUUAUAAGGCGAUACUCCACGAGUAUGCCAAGCAAGACCUCUCAUUAGGUCAAGCUUAUAUAUCUCAUGGCUCGCCCAGGUUCCCGACCAAGCCCAUUGCCGGCUCGAGUCCAAGGUCGGCCUAUGAGUUUGGGCGUCCCCCAUUCAUUUGAAAGUCGAGGAGAUUCACUCCAACGACGUAUGUAGUUAUAACAUACCAUUGCAUUUCAUUCAUUCAUUCAAUACAUUUCAUUCAUUCAUUUGAAAUUAGAACGAGUGUGAUAAAAUACACACCCGCCCUUAUUUUUAAAAUCUCCAACAAUUACCACAAAUAAGCAAGUAUCAAGGAUUCACACACUUGACACUCACCGAGCAAUUCAAUAAGAAUUAUUUUCUGGAAGUUCAAGUGUCCACUGUAAGAUCCUCUUGAAGGUCUCCUUGUGCGCCUGGCAAUUAAUAGUGGAUAAUCACUCAAAUAUCAAAAUUAUCAAGGAAGAUUGUACACUAGUACAAUCUAAAGAAUAUUUCACAAAAAUGAACCUCAAUUACUCGUAAAUCGAGGUUCAACUUGCAUUUUAUUAAGUACAAUAUUAUUUGAGUUUUUAUCAUGAAAAUCGAGGGCAAAACGUUUGAAUAAUACUAAGAGAAUUAAGAGUUUUGGAAAAACUCCUUUGCCUUGAAAAUUGAAAAUUUUCAGUUUUAUUAUAAAUCUUUGAAAAUUCGUAUCUCUCUCGAUAUAAGUCCAAAAUUGGAAAACUUUAUCCCGUUGGAAACCUUUUGGAAAGUGUUAAAAGUUCGUAGAAGACACUUUUCCAUGAAUCUAAGUGGAAAGUACUUAAAAAUGAGCUUGAAAUCACUGUUCCAGAAUGUUCAGGAUUGAGUUAAGGUUGGUUUUUUUUGCUAACUUUGGAAAUUUGGCAGAAUUCACUCGUUGCAAGCUAGCCCUUGAAAUUUAUAACUCAAUUAGAGGUGUAAGUAAGGUUUAGGGCAGAACAAGCGGAUUGAGAAUUGGAGUUUCGAGCACCGAGAUACGGUAGCUCGAAGUUGGGAAAAUUCAAGUCUGGUGAACAAUUUCCAGAUUUGAGUUUCCAAAAAUUGGAACCUUAGCUAAGUGUCAAAACGAACUUGGAUUGGUAUAAACUUUUGUAGUAUGUUACUCCUAUAUGAAAGGUAUCUCUCUAUCAAAUUUCAGGAAAAAAUACCUUCGGAAAGAUAGUUAAUUAAUCAUCCAAAGUUCAGGAAAAUUUCUAAGGCAACCUGUCUUUUGACUUCAUUUCCCAAUUCAAAUCGUUUAAUCAACAAAGCUAUCCAACCAUGGUUCAUUUAUGAAAUAAAGGUCUAAGAUACAUCCAUGAUACCUUUGGUAGGUGUUUAGCAUCAAGAACUUCAAUUAAUAAGAUCACUCCCAGGUUUUGUCCCAAACCAGUCCAAGUAUUACGGUUUUUCCAAAACAGUGCAGUCCUCUUGUUUCGGUCACAACUCAGUCAAUUUAACUCAGAAUCGAGCAUGGUUUAUGUCGUUGAAAAAUACAUUCAUAGGGCUAUAAUAUCACAGAAGAAAUCAUUUCAAAAUUUGGUGCCCAACUAGUUCAAAAUUGGGCAUCAAUUUGCUGCCUUAUCACUUCAUUCCAGUUGAACAGAGCAACAGGACAGCGAUCUUAAAACGUUUGGUUCGGCUCACUCACAAAGAAUCAGAACGUGCAUUUUAUCUCAAAUUAAAGCCUGAAAUGUCUAGUUUCCAACGCCACCAACGGCACAUGAUUUCGACAUCCGAGGACGGAGUUAUGGCCGAAUCACCACCGCUGGUCAGAGCCAUACGUGAACAGUUUCCAGAUUUGCUAGUUUCACAAAAAAAAUUCGUUUGCCCAACCAAACCUCAUUAUUUUUCAAUGAAAUUUUUCACACAUCUAAUACGUCAUAUAAACAUCAAAUUCAAGCCAUUAGGUCAUUAAAAAUUGGCCUUAAAAUGGCCGAACAAGGCAGGGGCAAAAUCGGAAACUUUUGCUUCUUGCACCCAAUGAAGUUUCUAUCAAUUUCACACCAUUAAUCCAUCAUUUUAACCACUAAACCAACAAUAUAUCCACCAUCAAUCAUCAAAUCAGCAACAACCCAAGAGUGGGAGUUCAUAGAGCCCACUUUCACAUUUUUCCAACAAUAUCAAGUCAUCUACUUAUAUGCAAGUACUUAGAGAUGCAUAUCUACUACUAUAAAUCAAGUUUAAGGUGAUGGAUCAUGUUAUACCUUCUUAAUGUACUAGAACAGAAUUUUUGGCCCUUGAAAUGCUCCAAGAAAUCGUGAUUUCCAGCACCCUUUUUGCAGCUCAAAAUGAUCUCCUAGUGUUAAGCUAAGUGUGGUGCAAGUUUGGUUGAAUUUGGAGAUGUUUUGGUGGUGGUUUGAGUAAGCUUUGUGAAGUAAAAUGAAGAACAAUGAAGCUUAAGAGAGAGAGAGAGCUAGUCGGCAGUCUUGAGAAGGAAGAGAGAGAGAGUGAUCAGAUUUUUAAGCUUCCAAGAGAAGAUACUAACUUGUGGCUACAAAUCACCCAUUAGUCAACUCACAUUAGGGGGCAUUUGGCGCGAUUAGGGCUCGUUUUCACGCGCGUUUGGUUCACUAGUGCACUAAGUCUCUAAUGCACUUAUUUUCAUGUAAAUAUUAUUCACUCUUAAUUGUCCCGAAAUAAGGGUCUAAAGUCCCUCAAAUAAAGUCGCGCGUAUGAAAACGCGUACCGUCAAUUUUAACGCUAUAACGCGAAACCUCCGAGAAAUUCUUAUAACAACCGUGCUACUAACUAUCACUUGAGUAUUUAUUCAUAAGAUUACCUAUUUUAGGACCAUAGUACAAGUCUCCAAUAUUCCAAACUUAUUGUGCUCCCACGCGGUAAAAUCUCCGAGCACUGUUCACUAUUUUUACUAAACGCACUCCAGGAAAUUAAUUUUUGAGACGAGUCACUUUAAAAAUAUAACGAAGUUAUAUUAUCAUGUAUUUAGGUCUAAUAAGACUAGAAAAUAUUUCUCGUGGUAAAAAUCCAAUUAAAUAAUUUAUUAAGCCAUAAGUUAGGCUAAAAAAAAUAAUAGUUUUUACGAGUCCUCACAUGGACGGCAUAAACCAAGGCUUGAAGUGACUCCUUGAAUCUCUUAACUCGUGCUCGUGUCACUGGGCCUUGGGGCACCUUUACAGGGUCUACUUGAGCACCAUGGGCCUCGUCCGCAUCAAUCAAUUAAUUCAGAUACAUGCAAGAAAUUUCGCAUUAAUGAAAGUUUCCUUUCAGAGUUAUUGUAAGGAACGGAAUAAAAAGUUAGGCUCUCUUCUUUUCCAAUCAAACAUUCUAUCGCUAGUUAUCCCUUUCGAGCCUUCAAAAUAAAAUACUUCGUUUGGCAACCACUGAGGAUCGCAAACUCCACACUGGGGCAAGUUUGAGUUGCAAAGGGAAGGAAAGUUUCAAGAGGUGAAAAGUGAUAAAGUAACAAAAGAAAAAGAGAAAAUGAAACAAAAGAGAACCUCGGUUAAGCAUAAACUGGGACAAAUUUUGAAAAGUUCAAAAGAAUGGCAAAAGGCCAAGAAGAAAAUAGAGAGAAGAAAAUGAAAGAGAAAAGAGCCUCGGUCGAGAAUAAAUUGGGGCAGGUUUUGAUUUAACCCUAAAAAUAGGGUUGGCGCAACAAUGCGAUCUCAGAUCAUUUAAACCACUUUUGAAAUCCGCUUUCAAGUUUUAACUUUUCUAAGCACCCCACCAGACCCCAUUACAAAAGCCGAAAGUCCUGACUUCUGUUUUUUGCAAUAUCUCUGUCAAGAAAUUUUCUAAUUGGCAAGUGAUGCUCAUAUAUUGAUGCCAAGGAAUUUUUAAAUAUAUUUGAAUUGAUUAGGCGUGAGGUUGACACUGCUCUUCAUGUGAAAACCAGCAAGGGCACUUUUGAAAAAAAGAAGGAAAAAGGAAAAAGCAAGCGAAAUAAAUGCAAAAGAAAAAUGCAAAAAGAUUCGAUGCUGAAAGUCCCUGUUGAGUGAUUAUAAAGUCAAACAAAGGUCGAGAUUGGGGCGAUUUUUGGGAGGAAAUGCGAUCUUCAAUGCAAUGUCCUUAAAAUCUUAUUUAUUUAACUAUCGUUUUCAAGCCACAUUACAAGCUCAUAAAGUCCAUCGCUGACUUAUCUUUCAUGACAAUUCGAAGUGAGGAUUAUGCUUCUAAGGAAUCCAUUAAUCAUUCAGGAUUAUAAGGCAAUAACCGGUUUCCACAUGCUUAACUGUCAUUUCUACCCAUAUGUUACAAGUUUAUAAAGCUUAUAUGUUGACUAAGUUUUCUUAAAAAAUAAGGGUGACAAACUAUUUGUUUUCACUAAGAUGUGAUAUUGAAGGGAUUACAUACAAUUUGGGCACAAGAAUAAGACAAAUCCUGACCUCUAAUUCCCCUUAGCCCCCUCAAAAUAAAAAAUAAGAUCACUUGAUUGGUCCUGAAAGAUGAGCUAACAAAAAAGAGGUGACCCAUUACCCUAAGUCUCGAUGUUAAAGUGAGGAAGAAAUCUUCUGUAAUUUGAUAUUAUUUUGAGAAAUUCAUCAUGAAAUUUUUUGUAUGAGUUUAAGCAAGAUGUUUAAUUUUCUUCACAUUAUACGUUAGGAAACAUAGUUUCUUACUUUGUUCAAAUAAAUGGAGAGUCAUCGAAACAAAAUUUUUGCAAUUGAAAGGGCCCACACUGGGGUAAAUUUUUGUAAUGCAUUUGAGGAUUUCGUCCAAGAGUCAAAUAAGAUAUUUUUGAAUCAAUCAUACUGCUCUUUACAUGAGUAAUAGGUGCAUCAAUCAAAAAAAUAAUAAGAAAUUUAAGUGCAUGUUGUACUUUGGUAAGACCCCUAUACAGGUAUUCAUGGCUGAAAUUGAUGAAGAAACAUUUAGUGAUGUGGAAGGCCGAUACCGGAAAAAGAGAAGAAAGGAAAAGAAAAAGGGCUCUACACUGGGACAAAUUAUUUUUUGAAAAGAAUCUCUCAAUCAAAAAAAAAUCCCAAAAAAAAUCAAAAGAUCAAAAAUCCAAAAAAAAAAAAUCAAAAGAUCAAAAUUUUAAAAAAAAAUCAAUCAAACAAAAAAAAUAAAAAAUAAAAAAUCAAGUUUAAAUUCUUGUUUCUUGGAAAAUCAAAUUUAAUUUCUUGUUUCUUGAAAAGUCAAAUCUAAUUUCUUAUUGGUGAGUCUCAGCGUCCGCUGCGCACCCUUCUACCUCAUUUCUGGACAACCACAUUUAAUUCACUGACUUCUACCACCGUUAGCAUCGAGUCUAUCUCACUAACGUGUGCGUUUUUAUUCAACUACCGUUAGCAUCGAGUCUAUCUCACUAACGUGUGCAUUUUUAUUCAACCACUGUUAGAAUCGAGUCUAUCUCACUAUCGUGUGCGUUUUUAUUCUACCACCGUUAGCAUCGAGUCUAUCUCACUAACGUGUGUGUUUUUAUUCUACCAUCGUUAGCAUCGAGUCUAUCUCAUUAACGUGUGCGUUUUUAUUCAACCACCGUUAGUAUCGAGUCUAUCUCACUAACGUGUGCGUUUUUAUUCUACCACCGUUAGCAUCGAGUCUAUCUCACUAACAUGUGUGUUUUUAUUCUACCAUCGUUUGCAUCGAGUUUAUCUCACUAACGUGUGUGUUUUUAUUCAAAUACCGUUAGCAUCGAGUCUAUCUCACUAACGUGUGCGUUUUUAUUCUACCAUUGCUAGCAUCGAGUCUAUCUCAUUAACGUGUGCAUUUUUAUUCAACCACCGUUAGCAUCGAGUCUAUCUCACUAACGUGUGCAUUUUUAUUCUACCACCGUUAGUAUCGAGUCUAUCUCACUAACGUGUGUGUGUUUUUAUUCUAUCUUCGUUAGCAUUGGAUUCAUCCCACUAACGUUAUUCUAUCUCCGUUAGCAUUGGGUUCAUCCCACUAACGUGCCUUUCUAUUUUCGAUUUUUUCGGCAGGCUCGAGUGUUAUCAUACUGACCGACUAUCACGGCAGGUUUGGGUUUAUCCCACUAACCGAUUCUCAAGGCAGGCUCGGGUGUUAUUCCACUGACCGAUUAUCAAGAUUAUUAAGGCAGGUUCGGGUUUAAUCCCACUGACUGAUUAUCAAGGCAGACUCGGGUUUAAUCUCACUGAUCGAUUGUCAAGGCAUUUCAUUCAUCACUGCCACUAAACAUGGGUUAGUCCCACUAGUGAGCACUUCAUUCAUCAUUGCCAUUAAACACGGGUUAAUCCCACUAAUGUACAUUACAUCUUAUCGUUAGACAUGGGUCAGUCCCACUAACACUUCAUUUCACUUCACUUCACUUCAUCCCGUUGGGUUUGGAUUUUGUGCCACCAACCUCGGCAGGCUUGGGUUGUAUCCCACUGACCGAUGUCAUAGCAGCUUCGGGUCAGUCCCGUUUUAAAUUUCUUGUUCGGGUCAGUCACGUUUUAAAUUCCUCAUUCAGGUCAGUCCCGUUUUAAAUUUCUUGUUCAGGUCAGUCUCGUUUUAAAUUUCUUGUUCGGGUCAGUCCCGUUUUAAAUUUCUCGUUCGGGUCAGCUCCAUUUUAAAUUCCUUGUUCGGGUUAGUUCCGUUUUAAUUUUCUUGUUCGGGUCAGUCCCGUUUUAAAUUUCUCGUUCGGGUCAGUCUCGUUUUAAAUUAUUUGUUUGGGUCAGUCCCAUUUUAAAUUUCUUGUUCGGGUCAGUCCCGUUUUAAAUUCUUUGUCUGGGUCAGUCCCAUUUUCUAAUUUUUUGUUAAAGGGGUCAGUCCUCAUUUUGAAAGCGUCAGUCAUUCGAGUAGUUUGCAGCAGAAUAACCACAGGUGAGUAUUUGGUGUCUACGUCUUUGUCUCAAAUUUCUUCGAAACUCAGACAAAGAGGGGUAAACUGUAGACACCAAAUUUUUAGCCUUUCUUUUUCUUUUUAUUUUAUUUAUUUAAUUAGUUGAUUUUGUUUUAAUUUUUGCUAAGAAAAUUGUUUUACUAUUAUUAAUUAAUUCAUUGAAAAAAAAGAAAAAGAAAAACUGUUCCAUGCGCUCGUGCUUGGCACGUGCGCCAUUUUCUUUUCUUUCAUGCAAAAAAUGCAAGCGAAAGGCGAAAACAGGGACAUAAAUUUGCAACGGCAUUUUUUUAAUCCCAGCCUCAUCUCAAAAAUGCCAUCCAAUGGCUUAAGUUUUCGGUAGAAACCCACCCUUCAUCCUCACCUUUGAGGUGAGGGUUUUAGGGACCUGGGGUUUCCUAUAAAAGAAAAAAGAGCAGCGGGGACAAAGGGUAAGAGGAGUCGGCGGCUGGGGCUGAGUAGAAACAACGGAGGAAAAAAGCAAAAAAGGGGGGUUUUUGGGGAGAGUAGUUGACAGCUGAAGGAAAGAGUGAAGGGAGAGUUUGAGGGUUAGAGAGAGUUUUGGAGAGGGUGACGGCCGAAAGAAAGAAACCAAGCGAGAGGAAACCAAGGAAAGGAGAAGCGACUUCAUCAACGUAAAGGGCAUUUCGUGGGUCUUCGUUUCCAGAAACAACGUGUUUGUCCUGAGACUAGGAGAGAAACGAAUCAAGAGUCUGAGGAAGACACAAGGGAGGAUCGGGGAACAAGCAAAGGAAAUCUGCAAAAUCUUGAAGAAGGCUUCGAAGCUGAGAGCGAGGGAAAGAGGACUGCUCGACGAGGAGGCAACUUUUGCAGCAAAAGUUCCCGAUCGCGUUCCUGGGAACCCGUACGCGUUUCCGGGCAGAUCUCAAUGCCGCUCAACCGUGCUAGCAUUCUCAGGUAAAAAUACCUCUUAUUUGGUGGAUUUUAACAUGUUUUUAUGAAAGAUAAAGCCAUCGGAUGUGAAUCUUUUUGUUUGCUACUGGGUCAAGCUCUCGCUGGUUCUAUGAUUCUGCCAUUUUGCUCGUUUGCUAAGAUCUGAUUCAGUAGGAACCUAUGAGAUGAGUUUGAUUAAGAACAUGGGGUUUAGGGUUUUCUAUAGUGGUCACCUGAUGAAUCCAUGAGUUCUUUGCUCGAUGUUUAUGGUCAGUCUUUGUGUGAGUAUUGGAGCAGGGACUGAAACCCGAAUUGCCAUCUCAACCUGAAUUGAACCCGAAGAACGUAAGCGCGAUGAGUACUGGAGCAGGGACUCUAGGUGUGUAAUGAGUUACUUGAUUCAUCCUAUUCCCGAAGUGUUUGCUUGACCCGAUAUACCAGAAUGGGAUUGCUUAUUCGCAAGAAACUAUUGAUUUGUAAACAGGGCAAGUAGGGUCGCAUCCUCAGGGACUGGAAAAAAUUCGUUUCUUUUCAAAUCCACAAUAACAAGGGGAUGUUUUUGGUAUAAACGAUGACAAUCAAAGGAGUUUAAAUAAAGAUAAAUAGCUAACUAGGAAUUAAAUGACAAUUUACUAAAAUCAGAGUAAUAAUAAUUAAAGGUCUAGCCAAGAAAUAACUUCAGCAAUGGUUCACCUAAUUGAUCAUCGAUGCAAAUGCAAUUCCAGUUAUUUACUAAUAAAUAGGUUAUAACUGUCAAACAAGCAAUGACAGUCAACCCCUUCUUACUGUGUCGGUGACUAAGGUACGCCCGUUAAUCACUACUCUAAUUGAGAAAUAAUCCUAAGUACGCCCGUAAGAUUUAAUUUUCCAAUUGCCUUACGUAUUAAAGAAGCCCUAUUCUAACCAAAUAACACACUACCAGGGUUAUUUUAGAUUAGCCUGCGCAUUCCCCUGACACAAACCCAAUCAUGCCAGUUGUCACUAUUUUAGGGCAAUUAAACAAUUACGAUUUAAUGCUCUAAUUGACAAUAGGUUACUAAACUAAUUCAUUAUCUGGAUCCAAGACAAUCAAUUAAUUAAAUAACCAUAAGUACUACAAUCAGGGAAUAUGCAAAUACCAAUAAAUAAGAGGAAAAGAUAAAUUUAAAUCGAUCUCACAAUUUUUAGAUGAACCAAAACCUCCGUUGUUUCUUGACCAGAAAAGGGAAUUUAAUUCAUCCCGGAUAGGAAAGACCCACACAAAGUUGCAGCAAUAGUUGCGGCCAUUGUCUCCAAGAAUUGGGAAAAUUCAAUUCGUUCGAAUCAAUAAGAAAAGCAAGCUACAGAAAAUAAUUACUGGUCUUCACUUUGUCUUGACAUACGAAGAAGGAAAACUACUAAGAGCCCACAAGAAGAAAAGUCAAAAGCUAAAACUAAAAAGUAGUGCCCUCUUGUUUCUCUCUAUUCCUAUCUAAUGCCCCCUGCUUUGCAGCUGCCCCGCGGCAGAAAAAGAGAGAGUCCAGCCUUGUUCCGUCUCUUCCUUCUUCGGUAAGUACCAAAAGGGGAAAAGUUCCCCUUUUCCAAAAAUGCCACUGGGAUGAGGGCUGCUACUUGAACUCCUUUCCUAAUGACUAUCAAAUUGGCACUUGUUGUGGUAUUUUUGUUCUACUCCCUGUAAUAAAUGUAAAUUUUCAAAAGUGAGUAGAAUCUAACAAUUAAUCCACAUCAGGUCAAGUAAUAAGAGAAAUUAAUAAUAAAAGAAAUGAUAAAAUUGCGACCUAUCAAAAUGGGAUGGAUGUUUAGAUAGGAAUUCUGUAGAGGGCUGGUAGCAGCCAUCCAAAGAGAACAAGUCCAUUUGUGGACAAAAUAAAGUGAAUGGAGAAUAUAUAUAUAUAUAUAUACGCUACAUGAAUAUUCAACAUAUACAAAAAUGUGAUCAAGAAAAAUGAGGAAUCUGACAGCCUAAUGCUUACUUGCUGCUUUUUAUGGUUUAACUUUAAAGAGACUUUGGUGUCUUGGUAGUUCGUAAUUUGAUUCGAGGUUGAUAAAAAGAAAUUUUUCAGAAAACGUGAAAUAGGGUAAGUAUCCUAGUUUAUUUUAGGUAUUGAAAGUUAAUAAAAAUGGAAAUUAUGGCAGUAAUCCUCUUCAUUUUUCCCCACCAACCAAAGCAACGAUUUUUAAGAAUACAAACAAGAUUUUAAAAAAUAGUUGUGGAGAAAACUUUUAACAAGUUUAAAAUGCAAAGUGUCCAUCAUAAUGUAGAAGAGCACAAUAAUUAGAACUCCCACGUUGGCUAAGCAAAAAUAUAUGUUUGCUCUAAUAACAUAUUACAUAUUAAAUUAUUUUACUAUGAGGUAGGGUACAUUUUUUUUAUAGUUUAGCAAACUAGAACAAAAUUAUAAUAAUUUUAAAUUAAUAUAGUUGCGUGGUGAAAUAUCAUCUGCGGCAAUAUAUAUAUAUAUAUAUACACACACACAUGCGCACGCACACUACUUAUUCAGUUGAAAAAAAUACAAGAAUUUGACAAUAUUGGUUAAUCAAAGAGCACCUUUAGUGACAUGAGAAUGAAAAUUGCUCCUAGAAUAUCUUCCUGAACUUUGUCAUUGAACGAUUGCUCAAAGAGUCUGUAAGAAAUUUAAUUCAUUCUAAUUUUGUCAGUAUUUAAGAAAGUAAGGAUGAUUGAAUUUGACUGCCAUUGUUUUCGAAAGAAUGACUCCACUCAUUAAAGAAUCAAGCCAAAAUUGAGACAAGUAUGAACAAACAAGCAAUUAGUAAUUUAUAUUGUGGUAAUACAAGUUUAUACAAAAAAAAAAGUAGGCACAGUGUAUUUUUUCUGCACCUGUUGUCUAAUAAUAUUAUCACCUUCCAAACUUUGUGGGUUUGUAAAAUGCAUCAAUUAUGGAUCUUGGAGUAAAGAUAUUAAGUAUUAACUAAAUUAACUAAUUAUUGAACUUAUACUCAUGGAAUAAUAAUUUUUUUUUGUAAUGUGCUAAUCUCUAGAAUAUUUGACUUUUAAUAUCCAGGUCUCCCAAUGGUGUGGAAAUUAAGUUGUUCUUCAACAUGCAGCUUCGUGGGACUUCAAGCAUGCCAAGAGUUUCUGGGAAAGAAUAGGUCAAGAUAAGUGACUUGGAGGAAUCUUCAAAAUCAAUACACUUUGUUGAAAUUGAAACUCUUGGAAGUAGCUUGACUGCAUUCAUACCAAAAAGUAAUUUAACAUAAUACUUAUGGACUUUCUCCAUCUCUUUUGUCAUUUCUUUUUCGAAAUUUAUUGUUUAUAGGAAAAAGAAAAAGUCGAUUCAAGAUAUGAAUCUAUGAACAGUUCAACAAUCUAGAUAAUAUUACUCAUUAACGAGAGAGGUUAAUCUAAAAGGACUGAGAUUCGUAGACCAACUGGUCACUACUCAUUACUCAUUAAUAUUCUAAUGUUUGCUUGCUUCUUUUUCAUGGUUUAACUUUAAAGUGAUUUUGGUGUCUUGCUAGUUUGUAAUUUGAUUCAGUCCGGUUGAUAGAAAGAAAUUGCUCAGAAAAUGUGAAAUAGGUUAAAAUAUCCCAGUUUGGUUUGGAUAUUGAAAGUUAUAAAAAUGGAAAUUAUGGCGGUGAUCCUCUUCAUUUUUCCCCACCAAUCAAAGCAGUGAAUUUUUUAAGAAUACAGACAAGAUUUGAAAAAAUAGUUAUCUAUAAUAAUGUAGAAGGGCACAAUAAUUAGAACUCCUAUAUAUGUUGGCUAAGCAAAAAUAUAUUUUUGUUAUCAUAAGAUCUUACAUACGAAACGAUUGUACUAUCAGGCAGGGUAGAUUUUCUUUAUAGUUAGCAAACUGGAACAAAAUUAUAAUAAUCUUAUUUUAAUAAAAUUGCCAAAUGAAAUAUCAUUUGCAAUGACAAUGUAUAUAUUACUAGUUUAAUUGACAAAAUAUAAGGAUUUGACAAUGCUAAUUUGAUUAAUCAAAGAGCACUUUUAGAAGAUAUUACGUUUACACGUAAAACUUAAAAGCCAAUUUAUUUAUUUUUUUUUGCUUUUCUAAAUUUAAAUUCUUUUUGCACGUGCUUCCACUAUUAUCUUGCUCUACAUUUGAGAAGAACUUCUUACAACUUUCUUCAAAUAAAUACCUUUUCCAUACAAAUCCCGCGCCUUUAUAUAAACAAUUACGCUGGUUACAAAGUUUAUCAAGCAAUAAUGAAGAGGCCGAUAACAUUUUAUAGUACCUUACUUUUCUUCUUUCUUUUACAUCCUGAAGAAGUGAUCACUUUCACUUUCUUGGAAGAUCAUUUGUGCCAUCAUGAUGAGGCUCUUGCACUGCUUCAGUUUAAGGAAAUGCAUAGCACAUCAACUGAUGCUUCUCAUGAUUGCAAUUAUUUUGGUCAGUACUCAUAUCCAAAGACAACACAUUGGAAACCAGAUACAGAUUGUUGCAAUUGGGAUGGUGUCACAUGCGACAACAUCACCGGUCGUGUAAUUGGGCUAGAUCUGAGUUGUGGCCAGCUUCAGGGAGUCAUCCAUCCAUACGCUACCCUUUUCAAUCUUUUCCAUCUCCACAGUCCCAACCUUACUUUUAAUGAUUUCACCGGCUCACGGAUUUCAUAGUGAUUUGACUCGCUAAAAAGUUUGAUCCACCUCAAUCUCUCAAAUUCAAAUUUCCAAGGUGAGGUUGCUUCAGAAAAUAUCACACCUGUUCAACCUAAUUUCACUUGAUCUCUCUUUCAAUCUCUUGUGUAAUUCUAUGGGUUGCUCAUAUCCAAGAUAUGAAUUUAGUAAUUUUGAAGCGAUGCUUCAAAACAUAACCCAUUUAAGAGAGCUAUCACUUUCGUCAGUGAACAUCUCAUCCGAGUUAAGGGUGAAUUUUUCUUCAUCUUUGACAUAUCUAGAUCUCUCAUAUACUGGAAUAACAGGUAAUCUACUAGGCAAUGUUUUUCAUCUACCGAACAUGCAAGUUCUCUCGUUAGAUAGCAAUGAGAAUCUUACUGUUAGUUUAUCAAACUUGAACUGCAGCAUUUCUGAUUCUCUGAGGCAGUUGGACCUAUCGGCGACAAGUCUCUCUGCUGCACUGUCAGAUUCAAUUGGGUGCAUAAGGUCCUUAAAUUCUUUGGAUCUAGGAACUUGUCAAAUUUCUGGUGUCAUUCCUGAAUCAAUUGUCUUCGGAAGAUAACUAUCUUCUAGGGAAAAUUCUAGCUAAAUUUUCCUGUUCACAAAAGCUAAGUAGACUAUCACUUGGUCUUUUUAGAUCUCUCUAGUAAUCAACUAAGCGGUUCACUUCCUCCAACAAUUUUUACUAUUCUGACUCUAUCUUAUCUUGACCUUUCUUCAAACCAUUUUGCUGGGGUUGGGCAAGACGUAUUUGUGGACUUCAAUAAGCUUCAAAAGAACCCUCUUGAGAAUGAAGCCCCACGGAACACUAAAAACAAUGUGAGCAUUUCCUAUCCAGAUUUCUGGCACUUGGGAUUGUCUUCUUGCCAGAUAAAGGAAUUUCCUGAGUCGCAUAGAAAUUCAAAGAGCUUAAAAUUUCUGGACCUCUCAAAUAACAGGAUUCACGGCGAAAUUCCAAGCUGGUUCAUGUUGAAGAAAAGGGUUCAGAUUGGGAAAAACUUCAAGCGUAUAUUACUGAUUGCAAUAGUCUGCUGAUAUAGUUACAAGAAUUUGACAAAAAAGGGAAGAUACAAUUAUUCCUAAAAUCAUGUAAUGGAAAGCUAAAACUACUCCUACAAUCACGUCAUGACAAAAACUUAUAUGGUAACAAUAUAUACAGCUAUAUGAUUGAAUAUCUCAACACUCCCCCUCAAGUUGGAACAUGGAGAUUGCGAAUGCCCAACUUGCUCAACAAAUGGUGGAACUGAGCUUUCCCAAGUGCUUUGGUGAACAAGUCGCCAAUUUGAUCACAUGAGCGAACGUGAGCAGUCUGCAACUCGUUACUUAGUAUGCGAUCACGAAUGAAAUGGCAAUCAAUUUCAAUGUGCUUUGUACGUUCAUGAAAAACUGGAUUUGCAGCAAUGUGUAGAGCAGCUUGGUUGUCACAAAAGAGAGACAUGGGUGAUGCUAAUGAAACUUUCAAAUCUGCAAACAAAGAACGCAGCCAGAGGAGUUCACUAGUAGCAUUGGCCAUUGCCCUAUACUCUGCUUCAGCGGAUGAGCGGGAAACUGUAGUUUGCUUUUUGGACUUCCAAGAAACCGGGCUAUUACCGAGGAAAACGAUAUAACCACUAGUCGAUCGUCGAGAUGUUGGGCAGCUGGCCCAAUCUGAGUCACAAUAAGCAAUGAGUUGCAGCAAACUAGCAGAUGACAAGAAUAUACCUUGGCCUGGUGCCCUUUUGAGGUAGUGAAGGACUCGAUAAGCUGCAUCCAAGUGAGGAACACGUGGAUCUUGCAUAAAUUGAUUGAGAACUUGUACUGGAUAGCUAAUGUCAGGUCGAGUUAUCGUCAAAUAAAGUAGCCUUCCAAUGAGACGACGAUAUUGACCAGCAUCUUUAACUACUGCACCAACUCCCGCUGCCAAGUUGUGUCGUUGUUCCAUAGGAAAGUCAGCAGGACUUGCGUCGAGAUGACAAGUCUCUUCAAGGAGGUCUAGAGUGUAUUUUCGCUGGCUAAGUACAAUUCCUUCCUUAUUACGAGCCACCUCAAUACCAAGAAAAUAUUUGAGUUGCCCAAGAUCUUUGAUGCGAAAAGCUGAAUCAAGAUGAUGCUUCAUAUGAUUGAUGGUGGUUGAAUCAUUUCCAGCCACAAUAACAUCAUCUACAUACACUAACAAAGCAGUAAAGUGUGCUCCACUGGUGAAUGUAAAAUGUGAAUUAUCUGUAGCAGAUUGACUAAAACCAAUACUCUACAAGCAACUAGAAAAUGUUUGAAACCAAUUUCUAGAGGCUUGUUUAAGGCCAUAAAGGGACUUUCGAAGUCGACAAACCCGAUUGUCACCUGGUUUUGCAAAGCCUUGUGGUAUUUUCAUGUAUACCUCUUCACGUAGAUCUCCAUGCAGGAAGGCAUUAUUAAUGUCCAGCUGAUGUAAUUCCCAAUGUCGUACUGCAGCCACAACUAAUAGACAACGUAGAGUUGUAAGCUUUGCAACUGGAGCAAAAGUAUCAUGGUAAUCGAGUCCUUCAACCUGUGUAAAACCUUUAGCAACCAAACGUGCCUUAAACCGCUCAAUUGUGCCAUCAGACUUGUACUUGAUUUUGUACACCCACUUGGAAUCAAUGGCAUGCUUACCAGGUGGUAGAUGCUCUAAUGUCUAAGUUUGAUUCUCCUCCAGUGCCUUAAUUUCUUGCUGCAUAGCAAGUCUCCAACGAUGAUCCCUAACUGCUUGGGAAAAAAACUUUGGUUCGUCUAAUGAAGUGAUGGAGGCCAAAAAAGCUUUAUGGGCAUCAGUGAAAUGAGAAUAGGACAAGUUAUGAGAGAUAGGAUAAAUUGUACCUGAGUUUGCUGAUGGAGGGGACUCCCGAGAUGGUUCCAAGGAGGGUAACAACUUAUAAUCAAAACCAGAAAGCUUUGUGGAUACAUGCCUUACUCGAUGUGGACGCUGCAAGGAAGGAAUUAUAUUUCCACUAGGGCUGCCAGUAUCUGGUUGUAGUGUAGAAUUAUCUUUUUCAUGUUGGGUUUGUUGGGAAAAUGUAUGUUCAAUAGGAGAUGGUGUGGUGUCCAUCGAAGUGGAGUUUAUAGGAGGUGGAAUUGGGUCAGAUUGUGAGUAAUCAUGCUGAUCUAUAUGGGGUUGCACACUCCACAUUGAAGGUUUAGACUCGUUAUUUCAUUGAAAAGGAAAUUCUGUCUCAUAAAAUAUCACAUCCCGUGAUACAAAUACUUUUUCUCUUUCCAAAUCAUAGACUUUAUAGCCCUUUUGUCCAUGGGGAUAACCAAGAAAAAUACACCGAUAGGCUCUAGUAGAGAAUUUAUCUCGGUGUUUGUCAUGAUUAUGAGCAUAACAAAGUGAUCCAAACACCUUCAAAUGAUUGUAGUUGGGUUUACUUUUGAAAAGUACCUCAUAUGGGCUCUUGCCUUUGAGAGUGGGAGUGGGCAUCAAAUUGAUAAGAUGAACUGCUGUCAAAACACAUUCUCCCCAAAAUUUCAAAGGUAAAUGGGCUUGAAAACGCAAUGCUCGCGCAACCUCAAGAAUGUGGCGAUGUUUGCUCUCCACUCGCCCAUUUUGUUGUGGAGUAUCAACACAAGAGGUUUGAUAGUCAAUCCCUUGACUAGCAAAAAAAUCUCUCAUGGUCCUGAGACAAAUUCACUCCCAUUAUCACUUCUCACAACCUGUACUGGGUAACCAAAUUGAGUUUGUGUAGAUUGGCAGAACAUGGUUAGAAAAUCAUAGGCCUACAAUUUAUUUUUCAAAAGAAAGACCCAAGUACAUCGUGAAAAAUCAUCAAAAAUAGUUAAGAAAUAAUGAGCACCACUAAGUGAUAAGACAGAAUAUGCUCCCCAAAGAUCAACAUGAAUCAAAGCAAAAGGUUUAACACUUUUCUUAUUGCUGUUUGGAAAAGACAAUCUUGUUUGUUUGGCCCUAUGGCAUACAUCACAAAUGUGAUUAAAAUUGCUAGGAAAAGGAAUACUAGAAAUUAAUUUUAAUCGGCUAAAGGAAGGAUGACCCAAGCGCAUGUGCCACAAGGUAGCAUCAGAUUCAGUAACACUAAGACUUGCGAGCCCGUGGCCUCCUUCUAAUUGAUAAACCCCAUCUCGGAGCCUACCCACUCCAAUCAGCAUCCUCGUACACAGGUCCUGAAAAAAAACAAGAAUCAGGAAGAAAGGUUGCUGAGCAGUUUAAUUCCUUUGUAGCUUUGGCAAUAGAGAGGAGAUUGAACUUGAAACCAGGCACACAAAUAACAUUUUUCAAAUUGAUAUUUGGUGUUAGGUAGGCAUUACCAACGUGAGUUACAGGGAGACUAGAGCCAUUUGCGAUUCUCACAUUUGGAUAUGAAGAGAUGCAUUUAACAUUGUCAAGUAUACUUUUGUCUCCAACCAUAUGGUUAGAGGCACCAGUAUCCAAAAUCCAUGAGUUAUGGAAUGAAUUGCAUUUACCUGCAAAGUUGGCCAAGGCCUCAUUAUCAUGAUUUGGUGGUCCAAGGAUUUGCAUGAGUUUGUUGUACUGGUCCAUUGUCAAUCCAAGAGGUUGUUGUGACUGUGACUUCUCACUUGGGUUGAUAAAUUGGUGGUCAGUUGCUGCUAUGUUGCCAUAGAUUUGCAUCUGCCCUGAAUUGUUCUUGCCUCCACCACAAUUGCCACCUUUGCUUUGUUGAUUAUUCUUCCAAUUUGCUGGAUACCCUAUUAUCUCAAAGCAUUCUUCCUUGAGAUGUCCCAUUUUCUUGCAAUGUUCACACCUUUUACUUGAUCGACUUCUUGGGGCUUGACUCCUGGUAUUUUCGUUGCCCCUACGAUCAGUUUUUGCUGCAAAAGCCGCUCCUUCCAGGCUGUGUGAUGUUUGUUCAUUUACUUGUACAAAGGAUUGCUCUUCUUGUAAAGCCAAGGAAAACAGUUUACUGAGUGAAGGUGUAGGUUCCAUGGACAGCACAUUAGAUCUCAACCGAUCGAAAUUUCCAUUCAAUCCCAGUAGAAAUUGAAGGGCUUUUUCUUUUUCUCGGCGUAAUAAGUGAUCCUUGGCUGCCUCGCAUUUGCAAUAAGGCAAUGGAUCAUAGAUUUACAGUUCUUGCCAUAAGGUUUUGAACUUGGUAUAAUAUUGAGUUAAAGGCUGCCCAUCUCCUUGUAACAUGUUGGAAAAUUAUUUUUUUAUUUUAUAAAGUCGAGGUGCAUUACUUUGUCCAUACCUUUCACAAAUCUCAGUCCAAAUUUCUUGUGCCGUGCCGGUGUAGACAACGCUCUCUUGUAUGUCCUUGGCCAAGGAAUUCCUCAGCCAUGCUCUAACCAUUGCAUCAUUCUUCUUCCACCGUUGAAAGUCUGGUGACUUUAGAUCUGGCACUUCUAGACUGCCAUCAAUGAAACCACCCUUGCCUUUGGCAUAUAGGGCUGUUUCCAUGGUGCUUUUCCAUGCUGCAAAAUUUUCUCCUGCGAAUGGUGUGGAGACAAAUUGCAGCCCUGGAUGAUCUGAAGGUACAACACAUAGGGGGAGUCAUCAUAGAUUGUAACCUCUCCCCCUUUCGUUGAAUUCUCUGGAGUUGACAUAUUUUAUUGUCAACAAUUGUUAAGGCUCAACCUGCUCUGAUGCCAUGAAGAAAAGGGUUCAGAUUGGGAAAAACUUCAAGCGUAUAUUACUGAUUGCAAUAGUCUGCUGAUAUAGUUGCAAGAAUUUGACAAAAAAUGGAAGAUACAAUUAUUCCUAAAAUCAUGUAAUGGAAAGCUAAAACUACUCCUACAAUCACGUCAUGAUAGAAACAUAUAUGGUAACAAUAUAUACAGCUAUAUGAUUGAAUAUCUCAACACAUGUCCAAGACUUGGGAUAAUUUGCCCUACUUGAAUCUUUCGCAUAACUUUUUGACUGGUACCAUAGACCAACUACGGUGCAAACAUCUGUUGCAUCUAGAUAUGAGUUUCAACUCACUUCAGGGUCAAAUGCCUUCUUCUAUCUGUAACUCAACUUCUCUUUUCAUUCUUGAUUUGUCAUAUAACAAUUUGGUUUCCCGAAUCCCUCAAUGCUUGGGAAACUUCAGCCAGAAGCUCUCCGUUUUGGAUUUGGGAAAUAAUGGACUUUUUGGCACCAUUCCCACAACUUUUUCACAAGGUAACUCUCUGAAUAUUCUUAUGCUGAAUGACAAUCAACAAGAUUGAUGAUAGAUUUCCAAUUUGGUUGGAAUCUCUACCUAAUCUACAGGUUUUCAUAAUCGAUUUCACGGAGGAAUUGGUAAUUUUCAAACUGAAAGCCCAUUUCCGCAGCUGAGAAUCAUCGAUGCAUCCUGCAAUGAGCUCACUGGUGUUCUACCUACAGAACUCUUCAAAAGCUUAGAAGCUAUGAGAAGCUUAAAGGAUCACCCUGGGCAAUAUAGGUCAGAAACUGGCUAUGAGCUUGAUUAUUACAUCCAUUCCUUGACUUUAGUAAUCAAAGGGACGGAGUAUAGUCUUGAAAGAGUCCUGAUAGAUCGAACAGCCAUUGAUUUCUCAAGCAACAGAUUUGAAGGACAAAUUCCAGAAAUUAUCGGAACCCUUCAUUCUCUUCUUAUACUCAAUUUCUCUCAUAACAAUCUCAGUGGUCAUACUCCCCGGGCAUUAGGGAAUUUGAAUAAGCUUGAAUGUCUAGACCUCUCUUGGAACCAGCUUGAGGGAACUAUUCCUGUGGAGCUUCUGAAUCUGACAUUCCUUGAAUUCUUACACCUUUCAGAAAAUCAUCUGAUUGGACCCAUUCCUCGAGGAAGACAUUUUGAUACAUUUGGGAAUGAUUCAUGCAGAGGGAACUCGGCCUUGUGUGGAUCACCAUUGACUAAAGAUUGUGGAAAUACAGGGGCACCACCACCAGCCUCGCCAUUCGGAUCUGAGCAACAAUAUGAUCCAGAGUUCUUUGAUGGAUUCACCUGGAGAGCUGUUGUUCUGGGAUAUGGUUGCGGAUUAGUGCUCGGACUAACCAUGGGAAGUCUCGUGUUCUUAACUGAAAAACGAAGAUGGUUCAUAUAGAUUGUUGAAGAGUCGUACAAUCUGUGAAAAAGAUCGAGGAAAUAUGUCCACAUACGAACUUGAGAACAGCAAUGCAAUUUACAAAAUUGGUGGGCAAAACAUACUCUCUUCUGCAGCUGUUGUCUAAUAAUUUUACUUCCUCUGCAUAAUUUCCAUUUUCAUAAUCAAAUAUCCUUGGAAAUGAUAACUUUUUUCUAUGGCUAAUCACCAGAAAAUUUGACUUUUUAUGUCCAGGCCUCCCAUUGGAGUCGUAACUAGGAAGGAUCAGCAGUAAAACUGGCUUUGUUUCAGUUCCAGUUGUAUGUAUCUGCUAUGCACGUUUUAAGGUUCUAAUAGUUGCUUCUUUUUAUGAUUGUCAAGUUCCAGGUGCAAAGAGAUUCUGAUUCCUUGCAACUUUAUCUUUUGCUUCAUGGUUAAAAAUGAAAUCAAGAACAUGUUCAGAAAAUAUGAAAAAAGGGUAUAUCCCAGUUUGGUUUGCACAUUGAAAGUUGUUCGAUGAAAAUUAUGACAAUAAUUCUCUUCAUUAUUCCCCACCUGCCAAAGAAGUUAUCUUUGAGACUACAAACUAGGCUAGUGUGCUUUAAAAUGCUUUACAUUGACUAAUCAACAACGAAGAUGUUCUUCAACUUGCACCUUUGUGGGACUUGAUUUGGAACAGCUUUGCACCAUUCGAACUUCAAUCGUUUACUGCCACAGCUGGUAUGUGUGAACAGAGAGAGACUAAUCCAAGCCACUUUUCUUGACUUUGUGGAAAAGAACAAGUCAUCCUCAGUCUUUUGCAAUAAAUUAUAGAUAAGUGAAGCCUAGUCUUCAUCCAAAAUUGUCAAAAGUGAAAUUCAUGGAUGCAACUUGAACAUAACUUAUUCUUCACUGGACCUGAAAAUUAGAGCACCAGCGACCAGCUUAAUCUUAAUUGGCUUUGGAGCUUCCACGCCAAAUGGUACGACAAUUUUGAGAAAAGGGAAGGGAGAGUUAUAGAUUUCAAGAGAAUGAUCUUUUUUCACACUACCAAAUUAGGGUCUACUAACAAAAUUUAUAGUGAAGUUCUUCAAAUCAAAUGAUCAAUCCACGAGACAAAAUCUAAUAGCAUGAACUAACUCGAAAAUAAGGUUGAGAUCUCUAUUUUAAAUACAAAAGACAAUUCACAUAUCCGAGAUAAUGAGUCAAGGAUAACCAUAUAAUAAAGCACAUACAACCACAAACUUCAAACAGCAACAAGUAACCAUGAAAUGCUUCAUGAUCCAAUUAACACAAGAAAAGCAAGAUAGUUAAGUAAUCUUAACAGAAUGCUUAUUGACUUUCUACAUCUCUUUAAUCAUUUCUUUUUCCAAUUUUUUUUUUUGUUUUACAACAAAACAAAAGUGAAUUCCAGAUAUGACCCCAUUACAGGUUCAAAAGUACAGAUAAUACUCAUGAACGAAAAGGAAUGAGAUGGGUAGGCCACUUUGGCCCCAUAGCUGUGACAAUUAGUGGACUCGUUGAUCCAAAGGCAUUUAUGGUGGAAAUGAAUUUAGAACGUAAAUGUAGUUUCUUGGCAUUACAAGUCUUUACAAGCCUAAUGAAGAUAGCAAAUAAUUCAUAUGGAUGCUACGACUUUUCAGAGGAGCUAAGGCCCAUUCUAAUUAGCCAUUACUCAUGAAAGGGAUAGUUAGAUAGGAAUUUAGUAACAUAGUGAUAGAAGCCAUCCAAAGAGAACCGGUCCAUUUGUGCACAAAGCAAAGUGAGUUUAGGAUAUAUAUGCUACACCAACAAUCUGCACAUACAAAAUUUGAUCAAGCAAAAUGAGGAAUCUAAUAGUUUAUACACUAGUGCUCCUUUCUUUGCAAUCUCGAGAAAUUACCAGUUUGUCUUCCUUUUUACCUCAUUUGUGUCACCAUGAUGAGAGUCUUGCUCUACUUCAGCUUAAGCAAAUGUUUCAAAAAUCAACAGAUGCUUCUGCCUACUGUGAAAAUGCAUAUCCAAAGAUGAUAUCAUGGAGCAAAACUUCUGAUUGCUGCACCUGGGAUGGGGUAACAUGCCAUAGAGUUACAGGUCAUGUAAUUGGCAUAGACCUUAGUUGCUGCCAACUUCAAGGAUCCAUCUAUGCUAAUAGUAGCCUGUUCAAUCUUUCUCGCCUCCAAAAGCUUAAUCUAGCUUACAAUGACUUCAAGAAUUCACCAAUUUCUCAUGGCAUUGGUGGCUUGACUAGUUUAACAAACCUCAAUCUCUCCAAUUCCAAUUUCUACGCUCAAAUUCCAUCCCAAAUAUCUUUACUGUCAAAUUUAGUUUCACUCGAUCUCUCCCAAAAUCCUAUUGAGUUUGAACAUCAGGAUUUCCAACUGCUUCUUCAAAACUUAACUCAGGUUAGAAUACUUUCUCUUUCUGACGUUAGUAUCUUCUCCGAGUUCCCUAAGAACUUUUCUUCAUCUUUGACAAUUGUGGAUCUUGGUCAAACUCAAGUUUAUGGUAAGCUACCAGACCAUAUUUUCUAUCUAGCAAAAUUGCAACAACUCAUACUAAAUGGAACUCAAGUCACUGGAAGUUUACCGAACUUGAACUGCACUGCUUCAUACAUGUUGUCGUACUUAGAUCUUGCUUACACAAAUUUUUCUGGGGAACUUCCCAACACAUUUGGCUGCUUGAAGUCCUUGAACGCCAUGUUGCUCGAUGGAUGUCAGUUCACUGGUCGCCUUCCUGAGUCAAUUGGAAACCUUUCUCAGCUCACUACGAUGUCUCUGACUCAAAACAGUUUCAGUGGGCCUCUUCCAUCGGUGAUCUCAAACCUUGUCCAACUGGAAGUUUUAGACCUUACAGGCAACCAAGUGCAAGGCCAAAUACCAGAUUGUUUCACAAAUCUCCAAAAAUUAACUCAAUUGUCAUUGCGAGACAACCAUUUGGUUGGGCCUUUCCCAUCCACCAUUGCGAACCUUACCAAUCUCCAGACGCUAGAUCUACAAUCCAAUUCGAUAACAGGUCCUCUUCCAUCAAACGUGAGUGGCCUUCAGGAAUUGUCUUUUCUAUAUCUUUAAAACAACUUGCUCCAUGGCACAGCACCGACAUGGUUAUUUAGCCUGCAGUUACUCACAACUUUGCUUCUCAAAAACAAUCUCCUAACAGGACAAAUCGAAGAGCUCAAUGGAAUGUCACUGAUGAAAAUUGAUUUGAGUAAUAACCAAUUAUAUGGUCAAAUUCCUAAAUCAAUUUCAACACUCCCAUUUUUAGAUUUCCUUGACCUCUCAUCAAAUAAUUUGAGUGGCGUGCUUGAACUAUCCAGUGAUGGUCUUGAGUACCUUGUUCUCUCUAAUAAUCGAAUAUCAUGGAGCACCAGCGGAAAUGUCAGCAACUCUUUACCAAACCUUUAUCGUUUAGAGCUAUCUUCUUGUGAGAUGAAGGCUUUCCCAGAAUUUCUCAGAAGCUCAAAGAAGUUAGAAGUUCUACAGCUCUCUGACAAUAAGAUUCAAGGUCAGAUUCCCAGCUGGGUGACAUCCAUGCCUUGGGAUUCACUUCUGUAUCUAAAUCUAUCUUAUGACCACCUUUCUGGGAUGGAUGCAUUACCUUGGAAGAAUCUAAGGGUUCUAGAUGUUCGAUUCAACCAAAUCCAAGGACAAUGGCCUUUUUUCAUUUGCAAUUUGAAAGCUCUAGCAAUUCUUGAUUUGUCAAGGAACAAAUUUACUGGUGCAAACCUCGGUGUUUUGGGAACUUUUCUAGUUUUGUGGUCCUGAAUUUGGAAGGAAAUGGCCUGCAAAGGACCAUUAAUUCAAUGGUAUUUGCAAAAGAUAUCAGAUUGAGAUAUCUUGGUCUGAAUAGAAAUUUCUUGGAAGGGCCGCUGCCAGAAACUUUGGCCAACUGCAAGUCCUUGAUGUGGGGAACAACCGUCUGAAAGAUAUAUUUCCUGCAUGGUUACAAAAUCUUACGGAGCUCCAAGUUCUUGUGUUGAGUUCUAACAGAUUCUUUGGACCCAUAAGCAUUUUCAAGGCUAAGAGUCCAUUCCAAAAGUUGCAAAUCUUCGCCCUCUCUUGCAAUGAGUUCAGUGGUGUUCUAUCUACAGAACUUUGGAAAGCUUCAGGGCUAUGAUGAGCUUACAAAGCAACAAAUCAGAAUCUAAAUACUUGCAUGCAACCGGUAAUACAACAAAUUAUCUAUACUCUGUCAGCAUGACAUCCAAAGGCCAUGAGAUUGAGUUCACCAAAAUCAUUAGAACUCUCACAACCAUUGAUCUGUCAAGCAACAUGUUUCAUGGGAGGAUCCCAGACGUCAUUGGAAAUCUCUACUCCCUCAAGUUGUUGAACUUAUCCAACAAUAACUUUUCUGGCCACAUUCCACCAGCUAUUGGGAACCUGAAAUUUCUUGAAACAUUAGACCUUUCAAGAAACCAAAUUGGAGGAGAGAUUCCAAUGCAGCUAACGAAUCUUACAUCUCUUGAAGUCCUAAACUUAUCAUGCAAUCAUCUUAUUGGGCAAUUCCUCAAGGCAAUCAAUUGCGCACACUUGGUGAAGAUUCAUACAGCGGAAACUCAGGAUUAUGUGGAUUCCCAAUAACAAAAAGCUGUGAAGAAAUGCAUGUGCCACAAGCGCCCCCAGAUGAGGCAUUGGAACAAGGCGAGGAUUCGAGUUUCAUGGGUGGAUUUACAAGGAAAUCAGUGCUCAUAGGAUAUGGUUGUGGACUUGUUCUUGGCAUAGCUUCUGGUUUUCUAAUGUUUGCUACUGGAAAACCAAGAAGAUUGGUAAGAUUCAUUGAAGAAGAAGCAUAUAGUAAUAGUGUACUCUUGUUUGGAAAGAGAAAAACUGUAUAAUCAGCUGAAAAAACCAAUAACAUGUCACGAGCGCAUGGAAGAAGAAACUAAAUAUCCAGAUAAAUGAGGUAACUAGAACAUACAUUCUGUGAUUUUAUAUUGUUUCCUUGUACAACUUUGUUAUCUAUAUCAUCAAAUGUUUACAUUCUUAAGAUAAACUGUACUUCUUACAGUUGCCCAAUUUAUAUUCAAGCACUUACUAUCUUUGUGCUUAAUAAGCUAUUAUUCAUACAGCGGGUCUGGUUUUAUAUUUGUAUAGCUGAUAUCAAAUUUUUGGAGCAUGUCUCGUUGCCCCAUUAUUCAAAAAUAACAGCUUUAAGAUCUCCAGUCUAUGAACCAAGAUAUCACUCAAGGCCAUAACCAAAAGGAUGACCUCACAGGAUCCAAAGCCAUUUCUGAUAAUUAGUGAGACUGAUAGUUUCUUGGGUUUUCACUGAAUUUCUGAUUCAAUGAAUUAGAAUAGACAGCUUUAAGGAUAUGAUACCUUUCUUUUUAUUAUUCUCAUUUAUUGAUUUGAUCAAUUCAUCUAAGCAAUCACCAUUGUUGUAGUUUAAUGUGCUUACCUUUCAUUUUUGUAGGUGGAGAAAUUUGGGAAAGAGAACUUUUCAUUCCACGUUAGAUGUCUUAAGUAUUUGUGUUAGACCUAUUAACCUUUCACGGUUCUUCAAGUGCUGUCAAUUACUAAACUCAUAGAAAUCAAAAUCCGCUUCAAAAUUUCUCAUAUUAUGUCCUUUGUUCUUUUCAUGUGUGAAUCUUAGUGUGGUUUUGUAACACUUUGUAGAAGCUCAACAAUUGAUUACUAGAUUCAGGUUUCUAAAAGAUAGUCUCCAUUAAUUAUAUGAUUUAGGAAACCCAAAUUAAUGGUGAAAAUAAUAAUUACAUUUUUCAGAAGCUCCUAAAGGUAGGAACUAAUAUUGAAAUUCACCUUUAUGAGACGGUACAGACUCUAUACAUUGGCACAUCCCAAAAUUAUUCUGAAAAUGAUCCAGCUUUGUGUCAAAGUUCAUUAAGGGUACACAAGAAUGUCCAACCACAAGCUAAAAAUUAGUUUUACUAGAACUAAUUUUUAUUAAACUUCAAAACAUAAGCUAAAUUAUUUAACAACAAAAUAGCAAUGAAUUGAGAACAUAGGAUUUGUAAUUCAACAAAAAAGAGGAAAUUAAGGAUUAUGUGGAUUUGCACAAGUACAUGUAACUUGAUGUUACUGUUGGAUCUUUUAAUUGGAAAUAAAGGAUGGCUUACCUAAUUAAAUUUACCACUACCAGGUCAACCUUCUUGCAGUUUCAGCAUUGUUUUUUCAAUAACUCAGCUUCCCCAUGGAUUUUGCUGCAUUCAAAUAAUUUUGUCCUCAGCGUCAGAGAGAAGUCAUAGACAAGUAAUUUGAUUGAUAAGAAACCAACAUGUCAGGCCAUUCAAUUAACUUCUUAAUCAUGUAACUCACCGUUGUGCACAGAAAUAUGAGACUCUAAAAGACAAACCUUGAAAUAGCAUUUCUCCAUUCACGUUUAGUUUGAUUUUAUGAUCUAAAGUAACUGCUGGUGUACUUGCAACACAAAAUGAGAAGACUAACGUGCUUUGUGCAUCAGUUGAAUGAAGCUAAAGGAAAGCACCAACAAAGUGCCCUGCGUCUGGUGAACAAAAGCCACAUAUGGCAACACGAUGAACAUCUCCAGCUCCACGACAAACCUAGUUGCAAAGUUACCCAUUAAAGAACAUAAAAACGAAAGUUGAAAACUUUCUGAUCGAACAUCUUUAAAACCAACAGAACAAUCUUCCAGAAGGAGCAAGUCAUUCUGAUUCUUGUGCAAUCUUUUAUCAAUCCCACAAGGGUGGAACAAAACCUAGAAGUGGAUUCAAUUAAUAACUCUAUGGUGACAAAUUGUCAUCAAAAGAUUUAAGCUCUGAAGGAAACAACUAUAACCAAAAUUUUAAUUGUGGUAUAUACAUCUAAAUGAAAGCAAUUUCAAAGUUUGAGGAGCCAAAAACAUCAGCAAGAAUGAUGAUUGCUACCCAUAAAAGGAAAAAGAAAAAAAAGGAUAAGAUCAGCAGCUCUACUCAGCCACCACUCAAACUGAUUGCAACAUAGCUAGAACAUGUUGACACUCUGCCUAAUCUAAUUAACGAGAAACUGGCAUGUCAUACAAAUGCACUUCUGGACACGCAAUUGCGAGAAACUGGCAUGUCAUACAAAUGCAAUUGAUAUAAAUUUCUGCUGACAUGGGAACAAAAUGUUGAUCUCAGCAUCCUGGCAGUAUACUUCAUGGAUGGAAUAGUUGGAAAAUUGUAUUCAGCAAGUCAUGGAGCCUGAUGUUUCCAAGUCACUCUCUUCACUCCCAGCAAAUUUAAUAGAUCUGCCAAAAAGAGCCAUCUUCUCUGACAAAUUACGAAGAGCAUCCUGCCUAUUAGCCAAUUCCAUAAGCACCUUAAUCCUCCUAAAUGAAACAUUACUUGGUUUUUGCCCUUUCUCCACCAUCUGCAAGAAAGACCUCUCAGCCUCAUCCAACUUCCCCAUGUCACAAAGCAAAUCAAACAAAACGUCAGAGACCAAUAUAUAAGAGCCAUACCCCAUCUCCACCAUAUCAUUCCAUAGCUCAAGUCCCAUUUCAACCUUCUCGUGCCUUCUCAACAACCUGAUCAAAAACAUACAAGAUUGAGUGUUUGGUAGACACCCUGUUUCCCUCAUUCUCAGGUACAAGUUCCAUGAACUUAUCAAAUCAUUCCACCAAUAAAAGUCCUCAACAAAAUAUUUUAAGUAGUUGCAUUUGGGCUCAACACCUUCUUUACCAUCUCAUUCAUCAAACCAUAGGCAUCCCCAAUCCUCUUUGCAAUACAGAAAUUUCUAAUAGCAGCAUUGUAAGCUGCCACAUCAGGAUAGCAUCCAUACUCUCUCAUCUCUUCCAAAACAUCCCUUGCCUUAUCAGGUUGCCCCACAAGCCCCAAACCACCAAUCAAACUCGUAUAUGUAAUCACAUCUGGACUAAUAUCCCUCUCCCUCAUCUCCUCCACCACCCUAUACGCCUUAUCCAUUUCUCUCGUCUUACAAUACACAUCCACCAAACACUAUCAGGUUCAACCCCCAUUUCCCUCGUCUCCUCAAAAAAGCCCUCGGCCUCAUCAGUUGACUUCCAACCAGCCAACAAUAUAUUAAAAGUCUGCAAAUUCGGCCUAAAUUCAUGCUUCAAGUUAUGAUACACAUUCCUGGCAUCACUCAUCCUCUUCUCUUGACACAAUGUCCUAAACAGUGCAUUGUAACAACUAGUAUCAAACUCCAAAACAAGCCUUCGAAACCGCUUAAACGAAAUCACAGUCUGCUUAACUGAACAAACCUUAGCAAUCCUAGCUAAGACAACUUGAACAGUUCUUGAAGUGAUCGAAGAUUGAUCCUUUUUCUUCGCUUCCACCAAAACCUCCCAAAUAUUAUCAAAUUUUCUGCUCCUACCCAAAACAUACAGCAUUGUAUCCAAAGAAAAUGCAGAAUGCAAAAACCCCUUUUUCCUAGAUGUAAACUUAAAGAAUUCCAAAGCCUGUAAUGGAUUAGAAUGAGAAAAUCUGACCCUUUUCAGAACAUUAUCAAUUAAGUCAUUUGAGAAAGGGAUUGAAGCUGCUGCUGAUCUCAGUGACUGUCUGAGUUCAACUGAGGUUCUUGAACUUGUUAGUAUCCGAAAAACAGUCUCAACAUCGUCGUUUACAGCAGGGGAGGAAGAAGUAAAAGGCGGGAUUUUUUCAAUUUGGGGAAUGGAACUAAAGAAAAGAAGUGAAUUUAAACAGGCAUACCUUACUGUUGCCGUUGAUGAUGUACAAGAGUGAAGAAAAAUGGGAUUUCUGAUAAAAAGAUGGAGCAAUUUUUUUGGGAUGAAAUCUGAAUGAAGACAAGAACCAAAUAUUCAGACUCUAUGCUACUGCUGCUCCUGCAGGUUUUCCCUCAAGUAUUCGAAUGCAUGAAAUUUUUGGGAUUUUUGUGAUUUUGGGGUCAUUUUUUAUGCUGUGGUUUUGCCGCAAAGCGAUUCUUCCAGCUGAAUUGAAGUGAAAGUUACACUUCAGGGAUGCACCUCUGUAUUCUUUUGUUUUCCUCUUUUUUGCCUUUUUUUUUCCAUCGGCGAAAUAAAAAGAGAAAAAAAAAGUAGGCUAAUACCAUAAAAAUGACCAUAGUUUUAGAACCAUCAGAUCCAAUUACUUUUAAAGGUCAAACUAGGAGGGGAACACCGCGCGAUGCGCGGUGUAAUUUUCAAGUUUGCCCAGAAACGUUCAAUUAUUCAAACUGGGAUAUUCAAUAUAAAAAGUUACAUGAAGGUGCAUCCAAAUGUUUGUGAUUAUUUUUUAUAAUUUUAUUAUGCAAUGAAGAGAGCCACAAUUUCAGUCUAGUUGCUAAAUGACAGUCAUUUUUGGUAUGCUGACUAAUUGGACAGCAAUGGCAAUGUCAUUAGUUUGAAAAUAAUAUAACACUGUGUAAUGCUGCCUUAUAUUUUUUAUGUACACCAAAAUCUGUGACUUUGUAGCUAAAAAAAAAAAAGAGAGAGCAGUGUAGUAUUGCAGCAAGGCUUAGCCUUAUUUUUAGACUCUGAUACAACCAAUCCACUAUUUUCGUAAUUGCAUCAAAUUAACCCAAAGACUGAAAGAAAGACCUAUUACUUUGUAGUACAAUAACCAAAAUGGCUUCAUUAGCUUGUAACUUCAAGAAAUCUACGGAAAGCAAAAGAAUUGUGCUCACAUAUCAACCGUAGUGAGAUAAACUGCAUUUGACCAAAAACGGAGGAGGAUUACCUAAUGCAGGUGUAUCUUCUCAAUACAUCAAUAGUAUAGGGGAUGGUCAAGUACUCAAUACACAAAAAAAAAAGAAAAAAGGAAGUUUCACAGGCCUCGAUGCAAUUCUACCUUUGAUCAUUUGAUGCAUGUCAACAACCAGAAUCCCGUAAAAGGAAAGACAAGUACAUGAGAUAAUGUAAAAGCCUGCAUUUAUGAAACUUACUACCAGUAGACUGCAUUCCAGAGGUUCUCAUUACACAUCAAAGCUGUUCCAGCUCAAAAAGGAAUAUAAGAAAAAGAAGAAAAAAGAAAUGCACAGUGUGCAUCAAGCCUUUUCCUUGUUAUUAGAAUCAUACACUUCAAAAUAACCGAAAGACCGAAAAAUGCAUUACUUUGUAGUACAAUAACUAAAAAGGUUUUUAUUAGCAUAUAACUUCAAGAAAUCUAAUGAAAAGUGUGAAUUUCAGAGGAAGAGAAUAAAUUCCCCAUAUUUUUAUUCAUCAAUGGUAAGGGUAUAUAUACAGGUAUAGACAUCUUAUAAUAUGAAGAUAUCCUAUUACAAUAAAUCAGUCCUCUAAUUCCUAUAAUUUAGGCUACAAACUAGCCUACAUUUGUUAGCUAUCUAAUCCCUACAAAUCAGCCUAUAUCAAUCUGUGACAGCUAUCUAAUCCCUACAAAUCAGCCUGCAUAUAAUCUGUAACACUCCCCCUCAAGCUGGAGCAUAGAUAUUAAUCAUGCCCAGCUUGUUACAUAGAUAAUCAAUCCGGACCCCGUUAAGAGCUUUUGUGAAUAUAUCACCUAAUUGUUCUCCAGUCUUCACAUAACCUGUAGUGAUCAAACCUUGUUGGAUCUUUUCACGAACAAAAUGACAAUCAAUCUCAAUGUGUUUCGUUCGUUCAUGAAAGACUGGAUUGGAAGCAAUGUGAAGUGCAGCUUGAUUAUCACACCAUAGCUUGGCAGGUACUGAGACCUUAAUUCCUACUUCACUAAGGAGCUGAUAUACCCAUAUGACUUCACACACAGACUUGGCCAUAGCUCUAUAUUCAGCUUCCGCACUGGAUCGUGAGACGACAUUCUGUUUCUUACUCUUCCAUGAGACCAAAUUUCCCCCAACAAAAACACAAUAUCCUGAAGUAGAUCUCCUAUCUUCCUUACACCCUGCCCAAUCUGAAUCUGAAAAACAUUCAAUCCUAGUAUGACCAUGAUUGCCAUAUAGGAUUCCACGUCCAGGAGCACAUUUUAAAUAGUGCAAAACUUGUUCGACUGCUUUCCAAUGGUCAACAGUUGGUGAGGACAUAUAUUGGCUUAACACACUCACUGAAUAAGCAAUAUCAGGACGUGUCACAGUAAGAUAAUUCAACUUUCCGAUUAGUCUUCUGUACCUCUCAGGAUCUGCACACAAUUCACCUUCUUUGGUUAAUUGUAAAUUAGGAACCAUUGGGGUACUACAUGGUUUAGCACCCAACUUUCCCGACUCCGACAGUAAAUCAAGUACAUACUUUCUCUGUGAUAGAAAGAUUCCCUUCUUACUCCUGCUAACUUCAACUCCCAAGAAAUACUUUAACAUCCCCAAGUCUUUGGUAUAGAACUGAGUAUGAAGAAAGGACUUUAGAGACGAAAUUCCGCUAGAGUCGCUACCUGUGAUUACAAUAUCAUCCACAUAUACAACUAACAGAAUAAUACCUCCAUUAGAGUGUCUAUAGAAAAUAGAAUGAUCUGACUUGCUUUUCUGCAUCCCAAAUUUCUCAAUAGCUUGGCUAAAUUUUCCAAACCAAGCCCGAGGACUCUGUUUCAAGCCAUAUAGAGAUUUUUGCAGACGACAGACUUUCCCUUUCCCAUACCCCCCUUGAGCAACAAAACCAGGUGGUUGCUCCAUAUAUACCUCCUCCUGAAGAUCACCAUGAAGAAAGGCAUUCUUGAUGUCUAACUGAUGCAGAGGCCAGUCAUAAGCUGCAGCAAGGGAGAUAAACAACCUGACCGAAGCAAGUUUAGCAACAGGAGAAAAAGUAUCAUGAUAAUCCACCCCAUAAAUUUGAGCAUAUCCUUUAGCAACAAGUCGAGCUUUCAAUCGAGAAAUGGAGCCAUCAGAAUUCAUUUUGACAGUAAACACCCAUUUACAUCCAAUGGCUUGUUUACCUGCAGGUAAGGUAACCAAAGUCCAUGUACCAUUGACAUCUAGAGCAUUCAUUUCCUCAAUCAUAGCAGUCCGCCAUCCGGGAUGAGCUAAUGCCUCUCGAACAGUCUUAGGUACAGAAACAGUGUCUAGGGAUGUAAGAAAAGCACAAGAAGAGGAAGACAAAUGAUGGUAGGAAACAACUGAAGAGAUUGGAUAAGUACAUGCACGUUUACCUUUUCUGUGAGCAAUAGGGAGAUCAAGAUCAUCGUUGGCAGCCGGAUCUGAUGACAAAGAGACUGGUUCAUCAGGACAUGAUUCUGGAGACUCAAGGACCAAGUCAGAACUGGGCUGAUGUGCCCGACGUGAGUAGGUAUAUUUGAUGGGAGGCUUAACCGGUGUAGAAGGAGGCGGACCCAAAUUUGGUAUGACACUAUAGAUUAACAAAUCAUCAUCCUCCCCUGGACUCACAGAACUUGAAGAGCCUGAAGAUGAAGAUAAAGGUGUUUGUUCCAAAAAAGUAACAUCAGCAGACACAAGAUACUUACCAAGACUAGGACAAUAACAACGAUACCCUUUUUGCAUGCGAGAAUAACCCAGAAACAUACACUUUAAGGACUUAGGAUCAAGUUUUGUAACUUGAGGACGAACAUCCCGAACAAAACAAGUACAACCGAAUAUCUUUGGUUCUAUAGGAAACAACUGUUUAUUUGGAAAUAGAGUGUGGAAAGGAGUAUUACCAGACAAAACAGAGGAAGGCAUACGAUUGAUUAGAAAACAAGCAGUAGAUAGAGCAUCAGCCCAGAAACAUUUAGGAACCUUCAUUUGAAAUAACAAAGCUCGAGCAGUUUCAAGAAGGUGUCUAUUCUUUCUCUCGGCAACCCCAUUUUGAGAAGGGGUGUCAACACAAGAGGUCUGAUGAAGAAUACCCUGCUCAAGCAUGUAUUUCUGAAAACUGCUUGAAACAUAUUCUUUUGCAUUAUCACUUCGCAAAAUUUGUACAGGUUUACCAAAUUGGGUUCGAAUUUCAGCACAAAAGGAAGAAAAGUGAAGAAAUAGUUCUGAGCGACUUUGCAUCAAAUAAAGCCAUGUCAUUCUAGAAUAAUCAUCCACAAAGGUAACAAAAUAUCUGAAACCAGUUUUAGAGGUAACUGGACAAGGACCCCAAACAUCAGAAUGUACUAACUCGAAGGGAGCAGUAGCUCGCUUAUUGAUUCUAGGACUAGAACUAAGACGAUGAUGUUUAGCAAACUGACAAGACUCACAAUCUAAGGAAGUAAUGUUUGAAAACUGAGGACAAAGUUUCUUCAACAUAGAAAGCGAAGGAUGACCCAAUCGACAAUGUGCUUCAAAAGGAGAGAUUGUUCCAGCACAAGCUAUAGACCCUGGUUUCGGUGUAUCAAGAAUGUAGAGACCGUCAGACUCAUGUCCCUCACCAAUAAUCUUCUUCGUCAUGAGAUCCUGAAAUGAACAAUAACCAGGAAAAAAUGAGACACAACAAUUAAGAGCACGAGUAAGUUUGCUGACAGAAAUCAGAUUAAAAGAUAGUUGUGGUAGACUCAGAACAGAUGAUAAAUGGAGAGAUGAUGUGGGCUGAGUGGUUCCAGACCCAAUAACACUGGAUGUUGAACCAUCGGCUAAAGUAACAGGAGUGAUAGAUUUAUGUGGCUGAAAGUUAGAAAGUAAACUAGGAUUACCUGUCAUGUGAUCAGUAGCACCAGAAUCAAUGACCCAUUUUGGAGAAGAGGAAACAAGACAUGCAUUGGGUUUACCUGUCUCGACAGGAGCAGUAACAUGACCAGAUGGCUGUUUCACUGUUUCUUGAAACUGAGUCAAUCUAGCAUACUUAUCCGCAGAUAUUGUAACAUGCUUGUCAGAGGUGGCACAACUAGAUGCAAUAUGGGCAGAGUGAGCCUUCUUAUACUGCAGCUUCCGACAGUCUCGCUUGAUAUGACCUGGUUUAUGACAGUAGUGACAUACAAUCUCUCCUUGCUCCUGUCCAUGAUUGCUAGUAUUCUUAUCAGAGUGGUUGGGCCCCGACCCCAUGCUCGUACUGUUGCCAUUACUCUUGUAGUGUUGUCUUCCUGAAUCAGCUGUGGUAGUUCGGCUAAGAAGAACACUGUUAGGCUGAGUAGAUAGAACAGGUAACGUAUUCUCUGUACGGAGAACCCUUCGAAAAGCAUCUUCUAGACUGGAAAUUUCUGAACCGGAAAGAAUUUGAGAUUUAGCAGUCUCAAAUUCAGACGGAAGACCGGCUAGAAAACUCAUAACCGCCAUCUUCGCUCGCUGAUUUCGUUGUUCCUCCACAUCACAACUGAAGGGAAGCAGCAUAUUGAGCUCUUCAUAUGUUUUCUUGAAGUCCAUAAAAUAACUGGUGAGAGACUUGUCUCCUUUAUCUGCCCUGUAAAAAUCCUUGCAAACAUCAUAGAUACGAGAGAAAUUUCCUUUUCCAGAAUAUAAGAACUGUAAAUAGUUCAUUAAUUGUUUUACUGUCUUACAAUGAGUCACCAGACCAACCACCUCACUAUCAAUAGAAUUACGGAUCUGUAUAUACAAGCGAGCAUCCUCUCUCAUCCAAGACAAUUUAGAGUCAUCCGUAGGUGGAUCAUCAGUCAGAUGGCCAUCCAUAGAAAUACUGAGCAGAUAUAAUUCAAUAGUAUUGUUCCAAUCAAGAAAAUUAAUUCCAGUUAACUUAUGUUCCGUGAUUUUUGAAACCAGCGGAACUAUAUCAGAAACAACUCCAGGCUUUUUGUCAGACAUAAUUGCUAAGAAAAUUCAACAAGAUAACAGAUUACCCACAAGAAAAACCUGUUGUAGCCAAGUCCCACACCUAGAUCGAUGUUGACCCACAAACAGGUAUGCAAAUAGCGUCGAGAGACAGAGGAGAGGUGCUGGGUUCUGACCAAUCGGUACUACGUACCUCCCUGAGUUGGCGGUGUCUAUAAAGGAACCUCUAAAGCCUGUACCUUGAAUAUGGCAGCAGCUUCCCUCACACCCAACAACCCAGAAAAAAAAAAUUUAUGAACAAACCUUGCUCUGAUACCAUGUGAAUUUCAGAGGAAGAGAAUAAAUUCCCCAUAUUUUUAUUCAUCAAUGGUAAGGGUAUAUAUACAGGUAUAGACAUCUUAUAAUAUGAAGAUAUCCUAUUACAAUAAAUCAGUCCUCUAAUUCCUAUAAUUUAGGCUACAAACUAGCCUACAUUUGUUAGCUAUCUAAUCCCUACAAAUCAGCCUAUAUCAAUCUGUGACAGCUAUCUAAUCCCUACAAAUCAGCCUGCAUAUAAUCUGUAACAAAAAGAAACUGUGUUUACGUAUCAACCUUAGUGGGAUAAAUUGCAUUUGAUCAAAAAAGGAGGAGGAUUAUUAAUAUAGGCCAUACUUCUAUCCUCUCAAUACAUCAGUAGCAAAAGGGAUGGUCAAACUCUUGGCACAAAAUAACUCAUCCAGUUACACAAGAUUUUAAACCAAAUAAAAAUAUUAUGAUAACACCAUCCGCGUGAGAUAUAAUGCAUCAAGAGCUGACAUACAUAUAUAGCAGGUAAUGCAAAGAUCAGAUAGCUACAGUUAGUGCAAAAUCUAGUAUCCAGGGUCAUACGCUUCAAGGCUUUGAUCUUGAUAAAGCUUCAAGGGUGGCCGAUUCUGCUUCCCACAUAAAUAAACACGUAGUUUUGUUAAUCAAAUGGCAGAGGCAUUCUUGAGUGGUACUGCAAAAAUCCACUUCGUAUAGUUAAAUAUUAGUAACAAUUACCAUAUUCUCCAAAAAUAUAUCAUAGAUUUUUUUCUUUUAUCAUUGUCACUUCCAUUUUAAUCUAACUUUUUUCACUUACAGGAACAUCAUAAUUAGCGCCUAUCUAUGCAAUUACCUAUAUGGCAGACAAGUUUUUUCCAUAUAAUUAUCCCUGAAGGCAAAAGUAUGGGGCAAAGGAUUUUGUACAAUUCAUAGGUUAGGGCAUACUGCACCAGUGUGGCCAAAGAAUAAACGAACAAUCUUCAAUUACAAUAUAAAACAUGCAAUAACUACAAAUGAACAAUUUUCCAUUACAUUAUUAUAUACACAAUAUACACACUGUUGUAAAAAAAAAUUCCAUUCAUAGAGAUGGUUACAUUAAACCGAAAGGUGAAAGAAAAAAGGUUAGAAUCAGCACCUUAAAAGUAGUAGAAGGCCAUUAUUUGCUUUAUUAUAUGCCGAUAAUUUUAAUACCUAAUUCCAUCAUGAAGAGCCAGGUAGCCAUCUAAUUUAACGCCAAAUAAGGACACAAAGAAAUGGUUCGCAAGCUAAAUAGCAGAAAAGAUAAUUAACAGAAACUUAAUCAUUUUCUCAUAAUUAACAGAAACAUAAUCAACAAAGACAUCUACUAAUUAUUAGUAUACAAGCACAUCAAUUUGACUAAGAUAUUUUUUUAAAUAAAGUGUAAACAGCUUACUUGUCUAAAGCUGAACUAUGCUAAAAGGCCAAAGCUUGGGCUUAGACUGACUGGUACUAAACGAAGCAUUACCCCUAUAAAAUUCAACCCAAAAGUUAACAAAAAUAAACAGGAGCAAAAAUAAAUUGUUCAUAUGCAAAAUGGAAACAAGUAGCAAAAAAGAAGGCUGUAAAAUGUUACACAAAGAUAAUCACCAAGUUUUUAGCCAAAGACAUUGUGCUAAGAUUUAAACAACCCAUGAAUCCAAAACUAUAUGGUCAAAGAAGGAAAAGAGAUCUAGGGAUUUUUUCUUCUAAAUAAUAGGUUUUUUGGUAAACAUACACCUUUCAUAACAGCAUUUGUGGCCAAAGUGUUAUCUACCAACCAAUCUAACAAAUUUUGCCACUUUAACCUCCUUUCCCACAAUUAGUUGAAAAUUAUUCAAAACUAUAAUUAAAAACUUCAAACUAAAGUCAUCAAAAGAUGAAAUAAGUUCAAUUCCAUUGGAAAUUGACAAUGGCGGAGACAUGAAAAAGAAACAAAGAAAAUUGACAAUUUAAGUUAUUUCGAAAAUCCCAAGCAACAACUAAACAAGAGCUGGGAAAUUUGAGCAUAUAACAUCUCGAGUGAUAACCAAUGCAAUCUUGAUUUUGAGCUCCAAGACUCCAAAUGAUCAAGUAGUAUAGUACAGCAUAAACUGAAAAGCAUGAAACUUUUGCACUAAAAACCAAAGCCAACAGAUGAGAUAACUUAUUUAUGGCUUGGUUCCUAAGCUUAAAUGACACCACAAAUACAGCAAUAAUAAAAAAUCAACUUUAAUGUGCUCAAACUUCAAAGCUUGCGACGUCUGUGCAAUCACUCAGUUGAAAUUUUAGCUCAAAACACUAUACAACGGAAAAGGAAUAAGCAAAAGCACAAAAACACAUAAAAUCCGACAUUUUAAAAGCAAAAAAAAAAGAAUCCAUGGAAUUAAUGUUUGGAACCUUUUUUACGGCAUGCAGUGCAGCUCCAUGACCACUGACGCCAGCGCCAAUAAUGAUGAGAUCGUAAUCAAAGGAUUUGGGAGCGCUUCCAUUAUCAUCCGAAGAUGCAGAAACCUUCGUCGGACUCGCCUGCGCUUUUCUCGGAAAAAUUAGCCUCUUUGCUCGAAUAAACUGGCCGCGCUUCAGCUGCGAGGGAACUGAAAACCCAGAGAUUUCUAAUAUUUCACCUGCAAGAUCUAAGCAGAAGAAAAUAAAAAACAUACUACGGGUAGGAAAGCAGAUUUCUAAUAUUUCACCUACAAACUCAAAAGCAUACUCAACAAGAAAAUAAAAAACAGCAGAUCUCUGGGUUUAUAAAUACUUCUGACUUUCACUGCUUUUGGAUGAAGAUUUUACUACAGCUUUCUUUGUUUGCUCAAAGAAGGAGAUGAAAAAAUAGUAUUUCAGACCUCUAGGUUAUUAAUCGAAAGAUUAACAAAUCUUAGCAAGAAAAAUGUCUUUCUUUCUUGAAUAAAGGAAACUGUAAAACUUUGGGGAAAUAUUGGAGCUUACCAAUUAAGAUGAUUUCUGUGUCUCAUGCGUUCAGUAGCUUCAUAUCCAGACCAAUUCUAACAAGGGAAAAAAAUCAGUUAGAAUCAUAUAAUUGAAAAAAAAGGAAAGAGAAGAAAGGAAAAAGGGGGGAGGGGGGAAACGGGAAGGAAAAACAGAGAAAAAAGGACCAAAUAAAAACAACAAAAAGGAACAAAGAAAAGAAAAGAAAAGAAAAAUGGAAGGGGAGAGGAGAGGAGCUCUGGAGAGCAACGAAGCGGCGGACAUGAAUGAGGGGAAAGAAAACAAGGGAAGCCCUAAAACAAAAUUUUUGGCACGCGAGUCCCACGUGAUUGACGACCAAAUUCCAGCCAAUAAAACCCAGCCACGUCAGCAAAACAACAACCACCCUUAACAAUCCCAUUCGCGCUUUUACUAUAUAGGUAGAUUAGCAUUAUUCUUGUUCGGCUGGUUCUAGUUUCGAUUUCAGUUUCUAUCAUUUUCAAUUUUAGUAUUUUUCUAGGUAUAGUUUUCAGAUUUUCUAGUACAUUUAAUUACUUAUGAUUAUAAAAUUAAUUUUAAGAAAAUAUAAUAAUGAAUUUAGAGUAACGAGAAACUAAAGAAAAUGAAUGUAAAAAAAAAUAAGGCUUUUAUUGUAUUAUUAGCUUACAAGGAAGAGAAAGAUGAUAAAAAAAAAAUUUAUGUAAAACAUAUCUCAUAUUUAUUGAAUGUUUUAAAUAAAACAAAAGAUACAUAAUUUUCUAUCAAACUUGAAAAAAGAAAAAGAGAAAAACAUCUCAAUUUUCUCACUAACUUGCGCAUUGUUUUUCUUUUGACUCAACAUUUUAGAACUAGCUUAAUGCUGUUGAACUUUCGGUGAACCUCAACCAAAACCUUUAACCAUGGUUCCAACACCGAUUUAAAAUUUCCAAAUUAGUUAUAAUUUUUUUUUAACAAAUUGCUGAUUCAAUUCCGAUUUGAUUCCAAUUUGAACCUGAACUAUGGCCAUGGUUAUUACUAUUACGUAGAGGUGGCAAUUUGUCCCAAAUCCCAAUGAACUACCCAUACCCAAAAAGACUUUGGCGGGAUGGGUAUUGUAAUUUGAUAUUAGGUUUAAAAUGGGAUGCAUCCCAAUUAUACUCAUUAUUUGAUGGAAAAUGUUGGAAAAUACUUGGGUACCUAUUGAGCCCAAAUAUCUUCCCAAAAAAUUUCAUUUUAUCCAAAAAUUCAUCAUUAUUUUUUUUUUUUUGCAAAAAUCUGAUUUUUUUUCACUUCCAUUUUCUUUCAUUUCCUUUCUUCACUUUCCUACAAAAGAAAACCAGUUAAGUAAAAAUGAUUUCAUUUAAACAACUUUAAAAAAAUUAAAGAUAACAAUAAAAAUAAAAUAAAUUGGUAAAAUUUUGGUGUCUACAAGAUCAAUACUUUACUAACAACUGUUGGUACCCUAUAUGUUAAUUUUAUGCUAAUUGUUGAACUAUCUACAUAGAUUUCUAUAUGCAACCCUGUUAUCAAUUUUUAAUCAGCUUCUUCGUUUCUGUGCUAGCUUUAUUCAGCAUUUAAUGUGAAUUUCUUUUGUAUCAAAUUUUGAAAAUUUUAAGAAUGUCAGUAAGAAUGAAUGUGGUGUUAAAAAACUUGUUUCUAGUCCUUGUGUCAGACAACAUUAUGGGUAAGGUUGGAAUAUGGUUGUAUAUCUAUCUUUUCCUUUUUUUGUUAAUCCAAUUUUUGGUUUAAUCCAGGGAGAAGAUAUGUUCAUUCUUACCAAAAUAUUAUGUCUUUUAAAAGUAACUGCUGAUCGUUCUAAAGUGUAAAUGAAUUCAGGAAAAUAUAAAUUCACAAUAAGAUCAAAAGAAAUUUAAUAAAUAAAAAUAUUAAAGUUAUAUAAAAAAUAAAAAAGAAUUAAAGGAAAAAUAUAGAAAAUAGAUUUGGGUAUUGGACGGGAUCAAUCUAAACCUAUCCCAAAGUGAUCCCGCCCAAGUUAGUCCCAAAAUAUAUAUGGGUAAGAUUAGACCCAAACCCAUAUGAUUCGGUUCUAUUUCGAAUUCAAGCAAAUCACGUCCAUCCCGCCCAUUUUGCCACCUCUACUAUUACGAACCAAAUAGUGAAAAACUUGGGUUUUUUUUUUAUGGAAAUGAAACAACUUUGGUGCGAAGGAAGCUCAAGGGCUCAUGCAUCAAAAACAGAAACUGUUUCGUUGAAGCCCUUUUGGAUAGUGGAUAUUGCCGGCUCAGGCCAUUGAAUUUGAAUUGAAGAAGGAUUGCAUCGUGAUAUAAAUAAUUAGAUUGUAAACGAAUUGAAUCGAAUACAAAAUCUAUUCCCAGAUUGAAUUCUGGAUAUUAAGUCACACAACAAGUAGGAAAAAAUAAUAAAGUUAAAAUUGCCAUGUAUUGCCAAUUUUUCAUGUAAAUCCGAACUUUUUUUCAGUUUUCAUAUAAUGUUUUUAAAAAUUGAAGCCAAAAUCACUAUAUGUACUCGAAUUGUUAAUUAGGCAUUUUAUGACUAAUUUGAUUUAGCAAGUGCUCUAAGUUUUACUCAUCGUUAGCUUAAUUUCUUAAGAUUAUACUCGAAUGCCCAAAUGCACGUAAUUAGAAUGGUAUCUUAUGUACAUAUUAUUAAAAUGAUGUCUUAUGAAAUUAUUGCAGGUAUCAUGCAACAAAAUUUUAUCAAGUCCUAAAAAUGAUGUGAGUUCUUGGAAAAUAUUUUAAAAAGAAAAAAUGCAUGCAUUAUUAUUUUGGUAGUCCACUUAUAUUAAUUGCAUGAGCAAUUGAAGGCAGUCCAAAAUUUUUUCAACAAUCUUUACAAGUGCAAAGUGUUCAUUGUUCACAAUAACAAACAAGGGUGAAACUAUAAAAACUAUUCUUCCUUGGAAAAAUGUGAAAUGUGGGCAAAGAUAUUAUGAAAAUAACACAAAAGACUCGAUGAUCAUAAAAUCAAAUGUUCAAAACAACAUAGAAUAGUUCAUGAUCUUUGUAUACUUUAUACAUAAAUGCAUAAUUAAUGAGUUUUCUAUUAAAUUCCAUAAACUGCAUGGAGGAUAUUAUCAGUUUCAUAUGAGAUUAACUUGGGGUCAACUGGUCAUGGGUAGACCAUGAGAUGCCCUAAAACAUGACAUGGAGAAGAGAAUCUGCAUAUUAAGUGGCUCUUAGAGUCUCUUGCUACUAAUACUCUUGUUUAUGCCUUGGCUAAAAAGCUUGAGCUGCAGGUUAAAUGGCCUUAAUUUUAAGUACUCUUGUAACUUAGCUUAAUUUUGAAUUUGGCCCUGAACAAAUAAUUCAACUCUUGAUUCGAGUUCGAACAAGAAAUAUGAUUUGAUUAAAGUAUCAAAUAAAAUUCGAGUUGAAUAUUCGACUCGUACAUAUUCAAUUGAUUAAAGUUCAAUGCAACUCAACUAAUUUUUUAUAUUUUUAAGUUUCUUAAUAUUUUUUAUAAAAUUAUGCAUUUCCUAUUUUAUUAUUAAAAAAUUAAAUAAAAUUCCAAGCUCCGAAUUGAGCUCGAGCCUAGUGAGUACUAAAUUGAAUCAAACUCAACCUUAAAUUUUAAACUCGUUUAGGAUUCGAAUUGAGCUUUCGUUUGAGUCCAAAAAUUCAAAUCAAGUCGAAAAAUUAGAAUUGGAAUCUGAGUCUAACAGCUAAGAAGUUCGAGUAAAUUCGUUUGCUGCCCUAGCUUUAUGGAUUUGAAAUCCACGAAAUACAAGUUGAAAAGCCAAACAAUUAAUCAAGAAACCAGAGCAUCAAAAACUAUUCAAAAGUUUCCUUUCCUUUCUUCCUCAAUCUCCAUCCCUUGACCAAGACAAAAAAGGUUUUCACUAGUAACGACAUACAAGAAAGGUCUAUCAAUCCUUUAAAGGGCUAAGGGAAAGAGGAAAUGAAACCCCAACUCAAGGGAAGAACAACAGGGACAAUAAUUACAAAAACCUUUACAACUAUACAAAAUUCCUGUAGAAUUGAGGGAUUAUUUCCUCACCUCAAAAUUAGGGAAUGCUUUCUCUAUAACAUGAGUUGGCACUAUGUACUGUUAUGAUUUUUCUUUGUGUAUGUCAAAUAUGGAUCCUGAGCAAUGGUCAAAACAUCUGGCCUCUCUGCCUGAUUAUAUGUAAGACAACGACGAAUAAAAUCCUGCAAAACAUAAAAGGAGUUGCUACUUCAGCAUACAGGACAAAGGUGAUGAAAGAAAAGUUUAGCGCAGUCUAUAUACCAGUAUUCUUCAGCUUUUUGUCAGCAAAUGUCCUUUAACCACAUGUUAACAUCAUUCAUCGCAGAAAAUCCAAAAACUAAAAUAAACAUUGUAAUAAAGAAUCCAAGCUAAACAAGGAAACAUCCUAAAGGUAUAAAUUUUGCACCUUUGCCAAGCAAAUAAUUUAGAAAUCCAUCAACAGUAUUGUUAUCAAUUUUCAUGAGAAUCAGCAAUGGCAGUUUUAUUUAUAAAUCAUCAUCAUAGUUUCUUCAUUUUUGACAUACCUAGCAAGUUUCUCUAUUUCGUUUUGUUCCUUCAUCAAUCAUUUCCAUAUUAUGACUUGCAAUAUGAGUAAAAGGAAGCAUGAACAUUAUGUCUGAGCCAGUCAGCCAGAUGUUAAUCUGUCUCAGAAACUGCUAUAAAACAUUGAUACAAAUGAGAUUUUCAAAUUUGCAGCACAUCUGGCUUGGAGAAUUGCCAGAGACGAGUGGGGGGUGGGGGUGGGGGAAUAGAUUGACAUGUUUGUAAAUGGACACCCUCGAUUGAAUUUCAUACAGAAUACUUCCGCUAACAGAAAGUAUAGACAUUGACGAGUCAAAACCCAUUUACUGAAAUAAAUUUUGAAGCACUUCAAUACCACACAAAAAUUGACUCCACUAUGUUGGAAACAAUAACCAUUAUGAAACAAACAAGAGGAUAUCAAGAAUAAACUCAGUAGCAUCCACAUGAUUGGCAUGCUUAUCCAUUACAGAUAAAUUAAAGAGAUAAUUGUUGAAACUUUUGUCAAAUAAGAUUUACACAAGUGAAAACACAUCAAAUUGUAAAGUAUAAGAAAGAUGAUCGAUUUCACACCCCACUUUUACUGUUAUCAAAUUGUGGUAAUAAACACUAGCAAUUAGUGCUGGUGAUGGUGAUAGUGGUGGUGGUGGUGGUCAUAGUAACAAUGAUAUAGUCUCUCCUACGCAGACUCUCUUAGAGAAUUUACCCUACAUAAGGAUGUCGAAGAUUAUCACCCCAAGAAACAUUAGCAAAGAAGUUUACACACAAAUGAUUAGUGAACCUGCCUUUGCCUCGUUCGACACAGCUGGCCUUGAAGGAAAAUCCACCUUCCGGGCUUUAAUGAUGGUAUCUUCGCGUAAAACAAACAAAACAGACAGAAUUCAACCAAGAUCAAUCUAGCAAACGUCCGUGAUCUAUCCCCCAUUCUAACAACAACUCCCAAUUUUCCUUACUACGAGGAGCUUUAGCCCAUAAGAGACAAGUCAAGUUGAACAAUUUUAACCACUGUUGAUUUAAUAAAAUUUGGAGUGAAGCCCUCCAACGUGUACAGGGCUUGUCUUUCCAAAAAAACAAAAAACAAAAAACAAAACCGCUGCUGCAACUACUUCCAUUAUCAGUAUUCUGUAUUCGAAAAUCAACAUUUAGUCUUUCCCAAAUUUAGUAUAUUUUAGUGCAUAAUUGAAAAAUUCUCUUGGCGCAAGUGGAAAAUUAUAGAUUUGCAAUCAAUUACAAAUUUUCCUCGAAAAUAGAUGCCCAGUGAUCAACUAUGGCGCUUCAUAGUUCACCUUUUCCAGUCUUAUACUUAGGAGUUGGUCUUAAUAGUGCAUUAAUUUUUUCAUAGUUAAUCAGAAUUUUCUAUGACAAAAAAAAGAAGAAGAUUCAUGAAGAAAAAUAAUCUAUUGGCUGUACUUUUUUUCGAUUUAGACAUCAAUAGUGCAAUGGCAAAAGGACUUUGUAGAUGAAGCUAGUUGAUGUAAUGAAUUUAUGAUGAUUUAAUUAACUAAAAAGGCAAUCAAUUCGGUCUACUAAAUGUCAUACUCAAGAGGUCAUCAUCUUUGUCAAAGGGUCUAUACAUUCCAUACAUUAGUAGUAAAAGUUAGUGGAUUUGUUAGUAUUGAUGACCAUGUUAGCCACUGAUUUCUAUUAAAUCAUGUCUUCAGCUUCUUAUAAGCUUCUCUAUACCCUACCUAAUCUCAUACCAUUUUACUUUCUCUUGGAUUAUGUGGAAUGCCUACUUGACUGCCUGCAAUGCCUAUAUUUUAAUGAUUCCGGUGCAUUUUCAAAAUCUUCAAUUUAUUUUGUAAAGUAUCGAAGUUCAGUUCACUAAUUGGCCAUAAAAACAGAUCAAUAGCAAAGUUGAAAUAUGCCACUUAUCCUGAGACUUUGCAGAAAGUUUGGAAUGUUAAUGUUGUCCCUUGUAAUCCGAAUUAUCCGAUUAUGUGAAACUGAAGUUGUUGAAGGGUGAGAUGAGUUUUUCACUUGUAUACAAGCUGUUUAAUGGGGUUUUCAAUAAAAAACUUUAUCAUUUGCUCCAAAAAAAAAAAAAAAAAAGAAGAAGAAGGGUGAGUUGAGGAAGCUGAAUGCUAAGCAAUAUAGUUCUAUUAGUGAUAGAAUAAACAGGUGUGUAUGGCCAGUUAUGUGAAGUGCAAUCCUUUUCCUUCAUUCACCUUUUGAUAUCUCUUUGCAAUUUCAAGAACAAUCUCAGAGUAGUUGUCUCAACUAGGAGGCGACCAGCUAGGAUUUAUGUUUACUUUACGGGCCAAAGAUACUGGCCUGGCCACGUCUUCUUCUUCUUGGUUUUUUUUUUAAUUCUUCUUAUAGAUCUUUCAGGCGAGUAAGCAACCUUUUGGGGAAAUAAUGUGGUAUAUUUGGACAUUGGGAUAAUUUAACAAAUCUCCUCUGAGUUUAUAACAAAUUCAUCAUAGCUCCCCUCAAAUUAUGACAUGACGCUUGUGUCUAUUAGCUAUUGAUUUCCAAGGCAAAUACUGAAGUUUACCUCUAUGUUUACCAUUGACACUUUCUAUACAAAGCGAUACAAAUUAUAUAUAAGAGAUUUGUGAAAAUGUUAUACUUCCGAGCUAUAACUCAUAAACAAAGGCAUUCGUAAAACCCUUUUGAUUCAAAUAUAUAGAUAUACUCAACUAUACACUUAACAAUUUAAUGUGUGCUAAAGUGAGUAGAAUAGGCUUUUGAAAAAAGUACUCAAAAGUAUGCUACUUCCAUCAUUACCUUCUAGCACGCAUUGUGCAAACUCUUUUCAAAUAGAAAAAAGGGAACGGAAAGGAGAUACAAAAAAGGGUUACAAAUUCUUUAAAAUAUGGCAAGGGUAAGCAUGGAAGUAACAUAUAACAUGAAACAAACAUGUUAAGGAAACCUUAAAUCAAGAGAGGUAACAGUAAGUUUGAAAACUUUGGUGCAGCUAAAUGAAGUCAAAAACCUAAAACAAGGUUGAUGGAAUUAUCCUUUGUAAACUUUAUGUGUCCGUGGCCAAGUGAAAAAAUACUGUUCAAAAUUCUUAUUUCUAUCGGAACCAUUUCGAGGAACUCCAAUUUGGAUGUCAAUACUAAAAGAAAUUUUCCCUAUGGUACAACUGAUUUUGAAAUUUACUAAUUAUUUAUAUUUUUUUUCGGAGACGACAACUGUUAUAUAAUCUAAUCUAUCCUACACUAAAGGGGAGGGGGCGGACCUAAAGAGGCCCAGGGGUAUAUAGGAAGCAAAUGCAUUGUAUAUAGGAAGCUGAAAACCAAACAAGACUUUAUUAUUAGGUUAUCAGUAUUAUUAGUCGUAUCCAAGUGUCAUCAUGUUUUUUUUAUUCAAGUGUCAUAACGUUAUUGAUAGUAUAAUUGGGUUGCAUGAUUAUGGUUGAAAGUGUGGACUAUGCGAUUAAACUCCGUCUUAGGUGAUAGGGUGUUAAUUGUUAGUAAUUUUAUUGUUAAUUUUCCCUUUUAUCCUUGUCAAAUAUUAUUUUAAUUAUUAAUAUUUACUUAUAUUUGGUAUUUGGACUCAAUUUCAGGGAAUGGAGCAGAAAACUACAAAAAAUGAAGGACUUUCUGAAAACAAUGGAGACUUCAAACAAUCGGGCCCACAUGGUGCCACAAACGGAUGGCAUUUCCUUUUUGCUGAUUAGGAGUUGAAGUCUUUGAUGGGCAACAGGAAACGAAAAGUAGAGAAAAAUUCGGCAGAGCCUUCUUUUUGUACUUGGACUCCCAAUUCGUUGGGGACCACAGAGAGCAUUAAGGAGUCAUACUUUUGCUUGGAAUAAAAAGAACGUACAGAGGCUAGGGAUAGUUUUUAGCAAUAGUUUAGUUUUCUUGCUUUUUCCUUUUCAUGCACGCCUACUGUUAUCAAUGGUUGUACCUUGGUUAUCAAUAAAUUAAAGAAAAAUUGGUCGUUAGAGUUCGUCGGCGACUAUAACUAGUCUAUUAAUAAAUUAAGUGAACCUCCCUUACAUCAAUGAUCGGGUAAGUGGACUAUGUUUGAAUAGUUGUAUUCUUGGUUAGAAUUUAUCUAUUCUUGAAUUAAUUCCUGUGUAUAUUUGUGUUAGUUAAUUAUUCGUUUUAUUUGAAUUGCUUAAUUAUUUGUAGUUUUAUUCUGAUGAAACACCCCUUUUACCAAUUGGAAUCUCAAAGAGACAAAUAUCCUCAAUUCCUGAGGAGACGUGUGAGAACCCGUAUUUUCCCUAAUAAUUUUCCUAGGGUUUUUCCCCUUUAAUGGCAUGUUUUUUGCAUUUUCUGGCUUAGAAAAUUUUCCUGGUGAAUUUUAUGAGUAAUUAUAGUUUUUAGAUGAUUUUUCUAGCAUUGGAUAGUUUUUGAAAAAUUACGGAUAUAUAACGGACGUGGGGCCCACUAGUGCGAAAAGUUCGGAAAAAUUCGGCCAAUAAGGUUAAGUUUCGGAUACUGAGUGAAAUUUAUCGGGUGUUAAGAGAUAAGUAUAGGAUGUGAUGUGAUUGAUGUGAGAGGAAAACAAAAGGAUAGAAAUGCAUUAAUGAAGUGACACUUGUCAUGUUGGGAUUGGUUUCACUUGUUGACAACUAUUCAUUUUUUUUGACUUUUCUUACCAAUUGAUUAAAUAUCUCAAAAAUCACAAAAAAAAUCACUCUUGUCUUCACCUUCUUGGCCGGCCACCUUGAGCUUAAGAAGGAAGAAAACUCUUCAAAAUCUUGGCUACCAUCUAGCUCAAAUCCUCCAAAACAAUUGCUUGAUCUUGUUUCUACUCCAUAAAAUCUCUCCAUUUGGUACUAGUAAGUGAUUUGGUGAAGUGUUUAAGGAAGCUAAGGUGUCCAACAACUCUCCCUCUCUUGUUUACUAGGUGAGUGGUGAUUGAACUUCCUCCUACACUUAAUGAAGCUUAAGUUGUGCUUAGUGGUAGCUAAAGUGCUGAAAUUUGUGGUUUAUUUCUUGGUUUGAGAUGAAAUGAUGAAGUUUUCAAUUUAAUGGUGUAUUUUCUGGUUUAAUGUGAUCAUGAUGUUGUGGUUAUCUAUGAUGGUUGGUAAUGAAGGGUAAUGACUCUAGUAGGUGUACAUGAUUGGUAAUUGCAAGCAAUUUUGGGUUUGGAAGGAAUUUGAGAAAGUUAGGGUUUUAUAUCCCCAAUUCUGUCCGAUUUUGUAUCUCAUGGUUAGAGGCCGAAUUGGCCUUGUCUUAAAACAUGAAAGUUGUAGGUAUUGAUGUGUUUGAGGUGCCUGUAAAAUUUCAGGUUCAUCGGAGUUGUGUAGAGUGAGAAAAGUCGAUUUUACUGUUGCUGUUCUGGGUUCUUCAGGAUGGCCGAACUGCGUCUGUAAUUGGUGGUUUUGGCUGGAAUUGCUUUGGAUUUGGUUGUUGAGGCCUUCUGAUGAAAUGUAGCUUGAUGUCUUAGCUACCGCAUGCCUUUGGUAUGAAUGAAUUUGGACUUGUAUAGACUGAGUUGGACUAAUUACAGCAUAGUGUAUUUUGUAAACCUGCAAUUAAGGUUCUGGUUUGGUAUUUUGCAUAUUUGACCUAGUUGUGCUAGGAAUUGGACUGAGUGACCUUCUACAUUGUUGUAGCCCUGUUUCUUAGCUUCGAAACGGUGGGUCUUACACCCUCAUCCGAUAAGCGUAGUGCAAUUUGUGCCAUUACCGCAAACUGAGGACAAAACUGUUUUUUUUUCAGGGCCAAGUUAGUUACAUUUCCUGAUUUUCUGGUUUGCUAUAAUGCUUAUAUAUGAAUAUGAAACCCUAUUGGGGUUGUGAUUGGCAUGGCUUUAUGACUCGUUAUCGAGUCUCAUUGUAUUUGUUUACGUGUUUUAGGACGUGACGAGGGUUCACGACGACCUUUUAACGACGGUGCAUGAAACAUCACCUACUUGAGUAGUGAGUAUACUACUCACUUGAAUGUUUAUAAUGUGGCUUUGCUAUAUGUGAUUGUGAUGCCUUGAAGGCUUGUUUGGCUAUUGGACAUGGUUAAGGUGAGGGUGUACUUGACCGCCCUCAUCCUUUUUAUCUUGUUAAUGACUGUUUACCGUUUCACUGUAAUACUGCACUUGCUAUAUGAGAUAUUGAAUUCCAUUCAUGGGAAACUGUUUGGGUGUCGGUUGGACGAGUAUCCAACGGCCCUACUGCAUUACUGAGCUCGACCCCGUUGGUAGUUACUUGAAUCGAGCCAGCGAGGGCUUGGUCGUGAAAAUUGACUAGCCACGGGGACUGAAAUGGGAAUCUUGUGGUAAUGAGACCCUUGGUUCCGGUGUACUCGAGUAUCACCUAAAGCUACUGCUUGGAGUGCGGGCCCGGUUGGGGUAUGUUGGGUGGAAGGAAUGGAAGUGAAGUGAGGUCUACGGUCGGGUAUUCUUAAACAUUGACGGAGGGUCAAUGAGGUUGGAUCAAGAAUGUAAGCGUGGAAAUGGGCUCUUGAGAGCCGUCCGUAUCCUUUUACCGACUUGUUUUAUUUCUUAAUUGCGUACUUGAGAUGAAAGUUAAGUGAUCUUUGUUGAUUAUGUGAUAGUUGCUCACUGAGCUUUAGCUCACUCCGUUCCAUUUGUUUUCCUUACAGGAAAAAUGACUAUUUUGGGAAAGGUUGUGCUAGUUGGUUGUCAAGUUGAGCUCAUGUAAAUGUAUAUUUUGAAUAGCUCCUUGAGGGUGAAAACCCUAAGUGUUUUGUUUCAACCAAUGGUUGGUUUGUAAUUGGCCAAUUGCACAUGUGUGAACUUGUUGGAUAUUUUGGUAUACCGCUUUGGCUUGUAAAUGUUAAAUUUCGAUGUAUAUAUGUUGGAUUGAUGUUUGGUUGAACUCCGGAUUCUGACAUGGCCGGUACUGUUCAUCAUCGGCUUCGAUUUUCAUAUUUUUUUUAUUUUGUGAUUUUGACUUGUUUGCGCGCGUUGGUGUGUUCCGGAAUGUAGUAGAUCGACGUAAACUGAUCCGUUAGUCCUGGCGAGAGCUGGGCAGGCAGUCCGCUAACCCCUUUGGUUCGCCUUAGGGGAAGGUGGGGCUGUUACAAGACGACCCUACUUGCCACUGUCUGCCAAUUAGUAAAUUUUGUCAAAUAAUUAAUUCUGGUAUAUCGGAUUAAGCAAACUCUUCGAGAACAGGGUGAAUCAAGUAACCCAUUGCACACCUAGAGUCUCUGCUCCAGUACUUAGAAUUGAUUAUUGACUACUUUUGACGGGCGUAGGGUAUACAUAUAACAUUAAGCUCAUCCUAAUCAAGUUUUACAUUUAUAAACUCCUAAAUACCCUACACGCGAUUUAUCGCAAGUAUACGAAUCGUGAGCGAGUAUAGGGUAUUAAAAGUCGAUCUCACAAGGAAGAUUGCAAUUACCGGCACUACUAAAGCUUCUCUAUUAUUUAGACUAUCAAUGAAUUAUAACAAAUUUAACCUACUGAACUUAUGCAAGAAAAUAACAAAUGAAAGCUCCUUAAGUUGUGGUAUCCCUAACUACUCAUGCAAGUGCUAUAUUUGGAUCAUUGAAUACUACUAUCUAGGCUAGUUAUGGUGUAAUUUCCUUAAACAUGUGAAACCUACUUUCGUAGUGAAUCAACUAUAUUCAUAACUAAUCCAUACAUAUUCUCAUGGUUAUGAAAUUAGCUACAAGUUCAUUUCUUCAAUGAAAUUAAUCACUAAAAUCACAUAGGUGCACCUCUACUCUCGUGAGCGUACUCCCUAUGUUUAGCACUUCUUAAACUAGUGUUAAAUCUCAAUUUUCAUUGCAGAAACAACACCUUAAAUAAUCACAAUCAAUGGUACCAGAUUAAUCAUGAUUUAAAGAGCCAAAGUACUAAAUAACUUGCUCAAAUCAUAGCAAUCAAAUAACCAAAUAAUAAAUACUAACAAUUAUAGAAAGUUCAACCAAACCCAAGGCAUAAACGUUAGAGACACAUAUUAAACACAAAAUCCAGAACUUGCAUAUCAACUAAACUUAGAAUCCAAUACAAAAGAUAAAGAGUUGGAAAAGAGAUAACCAUUGUCACAUGAGCUUCAACUCCUCCUUUUUCAUCUCCAUUUUCAUCCUAAUCUAGCUAAUAUACAAGAAUGGAAGAGCUAUACUAUUCUAAACUAAACUAUCCUACUACUCAGAAAGUGCAAGAGCUACAUCUCUGCACUCCAAGUUUCUCCUGUAUGUCUCUCUAUUCUCCCUUCAAUCUUGCAAGCUUUGGCUAUAUAAAGGUGAAAGUUGGUCAAGAAGUGAGGUUUACACCUCCCUUUUACAGCUGGGAAUGUUUCUCACAUGUCUAGCAUCACCUGUGACUUAGUGGAGGUGAAAUUGAGUUUCCCACGUAAAGAGCAGCCUUCUCUGACCACAAUCCGGCCAGAAAUCUGGCCAAGUUCCGGCCGGAUUGCUACAGUGACAUUUUGGUGCACUUUUGUUCAAUUUCCAGCUCUGCUCCAAUUUUGUGUCAAUUUCAACUGAACUUUUGUUGAUGAUAAAAGCUGAUUUAGCUCUUGAUCAACAUAAAACUUGUAGCCCUUUGAGUUAGCUUUCCAAUGCAUCAAGAAUCACCUCAUUUGGAUCUGUGUAGGCUGAGAAAUGACCGAAAUACCUUUGACUGCUCACUGCCCUAUUUCAGCUUCGACCAAUAGAAAUUAGCUACUGUAAUUCGGCUUUUUAACCUGGAAAACCUUCAAAAUAGAUUCAGAUGUCUUCACCAAAGUUGUAGAUCUAUCUCUUAUCUUCAAAUUGGUUUAAGAAUCAUCUCAAUCCGAUCAUUAUAGCUCAAGUUAUAGCCAAAAUACGAAAAUGUGUCAAAACUGUCAAAAUGCACAAAAUCCAAGUAAAAAGUGAUAAAAACCUCAUUUAAUUACUUAAAAGCAUUUUUCACCAAUUAUAGCCAAAAUGAAUCAUUUUCUUCCAAUAAUGUAACCAAAGUGACUAACAAUAAUAUAAAAUAUCAUACAAUUAUUACAUAAAUUAGUCACUUAUCAGCUUUUAUUGGCAAUUAGGUUUAUUUUUAUUAUUGCACAGGUUCGGCACCUGUCAUUAGGAGUACUGGUUUUGCUGUGGGAUUUUUCGUUUUCUUUGUCAGCUGCGUCAGCUGCAUGGUGCUUUAGAGCAUAAGCCUUUGUUUUGUAUCGAAACAUCACGGCCAAAAUUGCCAAAAGCAUAUCGAAACAUGAACACAAAAUGAAAGAUGUGAGGAAACUUUAAUGAAGAUAUGCCUUGAGAUUUAAACACCAAAGACAAAAGCUCAAAAAAUAUUAUCAACGGAUCAAAAUAAGAACUUGAUUAUUGGUAAAACACUCCAACAAGUUAAGUCGAACCAAGAUCAACAUAAUCAAUUAUUUGAUUUCAAGAGUCAUAACUUUUGCUUGUAAAGAACAAAUAAAGUUAAACAAUUUAUUGCUUUUUUCCCCCCAGUCAGCUGUGUACCUCAACAUUAUUUCACGUCAAAAACUUGUUUUUCCUCGGAUUAAAUACCCUAGCAUCUGAGGUUAUCACCAGUCUCGACACCCAAUUGUCUACAAUAUUCAGUAUAAUACUCAACUCGAGCACUAACUGUGUUUGGAUUUGCACCAUCACAUUCAAGCCGACCAUUAAUGGCACGAAUUGUAGCCCCAAAACCCUGGCCAGAAGUGAUAAGAUCAUGACAAUGGUUCAUCCAAUACCACAAGCCAGUUUUGAAUGAAAUAACAUUAUUUGUAGCUACAGUUUCAGGUUGGCUGAGUCCAUUGAAUCCAAUGCUUUCACCUGCUGGUCCAUAGUUAGAGUUCCAUGAUAACUGUAUUGGACCCCUGCCGUAAUAUCCCUUGCCUGGCACACAUGGAUACUGAGUGUUGCUCUCAUCACAGUAAUCUCUGGAGGGGCCGUCUAUCUCUUCUAUGUAGCACAAAUCUGCGCAAUAUAAAGAAAUUUUGUCACUCAAUUGAAAUGAUUGAUAAAGGGUUAGAAUCAAAGAAAAUCAGGAGGUCUGGAAUUUUUUGUAAAUUUUUAGAUUUGAUUGUUUUACUAAUGAAUUCAAUUGGUGAGAAAAGACUUUAUCCCAUUUUGUAAAAAUUGGGUUGGACAGACCUAAAGUAAACACUCUUUUUAUGAGGUAAAAUUUUAGAAUGAUUUAACAUUAUAGGGUUAUACGAUAGAUAAAUAAAAAUUGGCAAUAGCAAGAUUAAGAAGGGACCAACAGUGAUAUAAAAAUUACAAAGGUAUCAUGGACGUCUAAAAUAUAUUUGGCUAAUAAAUUUGAACUAAUUUACGGCCAAAUUUAGGUGAAAUAGUUAAUUCUACUUGGUAAAUUGGAAGUUCGGAAACGUGUAUCUGUCAGUUGUCAUACUCAUGAGCGAGCCAAUCUUAACUUAAAAAAGAAAAAGAAAAAAAGAAAAAGAAAAAAGGAAUCCAAAAGAUAAAAGUAGAAAAGGCAUGAAUUUUAAAACGUAAUCGUAAUACCUUGUACCCGAAACAAAUAUGUGCAAUACUUAUUAAGCUAAGCAAAGCCACAUGAUCUACUCUUAGAUGCAGCAAAAUAUACAACCACCUUAAGCUUGGAAUGUAAAGGCAGAAAAACUUGCUUAUGUAGAUAUAAAAGUGACCACUACAAGAAAAGUAAAAAGAAUAUGGAGAUAAUAAUCCUUCUGUUCAUCAUGAUAAAUUAUUUAACAGUAAUAAAUCUUUCAUAUUCAAGUUUUAUUUUUUGAAGAAAAAAUUCUUGGAUAAUAGUGCACAGGAGAUUCCAAGAUAUACUAUCUAGAAAUUCACAGGAGCUACUAAAAAAGUAGAAAAUAUCUUCAAAAUUUAAUUUCCAAGCUAGUGUUAUUCAAAACUUACGUCCAGUCUCAUGAGUGACAUGAGCAAAGAAAGCAGCAAUCUCCCUUUUAGAAUCAUCAACAGAACCAGCGGUUCCAAACUGGGGAUACGAGUUCAGAGCUUCAAGAAAAGCUGAUCGAGUAUAGAACCCUUUUCCAGCACAGCUUGAAGCAGCUUGAUCAGCAAUCCCAUUAAAGAAAGCGUCCGUCACAAUAUCAGCAACUGAAACGCCACUAUUACCACUGCUCGGAGCAGCGGUGCAAGGGCCGGAUUGACAGCCAGAGCCGCAGUAGUCGUUGCCGGUACCGCAAUAGCCGAAUUUGCUGCAGCACAAGUCUGGUGCACAGCCGCAGUUUUGGCUUGAAAUCAGCUGUGGAAAGGCUCCUACAAGAACUACAAUGGAGAAAAUGAUGGUUGGAAAACUCUUCAUUUUUGGAUUUGAUAAAGGAGAGAAGCUUGUGGGCAGCAGUUGUAUCAGAAAAAAGGGUAUAUGUAGGGAAGAGAACUGAAAACUGAUCAGCUUGUGUGAAGCAUGCACAGCUGCUAUUGUUGAAAAUAUUGAAUUUGAGCAAUUAAAGAAAACAGAACAGAAGACGAAAGCGUGAAUGGUUGACUUCUAUCGAGAGUAUUGACUUUGACAUUGUCAAUGAAGCGGAAACUUUCUUUCUUGGCUUCUAGAAUGGGAAAGGUCAAAAAGAAAGAUUUUGGCCAAUUCGUAUGAACAAUUGUGAGAAUAAGGCAUGUAGACUCACAAGUCCCCACUAGAAUGUGUGCAAAAAUAUAAUUUGAAGUUGCCUAAAUCAUUUAAUUUCAUGCUUGUUAUUGAGUUUAUUUGCCUAACUGUGUUUUAGUAAUACUUCAAAAUUGUGUUUGAGUUAGAACGGAAAAAAAUAUGAGACAUUUUUUUUUUAAUUGCAAUUCCAGAAAUAAAAUCUUAUAAAACAUGUAUUAGAAAAAUUUUGAGGGUAAAUGAUAUGAAAAAAAAAAAGAAGAAAUAGUUCUAUAAAUUGACAUAAGUGUUCAUCGGCUUUUGGAAAAAUUAAGAAAGAAUAAAGCAGCCGACAUAUCUAUCAUGCAUAACAACAUUAUGUGGCUUUUGUUAGUACACGCUAUGACCAUAUAUGUUUCAUUUGAGAUGCUUGUCGGACGUGUUGAAUUGUUGGCAAUGAAAUGCUCCAAAAUGUCAGCACUAUAGUUUAUAAAUAGUAUUAGGUCAUAGUGAAUUAUCGACAUAUCGUUACAUGCAGAGUCGUGAAAAUAUACAAGUCUUUCCCUAUCAUUAAUUAGUUGGUCAAAUGACAAUUUUAGAGUGGCUGCUGACUAUGUCAAGAAACAUCUUGCAGUAAAUUGGGCGAUUUAAUGUACUUUUCUUUUUCUAAAUAUUUGCACUUAAACUCUCAAAUCGACCAUAGUUUUAACUAAUUUUGCUCUGGCUUUAUUCUUGAUUCGCAAAAUUCAGAAAAACCAAAACAAACCCUUGUUACUGAAGAUAUCAAAAUGGUAACCCAACUAAGUAAUUGAUUUUGAAAAACAUUCUGAACCAAAUUUCAAGUUUUGGUUUCUUUGCUCUUUUUCUACUGAAAGGCAACUUCCCCGGGCCAAGAAAUUGAAACAAAUAGUACGAUGCUUAAGUUUUCUAUGCUCUUAUGAUCAAGUCAAACCAUGCUUAUAAUCAAUUACAUAAAAAAUUACGGGCAAUUUCGUCAUUAUUUGGGAGGAGGAGGAAUAUUAAGCAAAAAAAAAAGUUCUAUUAAGAAAACGAUUAAGCAUAUUAUUUUCCAGGAAUAAAAAAGAACGAGCAGAGAAAUACAUUAGUUUGGAUGACAUUACAACAUUUAGCAACAUGAUUAGGGAUGCAAUGGGAUGGGUGCCAAUUGGGAAUCAAUGGGAUGGGAGAAAAUGCAGGAGGGGAUGGAGGGAUUGAAGAAUAUUUCUCCUCCAACAUUAAAUGGAUACCUCCAUCCCAUCCCCUAAAACCCCUUGUUGCUAUUCCUAAACAGGAUGCUACUUAUAUCCUCUCUCUAUGAGCAUGUGUGGCUAGUGAGGAAUGCAGGAUUUUGAUUUUGGCGGGGGGAGGGUGGGGCAAAUUGACAAUCAAGAAACAAUAGAAAAAAAACCUUAGCAAAUAAAGCACACAAACUUAAAAUGAAAGUUUAAUAUACGAUAAAUAAAAUAUAAAUAUUUUUAAUAAUAAAAUACACCAUAUAAAUAAAAUGAUAGAGCAAUAAUUGGGCACCAUAAGUGCUGUUAUUUGGUCAUAAUGUUGGCUACUUAUCAUGCUAAGUAGUGCAGCUUUGCUCAUAUUUGAUAUUUGUGUAAAUUACAGGCGGUUGGUGUUGAAACUGAUCUCUCGAGGCAAAUUUUCAGAAGACUUUUUAUUUCAGAGCGUGCCGACGCCAGAAACUAUAGAGAGACUCCUCAAAGGUGGACCGCGGGACUAAUUAACUAAACUUACCUUUAUUCCUGCUUGACGCUGCUGGAAGUGCGUUAAAACAAAAAGGCAAUAAUUUCCAGCGAAUUGGGUAACAACCAAUAAGGAGGAAAAUUAGGGGCACUAGCCUACAAAGCCGGACCCCGCGAGACUGGUAGACAAAGUGGGGAAUUAGGAAGUCUUCAAAGCGGCUAUUUUCUCGUGGGCUGCAGAGGUGAAAAGGACAAGUAGUUUGAGUCUUGCAGAGAGCUUUUGAGUUCUCUUACGUUUUGUCUUGCGGUAGCCACCCGGGGGAGGAUUGAAAAAGCCAUAUUCACGUGGGAUUAGGAGAUUAGCUUUAGUUUCUUGUAUCCCUGGGUAGACGAUCUGCUCUCUGCUUUGCUUUUGGCGACUUUCUUUAGACCUUUUUCUUUACUUUUCUCCGGCACGAACACGGAACCAAAAAAGAAGCAAGACUUUUCGUUUGUCUCGUCGUUAUUUCAUCUUUCCCAACUUUUUGGUAAUUAAGUGGAUGGAAUCAAUCAAAUCACGCGAGAUUGAUGUGAUGAGGAGUGGCUAGGUUUCUCUGCUACCCAAAGGUCGACGCGAAGGCGCGGUCCAUAACAUCUGUGAGAUCUAAUCGAACUUUCACUAUUUCUUCCAAUCCGUUACUAUUCGUGCGUUUUCUGGAUUAACUGUUUAUGAUUAUUUUAUUAAUUGAGUAUCAACAGCCGGAUAUUUAAUUUAAUCUAAUAGCCUACUGUCACGUUAACUAAAUUGAAUCCGUAAUUAUUCGUUUAGUUGAUAAUUAGUGACAACCAUCAUAAUUGGCUUUAUGUUGGGAAAAACGUAAGAUCUAAUUUAGAUAAACCCUCUUAUAGCGUGUUUAUUGGUUAGGGUUGGAUUUUUCUAGCGUUAAUGCAACUGAAUAAUUAAAUUCCUACGGUCGUAUCUAGGGUUAUUUUCUGGUUAGAGAAACAGUCAACGGUCGUACCUUGGCUAUCGAAAAAGUAAGAAAAAACUAGCAGUCAGAGCUUGUUGAUCGCUAUAACCAACCUAGUGACGAAUGAGUGAAAUAUCUUUGCAUCGAUGAUCAUUUAAUUGGACCGUGCCUGAAAAGUUGAUCCUUUGGAUAGAAUUUUGCUAAUUGCUAUUUUCAGUGAAUUGUACUUGGCGAGUUAGCUUUUGAAUUUUGUUUAUUUUAUUUUCAUUUUCAUUCCAUUAAAUAUCCCCCAAUUUUGUUCUAUUGACUUGGAAAGAAACAACUUCUUACCCGUUACUUGUGGAAUCGACCCUACUUGCCAUUUUCAGAAACAACUUCUUAAAUUUUAAUCCUUAUGAAACCCAGCUUCUCUCUCAAUUUUCAGAGGUUUCUUUUCCUUCAUCAUGUCAAAGUUGCUAUUAUAAUCACUGUAAUUAGACAGCUAAACCUGUCAUUCCAAUUAUACCCUUGGUCCGCCGUGGGAAAUACAUAAAAUGUGGUAGCGCUGCCCAAUAAGUCCCACAUUGGACCAUAUAAAAUUGUUUAAGGACUAAAUUGGUAAAAAAAAUCGUAAAUGAUGAAAUUGAUUUAAGUGAAAAAGUUCAAGGACCAAAUUGGCAAUUUUUCCUUAUUAUGAUUAUGAUUAUGAUUAUUAUUAUUAUUAUUAUUAUUAGUCUGAGAUGCCGAACAAGUUGUGGAGACUUAUUUCACCUUUACAAGGUCAUUGGAGGGCUUGACGAGGUGCGAUGUGGUAAGGAAAGGCACAAAAAACUCUUUUUUCUUUAUUAAAAAACAUACAAAUUGCACUAAUAAUGGCUGAAAAUGCAUCCAACAUGCAAUAGUGAAAAAUCGUUAGAUGCAAGAUAUAUAAAAGUUAACAAAAAUUAUCUUAGUACCUCUGAUAUAUUCCAAAUUCAGAUAAAUCAUCUGCCCCCAAUGAAUAUAUGUGCAUAUCAUCAUUGUCAAAAAAUAUUUAUGCAUAUCAUUGCCGUUAGAUUUUAUAUUGAAGUGGUUAAAGCUCCAAAUCUAGUAGAGAAGAAAUUCAACACUUGAGAAAAUAAGUUAAGAAAUUCAAGAUUUGACAUACAAAUCUGAAAAGCUCUCAAAUCUAACAAAACAAGAUAUAAAAUUAUCUGAAUAAAACUCUCACUAGAAUAUCUUAGUAGAGAAGAAAAUUCUCACUAGAUAGUCUCACUAUACUUUAUUAGACAUAAAAAAAAAAAAAAGAGAAGUCAAACAGAGGGAGGAAGGCAAUCCUCCAUGGAGGAAAUAAUAAUUGUCUUGAAGGUUGUGUAGAGAGAUGGUGGAGAAACUUCUUUUGUUUUAUCUAUUGGUUAUCUUUCUAAUUGCUAGUUAACGAACAAUAAACUCUAAAUGAAACUACUAAAUUUGCAACCGAAGACAUUUUUGGGCUUGUAUCUUAGUAUCGUAAUCGUCACCCAAUUAGAGCCGCCCAUGACGGCUUCAUUAAAUAUAUAAUUUGGGGGAACCAGGAUUUAAGGCCAAAUUUCGGCAACCUUCAAGGCACUUCAUUGUUUUCUCACAAAUUUUGUUUAUUUAUUGUAAAAGAUUAACUUUAAAGUGUCCUCAAAUUUCUUCCCUAUCUUCUCUCAAACUUUACCAGUGAAAAUUGUUUGUCUUCGGGUUCGUUUGUUUCGGGUGAAAAUGUUUUCCAGAAAAAGUAUUUUCCUAAUUUCCCGUGUUUGAUUGCACAAAAGUUACUGAAAACAUUUUACAUAAAUUUUCACUCAUCUUAUGGAAAACAACUUCCCUUCCAAACUUACUGAAGUUGUUUUCCGAAAUGCAUGCAUCCCGCCUGUAGUAUGUUCCAAACUUACUGAAACCAUCUUGUAGUAUGUUCUUUUUUUUUUUUAGUGUAAACAGGAGGACUCGAACCAAGACCUCUUCCUUACACUCCCUCCCCCGUACCAUCCAACCCAACCCAACCCUCCCCCUAGUAUAUUCAAAAUAAAAAAAAACCUCAUCCUACUCAUCCUAUUCUAGUAAUUAAUUAUGUAUAAUAGGGACAUUCUUUUCUAGAGAAACUUUCAGCAAUGAUAGUGCAAGAUAUAUGUCACAAUAAGCAUUGCAUGUGAUUGAUAUUUGACACUAAAUGGCCAGCAAUUUGUUUAUUGCUUAAGGAGAUAUUUUUUAUUCAUAUAUACAUUUCUCCAAGAUUUUUUAAAGUUAAACAAUGAGAUAAAUUUUCUUAUUUUGCAUGGGAAGAAGUAUGUAGUUAUAAUGUGUAGAAAGUAAAGAUAGAGAUAAAAGUGAAAAUAUUUCAAAAGUUAAACAAACACCAAAAAAAUGAAGUAAGAAAAUAUUUUCAAUAAACUAACCAAACACCUGAAAAUGAUGAAAGAGAAAUGAUUUUCAUGGAAAAUUACUUCCACGGAAAAUAUUUUCCCAAGAAAAACAUUUUACUUCCAACCAAACAGACCCUUCAUCUCGUUGAUUGUCUCCCCCAGUGCAUACAAAUGUAUUAUGGGCAUUUUGGUGAAAGAAAGGCAUAAACUGAGUUCUGCACAACUAAAUUUUGCCAAUAGCAUAUGAAAAUAUGAAGAAGAAUAAUAAUAAAUGAAGGGUCUGUCUAAUAAGUAUUCAUAGGGAACCAUUGAAAUAUAUCUCAAGUGUCAUGUUUUUGGAAAUGUAAAAUUAAUAGAAAAAAUAAAUAAAUACAAGAGAGAGUAGAUAAAAUUAAAUAAGAAAAGUUAAUAAUUGUUAAUAGAUAUAUAUACAUAAUAGAUUAGAUGAACGUUAAAUAUGUUAACAAGUACCUUAUUAGCACCCGUUAAAAAAAGCUAUAAAUGAAAGAUGUGAUCACCAAAUCAUUGACAAAGAAAUGUGUUGAAAAUGAAACAAGAAAGUCAAACAUGAUAAGGGAUCAAAAAUGGAAUUUAAUAAUUGCAGAUACUCCAAGAAGUUGAGUUGAAAUCAGUUAUCCGAUUUCAAAUUCACAACUUCUGCUGUCAAAGAACUACAAAGGGACUCAACUUCUGCUAAUUUAUAUUAGUUUCGAAACUCUUACAAGUACCCUAGCAUCUGAGAUUAUCACCGGGAUCAACACCCAACUGGUUACAAUAUUCAGCAUAAUACUCAACACGAGCACUAACAGUGUCCGGAUUUGCACCAUCACAUUCAAGCUGUCCGUUAACGGCACGAAUUGUAGCCCCAAAACCCUGGCCAGAAGUGAUAAGAUCAUGACAAUUGUUCAUCCAGAACCACAAGGCAGUUUUGAAUGAAAUAACAUUAUCUGUGGCCACAGUUUCAGGUUCAGUUAGUCCAUCGAACCCUAUGCUUUCACCUGCUGGUCCAUAGUUAAAGUUCCAAGAUAUUUGUAUUGGACCCCUGCCGUAAUAUCCCUUGCCUGGCACACAAGGGUACUGAGUGUUGCGCUCAUCACAAUAGUCUUUGGAAGGGCCGUCUAUCUCUUCUAUAUAGCACAUAUCUGCACAAUAUAGAGAAGUCUGUAUCAAUUAUCACUGCAUUCAAUUGCUUAUAUGAAAGCCACUCAUUGAUACAUUAUGGAUUUUAGAUAUUUUUACUAUUAAAAAACCUAUAAUCUAAAUACAAAAUAAAUGAGAACAUAAAAAAAAUUAAUUAUUUAAAAUCAGAAUCUAUAGUCAGUUAUAAUAAUCAAUCAAGAACAACCCCAAAAAAUGUCAUCAAUAUUUAAGAAGGGACCAUAUGUGAUAAAGAAAUUAUAAAGUUAUAAGUAAUCACAGACUAAAUAAAUAACCAAUACAACAAAGUAGAAAAAAUUAACGUCAAAGUGGGACGGAGGGAGUAUAUGUUUUUCUUGGUAUCCUAGCAAUAUGAUAGUUGGAGCAAUAACCAUUGUCAAAUUUUGGUGUUUGAUUGUUGCUCUCAUGCUUGAGGGCAAGCAUGGUUCAGGUGUGAGGAGAAUUGAUAGGGUGUUAAUUGUUAGUAAUUUUAUUGUUAAUUUUCCCUUUUAUCCUUGCCAAAUAUUGUUUUAAUUAUUAAUAUUUACUUAUAUUUGGUAUUUGGACUCAAUUUCAGGGAAUAGAGUAGAAAACUACAAAAAAGGAGGGACUUUAUGGAGACAAUGGAGACUUCAAACAACCGGGGCCACAUGGUGCCACAAACGGAUGGCAUUUCCUUUUUACUGAUUAGGAGUUGAAGUCUUUGAUGGGCAACAGGAAACGAAAAGUAGAGAAAAAUUCGGCAGAGCUUUCUUUUUGUACUUGGACUCCCAAUUCGUUGGGGACCACAGAGAGCAUUAAGGAGUCAUACUUUUGCUUGGAAUAAAAAGAACGUAUAGAGGCUAGGGAUAGUUUUUAGCAAUAGUUUAGUUUUCUUCCUUUUUCCUUUUCAUGCAUGCCUACUGUUCGACAAAAGUCCCAACUGGAGAAAUAUCUUUCACCUCUUGAUUAUUUAGUGAAAAACCCGAUGCCUUUGCAAUCAAUUAAUUUGCGUGGAAAUUUAUUUAUGCGGCGUGGCUAAACUUUUCAUCUAGUCAAGGAUCAACUCGACGGCGCAGUCCCGAAUAUCUGUGAGAUCUAAUUAGUUUUCACGCGUUCUUAAUUUGUUAAUAAUUGCGCGUUGUCUAUUCGAAUUUCCAUGGGAUUAUUUUGUUAAUUGGAUGUCAAGGGAUCGAUGUUCAAUGUGACUUAUUAAUCUCCUGCCAAAUUAGUCAAUUAAAUCCAUAAUUGUUUGAUUGGUUAAUAUUAGUGGCAACUGGCGUGUUUACACACCAGGGGAACGUGCAAUCUAAUUUAAAUAACCCUCGUAGCGUGUUAUUGAUUGGGGUUAGGUUUUUCUAGUUAUUAAUGCAAUUGAAAAAUUAAUUCCUACGGUCGUACCUAGGAGUAUUUUCUGGUUAGGGGUAAUCAAUGGUUGUACCUUGGUUAUCAAUAAAUUAAAGAAAAAUUGGUCGUUAGAGUUCGUCGGCGACUAUAACUAGUCUAUUAAUAAAUUAAGUGAACCUCCCUUACAUCAAUGAUCGGGUAAGUGGACUAUGUUUGAAUAGUUGUAUUCUUGGUUAGAAUUUAUCUAUUCUUGAAUUAAUUCCUGUGUAUAUUCGUGUUAGUUAAUUAUUCGUUUUAUUUGAAUUGCUUAAUUAUUUGUAGUUUUAUUCUGAUGAAACACCCAUUUUACCAAUUGGAAUCUCAAAGAGACAAAUAUCCUCAAUUCCUGAGGAGACGUGUGAGAACCCGUAUUUUCCCUAAUAAUUUUCCUAGGGUUUUUCCCCUUUAAUGGCAUGUUUUCUGCAUUUUCUGGCUUAGAAAAUUUUCCUGGUGAAUUUUAUGAGUAAUUAUAGUUUUUAGAUGAUUUUUCUAGCAUUGGAUAGUUUUUGAAAAAUUACGGAUAUAUAACGGACGUGGGGCCCACUAGUGCGAAAAGUUCGGAAAAAUUCGGUCAAUAAGGUUAAGUUCCGGAUACUGAGUGAAAUUUAUCGGGUGUUAAGAGAUAAGUAUAGGAUGUGAUGUGAUUGAUGUGAGAGGAAAACAAAAGGAUAGAAAUGCAUUAAUGAAGUGACACUUGUCAUGUUGGGAUUGGUUUCACUUGUUGACAACUAUUCAUUUUUUUUGACUUUUCUUACCAAUUGAUUAAAUAUCUCAAAAAUCACAAAAAAAUUCACUCUUGUCUUCACCUUCUUGGCCGGCCACCUUGAGCUUAAGAAGGAAGAAAACUCUUCAAAAUCUUGGCUACCAUCUAGCUCAAAUCCUCCAAAACAAUUGCUUGAUCUUGUUUCUACUCCAUAAAAUCUCUCCAUUUGGUACUAGUAAGUGAUUUGGUGAAGUGUUUAAGGAAGCUAAGGUGUCCAACAACUCUCCCUCUCUUGUUUACUAGGUGAGUGGUGAUUGAACUUCCUCCUACACUUAAUGAAGCUUAAGUUGUGCUUAGUGGUAGCUAAAGUGCUGAAAUUUGUGGUUUAUUUCUUGGUUUGAGAUGAAAUGAUGAAGUUUUCAAUUUAAUGGUGUAUUUUCUGGUUUAAUGUGAUCAUGAUGUUGUGGUUAUCUAUGAUGGUUGGUAAUGAAGGGUAAUGACUCUAGUAGGUGUACAUGAUUGGUAAUUGCAAGCAAUUUUGGGUUUGGAAGGAAUUUGAGAAAGUUAGGGUUUUAUAUCCCCAAUUCUGUCCGAUUUUGUAUCUCAUGGUUAGAGGCCGAAUUGGCCUUGUCUUAAAACAUGAAAGUUGUAGGUAUUGAUGUGUUUGAGGUGCCUGUAAAAUUUCAGGUUCAUCGGAGUUGUGUAGAGUGAGAAAAGUCGAUUUUACUGUUGCUGUUCUGGGUUCUUCAGGAUGGCCGAACUGCGUCUGUAAUUGGUGGUUUUGGCUGGAAUUGCUUUGGAUUUGGUUGUUGAGGCCUUCUGAUGAAAUGUAGCUUGAUGUCUUAGCUACCGCAUGCCUUUGGUAUGAAUGAAUUUGGACUUGUAUAGACUGAGUUGGACUAAUUACAGCAUAGUGUAUUUUGUAAACCUGCAAUUAAGGUUCUGGUUUGGUAUUUUGCAUAUUUGACCUAGUUGUGCUAGGAAUUGGACUGAGUGACCUUCUACAUUGUUGUAGCCCUGUUUCUUAGCUUCGAAACGGUGGGUCUUACACCCUCAUCCGAUAAGCGUAGUGCAAUUUGUGCCAUUACCGCAAACUGAGGACAAAACUGUUUUUUUUUCAGGGCCAAGUUAGUUACAUUUCCUGAUUUUCUGGUUUGCUAUAAUGCUUAUAUAUGAAUAUGAAACCCUAUUGGGGUUGUGAUUGGCAUGGCUUUAUGACUCGUUAUCGAGUCUCAUUGUAUUUGUUUACGUGUUUUAGGACGUGACGAGGGUUCACGACGACCUUUUAACGACGGUGCAUGAAACAUCACCUACUUGAGUAGUGAGUAUACUACUCACUUGAAUGUUUAUAAUGUGGCUUUGCUAUAUGUGAUUGUGAUGCCUUGAAGGCUUGUUUGGCUAUUGGACAUGGUUAAGGUGAGGGUGUACUUGACCGCCCUCAUCCUUUUUAUCUUGUUAAUGACUGUUUACCGUUUCACUGUAAUACUGCACUUGCUAUAUGAGAUAUUGAAUUCCAUUCAUGGGAAACUGUUUGGGUGUCGGUUGGACGAGUAUCCAACGGCCCUACUGCAUUACUGAGCUCGACCCCGUUGGUAGUUACUUGAAUCGAGCCAGCGAGGGCUUGGUCGUGAAAAUUGACUAGCCACGGGGACUGAAAUGGGAAUCUUGUGGUAAUGAGACCCUUGGUUCCGGUGUACUCGAGUAUCACCUAAAGCUACUGCUUGGAGUGCGGGCCCGGUUGGGGUAUGUUGGGUGGAAGGAAUGGAAGUGAAGUGAGGUCUACGGUCGGGUAUUCUUAAACAUUGACGGAGGGUCAAUGAGGUUGGAUCAAGAAUGUAAGCGUGGAAAUGGGCUCUUGAGAGCCGUCCGUAUCCUUUUACCGACUUGUUUUAUUUCUUAAUUGCGUACUUGAGAUGAAAGUUAAGUGAUCUUUGUUGAUUAUGUGAUAGUUGCUCACUGAGCUUUAGCUCACUCCGUUCCAUUUGUUUUCCUUACAGGAAAAAUGACUAUUUUGGGAAAGGUUGUGCUAGUUGGUUGUCAAGUUGAGCUCAUGUAAAUGUAUAUUUUGAAUAGCUCCUUGAGGGUGAAAACCCUAAGUGUUUUGUUUCAACCAAUGGUUGGUUUGUAAUUGGCCAAUUGCACAUGUGUGAACUUGUUGGAUAUUUUGGUAUACCGCUUUGGCUUGUAAAUGUUAAAUUUCGAUGUAUAUAUGUUGGAUUGAUGUUUGGUUGAACUCCGGAUUCUGACAUGGCCGGUACUGUUCAUCAUCGGCUUCGAUUUUCAUAUUUUUUUUAUUUUGUGAUUUUGACUUGUUUGCGCGCGUUGGUGUGUUCCGGAACGUAGUAGAUCGACGUAAACUGAUCCGUUAGUCCUGGCGAGAGCUGGGCAGCCAGUCCGCUAACCCCUUUGGUUCGCCUUAGGGGAAGGUGGGGCUGUUACAAGACGACCCUACUUGCCACUGUCUGCCAAUUAGUAAAUUUUGUCAAAUAAUUAAUUCUGGUAUAUCGGAUUAAGCAAACUCUUCGAGAACAGGGUGAAUCAAGUAACCCAUUGCACACCUAGAGUCCCUGCUCCAGUACUUAGAAUUGAUUAUCGACUACUUUUGACGGGCGUAGGGUAUACAUAUAACAUUAAGCUCAUCCUAAUCAAGUUUUACAUUUAUAAACUCCUAAAUACCCUACACGCGAUUUAUCGCAAGUAUACGAAUCGUGAGCGAGUAUAGGGUAUUAAAAGUCGAUCUCACAAUGAAGAUUGCAAUUACCGGCACUACUAAAGCUUCUCUAUUAUUUAGACUAUCAAUGAAUUAUAACAAAUUUAACCUACUGAACUUAUGCAAGAAAAUAACAAAUGAAAGCUCCUUAAGUUGUGGUAUCCCUAACUACUCAUGCAAGUGCUAUAUUUGGAUCAUUGAAUACUACUAUCUAGGCUAGUUAUGGUGUAAUUUCCUUAAACAUGUGAAACCUACUUUCGUAGUGAAUCAACUAUAUUCAUAACUAAUCCAUACAUAUUCUCAUGGUUAUGAAAUUAGCUACAAGUUCAUUUCUUCAAUGAAAUUAAUCACUAAAAUCACAUAGGUGCACCUCUACUCUCGUGAGCGUACUCCCUAUGUUUAGCACUUCUUAAACUAGUGUUAAAUCUCAAUUUUCAUUGCAGAAACAACACCUUAAAUAAUCACAAUCAAUGGUACCAGAUUAAUCAUGAUUUAAAGAGCCAAAGUACUAAAUAACUUGCUCAAAUCAUAGCAAUCAAAUAACCAAAUAAUAAAUACUAACAAUUAUAGAAAGUUCAACCAAACCCAAGGCAUAAACGUUAGAGACACAUAUUAAACACAAAAUCCAGAACUUGCAUAUCAACUAAACUUAGAAUCCAAUACAAAAGAUAAAGAGUUGGAAAAGAGAUAACCAUUGUCACAUGAGCUUCAACUCCUCCUUUUUCAUCUCCAUUUUCAUCCUAAUCUAGCUAAUAUACAAGAAUGGAAGAGCUAUACUAUUCUAAACUAAACUAUCCUACUACUCAGAAAGUGCAAGAGCUACAUCUCUGCACUCCAAGUUUCUCCUGUAUGUCUCUCUAUUCUCCCUUCAAUCUUGCAAGCUUUGGCUAUAUAAAGGUGAAAGUUGGUCAAGAAGUGAGGUUUACACCUCCCUUUUACAGCUGGGAAUGUUUCUCACAUGUCUAGCAUCACCUGUGACUUAGUGGAGGUGAAAUUGAGUUUCCCACGUAAAGAGCAGCCUUCUCUGACCACAAUCCGGCCAGAAAUCUGGCCAAGUUCCGGCCGGAUUGCUACAGUGACAUUUUGGUGCACUUUUGUUCAAUUUCCAGCUCUGCUCCAAUUUUGUGUCAAUUUCAACUGAACUUUUGUUGAUGAUAAAAGCUGAUUUAGCUCUUGAUCAACAUAAAACUUGUAGCCCUUUGAGUUAGCUUUCCAAUGCAUCAAGAAUCACCUCAUUUGGAUCUGUGUAGGCUGAGAAAUGACCGAAAUACCUUUGACUGCUCACUGCCCUAUUUCAGCUUCGACCAAUAGAAAUUAGCUACUGUAAUUCGGCUUUUUAACCUGGAAAACCUUCAAAAUAGAUUCAGAUGUCUUCACCAAAGUUGUAGAUCUAUCUCUUAUCUUCAAAUUGGUUUAAGAAUCAUCUCAAUCCGAUCAUUAUAGCUCAAGUUAUAGCCAAAAUACGAAAAUGUGUCAAAACUGUCAAAAUGCACAAAAUCCAAGUAAAAAGUGAUAAAAACCUCAUUUAAUUACUUAAAAGCAUUUUUCACCAAUUAUAGCCAAAAUGAAUCAUUUUCUUCCAAUAAUGUAACCAAAGUGACUAACAAUAAUAUAAAAUAUCAUACAAUUAUUACAUAAAUUAGUCACUUAUCAGCUUUUAUUGGCAAUUAGGUUUAUUUUUAUUAUUGCACAGGUUCGGCACCUGUCAUUAGGAGUACUGGUUUUGCUGUGGGAUUUUUCGUUUUCUUUGUCAGCUGCGUCAGCUGCAUGGUGCUUUAGAGCAUAAGCCUUUGUUUUGUAUCGAAACAUCACGGCCAAAAUUGCCAAAAGCAUAUCGAAACAUGAACACAAAAUGAAAGAUGUGAGGAAACUUUAAUGAAGAUAUGCCUUGAGAUUUAAACACCAAAGACAAAAGCUCAAAAAAUAUUAUCAACGGAUCAAAAUAAGAACUUGAUUAUUGGUAAAACACUCCAACAAGUUAAGUCGAACCAAGAUCAACAUAAUCAAUUAUUUGAUUUCAAGAGUCAUAACUUUUGCUUGUAAAGAACAAAUAAAGUUAAACAAUUUAUUGCUUUUUUCCCCCCAGUCAGCUGUGUACCUCAACAUUAUUUCACGUCAAAAACUUGUUUUUCCUCGGAUUAAAUACCCUAGCAUCUGAGGUUAUCACCAGUCUCGACACCCAAUUGUCUACAAUAUUCAGUAUAAUACUCAACUCGAGCACUAACUGUGUUUGGAUUUGCACCAUCACAUUCAAGCCGACCAUUAAUGGCACGAAUUGUAGCCCCAAAACCCUGGCCAGAAGUGAUAAGAUCAUGACAAUGGUUCAUCCAAUACCACAAGCCAGUUUUGAAUGAAAUAACAUUAUUUGUAGCUACAGUUUCAGGUUGGCUGAGUCCAUUGAAUCCAAUGCUUUCACCUGCUGGUCCAUAGUUAGAGUUCCAUGAUAACUGUAUUGGACCCCUGCCGUAAUAUCCCUUGCCUGGCACACAUGGAUACUGAGUGUUGCUCUCAUCACAGUAAUCUCUGGAGGGGCCGUCUAUCUCUUCUAUGUAGCACAAAUCUGCGCAAUAUAAAGAAAUUUUGUCACUCAAUUGAAAUGAUUGAUAAAGGGUUAGAAUCAAAGAAAAUCAGGAGGUCUGGAAUUUUUUGUAAAUUUUUAGAUUUGAUUGUUUUACUAAUGAAUUCAAUUGGUGAGAAAAGACUUUAUCCCAUUUUGUAAAAAUUGGGUUGGACAGACCUAAAGUAAACACUCUUUUUAUGAGGUAAAAUUUUAGAAUGAUUUAACAUUAUAGGGUUAUACGAUAGAUAAAUAAAAAUUGGCAAUAGCAAGAUUAAGAAGGGACCAACAGUGAUAUAAAAAUUACAAAGGUAUCAUGGACGUCUAAAAUAUAUUUGGCUAAUAAAUUUGAACUAAUUUACGGCCAAAUUUAGGUGAAAUAGUUAAUUCUACUUGGUAAAUUGGAAGUUCGGAAACGUGUAUCUGUCAGUUGUCAUACUCAUGAGCGAGCCAAUCUUAACUUAAAAAAGAAAAAGAAAAAAAGAAAAAGAAAAAAGGAAUCCAAAAGAUAAAAGUAGAAAAGGCAUGAAUUUUAAAACGUAAUCGUAAUACCUUGUACCCGAAACAAAUAUGUGCAAUACUUAUUAAGCUAAGCAAAGCCACAUGAUCUACUCUUAGAUGCAGCAAAAUAUACAACCACCUUAAGCUUGGAAUGUAAAGGCAGAAAAACUUGCUUAUGUAGAUAUAAAAGUGACCACUACAAGAAAAGUAAAAAGAAUAUGGAGAUAAUAAUCCUUCUGUUCAUCAUGAUAAAUUAUUUAACAGUAAUAAAUCUUUCAUAUUCAAGUUUUAUUUUUUGAAGAAAAAAUUCUUGGAUAAUAGUGCACAGGAGAUUCCAAGAUAUACUAUCUAGAAAUUCACAGGAGCUACUAAAAAAGUAGAAAAUAUCUUCAAAAUUUAAUUUCCAAGCUAGUGUUAUUCAAAACUUACGUCCAGUCUCAUGAGUGACAUGAGCAAAGAAAGCAGCAAUCUCCCUUUUAGAAUCAUCAACAGAACCAGCGGUUCCAAACUGGGGAUACGAGUUCAGAGCUUCAAGAAAAGCUGAUCGAGUAUAGAACCCUUUUCCAGCACAGCUUGAAGCAGCUUGAUCAGCAAUCCCAUUAAAGAAAGCGUCCGUCACAAUAUCAGCAACUGAAACGCCACUAUUACCACUGCUCGGAGCAGCGGUGCAAGGGCCGGAUUGACAGCCAGAGCCGCAGUAGUCGUUGCCGGUACCGCAAUAGCCGAAUUUGCUGCAGCACAAGUCUGGUGCACAGCCGCAGUUUUGGCUUGAAAUCAGCUGUGGAAAGGCUCCUACAAGAACUACAAUGGAGAAAAUGAUGGUUGGAAAACUCUUCAUUUUUGGAUUUGAUAAAGGAGAGAAGCUUGUGGGCAGCAGUUGUAUCAGAAAAAAGGGUAUAUGUAGGGAAGAGAACUGAAAACUGAUCAGCUUGUGUGAAGCAUGCACAGCUGCUAUUGUUGAAAAUAUUGAAUUUGAGCAAUUAAAGAAAACAGAACAGAAGACGAAAGCGUGAAUGGUUGACUUCUAUCGAGAGUAUUGACUUUGACAUUGUCAAUGAAGCGGAAACUUUCUUUCUUGGCUUCUAGAAUGGGAAAGGUCAAAAAGAAAGAUUUUGGCCAAUUCGUAUGAACAAUUGUGAGAAUAAGGCAUGUAGACUCACAAGUCCCCACUAGAAUGUGUGCAAAAAUAUAAUUUGAAGUUGCCUAAAUCAUUUAAUUUCAUGCUUGUUAUUGAGUUUAUUUGCCUAACUGUGUUUUAGUAAUACUUCAAAAUUGUGUUUGAGUUAGAACGGAAAAAAAUAUGAGACAUUUUUUUUUUAAUUGCAAUUCCAGAAAUAAAAUCUUAUAAAACAUGUAUUAGAAAAAUUUUGAGGGUAAAUGAUAUGAAAAAAAAAAAGAAGAAAUAGUUCUAUAAAUUGACAUAAGUGUUCAUCGGCUUUUGGAAAAAUUAAGAAAGAAUAAAGCAGCCGACAUAUCUAUCAUGCAUAACAACAUUAUGUGGCUUUUGUUAGUACACGCUAUGACCAUAUAUGUUUCAUUUGAGAUGCUUGUCGGACGUGUUGAAUUGUUGGCAAUGAAAUGCUCCAAAAUGUCAGCACUAUAGUUUAUAAAUAGUAUUAGGUCAUACUGAAUUAUCGACAUAUCGUUACAUGCAGAGUCGUGAAAAUAUACAAGUCUUUCCCUAUCAUUAAUUAGUUGGUCAAAUGACAAUUUUAGAGUGGCUGCUGACUAUGUCAAGAAACAUCUUGCAGUAAAUUGGGCGAGUUAAUGUACUUUUCUUUUUCUAAAUAUUUGCACUUAAACUCUCAAAUCGACCAUAGUUUUAACUAAUUUUGCUCUGGCUUUAUUCUUGAUUCGCAAAAUUCAGAAAAACCAAAACAAACCCUUGUUACUGAAGAUAUCAAAAUGGUAACCCAACUAAGUAAUUGAUUUUGAAAAACAUUCUGAACCAAAUUUCAAGUUUUGGUUUCUUUGCUCUUUUUCUACUGAAAGGCAACUUCCCCGGGCCAAGAAAUUGAAACAAAUAGUACGAUGCUUAAGUUUUCUAUGCUCUUAUGAUCAAGUCAAACCAUGCUUAUAAUCAAUUACAUAAAAAAUUACGGGCAAUUUCGUCAUUAUUUGGGAGGAGGAGGAAUAUUAAGCAAAAAAAAAAGUUCUAUUAAGAAAACGAUUAAGCAUAUUAUUUUCCAGGAAUAAAAAAGAACGAGCAGAGAAAUACAUUAGUUUGGAUGACAUUACAACAUUUAGCAACAUGAUUAGGGAUGCAAUGGGAUGGGUGCCAAUUGGGAAUCAAUGGGAUGGGAGAAAAUGCAGGAGGGGAUGGAGGGAUUGAAGAAUAUUUCUCCUCCAACAUUAAAUGGAUACCUCCAUCCCAUCCCCUAAAACCCCUUGUUGCUAUUCCUAAACAGGAUGCUACUUAUAUCCUCUCUCUAUGAGCAUGUGUGGCUAGUGAGGAAUGCAGGAUUUUGAUUUUGGCGGGGGGAGGGUGGGGCAAAUUGACAAUCAAGAAACAAUAGAAAAAAAACCUUAGCAAAUAAAGCACACAAACUUAAAAUGAAAGUUUAAUAUACGAUAAAUAAAAUAUAAAUAUUUUUAAUAAUAAAAUACACCAUAUAAAUAAAAUGAUAGAGCAAUAAUUGGGCACCAUAAGUGCUGUUAUUUGGUCAUAAUGUUGGCUACUUAUCAUGCUAAGUAGUGCAGCUUUGCUCAUAUUUGAUAUUUGUGUAAAUUACAGGCGGUUGGUGUUGAAACUGAUCUCUCGAGGCAAAUUUUCAGAAGACUUUUUAUUUCAGAGCGUGCCGACGCCAGAAACUAUAGAGAGACUCCUCAAAGGUGGACCGCGGGACUAAUUAACUAAACUUACCUUUAUUCCUGCUUGACGCUGCUGGAAGUGCGUUAAAACAAAAAGGCAAUAAUUUCCAGCGAAUUGGGUAACAACCAAUAAGGAGGAAAAUUAGGGGCACUAGCCUACAAAGCCGGACCCGCGAGACUGGUAGACAAAGUGGGGAAUUAGGAAGUCUUCAAAGCGGCUAUUUUCUCGUGGGCUGCAGAGGUGAAAAGGACAAGUAGUUUGAGUCUUGCAGAGAGCUUUUGAGUUCUCUUACGUUUUGUCUUGCGGUAGCCACCCGGGGGAGGAUUGAAAAAGCCAUAUUCACGUGGGAUUAGGAGAUUAGCUUUAGUUUCUUGUAUCCCUGGGUAGACGAUCUGCUCUCUGCUUUGCUUUUGGCGACUUUCUUUAGACCUUUUUCUUUACUUUUCUCCGGCACGAACAGGGAACCAAAAAAGAAGCAAGACUUUUCGUUUGUCUCGUCGUUAUUUCAUCUUUCCCAACUUUUUGGUAAUUAAGUGGAUGGAAUCAAUCAAAUCACGCGAGAUUGAUGUGAUGAGGAGUGGCUAGGUUUCUCUGCUACCCAAAGGUCGACGCGAAGGCGCGGUCCAUAACAUCUGUGAGAUCUAAUCGAACUUUCACUAUUUCUUCCAAUCCGUUACUAUUCGUGCGUUUUCUGGAUUAACUGUUUAUGGUUAUUUUAUUAAUUGAGUAUCAACAGCCGGAUAUUUAAUUUAAUCUAAUAGCCUACUGUCACGUUAACUAAAUUGAAUCCGUAAUUAUUCGUUUAGUUGAUAAUUAGUGACAACCAUCAUAAUUGGCUUUAUGUUGGGAAAAACGUAAGAUCUAAUUUAGAUAAACCCUCUUAUAGCGUGUUUAUUGGUUAGGGUUGGAUUUUUCUAGCGUUAAUGCAACUGAAUAAUUAAAUUCCUACGGUCGUAUCUAGGGUUAUUUUCUGGUUAGAGAAACAGUCAACGGUCGUACCUUGGCUAUCGAAAAAGUAAGAAAAAACUAGCAGUCAGAGCUUGUUGAUCGCUAUAACCAACCUAGUGACGAAUGAGUGAAAUAUCUUUGCAUCGAUGAUCAUUUAAUUGGACCGUGCCUGAAAAGUUGAUCCUUUGGAUAGAAUUUUGCUAAUUGCUAUUUUCAGUGAAUUGUACUUGGCGAGUUAGCUUUUGAAUUUUGUUUAUUUUAUUUUCAUUUUCAUUCCAUUAAAUAUCCCCCAAUUUUGUUCUAUUGACUUGGAAAGAAACAACUUCUUACCCGUUACUUGUGGAAUCGACCCUACUUGCCAUUUUCAGAAACAACUUCUUAAUUUUAAUCCUUAUGAAACCCAGCUUCUCUCUCAAUUUUCAGAGGUUUCUUUUCCUUCAUCAUGUCAAAGUUGCUAUUAUAAUCACUGUAAUUAGACAGCUAAACCUGUCAUUCCAAUUAUACCCUUGGUCCGCCGUGGGAAAUACAUAAAAUGUGGUAGCGCUGCCCAAUAAGUCCCACAUUGGACCAUAUAAAAUUGUUUAAGGACUAAAUUGGUAAAAAAAAUCGUAAAUGAUGAAAUUGAUUUAAGUGAAAAAGUUCAAGGACCAAAUUGGCAAUUUUUCCUUAUUAUGAUUAUGAUUAUGAUUAUUAUUAUUAUUAUUAUUAUUAGUCUGAGAUGCCGAACAAGUUGUGGAGACUUAUUUCACCUUUACAAGGUCAUUGGAGGGCUUGACGAGGUGCGAUGUGGUAAGGAAAGGCACAAAAAACUCUUUUUUCUUUAUUAAAAAACAUACAAAUUGCACUAAUAAUGGCUGAAAAUGCAUCCAACAUGCAAUAGUGAAAAAUCGUUAGAUGCAAGAUAUAUAAAAGUUAACAAAAAUUAUCUUAGUACCUCUGAUAUAUUCCAAAUUCAGAUAAAUCAUCUGCCCCCAAUGAAUAUAUGUGCAUAUCAUCAUUGUCAAAAAAUAUUUAUGCAUAUCAUUGCCGUUAGAUUUUAUAUUGAAGUGGUUAAAGCUCCAAAUCUAGUAGAGAAGAAAUUCAACACUUGAGAAAAUAAGUUAAGAAAUUCAAGAUUUGACAUACAAAUCUGAAAAGCUCUCAAAUCUAACAAAACAAGAUAUAAAAUUAUCUGAAUAAAACUCUCACUAGAAUAUCUUAGUAGAGAAGAAAAUUCUCACUAGAUAGUCUCACUAUACUUUAUUAGACAUAAAAAAAAAAAAAAGAGAAGUCAAACAGAGGGAGGAAGGCAAUCCUCCAUGGAGGAAAUAAUAAUUGUCUUGAAGGUUGUGUAGAGAGAUGGUGGAGAAACUUCUUUUGUUUUAUCUAUUGGUUAUCUUUCUAAUUGCUAGUUAACGAACAAUAAACUCUAAAUGAAACUACUAAAUUUGCAACCGAAGACAUUUUUGGGCUUGUAUCUUAGUAUCGUAAUCGUCACCCAAUUAGAGCCGCCCAUGACGGCUUCAUUAAAUAUAUAAUUUGGGGGAACCAGGAUUUAAGGCCAAAUUUCGGCAACCUUCAAGGCACUUCAUUGUUUUCUCACAAAUUUUGUUUAUUUAUUGUAAAAGAUUAACUUUAAAGUGUCCUCAAAUUUCUUCCCUAUCUUCUCUCAAACUUUACCAGUGAAAAUUGUUUGUCUUCGGGUUCGUUUGUUUCGGGUGAAAAUGUUUUCCAGAAAAAGUAUUUUCCUAAUUUCCCGUGUUUGAUUGCACAAAAGUUACUGAAAACAUUUUACAUAAAUUUUCACUCAUCUUAUGGAAAACAACUUCCCUUCCAAACUUACUGAAGUUGUUUUCCGAAAUGCAUGCAUCCCGCCUGUAGUAUGUUCCAAACUUACUGAAACCAUCUUGUAGUAUGUUCUUUUUUUUUUUUAGUGUAAACAGGAGGACUCGAACCAAGACCUCUUCCUUACACUCCCUCCCCCGUACCAUCCAACCCAACCCAACCCUCCCCCUAGUAUAUUCAAAAUAAAAAAAAACCUCAUCCUACUCAUCCUAUUCUAGUAAUUAAUUAUGUAUAAUAGGGACAUUCUUUUCUAGAGAAACUUUCAGCAAUGAUAGUGCAAGAUAUAUGUCACAAUAAGCAUUGCAUGUGAUUGAUAUUUGACACUAAAUGGCCAGCAAUUUGUUUAUUGCUUAAGGAGAUAUUUUUUAUUCAUAUAUACAUUUCUCCAAGAUUUUUUAAAGUUAAACAAUGAGAUAAAUUUUCUUAUUUUGCAUGGGAAGAAGUAUGUAGUUAUAAUGUGUAGAAAGUAAAGAUAGAGAUAAAAGUGAAAAUAUUUCAAAAGUUAAACAAACACCAAAAAAAUGAAGUAAGAAAAUAUUUUCAAUAAACUAACCAAACACCUGAAAAUGAUGAAAGAGAAAUGAUUUUCAUGGAAAAUUACUUCCACGGAAAAUAUUUUCCCAAGAAAAAUAUUUUACUUCCAACCAAACAGACCCUUCAUCUCGUUGAUUGUCUCCCCCAGUGCAUACAAAUGUAUUAUGGGCAUUUUGGUGAAAGAAAGGCAUAAACCGAGUUCUGCACAACUAAAUUUUGCCAAUAGCAUAUGAAAAUAUGAAGAAGAAUAAUAAUAAAUGAAGGGUCUGUCUAAUAAGUAUUCAUAGGGAACCAUUGAAAUAUAUCUCAAGUGUCAUGUUUUUGGAAAUGUAAAAUUAAUAGAAAAAAUAAAUAAAUACAAGAGAGAGUAGAUAAAAUUAAAUAAGAAAAGUUAAUAAUUGUUAAUAGAUAUAUAUACAUAAUAGAUUAGAUGAACGUUAAAUAUGUUAACAAGUACCUUAUUAGCACCCGUUAAAAAAACCUAUAAAUGAAAGAUGUGAUCACCAAAUCAUUGACAAAGAAAUGUGUUGAAAAUGAAACAAGAAAGUCAAACAUGAUAAGGGAUCAAAAAUGGAAUUUAAUAAUUGCAGAUACUCCAAGAAGUUGAGUUGAAAUCAGUUAUCCGAUUUCAAAUUCACAACUUCUGCUGUCAAAGAACUACAAAGGGACUCAACUUCUGCUAAUUUAUAUUAGUUUCGAAACUCUUACAAGUACCCUAGCAUCUGAGAUUAUCACCGGGAUCAACACCCAACUGGUUACAAUAUUCAGCAUAAUACUCAACACGAGCACUAACAGUGUCCGGAUUUGCACCAUCACAUUCAAGCUGUCCGUUAACGGCACGAAUUGUAGCCCCAAAACCCUGGCCAGAAGUGAUAAGAUCAUGACAAUUGUUCAUCCAGAACCACAAGGCAGUUUUGAAUGAAAUAACAUUAUCUGUGGCCACAGUUUCAGGUUCAGUUAGUCCAUCGAACCCUAUGCUUUCACCUGCUGGUCCAUAGUUAAAGUUCCAAGAUAUUUGUAUUGGACCCCUGCCGUAAUAUCCCUUGCCUGGCACACAAGGGUACUGAGUGUUGCGCUCAUCACAAUAGUCUUUGGAAGGGCCGUCUAUCUCUUCUAUAUAGCACAUAUCUGCACAAUAUAGAGAAGUCUGUAUCAAUUAUCACUGCAUUCAAUUGCUUAUAUGAAAGCCACUCAUUGAUACAUUAUGGAUUUUAGAUAUUUUUACUAUUAAAAAAUCUAUAAUCUAAAUACAAAAUAAAUGAGAACAUAAAAAAAAUUAAUUAUUUAAAAUCAGAAUCUAUAGUCAGUUAUAAUAAUCAAUCAAGAACAACCCCAAAAAAUGUCAUCAAUAUUUAAGAAGGGACCAUAUGUGAUAAAGAAAUUAUAAAGUUAUAAGUAAUCACAGACUAAAUAAAUAACCAAUACAACAAAGUAGAAAAAAAAAAGGAAAACAAUAAUCCCUCUGCCCAGUUAUAAGAGACACACCCUCAUGAUAAAUUUCUUUUUUUUCUUUUUCAGUUAUGUCAUUUUAAGUUAUUUGACAAUAGAAAGUAUUUCAUAUUAAUGUCGUUAUCUUUGAAGAAAGUUCUUGGACAAUAGUGCACAGGACAACAUCCUACGUAGAACUGUACAAAGAUUUAGUAAAUAGGAUCUAAGACGUAGAAAAGUUGCUAAAAAUUUCAAAAAAACUAAAUCUCCUUGGUGGAGUUGUUCAAAGCUUACGUCCAGUCUCAUGAGUGACAUGAGCAAAGAAGGCGGCAAUCUCCCUUUUGGAAUCAUCAACUGAACCAACUGUUCCAAACUCAGAAUACAAAUUCUGAGCUUCAAGAAACGCCGAUCGAGUAUAGAACCCUUUUCCAGCACAGCUUGAACCAGCUUGAUCAGAAAUCCAGCUAAAGAAAGCGUCUGUCACAACAUCAGCAACUGAAACACCAUUAUUACCACCAUCUGAUGAAGCGGUGCAAGGGCCGGACUGGCAGCCUUUGCCACAAUAGUCGUCGCUGGUGCCACAAUAGCCCCACUGGCUGCAGCAUAAAUCUGGUUCACAGUCACAGUUUUGGCUUGAAAUCAGCUGGGAAAAGGACCCUACAAGAACUGCAAUGGAGAAAAUGAUGAUUCGAAAAUUCUUCAUUUCUGUACUUGAAGAAGGAGAAAAGGAUGUGGACAGAAAUUGUUUGAGUAAGAAGGAUAUUUAUAGCAUGGAGAACUGGAAAAGUGAUCAGCUUGUGUGAAGUAUGGAGAACUGCUAUUGUUGGAAAUCUUGAAGUUGAGCACUGAAUGGAAUGGAUAUAAAAUGCAAUAUUAGUGCUUGACUUUCAAUUAAUCUAUUGACUUUGGCACUGUCAAAAAGUAGCAACCUUCUUUCUUGGCAUUCGGAAUGGGAAUUGUGGAAAAGAAAAAUUUUGGCCAAUUGAUAUCAACAAUUGUGAGUACAAGUCACAAGUCACAAAUAUAAUGCGUGCAAAAAAGAUAACUUGAUGUUGUCUGUAUCAUCUGAUGUUAAUAAAGCCUAACUCUGUUGUAGUCCUAUUUCAGUCUCGUAUUUGAGUCAGAACACAGAUGAUAUUUGUACCAUUCUAGAUCCACGGGCUGCCCUACUACAAAUACUUUUCAUUUGGCUUAAAAAAAACAUUUUAAAGGGUGUAAGCUUUACAAUUAAAGCACGAUCUUUACCUUAUCAUGCAAAGUAUUGGACAUAUAAAAUUUUAUCAAACUGUUGUAGUGAAAAGAACUCAAAUGAUCAAAUUUUAUCCAGUUGAUAAAUAUAGAAUCCUAAAUAAAAUGCAUAGUCCUUUUUUUUUCCUUUAGAGUUCUUAUUGCAUACUAUAUGAAUUAAUUGGUAAAAUUUUGGUAGCGUAUAGGAAAUGAUACCAAUAUAAAAACUACAUUUACUACUCGAGGGCUUAUUAUGCUGCCCAAUUUUUUGGUUUCUACCAUGAGCUGAAAAAAAAUCUUUUCGAAGCAUAAGUUUCCCCAAAUUCUCAUAGACUUUACAAAUGAAAGUUAUUUGUUUCUUGUCGUUCAUUGACUCACCAUGCGUGUGCAGAUGAAUUAUUGAUUGGCCUUUUUGUGGCAGAAAGAUAAAACAGAAUUGAACCAAAGACCUCAUAAUUCCCUAAUUAGUCACUUCAGCCAGUUGAAUUAGAUCUUAUUCACAAGUUUUUUGUACUUCGGUAUAAUAGCGCUCCUGUUCCUUAGUCUCUUAUGCUUCGGUUUACUCCCAAUCUUAAUUGCCUUAACAUUGGUGCAUUUAGACCCUUGCAUUUGGUAAUUCAUAAUCUUAGUAUAGUUAUGAUCCUCAAAUAUCAUACCUUGAGAAACAUCACGGCUAAAAUUACCAACAGCAUAUUGAAACAUGAAAAGUAAAUGAAAGACGUGCAGAAACUUCAAUGGAGAGGCUUGUUGAGAGUGGAAACACCAAAGUCGAAAGCUCGACGAAUACGAUCAAGGGUUCAAAACUGGAACAUGCCUAUUCGUAAAUAGUCCAAGAAAUCGAAACAAGACCAACAAAAUCAAUUAUAUGAUUUCAAAACUUAACAACUUUCGCUUGUAAAGAGCAAGAAAGGUAAACACCUUUUGCUAAUUUUUAUUAAUUUCCAAUCAGUUUUAAGCCUUUAUAGCUCAACAUAUUACUCCCUUCCGAGCACUUUCGGCUCUCCAGAAGUACCCUAGCAUCUGAGAUUCGGACCAGGAUCAACACCCAGUUGGCGACAAUAUUGAGUAUAAUACCCAACACGAGCACUAACAGUGUUUGGAUUUGCACCGUCACAUUCAAGCCGACCAUUAAUGGCACGAAUUGUAGCCCCGAAACCCUGGCCGGAAAUGAUAAGAGAAUGACAAUGGUUCAUCCAAAACCACAAGGCAGUUUUGAAUGAAAUAACAUUAUUCCUGGCUACAAGUUCAGGUUGACUUAGUCCAUUGAACCCAAUGCUUUGUCCUGCUGGUCCAUAGUUGUAGUUCCAUGAUAUUUGUAGUGGACCGCGGCCGUAAUACCCCUUGCCUGGCACACAUGGAUACUGAGUGUUGCUCUUGUCACAGUAGUUUCUGGACGGGCCGCUUAUCUCUUCUAUAUAGCACAUAUCUGCAUGAUAUAGAGAAGUGGUAUUAGUUAUCAUUCCGUCGAAUUGCCAAAAAAGGAAAAAAUGAACGUUAGGUAAGACAAGGAUUGUCGGAUGAUAUGAUAAUGAAAAAUGUAGCAAAAUUUUAUGAGUUCUAAUAACAAUUAAUUGCAAAAUUAUAGAAUUGAAAGGAUUUAAGAAUCACAAACAAAAAUAUUUAUGUGGGAGAAAAGAGAAUAAAUAACUUAACUCAAAAUGUCAUUAAUAUUUCAAACAAAGAAGAAAAUCUCACCACAAUAAAAAUCUAAUAAAUUUUCUAUAGACUAUUUUAGGCUCUCUUAAAUUUUUAGAAAAUACUCCACCUAAUACUCUAGUGCUAAUUUAUGAGAAUCAUUGAAUAAGAAACAACACGAUUAAUUAUGAAAUAAAACACCAAUCACUAAAUAAUAAAAUUACUAGAAAUUGACUUCAAUAAAACUAAUGAUAAUUAAAUAGAAAAUUUUUGAAGCUUGGUUUAUUUUGCCAAAAAAAGAAAAGAAAAGAAGAGCCAUCAAUAUUUAUGAAUAGACCACAAGUGAUUUAAAAUUUACAAAGUUGUAAGUAAUGAUUUAAAAUUUACAAAGUUGUAAGUAAUCACAUGCUUACUAAAUUAUAAAGUUGACUACUACAACAAAGUGAAAAGAACGGAAAAUAAUAAUUUCUCUAUCCAAUUAUAAGUGGCACCCAUAUUCAUGAUAAAUUAUUACAAUAAUAAGUAUUUCUUGUUAAAAUUUUAGUUUUUGAAGAAAGUUCUUGGAUAAUAUUGCAAAGAAAAAUAGUCAAAACUUGGGGACAUCCGGUUUUCAAAAAUCCAAUAGACCAAAGUGUGCUAUACUUUCUCACCAAGUGGUUUAACACAAUUUGGACUAUUGAAUUUUUGAACAUGGGACUUACCCAAGUGUGAGUCCAGAAAAAUAAUCUAUAUAUUACUGUACCAACAUUUAGAAAAGUUACUAAAAAUAUUUUAUAGAAAGUUCCAAAGUAAUUCUCUUUGGUAGAGUUGUUGAAAACACUUACGUCCAGUCUCAUGAGUGACAUGAGCAAAGAAAGCAGCAACCUCCCUUUUAGAAUCAGCAGCAGAACCAGCAGUUCCAAACUUAGAAUACGACUUCUGAGCUUCAAGAAAUGCCGAUCGAGUAUAGAACCCUUUUCCAGCACAACCCGAAGCAGCUUGGUUAGCAAUUCCAUUAAAGAAAGCGUCUGUGACAAUACCAGCAACUGAAGCACCAUUAUUACCACCGCUGGGUGCAGCAGUGCAAGGGCCGGAUCGGCAGCCGGGGCCACAGUAGUCGUUGCUGGUGCCGCAAUAGCCGAAUUUGCUGCAGCAUAAGUUUGGUGCACAGCCACAGUUUUGACUUGAAAUCAGCUGUGGGAAGGCUCCGACAAGAACCAUAAUGGAGAAAAUGAUGGUUGGAAAAUUCUUCAUUUUUGUGCUUGAAGGAAGAGAAAUGGAUGUGGGCAGAAGCUGUUUGAGAAAAAAGGGUAUAUAUAGGGAGGAGAACUGGAAAAUGGAUCAGCUUGUGUGAAGAAGGGAGAGCUGUUAUUGUUGAAAAAAUUUAAGUUGACUAAUGAAUGAAAACAGAAAUCACGUUUGACUUUAAUUCGUGCAUUGACUUUGACAGUGUCAAUAAGUGGGAAUUUUUGUUCUUGGUUUCUAGAAUGGUAUUUGUGAAAGAUUGAUUUUGAUCAAUUGAUAUCAAUAAUUUUGGAAUUGAAUAAUGUAGACUCACAAGUCGCAACUACUGUGUGUAUUUUUAUGACUUGAAGUUGUCUACAGCAUUUAAUUUAGUGCUCAUUAAUUCAUUAACUUGCCUAACUAUGUUUUAGUCAUACUUCACAUUUGCAUUUGAGUUUAAGCACUCAAAAAUAUGAGACAGAUCAAUUUGUCAGUUACAAUUCAUGAAAUAAAAUAGUGUAGAACCUGUGUUAGAAUAAUUUUAGGUUAAAUGGUAAAGAAAAGCAACACUUUUACAUAGCAAUAUAAGUGGUAGUCAGUUUUGGAAAAGCUAAGAAAGGAUUAAAGCCCCGCUUGAUAACCUAAUUCAACACUUAAAUUUAUUGAAUUCAAAUUUUAAUAUAUUCAGACCAUUUGAUAACCAAAGAUUGAACAUCUGAAUUAAUUAAUUCGCACUGAAUUUUCUAGGUAAAACUUAUUUCCAAAAUUAAGUGAUAAGCUAUUCACUUAUCAUUGAAUAUGAUAUGCACUCAAAUAUAUUAGAUUUAAUACUUAACAACUCAAUAAUUUAACGGAUUUAAAUUUAAAUUUUCAAUUUUCAAAUUUGAGACUUCAAUUUUCACGCUUAACUUUUGUCAAACGCAUCCUAAUUAGGCCACUUGCAUAUCACGAAUGACAAAACCAUGUGGCUUCUGCUAGUACACGUUUCGACAGUAUUCCACUUCACGUGUUUGUUGGGCAUACUGGCAUGUCCAUUUGCAUCAUGUCCUAUUUCAUAACAAAAUAUUAUAUUCUAAAUAUAUAUGAAAUAUUUAAUUUAUAUAUGUUAAUUUUUUAAUACAAUAAUAUAAUGUACUUGUAAAUCAAAUAGUAUUAAGUAAAAUAACUACAUAGAAGCAGAUAAAAAUAUAACUGCAGUGCCCCUGUUAGAUUGAAUCUUUAACAAAUUGAAUGCUUUGAACUUUUUUCAUUCAGGAUUUCAGUGCUAUAAUUUAUAAACAGUAUUUCCAAAAAAGAAUUGUUAGUGAAGAUAUCAAAUUGGUGCCCCUAGUAAGUAAUUGUGUUCAGAAAACAACUAGAGUCAAAAGUCAAAUUUUCGUUUCUUUCCUGUUCUUGUCUAAAGACAAUUCUGCAGACAAAGAAGUUGGAAAAAAAAAUAUGCUCACAAUUUGGCAGGGCAAACCUCCUUGCCUAAAAAUUAAGAAAAAUCCACGCCUAAAAAUUAAGAUAAGAAAAAAAAAUCAGUUCAUUUUCUCCUCAUGUUCACUAUUAUCUUAUUAAAUUAAAGGAAACCACGCUUAUAAAUUAUAAUCACUUGCAUCAAAAUCCAACGGCAAUUUUCUCCAUUUUUUGGAAAGAAGAGGAAGGGGGAAAAAGGAAGAAGCUUCCGUAGAAAAGGAAAGAAUUGAGAAAUGUGAUAGGUACUCUGUCUCCCUCUCGGCAAGUGCGGCUUAAGCCAAGCACAGCUCACAGAAGUCCAUUGUUGAAUUAGUCUCCCUGAAAAUUUCUAGCCAUAAAAAUUUUAACUUUUCCUUUUAGUAUAAAUGGAAGAUCUCGAAGUGGGGACCUCUUAUUUACAUUUUCUCUCCUCAUAUCAUUCAACUCAUUUUUUCCCCGAAUUUCAACUUGCUACUCCAUAACUUAGCUUCAUGGAUCUAUAUUUAUGUUCUCAGAAAUGUGAUGUCAUACUUCUAGAUACAUUCAAAAGCGAUGAAUAGUCGAUCAUUUGGACAAUUGUAGUUUAAAGAACUAAGAAUUAGUGCAAAUAUCUAGUUCAUUGAAAACGUAUGGCCCUUAAUUUUUGUAUUUUGACGAUAUACAAGUCUGAAAUUCUAGAAAACAAAGAAAACUGCCAUCCUUGAACAAUUCUUUAGAGAUUUUUUGUUCUUUUUAUUUUUUGAGCAAAUGAAACAUCUUCCCGUUUAUCAUUGGAACAUAAGCUUUACAAAGGAGCAAAACCUCUUACUACAACAAAAAAUCUGGAGCGAGCUAUACCCAUUAUACAAUACUAUGCAUGUGAAAACAAACAAAACAGACAGAAUUCAACCAAGAUCAAUCUAGCAAACGUCCGUGAUCUAUCCCCCAUUCUAACAACAACUCCCAAUUUUCCUUACUACCAGGAGCUUUAGCCCAUAAGAGACAAGUCAAGUUGAACAAUUUUAACCACUGCCGAUUUAAUAAAAUUUGGAGUGAAACCCUCCAACGUGUACAGGGUUUGUCUUUCCAAAAAAACAAAAAACAAAAAACAAAACCGCUGCUGCAACUACUUCCAUUAUCAGUAUUCUGUAUACGAAAAUCAACAUUUAGUCUUUCCCAAAUUUAGUAUAUUUUAGUGCAUAAUUGAAAAAAAUUCUCUUGGCACAAGUGGAAAAUUAUAGAUUUGAAAUCAAUUACAAAAUUUCCUAGAAAAUAGACGCCCACUGAUCAACUAUGGCGCUUCGUAGUUCAGCUUUUCCAGUCUCAUACGUAGAAGUUGGUCCUAAUAGUGCAUUAAUGUUUCAUAGUUAAUCAGAAUUUUCUAUGACAAAAAAAAAGAAGAAGAUUCAUGAAGAAAAAUAAUCUAUUGGCUGUACUUUAUUUCGAUUUAGACAUCAAUAGUGCAAUGGCAAAAGGACUUUGUAGAUGAACCUAGUUGAUGUAAUGAAUUUAUGAUGAUUUAAUUAACUAAAAAGGCAAUCAAUUCGGUCUGCUUAAUGUCAUACUCAAGAGGUCAUCAUCUUUGUCAAAGGGUCUAUACAUUCCAUACAUUAGUAGUAAAUGUUAGUGGAUUUGUUACUAUUGCUGACCAUGUUAGCCACUGAUUUCUAUUAAAUCAUGUCUUUAGCUUCUUAUAAGCUUCUCUAUACCCUACCUAAUCUCAUACCAUUUUACUUUCUCUUGGAUUAUGUGGAAUGCCUACUUGACCGCAAUGUCUAUAUUUUAAUGAUACCAGUACAUUUUCAAAUCUUCAAUUAGCUUUUAAAGUAUCGAAGUUCAGUUCACUAAUUGGCCAUAAAGACAGAUCAAUAGCAAAGUUGAAAUAUGCCACUUAUCCUGAGACGUUGUAGAAAGUUGGAAUGUUAAUGUCGUCCCUUGUAAUCCGAAUAUGUGAAACUGAAGUUGUUGAAGGGUGGGGGAGAGUUGGGUUGGGUGGUACGGGGCAGGAAGUAUAAGCAAGAGGUCUCGAGUUCAAGUCCUCCCGCUUACACUAAAAAAAAUUAAAAAAAAAAAGAAGCUGUUGAAGGGUGAAUGAGUUUUUCAGUUGUAUACAAGCUGUAUAAUGGGGUUUUCAAUAAAAAGUUUAUCAUUUUCUCAAAAAAAGAAAAAAAAAAGAAGAAGGGUGAAUUGAGGAAGCUGAAUGCUAAGCGAUAUAGUUCUAUUAGUGAUAGAAUAUAACAGGUGUGUAUGGCCAGUUAUGUGAAGUGCAAUCGUUCUCCUUCAUUCACCUUUUGAUAUUACUUUACGGGCCAAAUAUAAGAAUGAGAUCUCUUGGGCUGGCCACGUCUUCUUCUUCUUCGUUUUUUUUUUCCAUUCUUCUUAUAGAUCUUUAGGCGAAUAAGCAAUCUUUGGGGAAAUAAUGUAGUAUAUUUGGACAUUGGGAUAAUUUAACAAAUCUCCAUUGAGUUUUAUGACAAAUUCAUCAUAGUUCCCCCUCAAAUUAUUGCAUUACACUUGUGUCUAUUAGCUAUUGAUUUCCAAGGUAAAUGCUGAAUUUCCCCUCUAGGUUUACCAUUGACACUUUCUAUACAAAGCGAUACAAAUUAUAUAUAAGAGAUUUGUGAAAGUGUCAUACUUCCGAGCUAUAACUCAUAAACAAAGGCAUUCGUAAAACCCUUUUGAUUCAAAUAUAUAGAUUUUUUUUUAUCCAACACCAAAAUUAUAUUGCCCAAUAAAAAAAGAAAACCUUUUUUUUUGGUUAAACCAAACUAUUAUUAUUGCAGCCCCAAAAAAGUACAAAGUUCGGGACCAGCCCUUCCCUAAGAAUACAAGCUCACACACCCUGCCCCACCUCUAAUUAACCCCUACCGCCGGCAUCUACGAAAAUUUGGAUACCCACACACAUCUAAUAUAUAGAUAUACUCACCUAUACACUUAACAAUUUAAUGUAUGCUAAAGUGAGUAGAAUAGGGUUUUGAAAAAGUACUCAAAAGUAUGCUACUUCCAUCAUUACCUUCUAGCACGCAUUGUGCAAACUCUUUUCAAAUAGAAAAAAGGGAAUGAAGAGGAGAUACAAAAAAGGGUUGCAAAUUCUUUAAAAUAUGGCAAGGGUAAGCAUGCAAGUAACAUAUAACAUGAAACAAACAUGUUAAGGAAACCUUAAAACAAGAGAGGUAACAGUAAGUUUGAAAACUUUGGUGCAGCUAAAUGAAGUCAAAAACCUAAAACAAGGUUGAUGGAAUUAUCCCUAGUAAACUCUAUGUGUCCUUCACCAAGUGAAAAAAUACUGUUCAAAAUUCUUAUUUCUAUCGGAACCAUUUCGAGGAACUCCAAUUCGGAUGUCAAUACUAAAAGAAAUUUUCCCUAUGGUACCCCUGAUUUUGAAAUUCACUAAUUAUUUGUAUAAUUGUAUCAUAUAUAUGCUUUUAUGUAUUGUGUAAUGAUUCACAUCAAAUUCAUGAGAAAUUUCGCAUCCCUCUCACAAAAGUUAGCAAAUGCAUUGUAUAUAGGAAGCUGAAAACCAAACAAGACUUUAUUAUUAGGUUAUCGAUCAGUAUUAUUGGUCCUAUCCAAGUGUCAUCACGUUUUGUUUAUUCAAGUGUCAUAAUGUUAUUGAUAGUAUAAUUGGGUUGCAUGAUUAUGGUUGAAAGUGUGGAAUAUGCGAUUAAACUCCGUGUUAGGAGUACUGGUUUUGCUGUGGGUUUUUUCGUUUUCUUUGUCAGCUGCGUGGGGGCUUUAGAGCAUAAGCCUUUGUUUUGUUUCUAAACAUCACCGCCAAAAUUGCCAAUAGCAUAUCGAAACAUGGACACUAAAUGAAAAGAUGUGAGGAAACUUUAAUGAAGAUAUGCCAAAGACAAAAGCUCGAAAAAAUAUGAUCAAGGGAUCAAAAUAGGAACAGGCGAACACCAACAAGUUAAGUCGAACCAAGAUCAACAUAAUCAAUUAUUUGAUUUCAAGAGUCAUAACUUUGCUUGUAAAGAACAAUUAAAGGUAAACAAUUUGUUGCUUUCCCCCCCUCCCCAAUCAGGUGUGUACCUCAACAUUAUUUCACGUCAUGAACUUGUUUUUCCUGGGAUAAAUACCCUAGCAUCUGAGGUUAUCACCAGGCUCGACACCCAAUUGUCUACAAUAUUCAGUAUAAUACUCAACUCGAGCACUAACUGUGUUUGGAUUUGCACCAUCACAUUCAAGCCGACCAUUAAUGGCACGAAUUGUAGCCCCAAAACCCUGGCCAGAAGUGAUAAGAUCAUGACAAUGGUUCAUCCAAUACCACAAGCCAGUUUUGAAUGAAAUAACAUUAUUUGUAGCUACAGUUUCAGGUUGGCUGAGUCCAUUGAAUCCAAUGCUUUCACCUGCUGGUCCAUAGUUAAAGUUCCAUGAUAACUGUAUUGGACCCCUGCCGUAAUAUCCCUUGCCUGGCACACAUGGAUACUGAGUGUUGCUCUCAUCACAGUAAUCUCUGGAGGGGCCGUCUAUCUCUUCUAUGUAGCACAAAUCUGCGCAAUAUAAAGAAAUUUUGUCACUCAAUUGAAAUGAUUGAUAAAGGGUUAGAAUCAAAGAAAAUCAGCAGGUCUGGAAUUUUUUGUAAAUUUUUAGAUUUGAUUGUUUUACUGAUGAAUUCAAUUGGUGAGAAAAGAAUUUAUCCCAUUUUGUAAAAAUUGGAUUGGACAGACUUAAAGUAAACACUUCUUUUAUGAGGUAAAAUUUUAGAAUGAUUUAACAUUAUAGGGUUAUACGAUAGAUAAAUAAAAAUUGGCAAUAGCAAGAUUAAGAUGGGACUAAAAUAUAUUUGGUUAAUAAAUUUGAAUUAAUUUACGGCCAAAUUUAGGUGAAAUAGUUAAUUCUACUUGGUAAAUUGGAAGUUCGGAAAUGUGUAUCUGUCAGUUGUCAUACUCAUGAGUAAGCCAAUCUUCACUUAAAAAAAAAAGUAAUCCAAAAGAUAAAGCCGCAUGAUCAUCUACUUUUACAUGCAGCAAAAUACACAAUCACCAUAAGCUUAGAAUGUAAAGGCAGAAAAACUUGCUUCUGUAGAUAUAAAAGUGACCACUACAAGAAAAGUAAAAAGAAGAUGGAGAUAAUAAUCCUUCUAUCCCCUUAUAAGGAUUAAACCUUCGUCAUGAUAAAUUAUUUGACAGUAAAAACUCUUUCAUAUUCAAGUUUUAUUUUUUGAAGAAAAAAUUCUUGGAUAAUAGUGCACAGGAUAAUUUAGAUUCCAAGAUAUACUAUCUAGAAAUUUACAGGAGCUACUAAAAUAGUAGAAAAUAUCUUCAAAAUUUAAUUUCCAAGCUAGUGUUAUUCAAAACUUACGUCCAGUCUCAUGAGUGACAUGAGCAAAGAAAGCAGCAAUCUCCCUUUUAGAAUCAUCAACAGAGCCAACGGUUCCAAACUGGGGAUACGAAUUCAGAGCUUCAAGAAAAGCUGAUCGAGUAUAGAACCCUUUUCCAGCACAGCUUGAAGCAGCUUGAUCAGCAAUUCCAUUAAAGAAAGCGUCCGUCACAAUAUCAGCAACUGAAACGCCACUAUUACCACUGCUCGGAGCAGCGGUGCAAGGGCCGGAUUGACAGCCAGAGCCACAGUAGUCAUUGCCGGUACCGCAAUAGCCGAAUUUGCUGCAGCACAAGUCUGGUGCACAGCCGCAGUUUUGGCUUGAAAUCAGCUGUGGAAAGGCUCCUACAAGAACUACAAUGGAGAAAAUGAUGGUUGGAAAACUCUUCAUUUUUGGAUUUGAUAAAGUAGAGAAGCUUGUGGGCAGAAGUUGUAUCAGAAAGAAGGAUAUAUAUAGGGAAGAGAACUGAAAACCGAUCAGCUUGUGUGAAGCAUGCACCGCUGUUAUUGUUGAAAAUAUUGAAUUUGAGCAAUUAAAGAAAACGGAAGACGAAAGCGUGAAUGGUUGACUUCUAUCGAGUGUAUUGACUUUGACAUUGUCAAUGAAGCGGAAACUUUCUUUCUUGGCUUCUAGAAUGGAAAAGGUCAAACGGGAAGAUUUUGGCCAAUCAUAUAAACAAUUGUGAGAAUAAGUCACGUAGACUAACAAGUCCCCACUAUAAUGUGUGCAAAAAUAUAAUUUGAAGUUGCCUAAAUCAUUUAAUUUGAUGCUUAUUAUUGAGUUUACUUGCCCAACUAUGUUUUAAUAAUAUUUCAAAAUUGUGUUUGAAUUAGAACAAAAAAAUAUGAGACAUACUUAUUUAUUUAAUUGCAAUUCCAGAAAUAAAAUCGUAUACAACAUGUAUUAGAAUAAUUUUUAGGGUAAAUGAUAAAGAAAAGAAAUACUUCUACAAAUUGACGUAAGUGAUCAUCAGCUUUUCGAGAAGUUCAGAAAGAAUAAAGUGGCCGAUAUAUAUAUCAUGCAUGGCAAACUAUGUGGCUUUUGUUAGUACACGUUAUGACUAUAUGUAUGUUUCAUUUGACAUGUUUGUUGGACGUGUUGAAUUGUUAGCAAUGAAAUGCUCCAAAAUGUUUUCAUGCAAGAUUUCAGCACUGUGGUUUAUAAGCAGUAUGAGGUCAUAGUGAAUUAUCGACAUAUCGUCACAUGCAGAGUCGUGAAAAUAUACAAGUCUUUCCCUAUCAUUAAUUAGUUGGUUAAAUGACAAUUUCUAGAAUGGAGCUUCAUGGUUGGCCAUGUCAAGAAACAUCUCGCAGUAAAUUGGGCGAGUUAAUAUGGUCCUCUUGUUUUACACAGGAUGUACUUUUCUUUUUCUAAAUAUUUCCCCUUAAACUCUCAAAUUGAUCAUAGUGUUAACUAAUUUUGCUCUGGUUUUAUUCUUGGUUCGCAAAAUUCAGUAAAACCAAAACAAACCCUUGUUACUGAAGAUAUCAAAAUGGUACCCCAACUAAGUAAUUGAUUUCGAAAAACACUCUGAACCAAAUUUCAAGUUUUGGUUUCUUUGCUCUUUUUCUACUGAAAGGCAACAUCCCCGGGCCAAGAACUUGAAACAAAUAGUAUGAUGCUCAAGUUUUCUAUGCUCUUAUGAUCAAGUCAAACCAUGCUUAUAAUCAAUUACAUAAAAAAAAAAAAAUCACGGGCAAUUUUGUUACUAUUUGGGAGGAGGAGGAAUAUUAAGCAAAAAAAUAUUCUAUUAAGAAAACGAUGAAGCAUAUUAUUUUCCAGGAAUAAAAAAUAACGAGCAGAAAAAAACAAAUAGUAUGAUGCUCAAGUUUUCUAUGCUCUUAUGAUCAAGUCAAACCAUGCUUAUAAUCAAUUACAUAAAAAAAAAAAUCACGGGCAAUUUCGUCACUAUUUGGGAGGAGGAGGAAUAUUAAGCAAAAAAAUAUUCUAUUAAGAAAACGAUGAAGCAUAUUAUUUUCCAGGAAUAAAAAAUAAAGAGCAGAAAAAUACAUUAGUUUGGAUGACAUUAGAACAUUUAGCAACAGGAUUAGGGAUGCAAUGGGAAGAGUGCCAACUGGGAAUCAACAGGAUGGGAAAAAAUACAGGGCGGGGUGGGGGGGAUUGGAGAUAUAAUAAAUCUAAAAUUUUGUUUCUUUAGGAAACUUACAUAAGUGAACUUAAUAUUUCCUAAAAUAAUAUUUAAAAGUUAUAUUUAUUGUAAGGAAAAUAGAUUUGCUUUAUUUUGAGAUACUUUUUAACUUAAGGAAACUAGAGUUAAUUUAUUUUAGGACACUCUUGUUAAGGAGAAAUUAAAGGAAAUUAACAAUCUAACUAAUGAUAAAUAUGUUUUUUUUAGGGCAUUCGGUUGGUGCUUGAGAACACACCCGAGUACUGCAGCGUCUGCUGGAGAUUAGAGCAUUCGGUGGAGGAGUGCAGGAAGGAUACUCAUAACGGUGCAGGAGCCUUGGUUAAGGGCAACCAACCGCAAUUUGUAUCGCAGAGUGAUACUGUUGGGGCUGUCAUGGAGGCAAAAGGCAGUUCGGUUGGUGCGUCGAAGCCGCCCGGGGGGGGGAACACUCCCAGCAGCGCUGAUGGAGGCUCCGCUCUCCAUCCCUGGUCGAGAUGGCAAAAGCCCAGCGGCAGCAGCUGCGGUAACAGGGGUGGUGCCCAGGGAGGCAGAGCUGACCCACGAGCAUCAGCCUACUCGGGUUGCUGGUGUGAGUGUGGAGCUCCUUGAGGGAAGCGGGCAGGAUGAUGGCGCGCCAGAGGGGGAGCGUUCCACAGCAAGGGAAGGAGCCUCGCUUGCGCAGGUGAAUGCUAGAGCGGAGAUAAUGGUGGAGGGGCGACGUGCGGCUGAGCUUCCAGUGGCAGCAGGCUCGAAGGACAGUGGGCAAGCUGUUGGCGCACCAGAAUGGGAUCAGGCUGAGCAGGUGGAUGCUAGAGUAGAGAUCAUUUUGGAGGGGUGCAGUGCGGAUGUCCAGACUGCAACGGGCAAUCUGUCUCCGCGGCCCAGCGCCUAUUAUGGGGAGUUGGCAGCUUCUCCCUUGGAGGCGAUGAAUGUAGAUCAGUCACGGGCAUUGGAGCCGGCUAUAAAACUCGGAAAAUCAAAGGGAAUAAGAGCGAUUUUCCCUUCCGACAGGUAGCUGCGUUCCACUUCAACAUCCUCCAAAAACGGAUUCCAGGUUCUUUCCCAUGAUUAAUAGCAUAUUUUGGAACAUUAUGGGGGUUUCCAAACCUCCUAAUUUGAGACGGUUGAAAAACCUUAUUCGAUUACAUAAAGUUCAGCUGGUAGCUAUAUGUGAACCGAAACUUGAUGUCACAAAUAUUGAGAGCAUCCGCUUAAAUUUAUCGUUUGAUGCUGCUGUUGUUAACUUGUCAGCAGAUGUUUGGGUCUUGUAUAAUUUUCCGUUAGUAUGCUCUAUAGCUGGGAAUUCUCAGCAACAUAUCUCCUUGAAUGUCCAUCAUCCAUGGCUACCUCGCUCCUUGCGAUUUUCUUUUGUGCAUGCCAGGUGUACAUUGGAAGAACGACGGGGGUUGUGGCAAGCACUUUUGGUGGACAAACCACGCGACCAGCCAUGGUGCAUCUGUGGGGAUUUCAAUGUGAUCAUAUCCCCUAGCGAAAAAAAAGGAGAUCGGCCUUUUCGUGUCUCGGAGAGGUUAGAGCUUCUGACCUUCAUGGAGGAGGCGGAAGUUUUUUAUGUGGGUUUUUCCGGCUCGAGUUUCACUUGGUGCAACAAUAGCCAUGGCCGGGCUCGGAUAUGGAAGCGAUUGGAUAGGCUAUUGGUUAAUGGAGAAUGUUCUGAAUUACCGUCAGCCGUGUCGAUCACUCACUUGGCUAGACAUCCAUCCGACCAUGCACCGCUACGAGUUUCUUUCACAUCCUGUGUAGAGAUAAACCUCAUGCGUUCCGCUUCCUGAAUGUGUGGACAUCCAGAGCAUCUUUACUUGAUGUUAUUUGAACGACUUGGCAACAGGAGUGUCGGGGUUCUCCCUUAAGGAUCUUAUGCUCCAAGUUGCUAGCAGCAAGGAGAGCUAUCCAAGAGUGAAAUAAGUCCUCCUUUGGGAAUAUAUUUGCAGUGUCUCGCGAAGCAGAGGCUUCGGUGCUUAGGGCGGAAGCACGGGUGGAAACUGAGGCAUCGGAGAAUGCUCAGAUAGAGCUUCAUAGGUCUCAAGCACAGCUCAACCGUGCUUUGUCAGUGGAGGAGGAGUUUUGGAAGCAGAAGGCUCGUGUCAAGUGGCUCCGACAUGGCGACUGUAACUCAAAGUUCUUCCAUGCCACCCUGAGACAGAGGAGGAUGCAAGGGCAAAUCCACAGGAUUAAAGAUGAGACUGGCAUAUGGGUGAAGACGGAUGAAGAUAUAUCACGUGAAGCGAUACGGUAUUUUUCUGAUUUAUUCUCUGCUCCGGCGGAAUCCUCAUCAGACUUGCUGCAUGUUAUCCCUGCCAACGUCACGGCGGAGGAAAACAUGAGCUUAGAGGCCGAUCCGUCUUUCGAUGAAGUAAAAAGAACUAUCUUUGCAAUGGACGGUGAUAGUGCAGCAAGCCCCGAUGGUUUCAUGGGUAAGCUUUUUACUUUUGCUUGGGAGGUGAUUGGUCAAGAUGUCUAUAAUGCAGUUUUGAGCUUUUUCUGUAGGGCUGAGCUCCCUCAUUUUAUUACAUCUACUUCUAUUGUCCUUCUCCCGAAGGGACCGAACCCUCAGGAUUUUUUGAUGUUCAGACCGAUUAACCUCUGCAAUUUCUUUAAUAAAGUAUUGUCCAAGAUCUUGGCUGAUAGGUUGGCUAAUAUUCUGCCAAGAAUCGUCUCACCCCAACAUACAGGCUUUGUUAAGGGCAGGAAUAUAUCAGAGAAUUAUUUUCUCGCCCAGGAAAUAAUGUCAGGGAUGCGUAGAUCGUACAGGGGUGGGAAUGUAGCAUUGAAGUUAGACAUGUCCAAGGCAUAUGAUCAUGUAUCGUGGGUAUUUCUCAUGAACGUAAUGCGGCAGUUUGGGUUUGGAGAAAGGUUUCUUGACAUGGUGUGGAGGUUGAUUUCUAAUGCUUGGUUUUCGGUUAUAAUUAAUGAAGCGUCUUAUGGCUUUUUCAAGUCGGGUAGGGGAUUACGGCAGGGGGAUCCGAUAUCCCCCGCGUUAUUCGUAAUUGGGGCGGAGCUUCUCUCACAGGCUUUAAACAAUCUCGUGUUACAUUGUGGCUAUAGGGGUUUUAAGGUCCCACGGGGGUGUCCCCAAGUCACGUACUUGGCCUUCGCUGACGAUGUAUUGAUUUUCGCUAAUGGGUUUGCUCGAGCUUUGCAGGAUAUUGUGCGGGUAUUGGAGCUUUACCAACAAUCCUCGGGUCAGUUGGUGAAUAGGCAAAAAAAUGGGUAUAUCGUCCAUCUCUCCGCCUCGAUUGCUAGACGGAGGGUGAUUGAGCAUCUCACUGGCUUUUCUAGGCAACAGGCGCCUAUUCGAUACUUGGGCUUCCCAUUGUACUUGGGCCAAAGUAAGGCUUAUUAUUACGGUGAGGUGAGUCAAGCAAUAAUCGGAAGAAUCCUCUCAUGGAAGUCCAAGUUUUUGUCUCAGGGGGGUAAGAUCAUCCUCAUCAAACAUGUUCUCUCUUCUAUCCCACUGCACUUACUAUCUGCUGCAGUAAUGCCGACUUCGGUGUUCAGGGUAAUUAAAAAGGUUUGUUCUGACUUUCUAUGGAGUUCGACGGAGAGGGGGGCCAGGUAUUACUGGAUCCACUGGGAGUUGUGCUUUUCAAAGGAGGAGAAGGGAGUAGGCUUCAGGCUUCUAAAGGAUGUUUACACAGCUUUAUCUCAUAAACCCUAGUGGAAAUUCCGCACGGGGACGUCUUUAUGGGCAAGGUUCUUACGUGCUAAGUAUUAUGGGGCUUGCCACCCUUGUCAAGUGGAGCUUAAAGUGGGCGUAUCAGCAACUUGGAAACGGAUAAUCAAUGUCAGCAGGGAGGCGGAGUUGUCUAUGCGAUGGUUGGUGAAUGCUGGGACCUGUGACUUCUGGUAUGAUAACUGGCUAGGGAAUGGAGCUCUUUUCCUUAAAGCUCCUGUUCAGGGGGAUUUAUCGUUCAGAGACUUUAUUGUUGACGGGAAGUGGAACUCGGUGGGACUUGCAGAAUACCUCCCAAGGGACAUCACAACUAUGAUCCUGCAACACUCGACCCCAGAGGGUGAGAGGCCCGAUGAGGUGGUAUGGGUGUCAACAACUUCAGGAUCAUUUUCGUUAUCCUCUGCUUUUCGUGAGGUAAGGCAAGCUCGGAAUCCCUCUUGGAUAUUUUCCCACAUUUGGCUCCCCCAACUCCCUGUAAAAGUUUCUUUAUUUAUGCUCCGUCUUUUGAUGCGGAGGCUCCCCCUGGAUGAUAUCUUGGGUAAGUUUGGCUUUCAAUUACCUUCCAAAUGUUUUUGUUCUUCCAUGGCAGCGGCGGCGGGAGAAUCUAUUGAACACAUUUUCUCAACGGGACAACUAGCGGUAGAGAUUUGGGGUGUCUUUGGAUCCUCGUGCGGUAUAUGUCUGCCGGCCGUAUCAUUGCGAGAGCGACUGGUCGCUUGGUGGUUGUCCCCGCACUCAGAUGCUCAAAGACGUCAUGUUGUUUCCAUCCUGCCAAGUUUCAUCUGUUGGCAUAUCUGGAAGGCACGGAACAAAGCAAUCUUUGAAGGGGUUGAACUGACUAGGGGGGAGAUUUGCCAUGGCAUUCUCCGGGAUAUUUUCGCAACGGUUGAGAUUAAAUUUCGUCAUGGGAUUGUAGCGCAAACAUUUGAUCAGUUUUGUGAAAGACUCUCUUAGCCGCCGCUAGUACUUCGGGUCCAGUUGGUCAAGUGGUAGGCAUCUGGAAGGGGGGUUUUCUCCCUUAAUACGGAUGGGUGCUCAAAGGGGAAUCCAGGGAUGAGUGGUGGUGGAGGAAUAUUACGGGAUUCAAAUGGUCAGGUGCUAGUAGCAUUCUCAGCCUCCCUGGGGGUCAAUACAAGCUUGCACGCUGAAGCAUUGGCACUUUUAACGAGGCUUCGCGUAUGCUUCCAGCAAGGGUUUGUACAGGUGCGAGUGCAGACAGAUUCACUGGUUCUAGUAGAUAUAUUACAACGGAGGUUCCAGUGUCCAUGGCUCAUUCGAAGAGAGGUACACCAAAUAUGGCAGCUAGUCGCGAAUCCUACACACUUUUCGCAUUGUUUUAGGGAAGCCAACAAAGUGGCUGACAUCUUAGCUAAUGUAGGUAUCUUGCAUCCGCAGGAUCAUGUAAGGGUGUAUCACCAACUCUGCUCUCUUUCACAGCUAGCAAGGGGGGAAGUUAGGUUGAAUAUGCUAGACUUUCCUUCUAUUAGACUUAUCAAAGGAUCGUCGUGAUGACCGGUCCUGGUCUCGGCUUGUAAUCUUCUGAUUGGGCAAUAAAAGUUUUUUCAAUAAAAUAAAUAAAUAAAUAAAUGUUUUUUUUGGGAGGGGGAUUGAUAAAUUUUUAAUCUGAAACAAAACUCUAUAUUGUUGUUUUGGGUGAGGGGAGGGAGGAGGGGGGACUGCCCCCACAAUAGAUCUUUUGUUUCAUUCUCUGUGUUAUUUUCUGUUUCACUUUUUAUUAUAUCAUUAUUUUUUCUUCAUAGACAUCAUAUUUUAUUUUCUUUAUUUCUUUAAGAUCUAAUAACUAUUAACUAAGUAAAAAAUAAAUACAACAAUCUAAAAAUAUAUAUAUAAUAGAAAAUUAGAAAAUAUAGCAAAAAAUUUAUUAAAAAAUCUCAUUUUUCAUGCAUUUUAAUUUUUUGAAUUUGUUAAAUUUGGUGUAUUACUCAGUUAAUAGUUAUUGGAUCCUAAGGAAAUUAAAAAAAAAAACUAAAAUAUGAUGUUUAUGAAGGAAAAAUAAUAAUAUAUUAAAAAAUGAGACGGAGAGUGGCACAAGGUGUGAGACAGAAAAUCCAUUGCAGGCUGCCCUGCUGGCCCUUUCUUAUGUCCGUCACUAUAUGGCUAGAAACAAGUACCUAUUGCUGAAUUAGUCUCUCCCUUCUAACUUCUAAGAAUUCCAAGGUUUUGUAAUGAUUCCGCAGGAAAUAAGACAAAAAUAGUUAGCCAACUAUUACCUUGCUGGAAUUGUUAUAACGGCUACCACUUGCAGAAAGAAGGUUACUGAUUAGUUAGUGGGGAAGCUUUCUAUUAAUAGGCCAAUACUAAUGUAAAGGGGCAUGCAAAUUCUGAUCAUUGAGAAUACAACUUUCCCGCUUCUUUCCCAUUCAUUCUGCUCCCUCUCUUUUCUCUCAACCUUUUUCUCUCUAUUCCUUUCUAUAUUUUUGUUCCUUAGUUGAAUCAACCAAUUCCCAACCAUUACAGUUUUUUUUUCUUGUCAAUCGACAACUUCUACAUUUAUCCUACUCCUACUCCUACUUUUUCUCCUAUUCUAACCUAUCUAAAGAAUGGCCUAACAGGGCCAAAAAUCCUAUUCCUAGUUCUAUUUCCACUCCCAUUCUAACCUAUUUAAGGGAGGGUCUAGCUGGAUCAAGGGGACCUAGAGAGAGUAGUCCCCAUCUCUAGACCAACGUCUGGAUUUGGAGGAAACUACAUACUAGUCACAAUUGCUAGAAAGUAAGAAUUGAAUUCUUGAUCUCUUACUCCAAGGCCUUUGACAAGUGACUAAUUUACACUAUAUUUGAAUGAUAUCUUAUGUUAUUUUUAGUCACUUUGGCUAUAUUAUUGGAAGAAAAUGGAUCAUUCUGGCUAUAAUUAGUUUAAAAUGCUCUUAAGUGAUUAAAUGAGAUUUUUGUCACUUUUACUUGCAUUUUGUCCAUAAUUUGUAUAGGAGUUGGAAAUAUAUUUCCUUUGGAUGAAGAGGAAGUUGACAGCUUUGACACAACUUCGUAUUUCGGCUAUAACUUGAGUUACAAUGAUCGGAUUGAGAUGAUUCUAGAACCAUUUUUAAGAUAAGAGAUAGAUGUACAAAUCUUAUGAAGACAUUGAAAUACAGUUUGAAGGUUUUCCCUAUCAAAAAUCUGAAUUAUAGUGCCAAUUUCUAUUGGUCGAAGCUGAAACAAGGCAGUGAGCAGUCAAGGGUAUUUCUGUCAUUUCUCCAUCUACACAAAUCCAAAUGAGGUGAUUCUUGAUGCAUUGGAAACAUAACUAAAAGGGUUACAAGUUUCAUGUUUUGGUCAAGAGUUAAUUCAACUUCUAUCAUCAAGAAAAGUUCAGUUGAAGUUGAGGCAAAAUUGGAGCAACAUUGAAGACUGGACAGAAAUUGCUAAGAAUGGCAGGGGAGCAAUCCGGCUGAAAAUCCGUCCGGAUUCUGGCCGGAUUCUAGUCAGAAAUAGCUGCUCUCCACUUGCACAACUUAUUUCCUCCUCCAAUAUUCAUAGCUAUUGAUGGACGUGUAACAACAACUUUGCAGCUGUAAAAGUGAUAUUUGAAGCCUUAUUUCUUGACUAAAUUAUCUAUAAAUAGCCAUGGACUUAUAAGGAUAAGGAGAGCUUGGGGGAGUGCAAGAAACACCACAAAAAUGUAGUUCCUUGGUUCUUUAGUGUAGAGUAGUGUAGGAUAGUUUAGUUUUAGAUAGUUUAUCCUUUCUUGUAUGUUAGCUAAAUGAAGAUGAAGAUGGAGAUGAAGAAGGCAAGGAAAGAGCUCAUGUGACAAGGAUUACUUUACCUUUCCAACUCUUUAUCUUUUGUACUUGAUUCUAAGUUUAGUUAAUAUAUAAGUUUUGGAUUCUAUGUUUAUUAUGUGUUUCUAAAGUUUAUGCCUUGGGCUUGGUUGAACUUUCUAUGAUUGUUAGUGUUUAUUAUUUGGUUAUUUGAUGCUAUUAUUUUGAGCAAGUUAUUGAGUACUUUACCUCUUUUAAAUCAUGAUUAACUUGGUACCAUUAAUUGUAAUUAUCUAAAGGUGUUGUUUCUUCAAUGAAAAUUGAGAUUUAACAGUAAUUCAAGAAGUGCUAAACCUAGAGAAUACACUCACGAGAGUAGAGGUUCACCUAUGUGGCUUUAGUGAUUCAUUUCAUGUAAUUUCAUAGAAGAAAUGAACUUGUAGCUAAUUUCUUAACCACGAGAGUAGGUAUGGAUUAGUUAUAAGUAUAGUUGAUUCACUACGAAAGUUGGUUUCACAUACAUAAGGAAAUUUCGCCAUAACUAGCCAAAAUAGUAGUACUCAAUGAUCCAAAAAUAACACUUGCAUGAGUAGUUAGGAAUACCAUAGACUAAGGAGCUUUCAUUUGUUAUUAUCUUGCAUAAGGUUAGCAUAGUUUUAUCUCUUUUAAUUCAUUGAUCGUCUAAAUAAUGGAGAAGCUUUAGUAGUGUCGGUAAUUGUCCAAUAUCAUUUGCAAGGGUAGUGAGGAAUUCCAUAUCUCUAGAAGCUUUCUAGUACUGAUUUUCAUUACUUUUAUAUUUAUGGUAAUCUAGAUAAUAAAGGAGUUCGAAAAACACCGGUAAUUGCAAUCUUCCUUGUGGGAUCGACCCUUAAUACCCUAUACUCGCUCACGAUUCGUAUACUUACGAUAAAUCGCGUGUGGGAUAUUUAAGAAUUAUAAAUGUAAAACUUGAUUGUGGAUAAACUUAUUGUAUAUGUAUACCCUGCGCACGUCAGCCUUUAUGGUGGCCAACAGCCCAAUAGGACAUUGGUUACAUGACAUCAUACUUCUAGUACAUGAGAAUACAUUAAAAAUCAAUCGCUUUCACAGUUCCACUUCAGACAAUUAAGAAUUACUAUCCAUUGGAUAAAACUAGUUUUAACCUUCAAAUAUCUUAUUGCAAGUAAGCCUUCUAAAAUAUGCUCACGAUUACUAUAUUUUUAGCAUUUUCACUAUGUAUAAGUCUAGAAUUGUAUGAUGAAAAGAAUUUCCAUCAAUCAAUAACUACUUAAGACUUUAUUGAGCCCAAUGACUAGCUUCUGAUAUAUUUUUGAAAGUGUACACUUUAGGUCGUUAAACCAUCAUUUUCAAGUAAAAUUACAGACCUAUUAAGCAACAGUUAAGAAAUUAUAGAUUGCACAAUACUAAAUUCACAGAAAAAUGAAAGAUUACUAAAUGAGGAUAAAUAUAUAGUUGGGAGGUGGAGCUAGAAACAAAAUUCAGUACGGAUAAACAUACUGUUAAAUUAUACUACUUUCAGUGUAUAAAAAAAGUUACAAUAACUUUUCAAAUGAAUUUCUUGUGUGUUGGGAGCACAUCAAUGAUGGAUCUAAGGGGGGGCUGGGGCCCCCCUCGACCCAUGUUUUGAAAAGUUUAAUUCAUAGUGUGUAAAUAUAUAUAUAAAAUAAUGUUGGCCCCCCUUAAUUUUUUCCAAUUUUAAUUUAUAUUAUGAGAGUUUAUAUUUAUAUAUAUAUAGUCACCUUUGAAUUAAUUUUUUUAUUCAAAAAAGUUAUUUAUUUUUUACUAAUUACUUAACUUUCAAAAAAUUAAACAUACUAUUUGAUGAUCCAUAGUAAAUUGAUCCAAUUUGACAUAUUAUAAUAAAAAGACCCAAUUCACAAUAUCAAUGGGUUAAAACAAAAAUAAUAAUUUUAUUGGCCCAUAUGCAAAUAUACAACUUAACCCAAUUGAAUGAUUGUCUAAGUAUAUACAUAGAUAGGGGUGGCAAUGGGGCGGGGAUGGGGCAGGGGACACCUCCCCCAACCCCCGCCCCCGGCUUCCCCCGCCCCGCCCCGCUUCCCCCCACGGGGGCACUCGUAGGGUUAAAAAAAUUUUAUUAUGUAAUUUCAUUAUAAUUAAAUUUGAGCAAAUAAUCAAAUAUUAAAAUAUCAACACAUCACCAAAUUAUUAUUCAUUGUAACUUCACAAUUGAAACUCAUAAAAAUAAUUAAACAAAAGUUAUUUGAAUACAAUCUAAUAUGAUAAAACAAAUAUAACUAAAAUAAUCAAGUUUUCACUUUUGAUACAAAUACAAUCACUAAAUUAUUAUUGUGUUUUUUUUAGAAAAAAGUGUUAUUGUAUUAAGUGUAGUUAGAAAUUUAACAUAAAUGUAUUAAUAAAUUUAGUAUAAAUAAUUAAUAAUUUUUAUUAAUAGACAUGUAUAAUUAGUAGUAUAAUUGAUAAUAUCAUUAUAUAUAUAAUUAUGUACAUAUAUAUAUAUAUAUAUUUUUCAAACAGGUGGCGGGGCAGGGGUGGGGCGUACUCCCCUGCCCCCCGCCCCGUUUCUAAACGGGGGGAAAAAUUCCCCCCCCCGGCCUUCGCCCCAACCCCCACCCCACUAAUCCCCCGCGGGGCGGCUGUCCGCCCCCGUUGCUAUCCGUAUACAUAGAAAAGAAAAUUGCUGAAAAAUUUAUCAUUGAUUCAAUCAUAGAUGAAUUUAGUUCUAUGAAAGAAUGUAAAGCUCAAUUUACUUUAAAAUAAAAGGUUCAAAUUUUAAGUUAUAUUAACAUAACUUUUAUCUUGUUUUAAUUGAAAAUAGAUAUAUUUAUAUUGCAUAGUUAUAUGCUUUCUUUUCUUUUUGCAUAGGUGACAUAUUGGAGUUUAUGUUCAUAAUGUGCAUCUUGGAUGGUUUGCAAUGCUAUAAGACAUUUAAUCUAAUGUUAUUUCUUGUCUUAAUUUUCGUUAUGACUAUAUUGCAUAUUUAUGAAAUAGACAUACACUUAUAAUUAAAGUUAAUAUUGGAUAUUUUUAGAUAAUAUAUAUUUAAAUAGUUGAAAUUUAUUUUGAACAUAACAUAUUAAGAUAAUUUUGUUAGAAAAUCCCCCCCCCCUCACGAAGAAAAAAAUCCUAGCUCCAUCACUGGAGCAGAGAAAAAGAAGGAAAAGAGGAAUAAACAUAAAGUUGAGUUUUUGUUAGUUAUUUUUUAUUUAUUUGUAAGAGGUGAAAUGAGUUGUUUUUUAUUUUUAAUCUAUUGAAAUGGUGAGGACAAAGUGAUAAACAAAGGAUAAUAUUAGAUACAUAUUUUAUUAGAACAUAGUGGGGAAAAUAUUAUCUAACAACGACAUGAAUUGUAUAUAAGUUAUAUGCUUUUGGUGGGUCAGUGGAGGUUAUUGUCUCCAUUGUAUCGUUUCCUAGAAUCAGUAUAUUCUAGUAAAUGAUUCUAGUUAUAUGUAAGUGAUUUAUAUUACUAAUUUUUUGUUACAAUUUUUAGAGAAUAGUUGGUUGAUUCUUAAAAAUAGAGCGAAGUCAACAACUAAUGCGCUUCAUAGUUAAUAGAAGUUUCCAAGAGGGCACCAAGUAAUAUUUUCAUAAUUGAUUAGCUUGGUUUUCAAGUGCAUAUAAAAAGAUAUCCAUGAAGACCUCCCCACCCAAGGGAAGACUGUAAGUUACGAAAACGUUUACUUUACUCUCAACAAAAUGUUGAGCAUACUUUAUUUUACUUUCGACAUCAUGCAAUGAUUAAAGGAUUUUGUAUAGGGACCUAGUUAAUUCAAUAAGCUUUAUGAUGGUUUAAUUGACUAACGGAGGAAUUUGCUCAGCCUAGUAACUCUGGUACUCAAGUAAUCAUGACCUUUAUCUAAAGAUCUACACAUUCCAUAUUGAAGUAAAUGAUAAUGGAUUUAUUACUUUUGUUGACCAAGUCAAGCAAAAAGCUGUUAUCAAAUCAUGGUUUUAGCGACUUAUAAGUUUCUUGAUAUCCCAACUAACCUCAUAGGAGGGCUACUUUAUUUCUUUUUGGUUACUUUCUAAUGCCUAGUUGCCUGUCGGAUAAAAUAUUGCCUUCACGGAUUGAUUCCAAAACUUGCUCAAAAACAUCUAUUUAUUUUUAAAAUAUUGCUUAUACUAUAUUUUGAACCAUUCAAUUGCAAAACACAAACAAUUUUUCUUAUGGUGCCUUCUUGUCGUUGAAACUAGGAAGCUAACCAAACAUUUGAAGCAAAGUGAUAAACAAUUAAUAGCAAACUAUAUUGGAUCUUCGAAAGGAAAAUUGAGGCCUCAUCUAUGAAUUUAACAUUUUCCGUUGUGAUGACAUCCGAAAUUGAUUGUGAGAAGAUUUUACAAACGCUAAAAGAGUAUCUCCAUUUAAUUGUGGAAAGGAAUUUGAUUUUGUCAAAUGCACAGAUAAUGGAAAUGACAAAAUAGCAGCACUAUCCUUGUCAUUAGGAAGCACUCAAAAGUUACGUAUUAAAUGGGAGUCUAACGUACAAGCAAUGAAACACUAUUGUAUUUGCGAUAGUAUUGAUAAAAAUUAAGAUUCUAUAGUCUUUGGAUCAUAAUGAAUUCAACGUUGGAUGACACAAUAAGUAUUCUGAAUUCUUAAAUUAUAAUAAUGUUAAAUAUUUAAAAUAGAAGCUGAUAUCGUUAUUAAGAAAUACACAUUGAAGGAAUAGUUCUCUAAGCGAUAAAAAUUUUCCAAAAGUAAAAGAAUGAAUGAUCAAAGUUUUCCAUCUUUGCCCGAUGACUCGUCUCUUUCCAUUUUACUUUCCCAAAGGAUAGCAUUUAAUAGCCUCGUGCCUGCUCUCAUUUUAAUCCUAAAAUAAGUGAUCAUGGGCUUCUUUGAGAAUGGGCUUGGUCUAAAUAUUGAACGCUCAAAACAGACUUCUUUUGUUGGAGGCGGCUUUCACUAGAGAGCGUGGGACUGAUUCAGAGUUCUUUUUUUUUUUGUAGGAAAAGGGAGACUGAUUCAGACUUCUUGCUAUCAUAGUUAUUAAACCUACCUUGGAGAGGAAUCCGGUGAAGGAGGUGGGUCAACGGAUUAUUGGUUCAAUCAGUGGAUGAGUAGUUGAAUUGGUGGGUUACUAAAUAUAUUUAAAUAUUAUGUCUCAUAAUUUUUUCAUAUAGGGUAUCUGGUUUAAACUACAAUGAACUAUACCAAGCAAAUGGUUAUUUAGGGUGUGUUUAAUAAAAUUAAAAUUUGAAAUUAAAAUCUGAAAUGUGAAUCUAUUAAGUUAUUAAAUUGUUAAGUGCUAAAUCUGAUACAUUUGUGUGUGUGUAUAUAUAUAUAUAUAUAUCAUAUUAAGUAAUAAGUGAAUAGUUUAUCACUUAUUUUUAGGAAUAAAUUUUGCCUAGAAAAUUCAUUACUAUUUAAUUAAUUCAGAUGUUCAAUUUUUUAAUAUGUUAAGAUCUGAAUCCAUUAAAUUAAAGUGUUGAAUUGGAUUAUCAAACAGGGUUUUAGUCUAAUUCAUUAUAGUCUAAUUCAUUAUAGAAUGAUUAAUUAUUAUAAAAAUCUAUAAAAUCAAAAUUAAAUUAGUAAUCCACCAAAUUUCAAGUGCAAAUAUUUACCUAUAUUUAGUGUAAUUAUUUAGUUUAUUUAUGAAUUUUAAGUGCAAGAGGUUAUUAGGAACAAUAUUUGCCUUUAAAUGAAUUGUAUACUAUGUUAUUUUUGAAAUCCAUUUCAGAACUUAUAGAGUUUGAGAAAUAAUAAAUUUUAUUAAAAUAUCCCAAAUAAUUUUUAUUUUAGAGAAAUUAUAAAAAUAAAGAAACAAUUGACUAACAUAUAAUAUAAGACAGGUGAAUAACUAGCAUGUCAGCUGUUCACCUAGCGGUAAGUACUCGUUGUUUAUAUGCAUGAGGUUUUGAGUUUGAACCAUUAAAAAAACACAAUCUUGUCUAAUUUUUCCAAUAGCAACUAAUGUUCUACCUGAUUCAACCGGUCGGAUUUUCGAUUUAAUCCGGUUGAACCAUUGAUUUGUUGACAAGUCAAUGAGACUUGUUCACAUUCAAUCCAAUUAGAGACCCGAUGUUGUUUACUGAUCAGGCUUAAUAACUAUGCUUGCUGUGUUUCCUAGGUUUGCAAGAUUGAAUUCAAGGUUAAUUGUAUUCAUCUCCUUUUUGGUUAAACCAAAUUACAAAAAUCUUUUAUAUUGUUUGACCAAAUUAAGAGUACAGGCAAAGCCCUUGACCAAAUUACAAAAAUCUACCAUAUUGUCUGACCAAAUUAAGAGUACAGGCAAAGCCCUUGAUGGCAAAACAUUUAUCAAAUGCGCCCUUAUAUCAAUAGCUGUUAAAAUUGAUGCUUACAUUAACAAAAACCACAUAUUUGAAAGCCCCAAAAUAACCUUUUACACCUUGAGUUAAUUACACUUAUCUUUAUAUUUGGCAAUUGGGUGGGUUGAACGGAUUUUGGGCGGGUUAAUAUUGGAUUUUCACUUAAAUGGAUUAUACCCAACCCGUCCAACUUUAGAUUUGGUUGAUUUUGGGUUGGGUCAUAUUGGGUUAUUUCAAACCCAUGACCCAAAAAUAACCUAUUAUAUUAAUUAAUACAUAACCUUUUUUCACAUUCAUUUUAACAUACAAAAAAGAUUUUUUUCACACAUAUAAACACAUUUUCACAUACAUAAAUGUAUUUUCAUACACACUCACUUCUUAAGUUCCUUGAAAACACAUCAUAAAUAGAAUAAUAUUUUAUAUUACUUGUAUUGUAAAUUUUAGAUAAUAAAUGAUGGGGGUUGGGUUCUGCAGCAGGUUGCGUGAUGAAGUCGUAGAUGAUGUUGGGAGUACUGGGAAAGGAUGGAUGAUGAUGAUGGAGGUGAUGAGGAGGUGGCUCCGCCAUUAUACACACAGAGUAUACAUGAAUGAGGAUGGCGCCGAUGAUGACUGCACUCACUUCUUAUUAUAUGUAUCCACAUUAAUAAUUCCUAUGUACACAUGAAACUCUGUGUGUGUGUGUAGAUACAAUAUAUAUAUAUAUAUAUGUAUGUGGCGGGACUUAAAUUAUAUAUAUAUGGGACAUAGAGCCACUGCUACUGGUCUAUAGUAUAGUUCAACAACAACAGCAGCAACGGCAUUCGACUACUCUGUUAGUGCAGUGUAUCAGCAGCUUGAGGUUAAAAAAGGUUAAAAAAGAAAUUUGUACAAUAUUAUAUGUACACGAAAUAUUGACAAACAAAAGCAAUCAUGAAAUAUUAAAAAAGAAUGCAAUUAGAAUAAAUUUAAAACUCUAUUUUACGUACACGAAAUAUUAACAAACAAAAGCAAGUAGCAACUUGAGAACAACCACAAAAAAAAAAAGAAAAAAAGAAGGAGGAAAAUAACAUACUCUUAAAAGGCAUAAUAAAUUAUUAUAAAAGUUGAGUAAGUUUAACUACUGUUAUAAAAGUAAAAUAGCUAUGAGUUUUUAUUUCAAGUUUCUUUUUUCUUUUAAAUAAAAAUUAAAAAAAUUGAUUGAAAAAAAAAAAUAUAUAUAUAUAUAUAUAUAUAUAUAUAUAUAUAUAUAUAUAUAUGAGAAUUUUGAAUACAAAUUAAUCAAUGAAUUAUUAACACAUGUCCAAAUGCAAAUAGUUAGAUAUAUGUGUAUUGAAUCUUGUAUUUAUUAUUUUCAAUUACUUUUAAACAAGUUAGAUAUUGAGUACCCAAAUAAAAAAUUCAACCCGUCCAAUGAAUAAAUUGGAUUGUUCUUACCCAACCCAAUAAAACCCAUAACCCAAUUAACCCAACCCAUCAUUUAAAAUUAAUGGACGGAUUUUGGGCUUUUUUGCUAGCUCCACUUAUCUUCCUUGGAUUUUGUCCAAACUACUUUCAUCUCUCGUGAGGGUUGUACAAAUGACAAGUAAAGCCUAUUAUUGUCCAAAUCAAUUCAAAGCUAUAAAUAACCCAAUACUUUUCAAAUACACCAUAGUCAACUUAAUUAGUUGCAACAAACUUCUAAAACAAUUCUCAAAUACCGAUUAGUUACUACCUUUUUCUUUUACCAUUUUUUCUCCUCGUAGGUUAUAGUGUUACUCCACCUAAAAACUUGAAUUCGAUUUUCGCACAUCGUUGGGCCUUGCAUGAUGUCAAAUAUCAACAGUAUUUUCGGCAAUUGAUUCUUUAGUCGCAACUGCUAUGUACAAAAUUGAAACUUUUCUCCUUGUUAGCAUGCAAAUUAUCAAAAUCCAUUUUUCAAAUAAAAGACAGUAUAAACUUAAAUCCACCUUAGCACUAAAAUUUAAGGUUUCUAUAUAAACGAUAUUUUGGAAUUCAUUAGUAAAAGUCCAAGAAAAAAUUAUCUAGAAAUUUUAGAAUAAAAGCUUAACAUCUUAAUAUGGAUAAAAAGAAGACAAUCUAAAAAGAAAGUUCCGUCUAAGCUAAGUCAAUCCUUGCUGAUGGUUCAUGAUUUUGGAGGAAAUUGCUCCAAAUGCGAGACCUGGCAAGAUGAUAUAUUCAGGCUGUAGUAGGCAGUGGGCGCGCUAUACAUAUGUGGCAGGAUUCAUGGCAUCCACAUGGACCUCUGUUACAAUACUAUGGGUAUGAUAUUGUUAAGGGUAAAAAACAAAAAAAAAAAAUUCUCCUGUAGCAAACCUAAUACAUAGAAAAGCUCUCCGUAAUUUUAAAACGUACAACAUGACACCUCAUGUUUUGAACUAAAUUGUAAAGGUGAAUGCCUUAUUGGAACCUAAAAAAAAUUUUAUACCUAAUUUUUAACAAAUAUACAUGUUCUCCCUCUUAACCCUCAAUUCUCUUUAUAUAGAAAAUAAAACGAAUGAUUUUUUUGAACUGUUUUUUACUUAAUUAUAUGAAGGCAUUUUGGUCACUUCAUCCAUUUCUGUUAAGUUUAACGGAUUCCGUCACUUUUACAAUUUAGUUCAAAGUAUGGAGUGUUGUGUUGUACAUUUUGAAAUUACGGGGAUUUUUCUAUAAAUUAGAUUUACCACGGGGGCUCUUUUGUUUUUUACCCUAUUGUUAAACAAUUUAAUAGGUUUGAGAAUGCAAGACUGGCUUCAAUUGUGAACACAAGUGCUUGGUGUUGGCCACAUGGUAGAAGAAGAACCUCUCAAGCGGAGGAUUUGAUCCAUAAACUUCCCUCUGCUUGUGUACCUCUCUACCCAGGGAAGAUGAUACCUUCUCAUGGUUAUGAGAUAAAACUGGAAUGUUACUACAAAGUCUGUUAUUGCUUCUUUGAGAGAACAUUGUAUGAAUGUCGAGUGGUAUAAACUGGGGUGGUUUAAGCAACAUAUCCUAGACAUACAUUUAUCGCUUGGCAACAUAUUCCUAGACAUGCAUUUACAAACAAGCAACAUAUUGUUUGUAAAAAUAGUUUGGCUACAAAAGAUAGGUUACUUAAAUGGGGUAUGCCAGCUUAUGUUUGGAGUAGGAUACAACAGUGCUAUUUGCUUUAUGGAGGCGUAUAUGGUUGGUCUGUAGGAUUGGCAUUGUGGGUUGGUUUCCUGUAGAAUGAUGAAUUUGUUACCUCAGUCAAAAGAUUGGCUCUUGGGGGUUUUUAUUUAUUUCCUUUGGCAUGAGCGCAAUCAAAGGCAGUUCAAUAGUAAGGUGUCGAAUGCUGAUUAUGUGAUACAGCAUAUAAUUACUACUGUUAGGCAAACUAUAAUAGGCUGGCGAAGGGUGCAAAGGACACAUAGCAGCUGGGAGUUUGGCAUUGGCUGGAAUUUUGAAUAGCAGUUUUUUUUCUUAGAUUAAUAUUUCAUGGUUAUAAUAUUUGUUUUCAUUAUAGUAUGGUGUCUUGUUCCGUUAAGCUUGUAUAGGGCAGCUUUUCUUGUUGUUGGAACCAUUCCUUGCUUAUCUAAUGAAAAGAGUUAUUUUGCCUAAAAAUAUAUAUAAUAUUCUUCUUUAUUUUUCUUACUUGCCCAACCCUUCUCACACCCUUCCCAUCCCCAAGUGCUAGGUUAUACUAUUCACUUAGGCCCUGUUUAAUAACUAAUUCAGUACUUAAUAUUAAUUGAUUCAGAUCUUAAUAUGUUCAAAUGCAUUUGAUAACAAAAUAUUGAACAUUUGAAUUAAUUAAGUGGCAUUGAAUUUUCUAAGCAAAACUUGCUUUUAAGAAUAAGUGAUAAGGUAUUCACUUAUCAUUGAACGUGAUAUACACUACAAUGUAUUUAAUUUCAUACUUAACAAUUCAAUAAUUUAAUGGAUUCAGACUUUAGAUUUCAGAUUUCAGUUUUCAAAUUUUAGUUUUAUCAAACACACCCUUAAUCUAAAUAAAUUUAUUUUUUUGAAACCAAAUUAUAUAUCUAAAAUGUAGCGGACACUUGUCAUAUGGAGAAAUUGGGUUAGGUGAGCUUCGUAGCGGCCACAAUGAGCUGUAGCAAAGAAAAAGGGGAAGAGGUUUUUUUUAAAAAAAAAAUUUUAUCUUUUAUUUGUCAUUUCUUAGUAUUGAGCAAUUAAUUAUUUUCUUUUAAUUUGGGAUUCAAUUUUUCUUGGAUGAUAUCAUGAGUUUUCUUAUGAAUUGUUUGCUAUUCAAAUGAUUAAAUUUAUAUGGCCAAACUAUAUGGUAACUCUUGUAAUAUAGACAAACGUCAAGACAAGAAAAUGUUGGUUUUUCAAAAGGCAUUUUUUGUCAUUUCGCUCAUUUUGUUGGCUGAGUUUAGACGCUGUCACUCAUGGGUAAAUGUAGAUGCAUCACGUGCAAUUUUAAGUUGACCAUAACAAAUAAAGAAAUCCAAAAACAUGAAGUUUCAAAUAUUAAUGAAGCUUUUUGAAAAUAUAAAUAUGAACCGUCACAAAAUAAUUAUUAAUACCCAUAAUACUUCAAAUACUAAUAAUUUUGGCACUCAACAAUAAGGUUUCAGCCAAUCCUCCACUAUUUUUUACUCCAUGAAAAUGACUUUAAUGAUAGACAUUUGUGUUUUUUUUAACCUCCCACCCCUCUCCACGCUCUUCCCACCCCCAACUAUCAGGGCCAAAAUUCGAACUCUCAACUUGACACAUAUGUUUAUGUAUUUGUUAAGUAUAUGGUUUACUGCCUUGGCAAAGAAAUAUAUGAACUAAUGCACAUGUCAUGAUUUUCUAAGUUAAAUUAUCUUGGCGUUUUAAAUUCUUUAAGCAAUGUGAUAAAAUACAAUUUUAUUGGUUUAAAAUAUAUAUAUUUCUUACAUAUCUGUUAUCACUUGUUGUUCAAGAUUAUUUUUAAUGGAAAUAGUUUAUUCAAGUUUUUUUCUUCCUCGUCUCUUUGGCCAGGUUUGGCAUAUAAAUUAUGAGAAAACAUAGAUUAUGUAUCUUAGUUAUUUUGGUGAAGGCAAAGUACGAAUUGAGUGUCUCAAAGUCAAUUUGGAGUUCCAAAUUCAUUGGUUCAUUGGUUCCAAGUUCCAUUAUUUUUUGGACUCUUCUAGGAUCACAUACUUUAUGCAUGAUUUUGGAACUUGCAAGUAUAAACAAAAAGUGUUACUCUCAAAUGCAAAAGAUUUUCAUAUAUAUAAUAGCCCAAGUGUCUAAAAAAUAACUUGUGGAUAUGUCUAAAUUGUAAGAAAAGGAACGAAAAAAGCAUUUAGUUUGGGAGGUUGGAAGUACUUCCAAAUCACAUGUUUGAGAAUAUGUUAUUGCCCCUCUUUUCCUACAUGAAAUUCAUAUUGGAAUUGAUAUAUCAUUUUUCCGGUGCGAUGUUUAAAUUAUUGUUCAUGCAUGCUGAUGCGUGGAACCAAAGAAGAAAUUAACAAAAAUAGCAAAAGAAACAAACUCAAACUUAAUCCAUAGUACAAUACGUUCAUAGAUAGGAUGUCAUAGAUUACACAUCUUGGUUUACAGAUCCACUCAAACUCAAGCAUAAUUACAAUACAUCAGACUUUUAUUCCCACCAUCUUGGUUGAUAAAAGCACACACAAACCAAAUAGAAACACAUGAACACUUAAUUAAGCAGAGAAUAACAGCUUCUGCAAUCUGCGUAUCGCAGCUUGAUAGUCUGAUUAGUUCUUUCCUUGAGAAAUGAAAAUGAGAUCACUUUGAGACAUCCAAUGGCAUGCUUCACUUUGGCCAGGAGAAGUUUUCAAUAUCUUCAAGGCCACAUGAUCAGGGGACCAGCCUGAAGUAUCCAUAUGACAUACCACCGUGACUGUAUUAACUGGAACUUUGGUCCUAGGUUCAACAACAUCUACUGCAUAGACUUCAAUAUUGGACAGCAAAUGGCAGAAAUAUGUUGCAAAAGGAAGAAAUAAUUGAUGACAUGCCACAGUUUUUCCAUAUUUAAGCUUUUCCACGCGUCCAACCAUCAAUUCUUUUCUAGAACCCUCUGUGUUUUUCGAUGCCAAUGCCACCAAAUUCUUGUCACCUAUGGCAGUUUUUGAAAAUUCAAUCAUUUCCUCAAGGGAUUUUGCACAGCUCUGAGGCUCUUCCUUAAGAGCAG
RNAcentral lists this long non-coding RNA (221297 nucleotides) under Coffea arabica (coffee). RNAcentral's name for it is "long non-coding RNA (CARA_LNC002661)". The record is from RNAcentral. Lineage: Eukaryota; Viridiplantae; Streptophyta; Magnoliopsida; Gentianales; Rubiaceae.